This 316468-nucleotide long non-coding RNA is filed under the name Vitis vinifera (wine grape). Its description in RNAcentral is "long non-coding RNA (VVIN_LNC007045)". The record is from RNAcentral. Lineage: Eukaryota; Viridiplantae; Streptophyta; Magnoliopsida; Vitales; Vitaceae.
GAAUAUAGCUAUGAGGAUUGUAGAGCUAGCCAUGAUUUAACACACAAGAAAAGGCUAGUCCAAAUAUAAUUUUGAACUAUGGAACCAAAUUUACACCCCUAACCAAUUAAUUACUUCGUAAUUGGUGGAUCUUCAUGGAAACUUUUUCUUUUUCUUUUGGCUAGUCAUAAGUAUACAACUUUCCAUUUCUAAUUGUAGGCACAUUCAAGCUAACGGUGGAUCAUGGCAAGACCUAUCUACUUCGCAUAAUCAAUGCUGCCUUGCAGGAGGCUCUCUUCUUCUCCAUUGCCAAGCAUAAAAUGACAGUGGUUGGAACAGAUGGUAGCUACACGAAACCAUUGACACGAGAUUAUAUUAUAAUAUCACCUGGCCAAACCUUUGAUGUCAUAUUAGAAGCUAACCAACGCCCGAAUCACUAUUAUAUGGCAGCUAGAGUUUAUUCCGUUGCUCCACUAGGUAAUUAUGAUAACACGACCACCACAGCUAUUGUACAGUACAAGGGAUACUACACUUCAUCUUUACCUCCCUCCUUGCCUCAUCUUCCUGGAUACAAUGACACAAAUGCAACGGUUCACUUCACGGGCCGCCUCCGAAGCUUAGGGGAUGCGGAACAUCCUUGUAAUGUCCCAUUGAGCAUGAGCACUAAAUUGAUUUACAUCAUUUCUAUGAACACAUUCCCAUGCGCCGAUAAUUCAUGUACAGGGCCCAAUGGGACGCAAUUCUCUGCAAGUAUAAACAACAUAAGCUUCCAAUCCCCUACAAUUGACAUACUGAAAGCUUACUAUUAUAACAUUAGUGGUGUAUAUGGAGAUAAAUUUCCUAGCAUUCCAAAAAUGGUGUACGAUUUUACAUCUGAGUAUCCUCCAUUGGAGUAUCAGAUGUCGAGAAAGGGAACAGAAGUAAGGGUGCUUGAGUAUAACUCUACAGUGGAGAUUGUUUUUCAAGGGACAAACUUGGUUGCAGGGACACACCACCCCAUGCAUCUCCAUGGAUACGAUUUCUAUGUUGUUGGAUGGGGAUUUGGGAAUUUCGAUAAAAAAAGGGACCCUUUACGCUAUAAUCUGGUGGAUCCUCCUAUUCAGAAUACCAUCUUUGUUCCUAUGAAUGGUUGGGUUGCAGUUAGAUUCAAGGCGUCUAACCCUGGUAUGUUGCAAGCACUCAUGUCCUCUAUUUAAAAAAAGAAAAGAAAAAACAAUUGCUUGAAACUGCCAACCUACAUACCAAGGAAAUAUUUUUUCUUAAUAUUACAAUAAGUUAGGUGUAAUGUUGGUAUAUUUUCUCUGUUGCAGGAGUGUGGUUCAUGCACUGUCAUUUAGAGCGCCAUCUGACUUGGGGCAUGGACACUGUGUUCAUAGUGAAAAAUGGUAAACACCCAGAAGCUCAAAUGCUGCCUCCUCCAUCGGACAUGCCACCAUGUUGAAGCUACAAAGCAAUAACAUGCCCAAGAUUUCAUUAAAUAUUUCAACUUUCAUUAUUUAUUAUGUUUAAAAAAAUGUUGACUAAGUUAGUAUUACUUUUCAAUUGAGAUAAGAAGAAAAAUGUAAAGUUGUAGAAUAUUAUGUCUAGGAUUAUUAAUUUGUCAAUUUCUUGGAUUGUUAAAAGUCUAUAAAGAUAAUGGACUUUGAAUAAUCUUUGAGACACUGUAUGGUGGAAUUUGCCUCGGAAACCUUUGAUUAUGAAAAGAGAAAUUGAGUCUAACCCCACUGGAAGAACUUCAAGUCUAUUUCUUAGUGAUUUAAUUACUUUUCAAAUCCUAUUUUUAAAUUUAAAUUUUUAUUUUACAUUAAAGUAAACCCUUUCCUGCUUCCUUAAAUUAACAUAUCCAGUAAAAACAAAUCACUUUUGUAAAUUAAAUUGAUUCAAACACUUUUUAUUUGCAUAUGUUAUUUUGCAUUUAUUUAUUUAUUUUAAAUUACAAUGUAGGACUUGAUCAUUUGUAUUUAUGGUUUAGAGAAAAGACACUUAACAACCAACUAAGCUGUUGUAAUUGACCAAAGUCUCCAAGUCCAAGUCAAUAAAGUUGGCAGAAAAGUUGUAAAGUCAGGAGUGGUGUGCUAAAAAGAUUAAAUAAUUAAACUUUUGAUUUAUAGACUUGGAAUAUUCCAGCUAAGAUUCCAAUGCUGUUGAAUUAAGAAAUAAAAUAAUAAUUAUUCAUUCACCGUUGUCUCAUUUUUUUUGGUAGUUGUGGCUAGAAUAGACGAAGUAGUGCAUGACAAUGUUGGGAGCGAAGAAAGGUGGAGAGAGACCAAACUUUUGUUUUAUGGUGAAAAUAUUGAUAAUUAUGGAUAUAUCGGUAUUUUGUUUUUAUAAAUAUAUCGAAGGUAUAUUGAUGGAUAUUUUUACAUAAAAUAUCGAUAAGUCAAAAAUUGAUCAAAGUUCAUGAAAAUAUUAUUAAAAAUUUAAAAAUGAUAUAAAAAAUAAUAAUAGAAAUAUUAAAAUUAUUUUGUUAAAAAAAUUGAUAUAUGUAUAAUAUAAGUUGUGAUAUUUAACAAUAAUAUUCAUAACUUAAAAACAUAUUUUAUGAAUAUUCAUCUAAUUUGGAAGUAUUUAAUGAUAUAGAUGAAAUGAUAAUAAUUUAUAUAAGUAUUUUUUAUUUUAAAAUUUUGAUAAUUUUAUUCAUAAAUUUAUAUUUAUUUUGUAUUUAGUUAUUAUACAAAAAGACAUAAUAACCAAAAUCAAUUUAUUUAUAAUAAUUUUAUUCUAAUUAAUUUAUAAUAUAUAUAUAUAUAUAUAUAUAUAUAUAUAUAUAUAUAUAUAUAUAAUUUUCAAUUCAUACCAUUGCGCUUGGGCUGGCAGUUCGGCUGUGUGGGGCAGGACCCAUUUUAUGAUUUUUGAACCAAAAAAAGAAAUUUUCCCAUAAAUAUCGCCCGGAAAUUCGGUGAAAUAUUCCCUAAAAAUCAGGGAACAAUUCACGAUGUUUCCAAUAUAUAUAUGAAGGAAUGAAUUUGGGCAUAACCUAAUUGUACUUUAUAAAAGCUCAAAAAUAAUUGUAAAGAAAUAAAUCCUAAAAAAAUAAAAAACAAUAAAUGAAAUUGCAUGAAUUAAAAAAUAAAUUAAGAAUGCUUUGAUAUUGAUAGUGAUUAAAAUGUUUUUAUUUUUAAUUUUUUAUCCAUAAAAAAAUAUUUUGACAUUAUAAAUGAUUUUAAAAAGAAUCACUUAAUUAAAAAAAUGUUUAGAAUUAUUUUUAACUGAUUUUUUUUUUAUUUCUACAAAUGAUUUUCAAAUAUAUUUAAAGUUUAUUUGGAUUGAAUUUUAAGAGUUAAAAAAAAUUAAGUUCAAUAAAAGUUUUUAUACUUAUUUAAUUAUUUUUUUUUAAAAAAACUUAUAACUUAAGAAAAAGGCUUCAUAUAGAAGUCAUAAAAAUGUUAUUUCUUAUAAUUAUUUUAUAAUUCUAUUUUUGUUUAUAUAAAAUGUUUUUUUUUUUCAUGUUUAAUAAAACUUUUAUAACAUCAACAUUACCCCUUAAAAAUUAUUAUUUUAAUUUUCAGUUAAAGCAAAAAAUAUGAAGCUAUCUUGAAUUUGACCUUACCAUCUCGCCUAAUUAAUUUCUAUAAGAAAAUGCUUUUUUUUUAAUAUUUAGAAUAACUUUUAUUUAUUUAUUUUUAAAUCAUUACCAAAUGAAAUUUAUAAGAAAGAAACAAAAAGUUCACUCCCAUAUUAGAAAGAAAUACAAUUUUUUAAACAUGGAUUGAAGUGAUUAUAGAACUUUGUUACAUAUUUAAAAUUAGGAUAUCCUAAUUUCUUACAACUCCAAUCUUCAAUAUUCUUUUUUUAUCUAAAAUCUAACAUAAGGAAUAGUUGUCCACUCAUAAUAGAGGACAUGAAAUAUAAUUUUGUUUUAGGUAACAUCAAAUUCAAUGCAUUAAAAGGAGUAAGUAAGGAUCCAAAUUUCUCUCUGUGCAUGGUAUUUGACAGUGUUCCAUAUGAAAUUUGUUUAUAGUCAAAACAUUUUUAUUAUCUAAAAUUUUAGAUGGUAUUUAUUUUUUUUUUGGUUGAAUAGAAAAAGGUAAAAUAUUUUAUUUUUUCCAUUUAGUUAAAAAUAACUUUUUGAUAUCAACAAACAUAACUAUACUAAACCUAUUGAUAACAAGUUCACUUUAGUUAUGUUGGUUGAUAUCAACAGAUUAUUUUAAUUGAAAAAAAAAUCAAAUCUUUUAAUUUUUUCUAUUCAAUCAAAAAAUAAAGUUAGAAAUACUUGUGUAUCUCAUAUCAAAAUUAGAUGACAAUAACUUUUUUUAUCUCAAUAAUACAAUAAUGCAAUUAUUAUUAUUAUGACUAAAAAUUAGCCUAUCGAAUACAUACACACACAUAUAUAAUGCCAAUAUCAUUAUUUUAGGCUAUUGAAUAAAUCUUUCAUGCAAUCAUUUCAAUGUUUCCUUUAAAUAACAUAUAAAGAUAUUUAAUUUACAAAUUUUGUGUAGAGAUAGGAUAAAAAAAACUAAUAUAUCUAAACUGCUCUAGCAAGCCCAAUGAUUAGACCUAAAUAAUAAUAUUUUUAAUACUUAAACCAUAUUCAUAUUUAAUAUUUGGUUUUAAUUUUACCUUUUUACUUUAUUUUAUUAUUGAGUCCUGACUUUUUGGUUUAAUAUGUUUUUUUUUUCUUUUUAAUAUUUUCCUCUUAAAUUUUUACAGAUUUAUAUCAAAUGUUGGAAGAUGUCUUUCUAUAUAAUUGGAUACCAUUUUUAUUUUUAUUUUUAUUUGCAUAAUUACCAUAUAUUCCCCAUCCUAUGAUUAUUGUAUUGUUGACACAUCAUCAAUAAGAGAGCAUAACAUGUUCUAGCCAUUUUCUUGCUAAAGAGGGGUUCAUAAGUUGCUGCCCAUGCCAAAAAUGUUGAGCAAAAGUUGACUUCUAGCCUUGACUAGUUGCCACCAACUGUCCAACCUUGCCCCAAGGUUCAUUCAUCUUUCUUAUCUUACAAAUUGGUGUGAAGAUAACUCUAUAUAAAGAGAGGAAUGCUAAUUGAACAAGGAAGUAAAAUAGGAUGUAAAAUAGAGUAGUAGAUGUGGAAAUGCAGGAAUAAAGAGGAAGAAUAUAUAGUGUUGUUGUAGUUCUUAAUUUUUAUUUAUAAAGGUUGUGGUUGGUUUUCAGAAAAUGCAAAGGGAAAAAAAAUAAAGGGGAAAGUUAUUUUCCUUAGUUUGGGUGACAUGAAAAAUAUGAUGGAAAAAGAAUAUAAAGGAAAAAUACUAAAGAAAAUACUGUAAUAUUUUUCCUACUAUUUUUCUUAAUAAUUAAUGAAGAAAAUAAGGAAGAAAGAGAAGGGAAAAGUUAGAGGAAAUUUUAUCAAGCUUACAUUAUCUUCUUCACCGAGCCUCCAGUUCACCUAACUUCCUCUUCACUAGUGGCUAUGGGUUCCCACCACCAUCGACCCUAUCAACAGCCACCACCAUUACUCCAAACACCUUCCAUUGCCUCCAAAAAAUCAACCCUCAUCGAGUACACAAAUUUCCAUGGAUGAAUUGCAUUCUUCAAAUCUAGUCAAUGUGUUCGAAUCAGUGUCUUCAUAUCAGGUAUGGAUUGAAUUCCUCUCUCUUAAACUCACACCUUGAUGUUUGGUAGAUGUAGGUCUUCUCUCAAUGGACUUUUUUUUUUCCAUUUUUGGAAAUCUAAACACUCAAAUUUUGUAGAUAUGGAAAAUUUGAUGCUACUCUUUGUAAUUGGAUUUCAGUGUUUCUCUUCUAUUUGCAUUUUUUUAAUUCUUAUGCUUCCAUUUUAUUUUGAGUACAAGAAUUUUAAUUUUUUGUUUUGAUUACUACUUAAAAAGUACUCUUCUAUAGCUUGAAACUAACUGUUUUAAAGACUUUUGAGUAGUAGUUAAUACAUUUUAACUCAAUUGGCACAUUAAGGAAACUAGCAUAGGUUACUAAUAAGUUUUUGGCAAGUUUUGGUGUUUUUGGUAGCUUUUUGAUCAUUGAAACAAGCCAAGAAUGAGGGAGAAGUUGGUGAAAUCCAUGGCAAUGCAAGUUGAAGCUCAAAUGCAUGAAGAAUCCAAGCUUUGGAGCACUUCAUAGCCCUUUGCCAAGCUAAUCAGAGAUGCAAGGAGGAAAGCCAGAGGAAGAAAUCCAACAACAAGUAGUUUCGCAUGGUUGUGUGAAAUUUCGCACACCAUGUGAAACCUCUUGAGGCAGCCAGAGGAUUUCACUCUUCUUAUUGGAUGAUCAUGAUACUUCCCAAAAAUCGAAAUUUUUGAUCAAUGUUUUUAGCUCCUUAUCGCCGUGGAGGAAAAAUUGGACUAUUCGGGGGAGCUGGAGUGGGUAAAACACAGGUGGUGCAUGACUGUCGUCAGCUCGUGCCAUAAGGUGUUAGGUUAAGUCCCGAAACGAGCGCAACCCUCGUGUUUAGUUGCCACCGUUGAGUUUCACACCAUGCCAAAUUUCGUAUGGUAUGUGAAAUCUUCUUGUGCACUGACUCCGUUAGAUUUUUAUUUUCAGAUAUUUUGUGUAAUUUCCUACUUUCUCCUUGUAACCAACCUAGAUAUUUUCUUUUAUAUCUUUUUAUAUAUCUUUUAGGUAGCAGAUAUAUAAGGAGAGAGAUAUAUGUGAUAUUAUUAUGUAUGUUUUUCAUAAAAAAACACUUGUAAAUUCCCAUACUAAGAAAUAUACAGAGCUUUUGCUCUGCCUUUCCUUCUCAUUUUUGUUUUCACUUUUCUUGCUAGCCAAACAACCUCUGAUGAUGAUUUCUCAAGGGAUGAGUGGCUAGGUUUUACGUUUCUUGGAGUGAUGGAAGUUAGGUGAAGGACCUGAAUGGAAAGGUGGGAGUUGUCCUUGCUUUAAAUGACAGUAGUUGUUAACCAUCAAUGGUUUUUAUUCCACGGUUUAGCCUUAAAUCCCUUAAAAUCACCUUGAAUGACCAAUACUUGGUAAGCUUUUCGAAUUCCAUGGAUGCUUAUUGCUAGAUCCAUGGAUGUCUAUUAGUUAUCAUUUACGAGCCAUUGGAAGGUGGUUCAAGGUGAGAGUCUUUAGUGUUUGAAGCCAUUAAUGGGAAGCAACUAUCAUUUUCCAUGAAACCUUUGGAUCAAAUCUUAAUUGCUAAAUAUAAAACCGGUUCGGGAGAUGGAGAAGAUCUGGAAUCUUCCCCUUUGCCUAAGGAACCCGAUCCUAGUGACCUACAGCUCUAAGAGACCUUUUCUUUAUAGUUAAUUUCACUUAUUGUUUUUGCUUAACUUAAAAUCAAUCUUUGCAACCACAAUUCCAUUUUCUUUUAAAGCUAACUUUCAUAAGAAAAAACACCACAUUAUUUCCUUCAAUUAAGUCAACUGUACAAUGAAAACCCAUCCAUGUGGACGAUCUUAGAGCCACUAUACUAUGUUAGCUAUGCUACCCUAGUGUGAGGUGAUUUAGGUUUUAUAAAUUUUGUUGAUAACACCCGUUUGAGCCAGAAUCAAAUGGCAUGAUUGCAAUGGGGACGAAUCAAAUGACGUCGUUGUUAGGGAUGGUGCCACAGUACAUUGACAAUACUUUUGGUGAAUACUUGUGAUCUUCAUCACAAGUUUGGUGAUUUUUCUUUUUACUAAUUCUUUUUCUUUGUCUAUAUUUAGCUUAUCUUUUAUUUAGUUUUUAGCUAACCUUAACUUUUUCCUAGUAUUGUAUUUAUUUUGUUUUCUUUGUUUUUGUUUUAGUGAUCUCUAGUUGUGCACGCCCUAUUGGAUAAGAGAUAUUGGGAGAAGACUUGUGAAGAUUGAAACUCCUCAAGAAACUGAGUUGGAAGUGUGCUUGAACAUCAUGGAUGUUCCACCUGAAGAUCAGAAUAGCCAACAUGGUCAAGAGGAUAAUUUCAACGCAUACUGAUCCAUGAGGGACCGCAUACAUCCACCUUGUAUGAGUGCACCAUCAUGCAUAGUGCCUCCCAUUGAGCAACUAGUAAUUUGACCUCACAUUGGGCCACUCCUACCUACUUUCCAUGGGAUGGAAAGUGAGAAUCCCUACUCGCAUAUUAAGGAAUUCGAGGAGGUUUGUAAUACAUUCCAAGAAGGAGGAGCUUCAAUUGACUUGAUGAGGCUCAAGCUAUUUCCUUUCACUUUGAAGGAUAAGGCCAAGAUUUGGCUUAAUUCUCUAAGGCCAGGGAGUAUUCGAACUUGGAUUGAUUUCCAAGCCGAGUUUCUUAAGAAGUUCUUCCCUACUCAUAGGACCAAUGGUCUAAAAAGGCAAAUUUCAAAUUUCUCAGCUAAAGAGAAUGAGAAAUUCUAUGAGUGUUGGGAGAGGUACAUGGAAACUAUUAAUGCUUGUCCUCACCAUGGCUUUGACACAUGGCUCGUAGUGAGCUAUUUUUACUAUGGUAUGUCUUCUUCAAUGAAGCAACUCCUAGAAACUAUGUGUGGAGGAGACUUCAUGAGUAAGAAUCCGGAGGAAGCCAUGGAAUUUUUGAAUUAUGUGGCUGAAGUUUCAAGAGGAUGGGAUGAACCAAAUGUUAGAGAGGUGGGAAGAAUGAAGUCUCAGCCUAAUGUAAAGGGUGGGAUGUAUCUUUUGAACGAAGACAUUGACAUGAAGGCAAAAGUUGCAGCUAUGGCAAGGAGAUUGGAAGAGCUAGAAAUGAAGAAGGUACAAGAAGUGCAAGCCAUUUCUGAGACAUCAGUGCAAGCUAUGCCUUGGUUCAUUUUUCAAUCUUAUGAGCACUUGGUGGAGGAGUGUCCUACAAUUCCAGUAGUGAGAGAGAUGUUUGGUGAUCAAGCCAAUGUUAUUGGUCAAUUCAAACCCAAUAACAAUGCUUCAUAUGGCAACACCUACAAUUCGAAUUGAAGGAACCAUCCAAAUUUCUCUUGGAAACCAAAGCCACCUCAGUACACACAACCUGCUCAAGCACCUCAGCAAGCUUCAAAUCUUGAAUAAGCUAUUGUGAACCUUAGCAAGGUUGUGGGAGACUUUCUGGGAGAUCAGAAGUCCAUCAAUGCUCAAUUGAAUAAGAGAAUUGACACAAAAGGAUGGAUGUGAGGCAAAAUGAUCUGUCUCAGAAGAUAGACAAUAUUUAAUGUGCAAUCUCAAGGCUUACUAACCAUAAUACAGUGCAAGAGAAAGGAAAGUUUCCUUCUCAACCUCAUCAAAAUCCCAAGGGUAUCCAUGAAGUGGAGGCUUAAGAGGGAGAAUCUUCAAAGGUGAGGGAAGUUAAAGCAGUUAUCACCUUGAGGAGUGGUAAAGAGGUUGAUCAACCCACAUCCAAGCCAAAGCAUGAUGAAGAUAGUGUAAUGGAAAAAUAAAAGAGUGAGAAAAUGAAAGGAAAGAGAAAAGGGAAAAGUACAGAGAAAGAUUACCGUGAUUCUAAUGUGGAUGAAGAACCUGAGAGGAUAGUGAUCAAGGAAGAUAUGGUGAAGAAACAAAUGCCUCCACGUUUCCCCCAAGCUUUGCAUGGCAAAAAGGGAACCAAUAAUGCAUUGAAAACUUUUGAAGUGUUGAGGCAAGUGAAGGUCAAUAUUCCUUUGCUAGACAUGAUCAAACAAGUGUCGACGUAUGCAAAAUUCUUGAAGGACUUGUGCACUAUAAAGAAAGGGUUAAAUGUGAACAAGAAAGCCUUUUUGACUGAGCAAGUGAGUGUAAUAAUACAGUGCAAGUCUCCAGUGAAGUACAAAGAUCCGGGCUGCCCUACCAUCUUAGUGAGUAUUGGAGGGACUUGUGUGGAGAAAGCUUUGUUGGACUUGGGAGCAAGUGUGAAUUUGCUACCCUACUCUGUCUAUAAGCAAUUGGGACUUAGAGAGUUGAAGCCAACAUCCAUCACUUUAUCUCUGGCAGAUAGAUCAGUGAAGAUUCCAAGAGGGAUGAUUGAAGAUGUCUUGGUUCAAGUUGACAAAUUCUACUAUCCAGUGGAUUUUGUUGUUCUUGAUACGGAUCCAGUUGUCAAAGGAACUAAUUAUGUUCCUAUCAUACUUGGAAGACCAUUCCGAGCUACAUCAAAUGCGAUCAUCAAUUGUAGGAAUGGAGUAAUGCAACUCACAUUUGGUAACAUGACAUUGGAGCUCAACAUCUUCCAUUUGUACAAGAAGAAUAUCCAUCUGGAAGAAGAAGAAGACCUAGAAGAAGUGUGCAUGAUUGACACUUUAGUGGAUGAGCAUUGUGACCAGAGAAUGCACGAGGAUUUGAUUGAGAGUUUUGGGGAUCUUGUUGAAGGGUUACCUGAACCAUCAGAUUUGCUUGCUACCCUGCUCCCAUGGAGGAGGAGAGAAGAAAUUCUACCCUUAUUCACUGAGGAGGAGAUACAAAGACUUGUUUAAGGAGGAACCCCCAAAGCUUAUUCUUAAGCCACUACUUACAGAGUUGAAGUAUGCAUACUUGGAAGACAACAAGAAAUGCCAUGUUGUUAUAUCUUCAACUCUUACCAUUCAUCAGCAGGAUUGUCUACUUGAAGUCCUUAAAACAUGUAAGAAGACAAUAGGGUGGCAAAUUUCUGAUUUGAAAGGGAUCAACCCUUUAGUCUGCACCCAUCAUAUUUACAUGGAGGACGAAGCUAAGCCAUUUCGUCAACCUCAGAGAAAGUUGAACCCUCACAUGCAAGAGGUGGUGCGAGCUGAAGUUCUUAAGCUACUUCAAGCCGGUAUUAUCUACCCCAUAUCAGAUAGCCCAUGGGUAAGUCCUACUCAAGUUGUGCCAAAGAAGUCUGGGAUCACGGUGGUGCAAAAUGAUAAAGGAGAAGAGGUCUCUACACGCCUCACUACAAGUUGGAGGGUGUGUAUCGAUUAUAGGAGGUUGAAUGCGGGGACAAGGAAGGACCAUUUCCCGUUGCCCCCUAUUGAUCAGGUUCUUGAGAGGGUCUCUGGGCAUUCUUUCUAUUGUUUUUUGGAUGGCUACUCCGGGUACUUUUAGAUAGAAAUUGAUAUUGAAGACCAGGAGAAGACCACUUUUACAUGCCCAUUUGGAACCUAUGCAUAUAGGAGAAUGCCUUUUGGCUUAUGCAAUGCACCCACAACUUUCCAAAGAUGCAUGUUAAGCAUUUUCAGUGAUAUGGUGGAGUGUAUUAUGGAAGUCUUUAUGGAUGAUAUCACCAUAUAUGGAAGUACAUUUGAUGAAUGCUUGGUCAACUUAGAAGCUAUUCUGAACUGAUGCAUUGAGAAAGUCUUAGUGCUUAACUGGGAGAAGUGCCAUUUCAUGGUACACCAAGGGAUUGUCCUUGGGCACAUCAUCUCCAAGAAAGGUAUUGAAGUUGACAAAGCAAAGGUUGAACUCAUUAUUACGUUGCCAUCCCCAAAAAAUGUCAAAGGAGUAAGGCAAUUUUUUCGCCAUGCCAGGUUCUAUAAAAGGUUUAUCAAGGCUUUCUCUAAGCUUGCAAGACCUCUUUGUAAACUAUUGGUCAAGGAUGCUAAAUUCAUAUGGGAUGAUAGAUGCCAAAGAAGUUUUGAAGAAUUGAAGUUAUUUCUGACAACUGCACCAAUAGUGAGGGCUCUUAACUGGCAACUGCCCUUUGAGGUAAUAUGUGAUGGCAGUGACUUUGCUAUAGGAGCUGUUCUUGGGAAAAGAGAAGAUGGAAAACCCUAUGUGAUCUACUAUGCGAGUAAGACAUUGAAUGAGGCGCAAAGAAACUACACAACCAUCGAGAAAGAAUUGUUAGCUGUAGUUUUUGCCUUGGAUAAGUUCCGUGCAUACUUGGUGGGGUUUUUCAUCGUGGUUUUCACUGAUCACUUUGCUUUGAAGUAUCUGUUGACUAAGCAAGAUGCUAAAGUAAGGCUGAUUAGAUGGAUUCUCUUGCUUCAAGAGUUCAAUCUCCAAAUCAAAGACAAGAAAGGAGUGGAGAAUGUGGUAGCAGACCACCUUUCAAGGCUAGCUAUCGCACAUAAUUCCCAUGGAAUGCCCAUUAAUGAUGAUUUUCUAGAGGAGUCUCUCAUGUUGGUGGAAGUUGCCCCUUGGUAUGCUCACAUUGUGAACUACCUAGUCACAUGAGAAGUUCCAAGUGAGUGGAGAACACAAGAUAAGAAACACUUCUUUGCAAAAAUUCAUGCCUACUAUUAGGAAGAGCCAUUUCUAUUCAAGUAUUGUGCAGAUCAAAUAAUAAGGAAGUGUGUUCCUGAAGAAGAGCAACAGGAGAUCCUCAGUCAUUGCCAUGAAAAUGCAUGUGGAGGCCACUUUGCUUCUUAGAAGACAACCAUGUGGGUAUUGGAAUUGGGUUUCUAUUGGCCAUCACUUUUCAAAGAUGCCCACACCAUGUGCAAGAGUUGUGAUCGAUGCCAGAGGCUUGGGAAGUUAACACGUAGGAACAUGAUUCCUUUGAACCCCAUUUUGAUAGUUGAUCUUUUUUAUGUUUGGGGCAUUGACUUCAUGGGACCAUUCCCUAUGCCUUUUGGCUACUCUUACAUCUUGGUAGGAGUAGAUUAUGUUUCUAAGUGGGUUGAGGCAAUCCCAUGUAAGCAUAAUGACCAUAGAGUGGUUCUCAAGAUUCUCAAGGAGAACAUCUUCUCAAGAUUUGGGGUGCCCAAAGCCAUAAUUAGUGACAGAGGUACUCAUUUUUACAACAAGCCUUUUGAAACUCUCCUAGCCAAGUAUGGGGUGAAGCAUAAGGUAGCUACACCUUACCACCCUCAAACUAUUGGGCAAGUUAAGUUAGCAAACAGGGAGAUUAAAAACAUAUUGAUGAAGGUGGUAAACACAAACAGGAAAUAUUGGUCAGUCAAGCUCCUUGAUUCACUAUAGGCAUAUAGAACAACUUACAAGACCAUUCUUGGGAUGUCUCCUUAUUGCCUAGUCUAUGGCAAAGCAUGCCAUCUCCCUGUGGAAUUGGAAUACAAAGCUUGGUGGGCAAUCAAGCAGCUCAACAUGGAUCUGAGCAGAGUUGGGUUAAAGAGGUUCUUAGACCUCAAUGAGAUGGAUGAAUUGAGAAACGAUGCCUACAUCAAUUCAAAAAUUGCAAAAGAGAAAUUGAAGAGGUGGCAUGAUCAGUUGAUUUCCCGUAAGGAAUUUCGAAAUAGACAGAGUCUUACUCUAUGACUCUAAGCUCCACAUCUUUCUGGGCAAGUUGAAAUCAAGGUGGAUAGGUCCAUUUACCAUUCACCAAGUGCAUUCAAAUGGAGUAGUGGAACUACUCAACUCCAACAGCACCAGGAGCUUCAAAGUGAAUGGCCACCAUCUCAAGCCCUUUGUGGAGUCAUUUUCUCAUGACAAGGAGGAAUUCAUCAUCCUUGAUCCACAUCAAGCUUGACAACACCAGUUUUUUGAUGGACUUAGUCUUUCUAAAGACUAAUCGAGUCCAUAUAUUUUUAUGUUAUUUAUGAUUUAAGAGUUUUCCUGUAUUAUUACUUGUUUUGAUUUCGAUUUCUUGUUUUAAUUUUAUUUUGGUUUGAUUUAACAUAGGUUUUUUAUGAUCGAUUGUAGGGGGAUUUCAAACAAAGGAACAAGAAAAACAAUUCACACACUUUGCGAAAUUUCUGCAGGGCAUGCGAAAUCAAGGAAUCAAUUCGCAUGGGGUGUGAAGUUUCGCACACCCUGCGAAAUUUUCGCAGACCAUACAAAAAAUUUCACACACCCAAACCAAUUUCGCACACUAUGCGAAACCUAAAGGGGUAUGCGAAGUAAUUUCACACCCCUAAAGUCAUUUCGCACACUGUGCGAAACCUAAGAGGUGUCUGCGAACAUGAAGAGCCACCCACCCAUUUCUUUUUAAACCCCCCCCCCCUCUCCCACCCCUGAUCGCCCAUUUAUUCAUUUUCUCAUUUUGCAAACACCAAGCACCCUGCGAAUCCCUCAUUUUCCUCUGCCACCUUGCGAUCUCACCCCCCUCCAUUCGAUUCCGAGUCCUACGAGCAUCUCAUUUAAAGGAUUCGAUACUGCGCCCCCUCAGAGCACAGACCUGAGGCUCGUCUUUCAUUUCUAACAUGGUGCGGAGCCGAGGAGCCCCUCCUACCCCUUCACCGAGAUGCACCACGAGGCAGAGAGCCUCCUUGGCUCAAGUGCCGAGUGAUUCCUCCUCUCAGGCCAUAGAGGCCUCGAGGAUUCCACCUUCCGAAGGUGGAAAGGCCAUUAGACCUUCCUCACCUGCUUCUCAGCGCAGGUACGAGACGAGGAGACCACCUACUACCCUAGGGGAGACUACUUCGCGCCCCGAGAGUUCAGUAAGGCGCCCUCCGGCCAAGAAGGCCAAGACUUCAGGUCCCGGGGAAUCAUAUAGAGCUUCUGAGCCUCCGAAAGAUUCUGAGUUACCUUCUACCUUGUCAUCGGAGUCGAUUAUCAGACGUCCAAUAGUCACAACACCGCCCAUUGAGGACAACUUAGAUUGUAGAGCCAGACUUUUCCACUAAGAGCUACAUUUUGAUUAGGAGGCCAUGCGACAACAGCCUGAGCUCUGAGAUUCGUACGACCUACUCCAGAGGUACCACUUUGAGCACCUCAUGACUCCUCCUAAGUUUUUCUAUCCCAGAGUAGCGCUAGACUUUUACUAGCCUAUGACUACUCGUGGCGUCCAGAGUCCUACCGCGAUUCACUUCAGUAUUGAUGGACGUCCUAGUGUUCUCGAGGCGAGACAUAUUGCAGAGGCUCUACAGAUUCCUUAUGAGCUGGAGGGUUAAUCUGUUUUCCGACAGUGGUCCCCUGUAUCUCAAAGGGACAUGGUCCACAUAUUAUCCAGGGGGACCUCUAGUGAUUCGGUCCUUCUAUGGAAGGAGCUUCCACAUGGGAUGCUCCUUGUAGACGUGGUGAUGCGCUCCAACCUUUUUCCCUUACAACAUUCAAUAUAGAGGAUAUGAGCUAUUUUGGACGCGUUAUUCCGUAUAUCCGAGGGCUUCUACUUUGGCCGGCACCACUUGAUUAUGGCCUCCCUCAUCCACUUUGAGGAGAAGGUCCAUAGAAAGAAGCUCUAGAGGGCCGACACCAUUCCACUGCUAUUCCUGAGAUUGCUGUGUCAGAUCUUAGAGUAUUUGGGCUUUCCUAUACUAAGCCUCGGCUUGAACGUCAUUGCCUUUGUCGAGAGUGAUUCACUCUUAACAAAUGGAAUCAGUUGGCAGGCUAUUCUGCACAUCCUGGAGCCCCUCCCAUGGUAGCACCACCAGUGCCUCCACAGCCAGAGCAUGGCGAGCUCCCGACAGAGACCACACCACCAAUGCCCACACCUGAGGCUACUUCUAUUGCUCCGCCUACUACUCCUACUGUUCCACUAGUCGCGCCGACUACAUCUGAGUCGUCCAUUACCAUAUGGACUUCGAAGUUUCGUGUCCUGGUGCAUACCUUUUAGACACUCACCACCACCCAUUCUGCUCUCUUUCAGUAGAUGGCUGAGAUGCGUGCCCAUAAGGACCAACAGACUGCUAUUCUCCGCUAGAUUCAGUAGCACUUGGGACUCCUGCCUCCGCCUCAGCCUGACCUUCCCACAUCCUCAGCGCCUAUAGCUCUACCUGAGGAUACUACACCAACAGAGGUCCGGAUUCCACCACCUUAGGAUGAGCCUCCCACAAUCACAGCUACGCCUGAGGAUGCAUCAUCUCCACCUGAGGCUCCCACCGUUUGAUCAUAGGACAUCUCUUUAUUUUAUUGUAUUUACAUGUUAUAUAACUAGAGAUUUGUCCUUGUUUUGAUACUUUAUAUUUUAGGAUUGGAUGUAUUACAUGAUCAUAUCUCAUAUUGUACUUUCUCAUAUUAAAUAUAGACAUCAUGUUUUUUACUAUACUUAGCAUUUUCCUAUUCCCUCUACUCAUUACCCUUUUGUUUUUUGACUCAUGUGGUUUCUCUUAUACGACUCAGACUCCAUUUCACUCAGGAGGUACCACUUCUUCCUUUUAUUUUCAAUUGCUCUGGAAACAUUGAGGACAAUGUUGAUCUCGGUUGGGGGGAGAGUUAAGGAAGGAAGUUUUGUUAAAUAAUGCUAGGUUAAUUUGUUAAAUUAGUUACUUUUUGCUUAAUUUUAAAAUUUUUCAUUCUGUUUUUCAUGGUUAUCAAGGAAUUCUCAAAAUAAAAUGGGAGAAAUUGAGUUCUUGUUUUUUUACUUGAAUCUUAGAAUUUGUAUUAUGCUUAUUGAAGUUGAUGAAGUAUUGAAACUCCUAUUGAAUUCAACCUUAUUUCUUCCACUUUAAUCUUACCACACAUUGUGCACAUUAGGUUCCAGUUAUAAGAUGAAAAACUAUCUCACCCCCUGAACUUAGGAAAAUUUCGACUUGGUACCUUUGACCUCGUUUUAAUAGUGUUAGGACACCUUAUAAAAGGCCAAUAAGCCUUCGAAAAAAAGAAGAAAGAACAAAGUGUUUCACUUGCCUUGAAACCCGAGCAAGGUCCGAGGGGUAUAUGACGAAAGUCUUUAAAACCCAGUGCCCUAAACCUUUAUUGGUUGGGAGUCACCGACCUCAAUGCUCGUUACAAGGAUGAAUAGGUAGAGUUUAACAUAUUGUAAGUGCUUGGGUAUUGAAUUUCAAUCUCAAAAGUCCGGGGAAAAAUCUGAGGAGUUAGUGGUUGAAAGAUCCUUAAAGCUUGAUGCCCUAAACCAUGAUUGGUUGGGAGUCAUCGAUGGAUCCCCGUUACAUGGACACUUUAGAAAACAAUACCUUUAGCAUUGCACUCCUACAAUGAAAAAAAAAAUUGAAAUAAAAGAGGUGUGUUCUUAGCCUAUGGGAAGUUGGUCAGUUUGCUAAAGUUUGAGAAAGAACUAGGUUGGGGGGAGAGAAUAGUUUGACAUCCUAUAAUCGAAAACUAAUAAGCUUAACACUUAUAUUGUUGUGGAAAAAUAAUGAUUGGACCUUUGGGAGUGGAAAUUCUUUUGAUGCUUAAAAUUGCAUAAUGCCUACUCUUUAUAAAUUGUGGUAGGGCAAGUGAUUUGAUGACUCUUGUUGAAGGUUGGGUUUUGCCUCUUUGAUAUUCCAUGAGAGAGUAUAAUCUGUAUCAUACCACUUGAGAAUUUUUUGGAGUGAUUAGCAUGAUUUUGUAAAUUAUUUUACUGUCUAUUCUUCUUUAUCUCUCCUUCAUUGCUAAGGGACUAGCAAUAUGUCAGUUGGGGGGAGUGAUCACUACUAAAAAAGUACUCUUCUAUAGCUUGAAACUAACUGUUUUAAAGACUUCUGAGUAGUAGUUCAUACCUUUUGACUCAAUGGGCACAUUAAGGAACCUAGAAAAGGUUACUAAUAAGUUUUUGGCAAGUUUUGGUAUUUUUGGUAGCUAUUUGAUCAUUGAAACAAGCCAAGAAUGAGGAAGAAGUUGGUGAAAUCCAUGGCAAUGCAAGUUAAAGCUCAAAUGCAAGAAGAAUCCAAGCUUUGGAGAACUUCAUAGCCCUUUGCCAAGCCAAUCAAAGAUGCAAGGAGGAAAGCUAGAGGAAGAAAUCCAACAACAAGCAGUUUCGCAUGGCUGUGCAAAAUUUCACACACCAUGCGAAACCUCUUGAGGCAGCCAAAGGAUUACGCACACCAUGCCAAAUUUCGCAUGGUAUGCAAAGUCUUCUUAUGCACCAACUCCGUUAGAUUUUUAUCUUCAGAUAUUUUGUGUAAUUUCCUAGUCUCUCAUUAUAACCAACCUAGAUAUUUUCUUUUAUAUCUUUUUAUAUAUCUUUUAGGUAGCAGAUAUAUAAGGAGGGAGAUAUGUUUGAUAUUACUAUGUAUGUUUUUCAUUAAAAAAACACUUGUAAAUUCCCGUACUAAGAAAUAUACAGAGCUUUUGCUCUGCUUUUCCUUCUCAUUUUUGUUUUCACUUUUCUUGCUAGCCAAACAACCUCUGAGGAUGAUUUCUCAGGGGAUGAGUGGCUAGGUUUUACGUUUCUUGGAGAGAUGAAUGUUAGGUGAAGGACUUGAAUGCAAAAGUGAGAGUUGUCCUUGCUUUAAAUGACAGUAGUUGUUAACCCUCAAUGGUUUUUAUUCCAAGGUUUAGCCUUAAAUCCUUUAAAAUCACCUUGAAUGGCCAAUACUUGGUAAGCUUUUCGAAUUCCAUGGAUGCUUAUUGCUAGAUCCAUGGAUGUCUAUUAGUUAUCAUUUACGAUCCAUUGGAAGGUGGUUCAAGGUAAGAGUCUUUAGUGUUUGAAGCCAUUAAUGGGAAGCAACUAUCAUUUUCCAUGAAACCUUUGGAUCAAAUCUUAAUUGCUAAAUAUAAAACCGGUUCGGGAGACAACUAUCCUUUAUGUUAUUAUCCCCAACGCGAGGAGAAGAUCCGGAAUCUUCCCCUUUGCCUAAGGAUCCCGAUCUUAAUGACCUAUAGCUUCAAGAGACCUUUUCUUUAUAGUUAAUUUCACUUAUUGUUUUUGCUUAACUUAAAAUCAAUCUUUGCAACCACAAUUCUAUUUUCUUUUAAAGCUAACUUUCAUAAGAAAAAGCACCAUGUUAUUUCCUUCAGUUAAGUCAACUAUAUGAUGAAAACCCAUCCGUGUGGACGAUCCUAGAGCCACUAUACUAUGUUAGCUAUGCUACCCUAGUGUGAGGUGAUUUAGGUUUUAUAAAUUUUGUUGAUAACACCCGUCUGAGCUAGAAUCAAAUGGCAUGACUGCAAUGGGGACGAAUCAUGUUUCAUAUUGAAAAACUUGAUAGCAACAAUGAGGACAUUAAUUACAUGUUUGAGAAAUUACCUAUAAGAGAAUUUAAAAUACCAAUGAAGCUAUUGCCAUAACCAAAUAAAAAUUAACUUAGAAAGCCAAAAAAAAAAAAAACAUGCAAAACUACUAUAAUAACAGUGUUUUAGAUUGGGUAUGAGAAAAUUACAGAAGAUGGAGUAUUCUUGAUGUGGUAGAUUUGCAAUUGAAUGGGAUUUUCAACAAGAAAAAAAAUGUCCCUUCUAUGUAGCCUUUUAUUUGACCUCAUGGGGAUCUAUCUUGUUAUAGCUUUUGAUGUUAGCUUGGGCAGUGAAAACACACUUGUGCUCUAGCACUAGAUAGUUUCUUUCUUAAUAGAAAUGUAGUAAGUAUUCUUAGUGAAUACAACUUGGUUUUGGUGGUAUAGUUUUUCUUCAAUACUUUAUUAUCAUGAUAAAACAUGGUAAACAUCUCUUAUAUCAAUUCUAUGAUGUUUAUGAAUUCCCUCUUAAAAAUUCUAAACAACUUAUCCAACUUUAAAAGCCUUCUUACUUAAUUAAUGCACAAUUGAUUACAUUUAUUUAGAAGACCAUUCUCUUUUGCAGUAGCUCUCUAUAUUAUUCUUCCAAAAUUUCUUUAAUUUGUUAUGGAAGUCUUUAGUGCAUGCAUGCAGUCAAUCCACUUGAAGCAUUGUACUAAGAAGGUGCUUGAGAUAAGCCUUUGUAAUAAGCUAAUAAGAAAUUUCAUCAACUUCAAACUUGGUUACUUUCAUUUGGCCCCCAAAUAUUCAAUUUGCAUUGCUUGACAGAUAAACUUGACUAGCCUUGGAUAAUAGUUCAUAGGCAACCUCACUAGCAACUGUCUCAAAUUAUACUGGAAAAAUAUCUCCACAGACUAUUUGUAAACCUCCUCAACAACAAAACUUGUCAUGCAUGCGCCAUUGGUUUUUUCUACUUGAAUUGCAUUAUUUUGGUAGUGCAGUGAAACUAGGGAUCAAACUAGUUUAAGUAUUUGGCUUAUGGAAGCUUCAACCUAUAUCACUUACCAAAAGUGGACUAGAAAACAAACCCAAGUAGUAGAAGAGUGGGACAAAUAUAAUUGCUUGUAUUUUGGAGUGUCGUGGAGAAUCUUGAGACUUUGUGAGUCAGACCAUGCUCAUCCAAAGCCAACUCAAUUGGGCUACAGUUUAGUGUUGGAGGCCUAGAGCCUAACUCCCGUGGCUUUAUUACAAAUUAAAAGUUGCUUAUGGUAUAAGCAUGAUCUAAAAAUAUUUAAAAUCCUUGAACUUUGGGACUUAAUAAUGAUGAUGAUAUAAUUUCAAGUUACAAACAGCCAAUAUGACAAUAAUAGUACUCAUUGACUUACUCUUAAUAAGCAAAUAACCCACCUGUCUACUCAUACACAUUAUUUUUAAAAUUUUUAUUUGUAUUAUUUUUAAAAGUUUUAUUUUUAUCUAAAAAAAUUUAAUUAUUUUGGUUGUGUGGUCAAUGUAGAGAAGAAAACAUAUAGACUCAAUAUUUUGGUCUAAAUUGAGUUAACUAAAUUGAAUCAAACUAAUAUUAAGUUGGAUUAGUUUGAGUCAAUAAAUAAAUUUGUUAUACUUUAGGUAAAAUCAAUCAACUCCUAUUUGAUUCUUGGAUUGGUUAAAAACCAACCUAGCUAAAUGUAUCUAUCCCUAACUUUGUGUUCUUGUAAUAGAACAAUAAAUCCUUUAGGUUGCCCCAUAUACUAUUAAAUUAUAUAACCAUUCAAAGAAAGAUAAUCUUAACAUCGAUUUGAUAGAUUUCUAAACCCAGUAUGGAAACUAAUAAUAUCAAAUUUAUGUUUGAUGUUAUCUAACUAAAGCAUAAAUAUUGCUUAAAUCCCUUUUAUCUACUUAAUCCAUUGAUGUAUGCAAUAUUUCUUUUCAAUUUUUUUCUACUAAAUAAACUAUAAAUUCAUGGAUAAAAGAUUUCUCUAUUUUACUCCUAUCAUAUCACCUUGUUUCAUUGUCAUUUUAUUUAGAUUUUCCAUUUUAAAGUUUUUUUUUCCUUUUGAAAACUAUUUGUUCCAUUGUACUUUGAAUCUUUUACCAUUAAAGAUUUAAAAACUUACAAAAACAUUCAUUGAUUUAGUAAUUGUAUUAUAUUUUAAGUCUUAGAAAUACAAUUGUGAACUUGCAAUUUUUCAUGUGCAUCUCCACUUGAUGGUGAGACUUGUUUUUAUUGUAAAAAACUAAUUUUCUUUUUAAAGUUGGAGUCAUCACUUAUUAUUUUUAAAAGAAAAAAAAAUAAGAAAUAAAGCCUUAAUGUAACUCCUUUUCUAAAAAAAAAAAAAAAAAACGUGUCGACAAAAAUCGAGUUCGAAUCUAGAGGUCAGGUUACCUAUUAGGAAGGUACCAUAGGGUAGCACCCCCUUUAAGCCUUAAAAAGGUUUAUACUAAGCACGUAAAAAGGAAUUAUGACAAUUAAUUAAUUAAUCAUUUAUAUAUAUAUAUAUAUAAAGAAUAAUGCAGGUACAUGGAAUAAUGAAAAAGAAAAUUAUAAGGAUAUGUAGAAAUGAUACAUGAGAAAUGCACAAAAUAAUUUAUUAGAAAGAUUUUGUUAUUUCAAAUAUCAUAAUACAAUUUCAAGAAAUUUUCAAAGAAUUCAUUUAUAUUAACAACAAUUUCAAAUCAGUGAUUUGAAUUCAUUUAUUCACAAGGCUUCAAUUUAUUACAAAAGAUUUGAUUUGAUUUACUAGAAAUAAUUUUUGUUUACCUUAUUAAGAAGAGAGGUGAAUUUUACUAAUUUAUUUUAAAAAGUGUUUUGAUUCAAUCUUUAUUUAUUUUUAAAAAAUGUCUACAAAAUUAAAGAAAGAUAUUUACAAAUUUAUAAGAAGGAAUUUCAACCCAAUUUUAUUAUUAUUAUUUUACCCAGAAAAAGAUUCUUUAUUACUAAUUUAUUUAGAGAGAAUUUCACAAAUUUGUUCCCAAGCAUUCCAAUUUUAUUAAGAAAGAAUUUUUGGAUUUCAUCUAGAAAGAUAUUAGUUUACCAAUUUAUUAAAAAUAGGUCUUUCAGUUUGAUUUAAAGGUUUACUCAUCUUAUUCUUAUUAAACAAAUUCUUUAAGACUCCUAUUUAUAAAAAUUACUUUUAAUCUCAUUCUUAUGAGGAAAGAGAGUUUUACUUAAAAAUCAAUUUUCUAGAAAAUUUUGUUAAACAAAUGAAUUUCUAGAUAGUUUGUUAUUACAACAAUUUUUUGAAUUUUUAUUAAAAUUUUCUUUUCUAGAUUCCUCUAAAAAUAUUUAUCUAAAUUUUCUAUUAAGAAAACUUUCUUUUAUUAAAAAGAAUAUUAUUUGAAAAAAGAUUUAUGAACCUUUUAUUUGUUUAUUUAUUUUAAAAUUCUGGACUGUUUUUUUUUUUUAUUAAAACAAAAUUUUUGGACUAUUUUAUCUAAAAAAGAUGUCUAAAACUUAUUUUUACUAAAAGAAAUAUUUUGGUUCCUUUUUCCUAUUUAAUGAAAAUGUUUUAUUGGACCAGUUUUAUUUUAUUUUUUAAAAAAUAAUCUUUGGAUAACUUAAUUUAUUAAAAUCUAAAAUUAUGGACAACCUUAGUAAAUAAAUAAACAACAUGAAUAUAUCCAUAACAAAAUGAACAAAAAAUUAUGAAAUGAUGUAUGAUAAAUAUAAACAAAAAUAAACAACAUGUACAAAUAUUAACAUGAAUAGAUAACUUAAAACAAAUUAAUAAAUGUAUGGAAUAUUUACAAAGAACAGAAAACAUAAAGAAAUAUAAAUAUUUAUACUGAACAUAAAACUCUAAACAAAUACAUAUGGAUAAAGAAAUUAUGAGUAGAAAACUACAAAUAAAUAAUAUAUGAACAUAAUAUGUACAAAGCUAAAAAGAAGAUGAAAAUAAAUCAAAUAUUUAACUUCGUAUACAACUAAUAAAUAUAUAUAAAACAAUAUUUACAGAAGCCAAUAGAAAUUAAACUAAAUAGAAGUGGGGAAAGAAAAUGUGUACCAAAACAAUCCUAUAAUAAGUUCAAUACCCUCCUUUUGCCUGAGGUUUCAUGCCCUAUUUAUAGCCUUCCUGAACCUUUUUUCUCCAUGAAAUUCAUCUUUCCACAUGUCAUGAAUCCAUGCUUAGCCAAAAAAAAGUCUAAAAAAGUGGCCCAUGCAUGAAGGAAAACAAAGCCCAAAGUAAAUAUCCAGAAAUACGUAAAGCCAAAAAAAAAAAAAAUGUAAGACCAAAUUCAACAAGCCCAAAGAUGAAAUAAUGAUACUGACCCAAUUAAAAAAUCCUAACUCAAAUAUCAACAAUCUAAAAUCAUAAGGCCCAAACUCAAUUAAAAUCAAACCCAAAACAAAAUAUCCAAGAACCAACAUGACCAAGUCUAAUGUCCACAAACAAAAUCCAAAAUUCAAAUAUCAAUAAAUCUAAAUUAAACAAAUUAAAACCAAAAUUAUAGAGCAAUCUUAAGAUCAACAUCUAAUGUGCAAAUUCCAAGCAAAGCAAAUAUCUAAAGCCCGAACAAGCAAACUCAACAAUGAAGAACAAUUAUUGUAGGAAUAAAAAAUAAAAAAGACUAAAGAAAUAAGAAAAUGAAAAAGAGCUUCUAACCCAUUUCUUGAAUGCAAUGUGGAAUGAAAGAUAAAGGGAAAGAAUGAGAAAAUAAUAAUAUUAAAAAUAUUAAUAAAAAAAAUUAAAUGGGUGAGAUAAGAGAAAGAGAUGGAAAAUAAAAAAGAGAAGUAAAUGGAGAAAAGGGAUCCCCAACCAACAAUGACUCAUCGAUAGUGACUAUUUGGUGGUGAGUAUAUAUAGGGCAGCCAUGGUUAUGGAUCUUCAAGGUGAGAGAGAGAAAUGGGUAAGAAGAAGAAAAACGAAAGAUGAAGAAAGAAGAAGAGGGAAAGAGAAGGGAGGUAGGUGAAAGCUGGAGAUGGGUUUGGGUGAGAGGGUAGGUAGAGAGAAAAAAAAAAUCAAAAAGGAAGGAGAAAGAAAUAAACAAAGAAAAAUGAAGGAAAGGGGAAAAAUAAGAAGAGGAAAGGGGGCUCUACAAUUGCAUGUGAGUGAGAGAAAAAAAAAUGUGAAAAACAAGGAAGGGAAAAAAUGAGAAAAAAAUAAAAUAAAAAUAAAAUAAAAUAAAUAAUUAUAAUAAUAAAAAAUAAUAAAAUAAAAGAAAAAAGUGAGAAUGGGCUUGGGACAAAUUUUGGGACUUACAAAUAUGCCUCUCUUCAGAAGAGUUUUGGGACUUACAAAUAUGCCUCUCUUCAGAAGAGUUCACAAGUGAAGUAAGUGUAUAAACCAACUAAACGAAGUGGGCUCUACCAAAGUACAAGAAAGAUCACUGAAUUUGUCGUAGUAAGACAUAAGCUCUCUAAGGUUAUGAAAUGUGCUUAUUGAUCAUCAGUAGAGAAACAUGCAAUAUCCAUGUGGAUCUUAAGGAAGACUCUUCUGAAUAGGGUAGUGACAAUAUGUAUGUGAAACACUAGAGACCUUACUAUCCAAAGGGGGAAUGAAUGGGUGAACAAGAGAGAGGACAAGAAAAGAGAGAAAACUAAUGAUUAGAGAAAAGACUCUAGGCUAAUAUAUAAAAAAUAAAAAUGGAAAGAGGUUGGGUAGUCAAGACGUGGACAUUAGAAGAAACACAAAAAAGAUUGAACAAUCGGGAUAGAACUCUUGGAAAACAUAAAAAAAGUUGGAAAGAACAUACCUGACUCCAGGAAAACAUGAAAAGGUAGGACAGUCAAAGCAUAACACUAAUAGAGACAAAAAGAGGUUGAAUAGUCUGGGCGUGACACUGAGAAAACAUAACAGAGGUCGGAUAGUUGGGGUGCAACAUCAAUAGAAAAACAUAAAUAAAAAAGUUGGAUAAUUAGGGUGUGACACUAACAAAGACAUAAACAAGUCAAACAAUCAGGGCACAACACUAAGAAAACAUAAAUAGGCCAGACAACUAAGGUUGACACUAAAUAAAAACACAAAGAAGUCGAAUUGUCAAGGUGCAACACUAAAAGAAACUUAAAAAAGGCUAGACAGUUGGGGCACAACACUAAAAAAAAAGAUAUAGAAAUACCGGACAAUCAAAGCGCAAUAAUGGAAGAAGCAUAAAAAGGUUAGAUAGUUAGGGUGUGACACUAAAAAAAGACAUAGAAAGGCUAGAGAGUGGGGGUGCAACAAUAGAAGAAGCAUAAGAAGACCUGAUAGUUUAGGCACAACAGUAAAAAAGAAACAUAAAGAAGUUGGACAUAGAGUGCAACACUAAGAGGAACAUAAAAAGAAGGUCUAACAGUCAUGGUACAAUACUAAAAAAAGACAUGAAAGCCAGAUAGUCAGGGUGUGACAAUAGGAGAAGUGUAAGAAGGUUGGAUAGUCAAGGCUUGACACUAAAAAUGACAUAGAAAGGCUAGACAAUUGAGGCAUGACAAUGGGAGAAGCAUAAAAAGGUCAAACAAUCUAAAUGUGACACAAAAGAGACAUAGAAAUGUUGAAUAGUCAGGGCACGACAUUGAAAAAAGACAUGAAAGGCCAGAUAGUCGAGGCGUAGCAUUAAAAAAUAUAUAAAAAGGUUGGAUCGUUAGGAUGUAACACUAAAAAAAGACAUAAAAGAUCAAGCAAUUGAAGCACGAUAAUGGAAGAAAUAUAAGAAGGUCGGAUAGUCAGGGCGUGACUCUAAAAAAAGACAUAGAAAAGUUAGAUAGUUCAAGGCACAAUGAUAAGAAAAGACAUGAAAGUUAGACAAUCAAGGCACAACUCUAAUAGAAGACAUAAAAAGGUCGGAUAGUGGUAGCAUGGCAUUAAUAAGAGACAUAAAAAGGCCAGCUAGUCAUGACGCAACUCUAGGAAAACAUAAAAGAUGUUAAAUAGUGAAGGUGCAACACUAGAAAAAAUAUAAAAAGGUUGAAUAGUCAAGGUGAGGCUUUAAUAGGAGACAUAAAAAGAGGUCAAAUAGUUAGGGCGCAGUAUUUAGAAAACAUAAAAGAUGUUGGACAAUCGGGGCAUGACACUAAUAGAAAAACAUAAAAAGGUUAGACAAUUAGGGUGUUGUAUUAAUAGAGACAUAAGAGGCUAAACAGUAGGGUGCAACACUAACAAAAACUUAAAAAUGGGUUAGAAUUUGAUAGUAAGGCACAAUCAUGAUGAAUGAAAAAGUGACUUGGAUAAUACUCAAAAUGUGGUUCUUAGCCAAAUAAUGAUCUAAAAGCAUAACUCGGGGCUAAAGGGUGACCGAGAAGAGGAUUUAACCAUAAAGUUCAAGGCUUAUCUAAAAUGAUAAAGAGAUGAUCUAACAAUAAAGCUUAGGCUAGUCGGUGAGCAAGAUAGAUAAGGAAAGAGGAGAAAACCUAAAGUUACAUGAAGUUUCAGCUGAGGGUUGAAUAAUGACUUAAAAGUGUGGCUUGAGGUUGAUCGAGGGUGAGACAAAAAUGAACUAAUAGUACGACUGAGGGUUUGAAUGAUGACUAAGAAAAUGCCAAGGAUGUGGUUGCAAAGACUGAAAGACAACUAACAUAAGACUAAAAAGAGAAAAGACAAAAGAUAGAAACAAAAUAACACAACCAAACAUAAAAUAACAUAACCAAGAUGAAUGAGAAUAAAACUCUAAAUAAAAAGUGUAACUAAGUACAAGAGAAACAAAAUGUCAUAGUAUAAGGAUCCUAAGGCAACCUAUACAAAUCUCGAUAUAUAUACUAGAAGACUAACCCAUAUGUACAUAUAUGAAUUCAUAAUGAUAGAAUAAUGAACAAUGGCUCAAAUGGGUACAACAAGUAUUGAAAGAGGUAUGGAUGAAAGAAUACAAAUGACCAAGACGAACAUAAUGAAUACAAACGAUGAAUCACCUGAGGAACCCACAACCUAGGUGAUCCUAUCUAUAAAGCAGAGAUGUGCCAAGAGGCCCUAACCCUAGGUAUGAGAAACGAGGUAAGCAAGGUGAUGAAUCAAAAGGCUAAAUGUGCAUGACUCAAUUGGCUAGCAAAGGGUAACUUUAUACACAAAGGUGAUUAGAUAAAUAGGCUCAUGAAAUGAUGACCACCCAUACUUUGAUCAUAACCUCAAACAUCAUGGUGUUAAACUCUCACAUGUUCAACACUAAAGAUUGGAGUCCAUAAAAAUGUAGGCAUUCCAUCCCUUUGAAAUCAUGCAUAAAUAUCCCAUUUUGGAUUCUCUAUAACAACCUCAAGAUUCUCCUUUCAACCAUAGAAUAGUCAAUGAUCUUGUGCAAUUGACCACCUUGCUCAUCAUAAGCCACCAUUCUCGUCUCAUAAAAUCAACCUCAAGUAACAAAUAAAUAGAUUGGAACAAUGUCCAUGUAGAUGAUGUGCUAUAAGCUAUGACAAGAAGGGAUGUAAAGGUCAUGUGAUGGUGUCAAGGGGUAAAUGUUGUACAAUGUUCAAGAUAUAUAGGAUGUAAAGGUCAAGGUGUGAAUGGAAGUGGAUAAGGUACAACUUUGAUCACAAGACAAAUGAACCAUAGUCUUAAGCUCCCUAAUUUGAUCCUUUAGCCUUAGGUUAAUGGGCUUAGUAUCCUCUAUGAUGGGUCAAGCCCAAUUAUCGUGACAUGCAAGUGAAUAAUGCAUCAUAUCGAAAGUUUAACAUGUGCACCAUAAGGCACGAACAUAUGUUCAAUGAAGAAGGUUGAGUCUAAUGAUCAAUGUAUAUCCAUAGUAGAAACAAAUACUAAUAGGUCAAAACACUCCACAAGGAAUAUAAACUCUAGCUACACUACAAGACUAACGCAAACUCGAUAACCAAGAUGAUUAGCUUUGAUGCAACAAAAUAAAUAGUCUCACCAACUUUGACAAGCGUCUCACCAUCUCACCUAGAAUAAGCUAGCUAGGUUCCCAAAACUCUAACUAACAUGACUUACCUAAAGAAGCCAUCAAUGACCCAUGGAACACAAAACCCUAGACUUAGGUCUAAAAAAGUCAAAUAAACAUAUCCCAAAAUGUUACACCUAAUGUACAACCUAAAAGACUGACAAUACAUUUAAAAAAAGUAAAUCCUUUCUAUAUACAACAUCUUAAGGUUGAUAAAAUUUUAAGGGGAAGAAGAGUACAAGAUCAAAAAAUGUAUAACCUAGAAGAUUGACUACCUAAAUCCAACCAAUGAAGAGUGAAGAGGAUGAUAAUAUAACUAAUCUAUGCUAAUGAAACUCUAAUGUUGAUGCAAAAUUGUUGUUAUCAAAUUCCUAUACAUGAAUACACCUACGUGUGGGUAGGUAUCCUAGGUCUAAGAAUCUAAUUCUCAUUCUACAAUGGUGAGUGGCUCUAAAUGAUGACUAAAUGAGCUGGCCACAAAACUUGGUAACCAAUUGUAGCCCCAACAGUAGUAGUUUUUCUAAGAAUAGGAAUGGGAAGGGUUUCACUUGAAUCAUAAGGAGCAUAAACUACUACUAGAUAGUUGGGACCACAUUCAAGUAUAAUUGUGCCACCGGCCAUUAUAUUUUCUUUGGUCUCCAUGGCCAACUCACAUUUUCUAACCUACAAAAUGAAGUUAUAUUAUUAGAUAUGAGCCAAUAUUUCUCUAUUUCAUUCUUUCAAGUCUACAUCUUCAAAUUAACAUUGGUGAAUAUUGAAAACCAUUUAUAAGGUACAGGUAAAAAUUUGAGAUAUGAAGUAAUUUUAGAUAACAUUGAAAAGAUUGAAUUAAGGCAUGUGAAUUAUUUUGUGGUUAUAUAAAGAAUAGUUAUUCUUAAAAUAAAAGAGGUUAGUAAUGCAUAAUAAAUCAAAAUAAUUACUGACUAUUAAAAAGUUUCAUACUAUAUGAAAUAAAAAUCCCAUAUGAUCUAAUUAUGUAGACAACAAAAUUGUAUUAUCUAUUUUGUGAAUGCACAAAAUGCUAAAAUAUUUUUUUGACAACUUUUUGAUUUUUCUUAUAUUACACCACAUAAAAGAAGACCAUAUAUGUGCCACCAACAAUUGAACUAAAUUCAAACAACAAAAUUUACAUAAAUUAUAUCUCCUAUUACAACAAACAUUAUCAUGAAAUUAGCUUAACUAGAUAAAUACCUUGUUCUUUGGUUCUAUUGGCAAUUGACUUCUCCACUACUUCUGGUAGGACAAACUGUUUUUGUUUCAUGUUCGAACUGCUAACAUCAUAUUAGGGAGUGACUGCUCCCACUUAAGGUAGUUUUGCUAGCACUUUUGCCCAAAAGUUCUUUGUUCUUCUUUAGAUGCUGCUAUAAAAUCCCUGACAACAAGAUCUACAACACUAUUAAAAUAUUGAUGAGGUGUGUGGUGCUUCCCUUUGGCCCUAACUCAACCCCUAUACUUAGGAGUACCCAAUUCUUCUACAAGUAUAUCAUUACUCCCACUGACACUCCUACCAUUCUCUUGAGACUCUUUCAAUGGCUUAUCCUUAAAAAAAAUGUUAAUUAUGAAGUUCAAUUACAAAUUUGUUAUCAUAAAUCAACUAUUAUAAAUAAAUGAAAUUAAGGUUGAAAAUAUCCACUUACUAUUUUCUCAAUCACUGGUAUGACCACUUCAUCAAAGGUGUCAUCCUUUUUUUCUCUUGCUUUCUUCCAUAAUAAGCUUCAAUCAAUAGUUUCAGCUGACCCACUUGCAACCAUCUUUUAAAAGGAGACAAUGUAUAAUGUAAUAAGCACAUAACACUAUUAUGUAUUAUGUAUAAAAUAAAUCAAAAAACUAUAAAUUAGUAUAAACUUACCAUCUCUUCCUCAAGACUAACAUAUCAUUUCCUACUUAGAUGGUGAUUAUAAAUGUGUUUCUUUCUUCUUUCUUUUUGAACUUCUCGAUAUUCCUAUAAAUUAAAAAUGUAUAAUUAAUGAAUGUGAAUACAAGAUAUGUAAAGAGUUGUAAUUAUACCUUAAAGAUAUCAAACAAUCGAUCUUUAACAAACAUUGUCUAAUCUGCAUCCUCAAUAAAAAUAUAUUGAAUUGGCAGUUUUUUAAGGAGAUCCGAUUGGUCUUUGAAAGGAAGAAUGUACUUUACUGUUAGCAUGUUCUUAAAUGAUCGAAAACAUUUUCCAAUUGUUAGCAUACAAUUCCUCCUACUUUUGUGAUUUAAUAAAAAAACAUGCUACACAUUAAUAGUAUAUGUGUUAGUAACUUCAUGUGGUUAGGAAUGAUUGAUGUUUUGCAUAAGGGUGAUGAAGGCAAGAAUGUGUUACCUCAAUGCUAUCCCAUAACUUAUCCUUCAACUGUUUAGAUACAACGUGCCAAGUUUGAUAUCUUAUUGGCACCAUAGUGCAUGUUAAUAUGCUUAAAUAACUUGUUAGAUGAACUGUUGAUUCUCCUAUGAAAAUGCCAUCGAGAUUGUACUUAACUUGCAACUUGAUCCUUUUGCUCCUGUUCUUGGUAAUCAUGGACUUUCGUGUCAUUCCUCUAUACUUUCUUUUGUUGGUUUUUCUCCUUUCUCUGGAUCCAUUCUUGUAACAAAAAAAAAAAAAAAAAAACAAAAACAAAAACAAAAAAAAACUAAUAAAGAUUAGUUAACAUUAUAUUAGAUAUAACCUUGUUAGAGAAAAGUUGUAAAAAAAAUAGACAAAACAAUCCCUCAUUAUUGCAUAAUUAAAUGCCACCAAUGAAAGGGCCUAAUCUAUUCUUAGUUUCUUAUUCACUUGUGCCAUAAAAGUGAGACAAUGACAAUCUUUAAUUAGCUUCAUUUAGUUGUGUGCUUCCAUUAUUGUAGACCCCAAAAUUUGUCCCAAUUUUAAAUCCCGAUUACAUGUGUUAUUUUAGCCCCACUCACCCUUUAAUUUUUAGUCUUUAUUAUUUUGUAAAUUUUUAUUUUUUAUUUAUUUUAUUAUUAUUAUUAUGCUUAUUUUAUUUUUAUUUUUUCAUUUUAUUAUUAUUAUUAUUAUUAUUAUGAUAUUAUAUUAUAUUUUUAUAUUUUAUAUUUUUAUUUUAUUAAUUUUCUUUUAUUAUUUUAUUUUUCUCUCUCUCCUCUCUCUUCCUUUUUUUUCUCCCUCACCUACCUUCAUCUACCCACUCAUUCUCUCUCUCCUCUCACACCACCGGCCACCAUCAAAACAUCUCAUUUUUUUAUUUUAUUUUUUAUUUUCUUUUCAUUUCCCCCCCCCCCAAUUUUCCCCCCAUUCUCCAUUCCCACAUGGGGGACCCCCCUGAUUCCCAUUUCCCCCUCCCCCCUCCCUCCCUCCAUUUUUGAAAUGCGCCCGGGAACAGUAGAGAGCCCCAUUUUUUUUUUCUUUUUUCUUUUCUUUCUUCUUGCUUUUGCUUUUUCUUUUCUUUCGGGGAGUUUUUUUAGGUUUUUUGCCCAGCCCCCCUCUCCAUUCACUCUCACGCGGUCGACACCCCACCUUGGCUUCUGGGCAUUUUUUUCUUUUCUUCUCCCCCCAGAACGCCCACAGAAGCAGCCCCCAAAUUUUUUUUCUUUCAUUUUCCAUCUUCUUCCUCCUUCACCCCAGUCCACCACAUCUCUCUUCCAGUAGCAUGACCCUAACCCCCACUCCCUUUUGCGCCUUUUCCGGCUUCCUUCCAUCCCCACUUUUUUUUUUCUCCCAUUUUAUUUUAGUUUUUAUUUUAUUUUAUUUUGCUUCCCGAAAACCCGUCCAUCCUCAGAGUCGCCACCGGCGACCCCCUUCCCAUCCCAUCCCAUCCGUUUUCCCGUUAUUAUUAUUAUUAUUAUUAUUAUUAUUAUUAUUGUUAAUUAUCAUUAUUAUUAUUGUUGUUGUUAUUUUAUUCUAUUUUAAUGGUAAUUGUUGUUUAUGAAAUUUGGUUAUUAUCAUUUGUUAUUGUUAUUAUUAUUAUUGUUAAUUGUCAUUAUUAUUAUUAUUAUUAUUAUUAUUAUUAUUGUUAUUUUAUUUUAUUUUAUUUUAAUGGUAAUUGUUGUUUAUGAAAUUUGCAUUGUUGAAUUAAUAUGAAACUUGGGGUUAAUUUGUUGUUGGUAGAUUAAUACAUAAUUUGAUUUAAUUUAUUGUUAGUAAAUUAAUUUGAAAUUUGUUAAUUUGGGUUUGUGGGCAUAUUGUUUUUGGUGAUUAAUUUGAGGAUAUUUAUAUUAUAUCAAUUGCAUAUUGUUUAUUUAAACUUGGGCCUAUUGUUAAGUUGUUAUUUGUUUGGGCUUGAAAUAUUAUUUCUCCUGACCAUGUAAUUGUUUUUUUUUUUUUAGUGGGUUUGUUAAUUGAUGUGGAUUUUGGGGCCCAUAAUGUGGGUGAGAUUUGUUAGAUUAUUUGAAUAUUUGAUAUGGGCUUAGCCAAUUUGAAUUGUUUAAUUUGGGCAUGGGACAAUUGUGGUGUAUAUUGAACUAGGCUUAAAUUAUGGAGUAUUAAAUUUAGGUCUAGUAGAAUUUAUUUUAAUUUAUCCAAUUUUAGGUUUGGUUGAUUGUGUUUGUAUUUCUUUUGUUAUUAAUUUGGAUGUUCUGGGUUAAGACCUAUAGUAAUUUGGGCUCAUUUUAAUUGAUGAAAUUUAUGGGACUAAUUUGAAAUUGGAAUUUGGGUUUGAAUAUUUGUUUGGGAUUUUAUACAUCUCUGGAUAUUUACAUCUAUGCUAUUCUUGUUUUUUGCAUGGACCCACUUUGCAAUCUUGUCAACUGAGUACGAAUUGAUGACACGUGGAACUUAUUGUAAGUUUAUUUGGGUACAUAUUUUAUUUCUCACUUUUUAUUUGGUUUUAUUUUUAUUAGUUUGUAUAAAUAUUCGUUCGCAUGUAUUUAUUGAGUGUGUACAGAAUUGAACAUCAAACAAACUAGAAAUUUUGUUUAAAUGAGAAGAGGAAGUCAGCAAAUGUGUUUUAAUAAAACAACAAUUUUAAAAUAUUAUUUUUAAUAAAGGAAAGUUUUUAUUUUAUUUUAUUUUAUUUUUUAUUUAUAAAAAUUAAAAAAAAUGCAUUUAGAAAAAUCCCAAAAGAAAUGUUUUUAAUGGAAUUUGAAAAUUUGUUUUUAAAUAAUAUUUGUCCAAAAAUUUCUUUGUUUAACAAAAAUUUUCCAAAUAUUGUUUUGUAAAUAAAGUUGUCCCAAAAAUUAAUUUUUAAUAAAAUCGUCCAAAAAAAUGUUUUUUUUAAUAAAUUCUUUUUACUUAAUUAAAAUUGGAUUAAAAGUCAUUUUUAGAAAUAGAUGAUUUAUUUAUUUAUUUUAUUUUUAGUUUUACUUUUAUUUUUAUUUUUUCCUUUUAAUUAAAAAUUAUUUUGUAAAUAAAGUUAUGUCAUUUUAAAUAAUUUAUAAAAAUCACUCUUUUAAAUGAAAAUGAAUCUAUAUACUUUUGUAAAUAAAAUUGUAAACAUUCAUUAUUUUCUACUAAAAGCAAGUAAAAAUAAUUUUUGUGCCCAAAUUGAAAUUUUGUAAUAAAUUCUUUUGAUACAAUCAGUGUAAAUAACUUUUUUGAAAAUUGAACACAACUGAAAUUGAGAAAAUAAAUUGAUUCUUUUUUUAUAAGUAAAUAAAUGGAAAUCACUAAUUCAAAAUCAUUUCUAAUAGAAUCCUUUUAAAUUUCUUUAAAACUUUUUUUUAAAUAUCUUUUAUUUAUUUAAUUCAAUAAAUCAUUUUGCAUAAUCCUCUUAUUAUUUAUUUUGUGUAUUCUUGUAAUUAGAUUUCAUCAUCGUUUUUGUGCAUAUUAAUUUUCACCAUGACUUGUAUAUUGAUUAUUUUUCUUGGUAUCCAUAAUUAAUUAAUUAAUUGCCACAAUUUCCUCAAUUCGUUUAGUAGAGGUCGUACAUAUAUGGGCUUAGAGAGGUGCUACGGCUCACCACCAUUCCUUCCCAAUGAGUAACCUGACCCCCGGACCCAAACUCGGUUUUUCACUGACCCGUUUUUUCCUUCAGGAGUCACACUUAGGGUUUUUCUUUCUUAUUUUGUUUUUCCCUUUAAAAAUAAGUGGCGACUCCAAGUCUUUUUCUAAAAAUUGAAUUUUCACCAAACAAAAUAAAAAGCGAGUUUCGCCAUCGAGUGGGAACGCAUCGAGAAAAUGAGAGGUCCACAGUUAUUUAUACCUUUUGUUGUUUCAAAUAUAUAUAUAUAUAUAUAUAUAUAUAUAUAUAUAUAUACAUACAUAUAUAUUUAGUGAAUUGUAUGUAUUCAUAUCAUAAAUUUCAUGGACCUUUUUUUGGAAUGGUUCAUCACAUAACGAAGUUGACAUUUCAGUUUAGCUAUUUUUUCUCCCUCUUUCUUGCUCAUUUGAUUUAUUUUAAUUUAAAUUUGUUUUAUUUUAUGAAUUUGUAUAUUCUAGUAUGUGUUUCUCUUAUUAUUUUUUCUAAUCCAUUGUCAUUUUCUUUUGUCUUUUCCUAUGAGAGGCUUUUAGAAUUUCAUAUUUAACUUACUGAAUUGUUAACUUGUUCAUAUCAAAACUAAAAAUUGCAUAUAAUUGAAUGAUUACAUUUUAUUUUUUACAAACAAGAAUUUUACAAGAAUCAUACUUGAUAUUUGCUUUAGUAUAUUGAAUUUUAAUGACAAGAAAUGUCAAAUGUAGAAGCAAAAUAAUAAUAAUAAUAAUAAUAAUAACCUCAAAAUGGCAUCAACUUAGGCAAUCAACUUGAUGUUCUUUGGAAACAAAAAAAAAAAAAAAAAAAUUACUUGUUUUGUGGGAUCUGCAACCCACUCGACAUCAUUUAUUUGUACAUCAUUAUUAGAAUUUUACAAUUCAACUACAUAAAGGAUUUGUUCUCAAUCCAAAUCCCCUCGUAAUGACCUCUUAUAUAUAUUGCAUUUGAGUCAUCCAUUGCAUCAAACGCUUCAAUUUCUAGCAAUGUCCCUAUAAAGGGAUGACGUUCAAUAGAAUUGUCCACAAGGUCAUCACCUUCUUCCUUAUCCAAGAAAUAUUUUUGAGGAGUUGACAAAACAACUAACCAUCUUGGAUCAAUUUGGUCUUGCACAUAAAAUACUUGCUUGGCUUGAGAUGCCAAAAGGAAAAUAUUUGAUUUAUGAGAAAUUUUGUUAAAGUCAACUAAUGCAAAGCUAAGAUCAUCAACUUUUAUGCCAUUCUUAUUAUCAACCUAAUCACACUUGAAAACUAGUACCCUAGACAUGGUAUAGUCAAGGUCCCAGAUCUCGUUAAAAAUCCUGUAGAAAUAAAGCUCACCAAACACUAGCUUUUGAUUCUUGGUACUUGCAAUUUGCAUUGUUGAAGCUACAAUACUAACUCCACUAUUUUGGGUUGCUCGUAAGUCAUCACACUCCUUGUUAUGGUAUCGACAUCCUUUAAUGACAUAUCCAUGAUAUUUCGAGACAUAGUGGCUAGGACCAUGAGCUAUCCACUUAAAGGUUUCAGAUAUAGGUUCAUUGUUACCAAUUGCAGCUUCAAUUUAUAAUUAUAAAUAAUAGUUACUAUGUAUGUUCAACAUUAGUAAAAGGAAUAUUUCAAAUUUUAGCACCAAUUCGAUACCUUUUUUCAAAACCAAUAGGUAAAUAUUUGCAUGUGUUCAUCUUGGAGCCACUUUUAUCUUUUAUGUUGACAAGGAUUUUUCAAUUUCAAACAUUCCAUGUGCUCUCUAUGCAAUUAUUUAUAAGAAAUUCAAAGUUACUGUCCUAUAGUUAAUUUAAGUAUAAUAGAUAAAUAUUAAGUGUUAGUAGUUCUUACUCGAUGUAGGGUUGGACAAUAGUUUUAUUCUCUAAAACAUAAUGAUGUGCAUGCAACCAAAAAUUAGAAUUAACGAUCACAACUUGACCUCCAGGUCUGGGUGCCCCAACUUUUUGGUUAAUGUUUACACUAACAGGAAUCCUAAUUGCAUCUAUAUUUGAUAAGUACUCUGUACAAAAUUUCAAUAGCUUCUUCCGCAAUAUAUCAUUUGAUGAUGCAACCUUCGGGCCAGUUACUAUUUCGUACAUACCCUAUCAAAACUUUCGUGAAUAUUUCAAAAUGGUACAUCCACCGUAGGUAAACUGGUCCACAAAGUCUGACCUCUCUUACAAAAUGCACAGUAAGAUGAAGCAUGAUAUCAAAGAAGGAAGGUGGGAAGUACUUCUCAAGUAAGCAUAAUGUCACCACUACAUCAUUUUGUAACUUAUCCAAUGCAGGCACAUCAAACACUUUGCUACAAAGAGCAUUGAAAAAAAAAACUCAAUCUACAAAUAGCAUGUCUUACAUGCUUUCGCAAAAUUGAUCGUAAUGACAUUGACAAUAACUCUUGCAUUAAUGCAUGAUAGUCAUGGGAUUUAAGACUAUAAAGCUUCAAGUCUUCCAUUGACACAAGGUUUCUCAUGUUAGAGCAAUAACCUUUGCGAACCCUUAAUUGUGAUAAAGUUUAGCCAAAAAGCUUCUUCUCCAGUUUAGAUAGUGUGUAACAUCCAGGUGGGAGAUAAGUUUGAUUUGAUUCAAACCUUGGCCCUAAUUCACACCUUAAGCCCAUCUCCAUAAGGUCUAAAUGAGAAUUAAGUUCAUCAUUUGUCUUACCUGGAAUGUUAAGGUACUGAUGAUGUUUUCACAAGCAUUUUUCUCUAUGUGCAUUACAUCUAAGUUAUGACAAACAUGUAGGUAUCUCCAAUACUCAGGAUUAAAGAAUAUGAAUUUUUUCUUCCAACAAUUUCUAGUUUUUACAUUCAACUUACCUCGAGUGAUCUUUUUUUUCCCCAUGAAUUACAAAUGACAUUAGUUUUCCUUAGAAUUUCCUCUCCACUCAAUGGUUUCGGAGGUGACCGAAACUCUUGUUCCCCAUUAAAUGCCUUUUUCUAUUUCCUAAAAGGAUGAUUGCAAUGAAGAAAUUGUCUAUGACUUGUAUAUGAGUUCUUUUUCCCAUGAUUCAAUCUAUGAGAGUAUGUAUCUUCCCUAUAGAUGGGGCAUGCAAAAUAUCCUUUAACUAUGCAACCGGAUAAGUUUCCAUACAUAGGAAAAUCAUUGAUUGUCCAUAGUAGAACAUCUCUUAAUGUAAAGAGCUCUUGUUGAUGUGCAUCAUAAGAUUCAACCCCCACCUCCUACAACAUUUUUAGGUCAUCUAAUAAUGGUGCUAAACAAACAUCAAUGUAAUUUCCAGGUUGUUAUGGACCCGAUAUUAACAAAUACAACAUCCUAAACUUCAUUUUCAUUCAUAACCAAGGAGGAAGGUUAUAAAUGACCAUUAUAAUAGGCUAACAACUAUGUCUACUACUUAUUGAACUGUGAGGAAUUAUACCAUCAACUGAAAUGGCAAGUCUAAGGUUUCUAGGUUCUAAAGCAAAAUUAGGCCAUCUGUGAUCAACUAGCUUCCAUGAUGAGGAGUCGGAUGGAUAACACAAUUUGCCAUCAAAUUCUCUUUCUUGGGCAUGCCAUAUGAGGUCUUUUGCAACUUUUAGGGACCGAAAAAUCUUCUAAAUCUUGGAAUAUAAGGAAAAUACCACAUUACUUUUGCAGGGACUCCCUUCCUCUUUUUAGUUUUUGUUCUAUCUAACUUCCAUCAUGAAGUUCCACAAGUUGGACAUGAAUAUGCAUCCUUCAAAUCAUUCCUAUACAAUAUGCAAUCAUUUGGACAAGCAUGUAUUUUCUUAGAUUCCAUUCCCAAUGCAUUCAAUGUCUUUUUUUCUUCACACAUAGACAAGGGCAACUCAUUGUUUAGAGGUAACAUAUCUCCAACAAUUCCUAAAAGCUUUGAAAAACUUUUAUCAGACCAUCCAUAUCAUGCUUUUAGGUUGUAUAAUUUCACCAAAGUAUGUAACUUUGUAAAGUUUCUACAACCAGGAUAUAAAUGUUUUUGGGCAUCUUCAAGUAAUGUUUCAAAAAAGUCUGGGUCAUUCUUACAAUCAUCAUCUGCAGCUAGCAUUAAUUCUACUAUACUAUCCACAUCAAUAAAUUGAACCUUAUGAUGACAUUCUGCCCUACUAGUUGGUGGUCCACUUGAAGUAGCAUCUCCAUGCCAAUACCAUGUAUGGUAACUCUGAUCAAUUCCAUAGAAAAAUAAAUGAUCUCUAAUAUUUUGAGAAGUAUGGAAUAUCAUAUCACCACAUUGAAGGCAUGGGCAUUUAAUGGAGUUUUUAUAUGUGGAAUGUUUUAAUGCAAAUGCGAUAAAGCUUUCUACCCUAUCCGCAUAAUCCUUUGAUCUCAUAUCCUUUGACAUCCAAGAACGAUCCAUUUGUUGUAUAAGAGAGAAACAAAGCUCCUAGAUACCACCAACCACUAAAGUUAUUAAUAACUAUCCUAUUAAUAGCCUCAAAAUAUAUGAUCCACCAAUUUUAAAUUCCAAACAUUGUCACAAAAACUUUUACCAAUCCAAAAAACAACAAUGGGUAAGUCAUCUAACUAUAAGCAAUAUGACAACAAAUAUAAUUAGUUUAUUAGGUUAUUAAAAAGUUAGAAUAAAAAAUGGAUAUGAAUUCCAUCAUUAUGUUUCGUUUGUGCAUGAAUAGGAAUCAAAAGUUAGAUGUAACUCUCAAUCUUGUGUUCUAUUCUCAAGUACACCAAGUUUGAAAAAUACAAAAACACAUCAUUUCUACAAUGCCACAAGAUGAGUAAGACAUAUGGAUGGAAAUAUCUUUUUAACUAUGGGUUGAAAAUCAUUUCUUUUAAAUCUAAGUAUCUUCUUAACAUCAUCUUGAUUGUUGAAUAGUAUCAAACAUAGACAUAUGAAAGAGUAAUAAUUGAGAUAAUACCAACUAAUACAUAAAUAUCACUAUGGAAAAAAAAAAAAAGUUUCCAAAUGUUUCAAUUAAUAGGAAAAAAUGGGCUUCCUCCAUCAAAAUUUGAUAGAGUACUUAAAAUGAGACUUAAAAGUUCACUUGUUCGAUGAAGCACAAAAUAAGGAAGGUAAGUAGAGGAUGAUACUCAAUGAUUAAGCUUUCAAUAGUUUCAUUGAAUUUGCUCCCAGAUGAGACAAUGAUACCAUGAACUAAAAAAGUGAACCAAUGUGGCUAAGCUUUCAAUGAGUAGAAGCAAGUAGUUUAUGCAUGAUUUAUGCAUUCUAACAUCUCCAACAUCCUUAAUUAGGUAGUGGUUCCUAUCCCAUAUAGGAAUACAUAAUUCCUAUGUAUCAAUUACCAAUGUACUCAAUUUAAUUUUAAAGAAAUUUCAGUAACAUUUUCCUAAAGUUCUCCAAGUACACAAAUUAGGUAGUGGUUCCUAUCCCAUAUAGGAAUACAUAAUUCCUAUGUAUCAAUUACCAAUGUACUCAAUUUAAUUUUAAAGAAAUUUCAGUAACAUUUUCCUAAAGUUCUCCAAGUACACAAAAUGGACAAGGCACAAUAUGUAACCUUGUUCAAAUAUGCACCAAGAGAACAAGAGGAAAGACUACCAAACUUUCUAAAAAUUGAAUUAAGAACAAACAAUUAACUUCAUAGAUAUUAUGUUUUCCUAUACUAUCCAAUUGGAUAAUUCAAGCAUCAUUUGUAGAGAAAAGAUCGUUAUCACAUGCUAGACAAAUUUAAAAGUUGUUAACUUGAAAAUGGCCUAGAUAGACCAUUUUCACCAUUUUACAACUUAAAUGUCUUUAUUAUGUAAUAAGAGAAAAUUUUGUCUUCCAAUGAUACUUGAAUGGGAACUUUAAGGUUUUAUGCAUGCAUGUUUGAUUAAAAUUAAAACAUUAUAAUGAUUUAUUGAAUUAUUAUAACAUAGCAACAUAACUCUCAUUCUAUCAUCUUUAUCUCAAAUAUAUAAUGUUUAAGAUGAAGCCACAAAAACCUUUUCACAACUUAGACCAACAUCUUCUACAAAAAGGGUUCACACUAAAUAUAAUCAAAUUAAUAUUAUUUGACAAUUUUAAAUGCACAAUAAGUAAUUAUCUUACAAAACAAAUAAUAAGGCAACUAAAAGAAAACCAUAGUGACAUGAUCAUGCAAAUGAAUUUCACCUACAAAACAAGUAAUGUGAAUGCCACUAAUUAUAAUAGAAUAUAAGGCUCAAGAGGAGGUGGAUAAGCAUGCAAAGGAAAAGUCAUGACUGAUAACACACUUGUUGGUUUUAGUACCUGUGGACCCGCAUUUCUCACAUGCGCCCCCACUCGAUCGGCGAGACUUGCCUUUUAUUUGGUGACAAAUUUUGUUUUUGGAAAAAGUUGGAGUAGCCACUUAUUUCAUUUUAUUUUAAAAAGGAAAAUCAAACAAGAAAGAAAACCCUAAAAAAAGUGAUUCCAUAGUUUUUGGAAAAGCAUGUCUUUGAAAAACUCGAGUCUAGGUCUAGGGAUCAGGUUACCUAUUGGGAAGGUACCUUUAAAAAGGUAGCACCCCUCUAAGCCCUAAAGAGGUCUCUACUGACUAAGUCAAGGGGAAUGUGACAAUUAAUUAAUUGAAGGUACUGUGGACCCUCACCCGAUCCACCAGACCGACGCGACUCGCUUUUAAAAGAAAAGAAAGAAAUGAAAAAGUUUGUGUUUUCUAGUAUUGAAAAACCCGCCCCCGGUGAGGAACGGUGUUGUUUGGAGUCGCCACUUACUUUUUAUUUUUGUUUUUAAAAUGGGGAAAAAUUAAGUAAGAACAAAAACCCCUAAUGGCCCCAGUAUGGAAAAAACGGUCUACGAAAACUAGAUUCUGGGUGCGGGGAUCAGGUUACCCGUUGGGAAGGUACCUCAUGCGAGGUAGCACCUCUCUAGGCCCGAAACUCGGUCUCUACUAAUGAAUUGGGUAUGUGGGAGCAUAUGGGUCAAAGGUCAAAUGAAACCCUAGGCUAAAUAGAUGUCAUGAAUCACACAAUCCUAAUUGGUAUUUGGCAUGCAUAUGAAUUCAACCAAACAAAACAAUGGGUGCGUACCUGUGGUCCCUAGCCAGGCGCUGCAUAAAAGGUCAGCCAAACACAGAUAAACACAUAACAAACAUUCAAGAUUAAGCACCAUGCAUGCAUAUGAAUUCAACAACCAAAGCCAACGAUGCGUACUUGUGGUCCCUAGCCAAGCGCUGCAACAGAGGGUGAGUCAGUCACGCAACAUGUAUUCAAAAUCAAGCAUCAAAGCUUGUGCCAAAAAGGAAGAUAGCUUGUUGAAAUGAGGUAAGGGACUCCCCAAAUGUCAUACGAAUUGAACUAGACUCAUCUAGACCACACCACCCAUAACUUCAAAAUUGCCCAUACUAACUGAAAUCAAACACUGACUUAAACCUUCAAGAUGGCUCACAAGUGCCCUAUAGCAAAUGGGUUUGAGCCCCCAUGGAUAAGGGCUCGAAAAAUGACAAAAUCGAGGGCUACCUAAAGUCCUCCAGCAGAACAGGUUGAACUAGUUCUCAACUGGUACAACCUAUUGAGAAGAAUUCCCAAAUUUUUCUAGAAAACUCUUAAAUGAGUGAGGAUUCAAACAAAAGAAACGACACUCAAUCCCGAGCCUGGAUGAGUGAGAACCAGACAAAGAAAGGCAGGUGUUCCUCAUGGCUGACAGAGGCAGCCAACUAUGGUGUUGAACCGGUUCCCAACCAGUCCAUCCGGUUGAUAAAAAAUCCCAUAUUCGGUCAGAAAGUUCCUAAGUGAUUAAGGAAGCAAACAAAAGAAAUGGUUCUCAAUUCCGAGCCCUGAUGAGUGAGAACCAGACAAAGAAAGGCAGGUGUUCCUCAUGGCUGACAGAGGCUGCCAGCCAUGGUGCUGAACCGGUUCAGCCGGUUGAUAAAAAAUCCCAAAUUCGGUCAGAAAGUUCCUAAAUGAUUAAUAACCAAUCAACAACAAUCAUGUGUGGCCUUUAUUAUCCACACCCAAGAAAUACAAUCUUCAUAUCAAAGGGAAGAAAAGAUGAUGCGGAAUGAGAAAAAGCAUAUGAAGACGAGGAAGAUAAACUGUAAGUAAAGAAAAUUCAGCAUGCUUACCUCAAAAUCUCCACCAAAUAUGAUCCAUGUAUGCAGAUGAUGACUUCCAAAACUGAGAUGCUGUCACUCUCCUCUUCAAAAAAGCCACAGUGCUGAAGCUUUCCCCCACGCUCUCAACUCAGAAGAUGCUACUGACCUUUUGUUUUUCUCACUAGCAAAAUUUCUCCUCUCCAAAAUGUCCCCUCCUAUCCUUUGCUCUCCUAUCCUCUCACCUUUUAUACUCAUACCCCUCUUAGCAUUUGAGCCUCCUGGAUUCUUUCCCCUUCAGCACCAAAAUCCCCUUCAUCAGCAUGGGAACCACACCCCUCAUUACUUCUCUUAAACUUACGAGGCCAACUCACUCCUUCAGUUUUCAGCUUGCUUCACCACCAAGAAUCCAUAUGGAUUCGUGGUGGGCUGGAAGGAACCCAAACCAAGGCCCAAAAUGGACCCACAACAUUGCCCAAAACCGAUCUGGAGCUUAUGGGCCAGAGCCAUGUAGGAUUUGGGCCUCAAAAUUACUAGAAUUAGUGUUUUACCUCAGCUGACUCAAUGAACCGGCUGAACCGGCCGAACAGGAUGCCAACUGGUCGAACCGAUGGAAAAAAAUUCUGAAAAUUUUACAGAAUGUUCCUAGUAGAGUAAGGAAUCCAUUAAAAAAAACGGUGCGUGAUUCCAAGUUCGGAAGAGGGAGAUAUGGUCAAAACAAUUACCAAAAAUCAGUGUUCUACACCGGCUGACUAGAUGAACCGGCUGAACCAGCUGCCAACCAGUCGACCGGUUGUAAAAAAUUUUGAAAAUUUUACAGAAUGUUCCUGGAAGAAUAAAGAAUCCAUAAAAAGAAACGGUUCUUGAUUCUAAGUUUGGAUGAGGGAGAUACGAUCAAAACAAGCCCGAGUGCUCCAAACCUCAACAUGCCCCUAUAAACUCCAACUAAGCUAAAACAUCGGGAUGACCCCACUUCCUUCCUAUAGCGUGAUAUGAACGACUAGGAAAAUGGCCAUGGUGACCCUCCAAAAUGAACCAAAUAUGCAUCACAAUGGACCACAGACAAACCCACACGAGGCUCGGACACCGACUAAGCCCAAAGGGGGCCCUAGUGGUGCCAUAUGCGAACGAUGGGUGGAUGUGACACCCGAAGGAUAAAUUCCAGUGUCGAGGGACAAAAUUGAGGGUCUACAAAUAUGCCCCUCUUUGGUAGAGUGAAUGAACGAGUGAAUUGUGAGUGCGAAGUGCAUGUAAUGCAAGAGUGAAAUGAACUCUAGUGAAGAACCCAAAUGACCAACAAUUUUGUCCCCACCCAACAAUAAAGAAGGCUAAGGGAAAUAAGUCAUGCUGACCGAAUGGACUAUGGGAUCUAGGCACAAUGCCAGAGAAAGAUAAAAGGAGACCCGAUCACGAUGUCGGGAAAGAUUAGGGAUUUGAUCUGGGCAAGUACCGGAGAAGGGUUCGGGCAAGUACCGAAAAAUGGUGGAAUCUGGGCGAGUACCGGAAAAGGGUUAGGGCAAGUACCGAAAAAUGGUGGAAUCCGAGCUAGUACCGAAAACGGGUAAAAUUCGGGCGAGUACCGGAGAAGGGUCCGGGCGAGUACCGAAAAAGCUCCGGGCUAGUACCGGAGAAGGGUCCGGGCGAGUACCAGAAAAGCUCCGAGCACGUACCGAAAAAUGGUGGAAUCCGGGCAAGUACCGAAAACGGGUAAAAUUCGGGCGAGUACCAAAAACGGGUAAAAUUUGGGCGAGUACCGGAGAAGGGUCCAGGCGAGUACCGGAGAAGGGUCUGGGCGAGUACUGGAAAAGCUCCGGGCAAGUACCGGAGAAGGGUCCGGGCAAGUACCGAAAAAUGGUGGAAUUCGGGCGAGUACCGGAGAAGGGUCCGGGCGAGUACCAGAAAAUGGUGGAAUCCGGGCGAGUACCGGAGAAGGGUCCGGGCGAGUACCGAAAAAUGGUGGAAUUCGGGCGAUCAAACUCAGGCACGAUGCCGAGGAACCACCGAACUAAAAGGGGGUAGGGAUGCCAUUACUAAGGUUCAAAACACCUAAACAGACAGGGGAUGCCUUAAAGCAAAACUCAUAGCAAAAUAGGGGGACUCAAGAUGCAACCGCUGAUAUACUAACCAUGAUAACAAAGGGGUAUGCCCCAGUAUGACGUCCAGGGACUGCCAACAAAUGACUCGAAGAAGCCAGAAAUCAAACACCUUCAUCAUGACAAAAGAAAGGGGUAUGCCCCGGUGUAACACCAGAAAAUGCCGAUAAAUGACAAGUGAGAAAUCACAAUCACCACUAACAAAUGGAAAGAAAGGGGUAUGCCCCUAUAGGACAAACUCACAAAUGUGACCAAGGGUGAAAGGAAGGAGUUAUGCCCCAGUCUAAGAUAUCAAUAUCAUGUCAGAAUCCCAUAACCGCACAUAUGGUUAAAGUCAGAGAGCUGAAAAUAUCACAAUCAUCCAUUUCUAAGGGAAAAACCCUCUACUCUAAUCCACAACAUCCAAUAUCCACAAAAACUGAUAAGGGAUAUGCCCCAGUGUGUACAUCUGAAACUCAAAUAUCUUAAUGAAAAAUCUGGAAUACAUCACUGAAGACCCACUCAUUUGAACUAAUGAACAAGAUAAUGAAUGGGGUAUGCAGCCCUGCUGGGUCAAUGAAUACCGUGAAUCUGAUAUCGGGUCAGACCCCAGAAACACUCUGCUAUAUGAAGAAACUGAGCUGAAUGCGGGUCUUACUCAAACUUUGAUGUCCAUAACAUUGCUAGGCGAAACGGAAUGCCUGCGUACAUGUAUAAAGAGCCAAAGCCAGCAUGCAAGGAUAGGGGCAUGCCCUAGUAUAAACGUGUCAAAACAUCAAGCAAAGGUGCCCUCAACGGUCCCAACUCUCUGUAUCAUCUAUCUCUGAUCAUGGACCUGAGGCAAGUAAACUGAAUGGAAAGACAAUAUGUGACCCUCGAUAUCCCCCGAAGUAAUGGAGACCUGUCAACAUCCCAUACUCAAUCAGUAGACGAAGCCUGUAUGAAUGAACCGCAUCGAAGCAAACACGAGAUCUCAUGGCCUCAGGGUGGUCUUACGACUCGGACCGUAAUGUAGGCUAGGGGUAAAAGGUGAAUGAAAUGAUGGGAAACAAAGGCCCAAAUCUCCCAAUAGAUAAUGCCAAACCCCUGUGUGCGCAGUGUCAAAUAUCGCAGAACCAUGUGAGCAAGGUGACUCAACCCUGCAUCCAAAUAAAAUACAAACAAUAGGUGAUACGCACCAAAGAACUCAUCGUUCAUGAAGUGAAACAACGAUCGACGAGGAUAGAAGCAGACGAAAAGGGAUAAGAUGAUUGAUGAAUGGGUGAUUACUACUCAAAAAGGGCUAUUUGAUAGCUUGUAAUUAACUUUUUUAAACACUUUUGAGUAGUAGUUGUUACCUUUUAACCCAAUUAACAUAUUAAGGACCUUUGCAAUCACUUCUAAUCACUUUGUGUAAGUUUUGGUGUUUUUGUUAGUAAUUUGAUCACCAAAGCAAUCCAAGUUUGAGGAGAGUUAUUUGGAAUCCAUGGAAAAGCAAUGGAAAGUUUAGAAACAUAAAGAGCCAAAGUUGUGAAGCUUUAAAGUCCUUUUCCAUAAGCAAUCCGGAAUGCAAGGAGGGGAAGUAAAGAGAAUAUCUGUCAUGAAGCAUUCUUGAUGACAGUCAUUUCAGCCACUUUUGGAGCACUUCCUGAAGUCCAAUUUAUACAUGCUAUAUGUCGUUUCGAAGAUCAGGAAGUCAACAAUCUAAUGCUUCAAACGGUUUACGAAUCGGAGUUGAAAUGAAGAAGUUAGAGCCAUUGGAAGCAGAUCACUCCAAGCUGAAGGCCAAUUUCGCAGGGUUGCGAAAUCAUCCUUUGGCUGCGAAAUGAUUUCGCAGCCAUCUUGUUUGUCUGCGAAAUUUCGCAGCCAUUUUGUGCUCCUGCGAAAUUCUCCUGAGUGCUUCCAGAUAUUUGCGACUGACAUUUUUUGAUAUUUUGCUUCAGAUAUUUGAUGUAUAAAUCCCAAUUCUCUCCUUGUAAUCCACCAAUUAUAGGAUUCCUUAGUUGUUAAGCAAGAACACAAGGGUAAACAACCUCAUAUAUAUUGUUUUGUAAUUUUCAUUUUAUCAAUCUCGGGAGCUUGUUCUUAGAGAACCAACUUUUUGUAUAGUUUGAAAGGAAGUAAAAUACAGAGCUUUGCUCUACCUUACCUUCUCACUUUGAUUGUAUUUUUCAUUCACUAGCCAAGCAAGCUCUGAGGAUGUUUCUUCAGAGGAUGGGUGGCUAGGCUUUUUGUUUCUUGGAGCUAAGGUAGCCGGGGAAAGGGCCGAAUGCAAGAAUUGGUAGUUUUGUUGUUUCAGCUGUUAAUGAAGAGAAAGUGUAACCCGUUUAUGAUUUCUAUGUUUUUAGUUAACUUAAAACGCCUUCAAUUCACCUGAGCCAACACUUGGUAAGGCAAGUAAUCUCCAUCCAUGGAGAUGCACUAGUUUACCUCUUUCGAGCUUUUGGGAGGUGACCUGAAGGUAGGAUUUUCUAGAAUUGCCAACACUUGGUAAGCUUUUGGACUCUAAGGAGGCAUCCAUUAGUUAUCUCUUGCGAGCUUGAGAAGGGAAGUCCAAAGUUAAUGAUCACCUUGAAUGGAAAAUGCUAGAUGAGAGGCACGAGUCAUUGCAAGUUGCAUUAGUGAGAGGGAAUUAAAGCUGAAAUCCAUUUAAGGGAUGCAUCUGUACAACACCGAUUAGAGAAUUGACUAUAUGUUAAUUCUCUAAUGCGAGGAAAUGAACCAAGUGACCGAAGCUCUAUUUUUGCAUGAGGAACCUCCCCUGUGAACCUAAACCUCCAAGGAACGUUUUUCUUUAUAAAGUAAUUCCCAUUACUUUCUUUUUAGUUAGCUUGAAACCAAACCUUUUUCAACCAAAGUUUAUGUUUUCUUUUGAAACUAACCUUGAAAUGAAAAGGCACCAAUUCAACUUUGAAUUGGUAUCAGUUGUAAGUUGAAAACCCUUCCCAGUGAACGAUCCUAGAGCCACUAUGAUAUACUAGCUUAUGCUAUCCUAGUGCAUGGUGAUAUAGGUUAUAAAUUUUGUUGAUUACUCCCAUCAGGGGACCAAAUUCAAGGUACACCAGCUGGGAAAACACGAAUCAAUGGGUGUAGAAGAAAAUUGAGAAACCAACUGGGAUACAAAUAUAGCAAUAUGUGACAACGAUGAACAACUCAUCCUAAGAACGCCAAAUCAAAGCAAGUCACUAUAUGAUAGGAAUGGUGAUGUAGACAAUGAUCCAAGGGCCUAAUGCCAAGGAAACCCAAACCUCACUCCCAAUGUGUCGCCCAGAUCCAUGGUGAGAAGGAUCGUAUAAUGCUCUCAUCCGACUCUUAAAGGAAAAAGAAAUCUCUCAAACCCAAAACCACCUCUGAUGAUCCCAAGUAUAUCAACGAAUACCAAACAAGCACAAUUUUUCCUUUUUUUCAUUUUUAUUUUAUUUUAUUUUAUUUUAUUUUUUCCUUUUUCCUUUUCUUUUUUAUUUUAUUUUUUAUUUUUUUUGGGCCGAAUUCCAUACUAUCACAAUCCAACAAAAAGAACCCCAAACCUCCAAUCUUGACCGACCCCUUCAACCUAAGAAUCCUAGAUCAAAGCCUACAGGCGGAACGAAGGGUGUGACAAACCUGACUGGUAGCUCUGGGACAAGAGCGCAUCAUCAUCACACAAGGGAAAACAGAAGCGAAGUGAAUAGAGAUGAUAGAAGCUGGACUAACAGGUAGACGGUGUGAAGAUGCAAAAUGGAGACGAAAAGAAACAGACAAUGAUGCAAGAAAGAACAAACGAAGAAUGACACCAUGCCCACAAUGCUCAUAGAUCCAAUCAAUAAAUACAAAGCGCACAAGGGUAGGCCUCCAACCUAGGUCAGAAAAGGUAUGCAAGGCUGAAUGAAAGAAAAGGCCAUAAUAAACCACGUGAGGCUCAAAGGGCUAGCAAUAGUAUAUAUCAAUGUACGGGUGUGCAAUAGGGAAUAUGGCUACUCGAAGUGACGGCCACCCAUCCUCUAACCAUGAUCUCACGCAUAAAACUUCUUCAGCUGAUCCACAUUAACUAGCUCUGUGAACUGAUUUCCGUCUAGGUCUGUCAACCAGGCAGCUCCCUCUCGAGUCAGAUCUCGGAUGACAUAAGGCCCGCUCCAACUCGGUCUAAACUUGCCUCUAGGGUCGCUGAUCAAUCCCCUGAGGACUUUCAAGACUAGGUCACCUCUCUGGAAUUUCCUAGGCUUGACCCUCUUUCUGAAUGCACGGGUCAUCUUCCUCUGAUAGGCCUGAACAUGAUAUGCCGCCCUCAAUCUCUUCUCAUCCAACAGGCUAAGCUGAUCAUAACGAGACUGGGCCCACUCGACCUCGGAUAUAUGCUGCUCUAGUGCUACUCUCAAAGAUCUCAUCUCAAUCUCAACAGGUAGCACUGCCUCCAUACCAUACACCAAAGAAUACGGGGUAGCUCCAAUAGAGGUACGAAAAGAUGUACGAUAAGCCCACAAUGCGAAAGGGAGCUUCUCUGACCAAUCCCGAGAAGUCUCGACCAUCUUUCUCAAAAUCCUCUUGAUAUUCUUAUUUGCGGCCUCAACUGCUCCAUUAGUCUGCGGCCUGUAUGCAGACGAUCUGUGAUGUUGAAUGCCAUACUCUUGAAUCAACGUGUCCACCUCGCCCUUGAAAUGCACCCCUCUGUCUCAGAUCAGCUCAUGAGGGACCCCGUAUCGGCAGAUAAUAUGCGAUCUGAUGAACUUGGCCACUCUAGCCGCUGUCAAUCUAGCAUAAGAAGCAGCUUCCACCCACUUGGUGAAAUAGUCAAUGACAACCAAAAUGUACUCAUGCCCACUGGAAGACUUGGGCGAGAUCUUCCCAAUAAUAUCAAUACCCCAUACUGAAAAUGGCCAAGGGGAUGCAAGUGCAUGCAACUCAGAAGGUGGCACGUGUAUCAAGUCUCCAUGCAUCUGACACUCCUGACAUUUCUGUACAAACUGGCAACAAUCUGUUUCCAUGGUCAACCAAAAGUAGCCAGUCCUCAUGAUCUUACGUGCUAGCAUAUGACCUCCCAUGUGUGGGCCACAGACCCCUGCAUGAACCUCUCUGAUCACUCGAUCUGCAGAUGCACGGUCUAAACAUAAUAAUAACAAGCCAUCAGGUGAUCUCCUAUACAGCGCAUCCCCGCAAACAACAAAUCUGGUGGCCAACUGUCUCAAUGCUCUCCUAUCCUUGGCCGAGGCUGACUCUGGGUAAGCGCCGCAUGACAGAAACUGAUAAAUAUCAUGAUACCAUGGCAGCUCAAUCUAAUCCUCUAUCUCUCCAAUCAGACAAUAGUAAGCUGGUGCAGACCUAGUCUCAAUCAGCUAUGGCCUAACAUUCACCCCCGUAGGGAUCACAAUCAGAGAAGCCAAGGUGGCUAAUGCAUCGGCAAACUGAUUCUCCGCCCUGGGCAAAUGUAUAUACCUUAACACAUCAAAUAUAUCAAUCAAUAGGUCCAAGUAAGCAUGGUAGGGUUUCAGCUUCUCAUCCCAUGUCCUCUAGAUACCCUGAGUCUGCUUUAUAACCAAGUUGGAAUCCUCGUGGAUCUCCAACUGUCUAAUGCCAAGAUCAAGUGCAGUCUCCAAACUUGUAAUGCAAGCCUCAUACUCUACAAUAUUAUUCGUCAACCGGUGAUGAUCAGAAAAUGCUAACCGGACUGAUCUGGGGAUAUGAUCACCCUAUGGUGAUAUCAAUAAGAUACCAAUGCCAAACCCCGACUGAUUGGCGGCACCAUCAAAGUACAAUCGCCACCCCGUAAUACUAGUCAUUGAAACAAUCUGCUCAUCAGGGAAAUCAUCAUCAACUGAUCGGUCAUCGGAUAUCGGCAAAGAAGCUAGAUGAUCUGCAACAAUGCUUUCCUUUACUGACUUCUGCGUGACAUAAUGAAUAUCAAACUCUGUCAACAAUACCAGCCAUCUCAUGAGCCUACCGGUCAGAACAGGCCUGUCAAAUAGAUACCUCAACAGGUCCAAUCGUGAGACCAAGAGCACAGAAUACUCUGUCAUGUAAUGUCUAAGUCUUCUAGUGGCCCAAACCACUGCUAAGCAAAGGCGCUUAAUCAUAAUGUACUUGCACUCUUACUCAAGCAUCCUUUUACUCAAAUAAUAGAUGGCUCGCUCCUUCCCUUAAUCAUCAAGCUGAGCUAACAUGCAUCCUAAGGCCAUGUCUGAAACUGAUAAGUACAGAAGCAAAGGACGCCCCGGUGUGGGAGGCACUAAAACCGGAGGAGAAAGGAGACACUCCUUAAUCCUCUCAAAAGCGCGCUGACAAUCAUCAUUCCAAACUAUAGGUUGAUUCUUCCUCAGAAGGCGGAAGAUAGGCUCACAAAUGUCUGUCAGUCUAGCAAUGAAACGACUGAUGUACUGCAAUCUACCUAGGAAUCCCCUUAUCUCUUUCUCAGUCCUCGGGGUAGGCAUGUCAAGUAUGGCUCUGAUUUUCUCUGGAUCAACCUCUAUACCUCGCUCACUAACAAUGUGUCCCAACAAUUUUCCAGAAGUCACCCCAAAGGUGCACUUCUUGGGAUUCAAUCUCAGCUUGAACUGUCUGAUCCUCUCAAAAAACCUUUGUAAGGCUGCUAAGUGAUCUGCCCUAUCUCGGGACUUUACUAUCAUGUCAUCCACAUAGACCUCGACAUCUCUAUGCAUCAUAUCAUGGAACAGAGUAGUAGCAGCUCUCUGAUAAGUGGCUCCUGCAUUCUUCAACCCAAAUGGCAUAACUCGAUAGCAAUAAGUACCCCACUCAGUAAUGAAAGAAGUCUUCACCAUAUCCUUUGGAGCCAUCAAAAUUUGAUUAUACCCAGAAAAACCAUCCAUGAAGGAUAACAUCGGAUGCCCUGCAGUGCUAUCAACCAGCAUAUCAAUGUGUGGAAGGGGAAAAUCAUCCUUAGGGCUAGCCUUAUUCAGAUCUCGAAAGUCAACACAAACUCUAACCUUGCCGUCUUUUUUGGGAACAUGGACGACAUUAGCCAGCCACUCAGGAUACUCAACCACUGACAAGAAGCCAACACUGAGUUGCUUCUGAAUUUCUUCCUUAACCUGCAAACUCCAUCGAGGGUGUAGUCUCCUCAAUUUUUGCUUAACGGGCCUAGCAUGUGGUAAAAUGGGCAGGUGAUGCUGCACUAUGGUGGGGUCAAGGCCCGGAAUGUCCUCAUAUGACCAUGCAUAUACAUCCAAGUAUGGCCUAAGCAGGUCAAUCAAUCUACUCCUCUCAUCAGGAGAUAGAGAAGAGCCAAUCCUAAUCUCCCUAGGCUGAUCUGGUGCCCCAAAAUCUAUCAACUCUGUGCUACUAGAAAUGGGUGUGACUUUCCUAUCCUCUGUAUCAGAAUCACACUCUGACUGACCACCUAGUGGGUCAUCUGUAUCUCCCACAUCAUCAACAUCAUAUAUAUGUGUCGUGGGUGCUGGUGGUGCAAUCAAAGGAAAAUGUUGUGACACAUUCAAGUACUCGAAAAUACUCAUAUCAUUAUUACCAUAAAAAAUAUCAUCAAAGCGAGUGACAAACCCGGACAUAGUGUCAAAAGAAAGAGGUGGGUCCACAGAGUCGGACGCUCCCUCAACAGAAGCAAAAUCAGAAGAAACGACAUCAAGGACUGACUCAUCAUCAAGUACUGAAACUCCAGAUAUGUCAAAAGCAGAAAGGGGCCCGCGUGGGGCUGCAUCAAGGAUACGACCAAUGCCUAUAAAAUCCAUAUCAUCAGUGUAGGCAUCAGGAAUAGAGUCAUCAUCAUCAGUCUCGAUUACAAAAACUCCAAACAUGUCGAAAACAGUAUAGGGCCCGUGUGGCGCUGCAUCGAAGAUACGGCCUAUGCCGAUCAUGUCCAUCUCGUCAGUGCCAUAUCCCAAAUCCAUAGGUAGGUCAUAGUCAGGGACCUCCUCGGGGAAACACAUUGAGAACAUACUAGCUCGGUCCGGUGAUGGGGGCGUGACUAUCAUGGCACCAGGUGCCUCAGUAGUCCCGGUGUCCAAAUGAAUCUGACCCAAGGCCUGCUGGAUGUCCUGAAUCUCAACUGUCUCUGGAAUGUGAACAGUCCCCUCUGUGCGAGGUGUAUGCUCUGAACCCCUAAUGAAGUAGUCGGCCAACUGGAAGGUGUAUGGGCGGAGGGGAUAAUCAAAUGGAAUGCCAGACAUGCGAGCCCUCACCCUAUCCCUGCGCAGCUGUGACAUAUAACGUGCAUCAGCCUCUGUGGGGAUGUAACCUAAUCCGUAGGGCGUGUCGUGAUCAACUGUGAAAGUAAACUCGUGGGGCCCCUACUGGCGGCAACCCAAUCCCAUACUAGGCAAAUAAGACAUGCCUCUCAUCAUGCUGAGCACCAAAGUGCUGUUGUGCUGGUCAAAUGACAUAGGUACCAUAUCUCUGCUGCCAUCCUCUAAGCUGAUAACCUGAACCUCAUCGAACGUAAACCCGGUCAAAUAUAAGUCAUCCUGACUGUGACUGAUAUGUAAUACUGGCUCAGACGAAGUGAUAAUAUCUCUAUCAGACUGUAUCGUGAUAAUGCGCCCCUCGUGUAUGAACUUCACCUUCUGAUGAAGGGAAGAUGGUAUAGCACCGGCCUCAUGAAUCCACGGGCGGCCAAGAAGUAGGUUAAAAGAUGAUUGAAUCCUCAAAACCUGAAAUACUAUGGAGUAACUAAUUGGCCCAAUCAUGACAUGUGUACUGAGUGUACCCAUAACUGUCCUCUGAGUCCUAUCAUAAGCUCUAACAGUCUGUGUAGAAGGCCCAAAAUCAUCUGGUGAAAACCCAAGUGCAAUGGCAGUAACCAAUGGACAGACGUUCAGGGCAGAGCCGUUGUCCAAUAGAACAGACGGCACCCGGCUGCCUAAACAAGCAACAUCAAUGAAUAAGGGUCGAACAUGAUUUGAUCCCUCUGGUGGCAAGUCAUCAUCAGAAAACACUAUACAUGUAGCUCUAUCAGUUGUCAACAUGUGAAUAAGCCCCUCUGGGGUAGUAGUAGUGUCAACCCUAAUCUGGCCAAGGGCUCUGACUAAUGCAUCUCUGUGUGUACUAGAUGAGGCCAAAAGGCUCCAAAUGGAUAUGCGAGCCUGAGUAGUGCGUAGCUGGCGUAAUAUCUCAUCAUCUUCUCUCUGAACCUCCUCUCUAGCAGCUAUACCAGCAAAUGACCUGUCAACGGGUGGAGGUUGUGCUACCCUUCCACUCCGUGUAACUAUCUGAACAUCUCUAUGAGGGGGCCUAUAUUCCUCUGGGAACAGAAUGAAGGGUGUCAUAGGUGGCACAUGCUGUAAGUAUACUGGUGAUACUGGAGGCGGCCCAUAAAUCUUGUCCGGGGUCAAACUGAAUGGCCUGGGGAUCUGCUGUCUAGGUAUAUAUCCAACAAAAUCUGACUCCUCAUAUAGACUGAUCGUCUGAGGAGCCUCUCCAUCCCAACCCAUCAUAAAUAUCUCAUCCCCUACAAACUCAAUCAAAUGUACCCCUUCCGGGGGUGGAGGUACUGCUCUAGUGUCAUGAGUAGGUAGCGGGUCUGUGGCUACACCCGGGCGCCCCAAAUCAACCAAGCCCUGAUCAAUUAAAUCCUGAAUGGCAUGUCUAAGUGCUGAACAACUGUCUGUAUCAUGGCCUGCUCUCUGAUGGUAGGCACAGUGAAGAUCUGUCCUGAAUCCUGGGGGGGUAGGCUGUAGUGGUGGUCUAGGCGGUAGUGGGGCAAUCAGUCCCCCCUCAACCAAUCUCUGAAAAGCUCGGCUCAGUGGCAUCCUAAGCUGUGAACUGUCUAACUGGCCUCGGUGGAGGCGGUGCUCUAUACUGAUGAUGGAACUGCAUAGGCGGCCUCUAGGGUGCCUGUGUAGCAUAUACAGGCUGUGGUGGCGGAUGUAGAUAAGUAGGCCCUACUGGCCUAAUGGGAGCAACUGGUCUGUACUUACCAUGUUGUAUCAUCUGAUAAGGAGUGCCUAAAAACUGACUCUGAAACGGAGGACGACGUGAAGACCGGUGUCCUGUCAUGCCAAUAGUACCAACAUCUGAGGGCCUGAGACCUAAUCCCGACUUCUUCCCCUUUGAGUCUGAAGGGGAAGAAUCUACCUAUAAACCUCUAGAUAUACCCUCCUCAAUGCCAUAGAGGGCCUGCACUAAUGAGCCAAAGUCUGUCUGAGGGAAGCCCAUGAGAUGCCUAGCAAAGUAGGGCUGAAGGCUGCGCAUAAUCAUACUAAUUUGAUCGCGCUCUGAAGGUUUUAUCAAUAAUCUGUGCUAUCUUCUCCCUCCAACGGGAGAUGAAUGAAGUGACUGUCUCAUCUGGCCCCUGCCUAAGGGCCUCUAACUCCCUCCGAGAUACAUCCACUAUAGUAUUGAAAGAAUACUGUCUAAUAAACUCCUGUCCCAAAUCAGCCCAUGUCCUACGUCUCGAAAGGUCCAAUGAGGCAAACCAACGCUGAGCAGCACCACUCAAUGACAGAGGGAAGAACAUAAUCAUUUGUGCCUCAUCCAGUCUAUGCCCAUGCAUAACAGUGCUAUAUAACUGCAAGUGAAUACGGGGGCACCCUAUCCCCGCGUAUCUCUCAAUGUCCGGCAUGUGGAACUCAACAGGCAAAGCUGCUACUAGCAUAUCAUCAUAUCCAUCCCAACCCAUAAUCCCAUCAGAAACAUGUAGUGAUCUCAUUCUCUGCUCAAUCUUAUCAAUAUGAGUCUGGGUAUCAUCAACAAUCUGUGCCGGUGCCACAACAGAAUGCGGCGUAGUCUCAGUCUGACCAUGCAACACAAAUGCUCCAGCCUGGGGAGCUGACUGAACUGGUGGUGGUGGAACUAUGUAGUCCUACUGUAUAGUAGGUCCAGAUGGCCCAGAUGGUGGUGGUGUGGUAGAGUCAUGUAGGGUGCUCCCCGGAAUCGGCAAUGGCUGGGCCUAGUGCCCAUCAAUCCUCUGACUUAGUCCUAAGAUAGCGUCCCUAAGUGAUGCCAUGGUAUCGGUAAUCUCAGCCAACUGGUCAACGGUAGCGUACUGAGGGUCCAUAUCUCUAUGAUCUGGUAUCUGCUCUAACUGGCUGGGUGAAUCCGAUCCUCUAACCAGUCUAUCUCCAAUCAGGAUCCAAGCUCGGGAACCCAGGUCGAUCUCAAUCAAUAAUCCUACAAAAGGAAAGGGGUACGUCAGUCCCCGUGACUAUCAAUCUUGAAAUCAAACUAGGAACGUAUAACUAAAAUCUUCCGAGAGAAUGAACUGACAUGUGAUGUCAAUAGCUAAACUGAUAUACGGUUCCACAGGCAGGAACGUGAUUCUGACAUGGUGAUACCUCAGGGGUAAUGUGGCUCAAAAGUAAAAAAAAAAGAGAAAAGGCAAGUCCUAAAAGACUAGAUGACUGUACCCACAGGAAUACGCAACCUAAGGUCCUAACUAACAAUCAAUCAACAAUCAAAGUGACAUGCUGGCCACACAUGUAUCCAUGAAAUCUAGCUCAGGGCUAUACAGGUCUUCAUUGCUCAGAUAUCCAUCUUUUCCAUAGUGCUCCCAAACAUCGAUAUAGCCCUUAUGCUAGACCCUAUUCCAAACCCCUAGCUUGGUCGAAGGCAAACAAUUGGAAAUGACUCCAAACAAACACAAGCAAUCCAUGAGGAAUAGUUGACCAAGACUAGUGAUUCGGAAGUAAGGGGAUACACACGUGCCCCACAAACACAAGCAGCAAGCAGUCAUGCAAGGGAAGGAGCAGUCAUGCAGAAAAUAGUCAUGCACAAAGAGAUAGCCUACCACACAUCUACACACAAUCUAAUCAUCUAAGUCUAAUCCCAAAUGUCAUAGCUAGAUACCAAUCAACAAUGAGCAAGCAUGCUAGAAUCCAACAGGUGAACACACAAGCAACAACACAUCACAGGUGCAAGCCAAAUACCAGCCAACUACGUGAUCAUCAGUCAUCUAUGUAGCCUAAGAGUCUACUUAUCAAUGAACCAUGUGCUCCGAUAUACCCAACUCAAGUUCAAGCUUGAUCUUCUUAUGAAACCAGAGAUUCUGGGUUCGAUCCCCAGUGGAGUCGCCAAUUUGUGGACCCUCACCUGAUCCACCGGACCAACGUGACUCGCUUUUAAAAGAAAAGAAAGAAAUGAAAAAGUUGGUGUUUUCCAGUUUUGAAAAACCCGUCCCCGGUGAGGAACGGUGUUGUUUGGAGUCGCCACUUACUUUUUAUUUUUGUUUUUAAAAUGGUGGAAAAUUAAGUAAGAACAAAAACCCCUAAUGGCCCCAAUAUGGAAAAAGCGGUCUACGAAAACUAGAUUCUGGGUCUAGGGAUCAGGUUACCCGUUGGGAAGGUACCUCAUGCGAGGUAGCACCCCUCUAGGCCCGAAACUCGGUCUCUACUAAUGAAUUGGGUAUGUGGGAGCAUAUGGGUCAAAGGUCAAAUGAAACCCUAGGCUAAAUAGAUGUCAUGAAUCACACAAUCCUAAUUGGCAUUUGGCAUGCAUAUGAAUUCAACCAAAUAAAACAAUGGGUGCGUACCUGUGGUCCCUAGCCAAACGCUGCAUAAAAGGUCAGCCAAACACAGAUAAACACAUAACAAACAUUCAAGAUUAAACACCAUGCAUGGAUAUGAAUUCAACAACCAAAGCCAACGAUGCGUACCUAUAGUCCCUAGCCAAGCACUACAGCAGAGGGUGAGUCAGUCACGCAACAUGUAUUCAAAAUCAAGCAUCAAAGCUUGUGCCAAAAAGGAAGAUAGCUGGUUGAAAUGAGGUAAGGGACUCCCCAAAUGUCAUACAAAUUGAACUAGACUCAUCUAGACCACACCACCCAUAACUUCAAAAUUGCCCAUACUAACUGAAAUCAAACACUGACUUAAACCUUCAAGAUGGCUCACAAGUGCCCUAUAGCAAAUGGGUUUGAGCCCCCAUGGAUAAGGGCUCGAAAAAUGCCAAAAUCGAGGGCUACCUAAAGUCCUCCAGCAGAACAGGUUGAACUAGUUCUCAACUGGUACAACCUAUUGAGAAGAAUUCCCAAAUUUUUCUAGAAAACUCCUAAAUGAGUGAAGAUUCAAACAAAAGAAACGACACUCAAUCCCGAGCCCGAAUGAGUGAGAACCAGACAAAGAAAGGCAGGUGUUCCUCAUGGCUGACAGAAGCAGCCAGCUAUGGUGCUGAACCGGUUGAACCGGUGCCCAACCAGUUCAUCCGGUUGAUAAAAAAUCCAAAAUUCGAUCAGAAAGUUCCUAAGUGAUUAAGGAAGCAAAAAAAAGAAACGGUUCUCAAUUCUGAGCUCGGAUGAGUGAGAACCAGACAAAGGAAGGCAAGUGUUCCUCAUGGCUGACAGUGGCUGCCAGCUAUGGUGCUGAACCGGUUGAACCGGUUCCCAACCAGUUCAGACAGUUGGUAAAAAAUCCCAAAUUCAGUCAGAAAGUUCCUAAGUGAUUAAGGAAGUAAACAAAAGAAACGGUUCUCAAUUCUGAGCCUGGAUGAGUGAGAACCAGACAAAGAAAGGCAGUUGUUCCUCAUGACUGACAGAGGCUGCCAGCUAUGGUGCUGAACUGGUUGAACCGGUUCCCAACUGAUUCAUCCGGUUGGUAAAAAAUCCCAAAUUCAGUCAGAAAGUUCCUAAGUGAUUAAGGAAGCAAAAAAAAGAAACGGUUCUCAAUUCUGAGCCUGGAUGAGUGAGAACCAGACAAAGAAAAGCAGGUGUUCCUCAUGGCUGACAGAGGCUGCCAGAUAUGGUGCUAAACCGGUUGAACCGGUUCCCAACUGGUUCAGACGGUUGGCAAAAAAUCCCAAAUUCGGUUAGAAAGUUUCUAAGUGAUUAAGGAAGCAAACAAAAGAAACGGUUCUCAAUUCCGAGCCUAGAUGAGUGAGAACCAGACAAAGAAAGGCAGGUGUUCCUCAUGGCUGAUAGAGGCUGCCAGCUAUGGUGCUGAACCGGUUGAACCGGUUCCCAACUGGUUCAUCCGGUUGGUAAAAAAUCCCAAAUUCGGUCAGAAAGUUCCUAAGUGAUUAAGGAAGCAAACGAAAGAAAUGGUUAUCAAUUCCAAGCCCGGAUGAGUGAGAACCAGACAAAGAAAGGCAGGUGUUCCUCAUGGCUGAUAGAGGCUUCCAGAUAUGGUGCUGAAUCGGUUGAACCGGUUCCCAACCGGUUCAGCUGGUUGGUAAAAAAUCCCAAAUUCAGUCAGAAAGUUCCUAAGUGAUUAAGGAAGCAAAAAAAAAGAAACGGUUCUCAAUUCUGAGCCUGGAUGAGUGAGAACCAGACAAAGAAAGGCAGGUGUUCCUCAUGGCUGACAGAGGCUGCCAGCUAUGGUGCUGAACCGGUUGAUAAAAAAUCCCAAAUUCGGUCAGAAAGUUCCUAAAUGAUUAAUAACCAAUCAACAACAAUCAUGUGUGGCCUUUAUUAUCCACACCCAAGCAAUUCAAUCUUCAUAUCAAAGGGAAGAAAAGAUGAUGAGGAAGGAGAAAAAGCAUAUGAAGACGAGGAAGAUAAACUAUAAGUAAAGAAAAUUCAGCAUGCUUACCUCAGAAUCUCCACCAAAUAUGAUCCGUGUAUGCAGAUGAUGACUUCCAAAACUGAGAUGCUGUCACUCUCCUCUUCAAAAAAACCACAGUGCUGAAGCUUUCCCCCACGCUCUCAACUCAGAAGAUGCUACUGACCUUUUGUUUUUCUCACCAGCAAAAUUUCCCCUCUCCAAAAUGUCCCCUCCUAUCCUUUGCUCUCCUAUCCUCUCACCUUUUAUACUCAUACCCCUCUUAGCAUUUGAGCCUCCUAGAUUCCUUCCCCUUCAGCACCGAAAUCCCCUUCAUCAGCAUGGGAACCACACCCCUCAUUACUUCUCUUAAACUUACGAGGCCAGCUCACUCCUUUAGUUUUCAGCUUGCUUCACCACCAAGAAUCCAUAUGGAUUCGUGGUGGGCUGCAAAGAACCCAAACCAAGGCCCAAAAUGGACCCACAACAUUGCCCAAAACCGAUCUGGAGCUUACGGGCCUGAGCCAUGUAGGAUUUGGGCCUCAAAAUUACUAGAAUUAGUGUUUUACUUCAGCUGACUCAAUGAACCGGCUGAACCGGAUGCCAACUGGUCGAACCGAUGGAAAAAAAUUCUGAAAAUUUGAUAGAAUGUUCCUAGUAGAGUAAGGAAUCCACUAAAAAAAAACGGUGCGUGAUUCCAAGUUCAGAAGAGGGAGAUAUGAUCAAAACAAUUACCAAAAAUCAGUGUUCUACACCGGCUGACUCGAUGAACCUGCUGAACCAGCUGAACCGGCUGCCAACCAGCCGACCGGUUGCAAAAAAUUUUGAAAAUUUUACAGAAUGUUCCUGGAAGAAUAAGGAAUCCAUAAAAAGAAACGGUUCUUGAUUCUGAGUUUGGAUGAGGGAGAUACGAUCAAAACAAGCCCGAGUGCUCCGAACCUCAACAUGCCCCUAUAAACUCCAACUAAGCUAAAACAUCGGGAUGACCCCACUUCCUUCCUAUAGCGUGAUGUGAACGACUAGGAAAAUGGCCAUGGUGACCCUCCAAAAUGAACCACAUAUGCACCACAAUGGACCACAGACAAACCCACACGAGGUUCGGACACCGACUAAGUCCAAAAGGGGCCCUAGUGGUGCAUAUGCGAACGAUGGGUGGAUGUGACACCCGAAGGAUAAAUGCCAGUGUCGAGGGACAAAAUUGAGGGUCUACAGGUACCUUGGUAGACUAAGGUGAUUUUAGAAUUAACAUGCCAAGCAAAAAAAAGUCAAAUCAUGAUCACAAAAGAAAGUCAAAGUGCGUACUUGGACUGCUUCUUAAAUGCUAUCAUAAAACAUCAAAGUUAGCAUAGAAAUAUAGUACACAACAUGUAUUUUGUCCAAACAAAUCUAACAUACAUCUAAGCACCCAAGGAUAGAAUCAAAGAUAGAUAAGACUUACAACAACAUGCAUGUUCAUAAAAUUCUAAAAAAGUAAGUGAUAGAGAGCAUACCGUGAUAGCGUGCAUAAUUUAUAAGAUUCCUCCAAAAAUGUUAGAAUGGUUAGGACCAGUAUGAAUUAUAUAACCUAUUCAUAGUGUCUAAUAUACAAUACUAAAACCAAGAAACUAAGCCAAUAUAAGUCAAAGGACCCCAAAAAUAAAUAACAAGUUUAGGCAAAAUACAAAAUCAUUAGCAUGCAACUAGUAAAGAGAGCAUUAGAAAACAAUUUAUAAAAAAAAAGACGUCUUAGAGUGGAAGUUAAUUGCAAAAAAAUUUCAGGAAACAACUCCUACAUAUCUAAAACAAGAUACCAAAAGUCAAACACUCAUUCAAUAAAUAGAUUGCAGCAAAAACACCUAAGGGUUCUACAAAGUCCAGAUUAGAUAAGAAAUAGUGACAUGCAUAACAAAAAAUUUUAAAAUAAUAAUACAUCACAUAAAUUAGUACAAAAAAUCACGUACAUCAUUCUAGGUGUCUAUAUUACAAGGAAAAUAAAUUUAGGGUUGGGUAAUACUCAAAUAUAUUUUUAAGAUGCUCCAACUAAUCAGAUGUCUAGAUUCCAUCAUGCACAGUAAGUACGAUUUUGGAAAAUCAUAUCUCCCUCAAAAAGGUAUAUUUUCUAAUAUUUUAUGUAUUUAAGAUCAAUUUCAAGAAGCUUAAAAUUGAGUAAAAACAUUAAAUCAAAUUUUAAAAGUUUUCUGGUAUUUUAUUUUUGCAAAAAUAUUUCAGGUGUCCAGAACUAGGUGAAAAUGGAGCCUCCCUAAAGAUUCAUUUAUAUCUUCGAUUCCAUAAUGGCUUUCUAACUCAAACAAAAAUUUAAAUUCAAGUUCAAGAAAUGAUGAAAGCCAUAAAAGUUUUGGAAAAUUUUUAAAAACAUUCUAAAGUUGCUAAAGUGAAUUUUAAAUUUAAAGGGUCAGUGGUUGAGUAAAAACUGAUAGCAAGGAAGAGUUUUGAAAAUUUUUCUUAUGUAGGGGUUUCACCAAUUCCCUAGUUGGUAUACACAAAUCUAGCCUAGAAUCAUCCCAUUUAUUUGGGAACACAAGCUUUGAUUCGUGUUUUGUUCAAAACCAAAAUUUUCAUUGAAAACCGAGAAAGAUGCGAACAACUCAAAACAUGGUUGCAUAUUAUUUAAGAAAAUGAGAUUUUGAUUCUAAGGACUCUAAAUGAGUUUUUGAAAUAGAUUUUUAAAGGGAUCUUUUGAGAAAAGUGUUAUAUUUUAAAAUAAGAGAAAUUAAUUUGAGAACAAUAAAACGUAUGAGAAAGAGAAUACCAGGCAAAACAAAUGGAAACAAAAUCACAAAGUAAAAUGUUUGGUAACCAAGCAAACUGAAAUGGUGUGAAUGGAGGCCAAUCUUCAUUAUUUUCCGAUGACCUUUGAAAAGUAAAUUUUACCAGAGACUACCUAAGCAAUAAAAUAUUCAAUCUUAAAUCAAUUAAAGUAAUGACUAAUAUUCAAGAAACAAAUCAAUUAAGAGAAUUAAUAACGAAUUAGCACGUGAUCGAUUAAACACACAAACGCAUCUAGACCGAUUAAAAUGGACCAAAUUAAAUCAGGGCAAAUAUGAAUUUUCAAUCAUAGAAUUAAUUUUGUUAGUGAGCUAAUAUUACAUAAAAUACUUGAAUUGAAUAGAUGAGUGAAAAUCAUAGUAAACUAAGCAAGGCACCUUCUAAAUGUGAAUUUUAUUAAUAACAUAGAUUAUAAAAAAUACCUAAAACAAUUAAAAUGAAUCAAAUGAAAUGAAAGCAAGCUAAAACAAAAUAUGAGUUCAUGGAAUCAGAUUCCUAAAUGAAUUUACAUUAUCAAAUUGAAAUCUAAGCUCAAAAUGAAUUAAACACUAAGGCAAAUUCAAAAAUCAAAAUAUUUAACACCUAAGAUCAAUUAUUUCGACAAACUAAAAUUUUACCAUAACCAAAAAUUAAAUUAGAAAGCUACCCAAAACAAAUUUCUAACCUAUAAAGUUAAACUCAUAAUCAAAUGGAUAAGUUGAUAACAUAUAAAUAAAUAAAUAUGAAUGAAAUGAAAUAUAAACUCAUGGAAUAUUUUUUUUUUUAAUAGACUUACGUUACUAAAAUGAAAUUUAAGCUUAACAAACAUUUUUAACACUAAUUAAGGCAAGUUUAAAAUCUAAUACUUAACACUUAAAAAUCAAUCAUUUCAACAAACUAAAAUUUUAAUUAAACCUAAAACCAAUUCAAACCACCUACAAUAGAAUUUUUUUAAUUUUUUCAUUUUAAACUGAAUUUUUAACCCAUAGGUUUAAUCUCAUUAAUAAAUAAAUAAAUAAGUUACAAAGCAUUAAAUUAGUAGCAAAUAAAUAAAUAAAUAAACAACUAAUAAUUAAAUGAAUCACAACUAAACUAAAUAAAAAUCAAAUUAUAUUUUUUUUUCAAAAGUAAAACUACAUAAAAUUGUAUUUUAUGAAUUUAAUAUAAUAUACCAAAACUAAACCUAAACACAACUCUAAUCUUUAAUCUAAUAAAUCAAAAGUUAAACAAAAAGUGAGAUUAUGUUGCCAUAUUAAAACGAGUACAUGCUAGAGCCAAUAAUAUAAGUCAAACCACCCAAUAUAAUAAUAAUUCCACUUGAAAAAAACUAAUCAAACUUUUGACUUUAUUGAAAACCCAUGCAAAUAAAAUACGAAUGACUCACCUAGUCAAAUUACCAAACAACUUGGUGGUGUGUAGCUGCUUUCACUUCUCCAAUGGUGCUCGGGAACGAUGGCGUGCUGGUUGGUGGGAAAUGAUCGAAUUUUCGGUUCCUCAACCAAUACAUUUUCAAGGAUGCAUGGAUGGAUGGGUUGUUGUCCAGAUGGUUCCGUCGGUGAAUUCAAACUGUCGCCUUUCUACUCUCAAAUAUCCCUGCACUGAUCCCUUCAAACAGUCUCUCUCGCUCGUGAUGAUCUCUGGAAGCAGUAGCAGUCCCCUUAUCUAAAUAGAAGCAACAACAGUUUGCUCCUCCUUAUCUUUCUUUCUUUAUGGCAGCUUUCUCCGCUCUGAAAAAAACUCCUUUCCGAUCUCUUCAAAUGAAACCCUUCCGCUCUUAAAAACUCUUCUUAUCGAUGCCUUCAAAAGGGCACCCUUUUGCUCUGAAAAACUCUUCUUACAUAUCUUGUCCAACAGCCUCUCUCCGCUCUCAAAAACUCCCUGCACCAAUGCCUUCAAACAACCCUUCUGAAGCUCUCAAAACUCUUCUUUCUCGAUCCCUUCAAAUAACCCCUCUCACCUUCUCACACUCUCAAAAUUCUCUUUCUCAAUCCCUUCAAAUAGCCCCUCUCACGCUCUUAAAACUCUCUCUCAAUCCCUUCAAACAACCCUUCUUACGCUCUUAAAACUUUUCUUUUUUAUCUCCUCUAACAGCCCCUCUCACACUCUCAAAACUCUCUCUCGAUCCCUUCAAACAAUAACUUCUCACGUUGUAAAACUCUCUCUCCUACCUCUAAAAUGGCAGCCUCCUCUCUCUGUAAAACUUCUUUUACUGAUCCCUUCCAACAGCCUCUCUCUACUCUCAAAAACUCCUUGUGCCUAUGCCUUCGAACAACCCUUCUCAAGCUCUCAAAACUCUUCUUUCUCGAUCCCUUCAAACAGUCUCUCACGCUCUCAAAACUCUCUCUUCCUCAUUCAAAAUAGCAAUCUCCUCUCUCUAUAAAACUCCUUCUCAAAUUGUCUUCCCUUCCCAAAGAAAACCAGCCAACAACCGCUUGAACACAACCCCCUUUUCGUCCACAUACACGUUGCACCCAUCUUCUUUAACUUGCCAAAAUCAGCCAUGGUAAUUUUCCUUUCAAAAGGAAAAAUGACGCCAUUCUCUGGACUGAUUCUCUGCUUUCUAAAAAAUCAGAAAUCACAGCCCCUCAUCACGUAAUUUCCACUUAGUGCAUUGAUUGUUGAUUGUUGCCACUGUCAUAUCUCUAUUAGGAAGCUUAACAAAUCAACAACUACAACUCUGCUUCAUGUCGUCUCCAUUGAUGAAAAUACCUUCAACGACGCUAUUAGGAGAAACUAUUUCCUCAUCCCCUGUGAAAUAGAAAGCAAAUAGUAAAAAAAAAAAAAAAAAAAAAAUCAUGUAGUUGAAAUUUUAAAAUUUAAAAUUAAAAUUAUGCAAUUAAAACUAAGAUAUCAAACACAUUAAAAGAAUAAAAAUAUGAAGCUCAAGCAAUUUCCUACAAAAAUAAAUAGAUGAAUAAAGUAAAGUAAAUAUACAAAUAUAUUUGAGAUAUCAAUUCAUGCAAUUAGAAAAAAACUAAAGUCUAAAUUCUCAUGGAAUUUUCCAAAAAAGUGAAUAAGAAAAUGAAUAAAACUAAUAAAUAAAUAAAUAAGUAAAUAAAAUAAAAUAAAAUAAGAAAAUCAAGCACAUGCUAGUCAUACAAGCCAUGAAACCCUACUUGAAAGGUGACCUAAGCAAGAUUGGUAAAACUAAGUGGGCUAGUCAUGCCUAAAUGAGCCUAAAAAGAGUUGAAAUGUGUCUAAAUGAGCCCAAGUGUGCCUAAGUGGGCCUAAGGUGGUGCAUAACAGGCCUAAGGUGCCUAAGUGGGCCUAGUGGGCCUAUAUGUGCCUAGGGUGGUGCCUAAGAGGGCCUAGGGUGCCGAAGUGGGCCUAGUGUGGUGCCUAAGUGAGCAUAAGUCUAAAUUAGUGUUGCCAAGAUUCACAACAGGGUUAGAUAAACCCCUUAACCGAAGUUCCCAAGGUGGCUUAGAAAAGAUAGGCUACAUGAGUAGUAAUGGGCCACCAAAGAAUUACUGUAAAGUACUAGACAAAUACUUAAUAGGACAUAUGCUAGGAGGACAAAAUGGAGGGUCUACAAAUAUGCCCCUCUUCGGUAGAGAUCACGAGUGUAGGAAAUGUGACUAAAAAUACAAACAAUGAGUGGAAUGAAGUGAACUAUACCGAAAAACUAAAAGAAAAGGACCAAAGAUUUUGUCAUAGCGCGUGACAAGAGUAAACUCAGAAUACAGGGCCGCGAUCACAAAAAUGGAACAACUCUAGGUCAUGAGCUCAAGGCUCUACGUGGAAAGAAUGAUUAUGGGUCAUAAAUGAGAGAAACGACUCUGGGUCAUGAGCUCCAAGCUCUAAAUGGAAAAGAAAAUGACUCUGGGUCAUAAAUGAAAAAAUGAAUCUGGGUCGAGAGCUCUGGGCUCUAAAUGGAAAAGAAAUGACUUUGGGUCAUAAAUGAAAAUCGACUCUGGCCUGAGAGCAUUAGGCUUUAAAUGGAAAAGAAAUGACUCUGGGUCAUAAAUGAAAAAAUCAACUCUGGGCGAGAGCACUGGGCUCUAAAUUGAAAAGAAAUGGCUUUAGGUCAUAAAUGAAAAAAUGAAUCUAGGUCGAGAGCAUUGGGCUCUAAAUGGAAAAAAAAUGACUCUGGGUCAUAAAUGAAAAUAAUGGUGGCUUUAAAUGCCUAUGUAAAUGAUGGUUCUGAUGCCUACGAAAAUGGUGAUGGCUCUGAACGCCUAUGAAAAUGGUGGCUCUGAAUGCUUAUGAAAAUGAUGGUUUUGAACGCCUAUGAAAAUGAUGGUGGCUUUGAACGCCUAUGAAAAUGGUGGUGGCUUUGAAUGCCUAUGAAAAUGAUGAUGGCUCUGAACGCCUAUGAAAAUAGUGGCUUUGAAUGCCUAUGAAAAUGAUGCCUUUCAACACCUUUGAAAAUGGUGGCUUUGAACACCUAAAACUUAAAGAAGUGGCUUUGAAUGCCUAAAACUUGAAAAAGUGGCUUUGAAUGCCUAAAAUUAGAAGAAGUGGCUUUAAACACCUAAAACUGGAAAAGAUAGUGUCUCAAACGCCUGAGAUUGCAAAGAGAAAGUGGCUAUGAAUGCCAAAUUGAAGAUAUGAUGGUGGCUCUGAAUGCCAAGCUGUGAGGGAAUGAUGAAGGGAAAAAAAAACCUUAGUGUGGUGUGUCAUCACAAAUCUUGAUCCAUUGAAAGGGUCUAAAAGAGACUCCAUGAGUCUCAAAAGAUGCUCCGUCGAUGAGUCGGAAUGGUCAAAUCAACUAUAAAAUAAAGUCUCACAAUCCUUCUGACUAAAUCGAGGCCUAACAAAGUGUCCUAUAAUCAGGAUAUCUCUAACUCGAGAUACCUUGUUGGAGGAAUCUAUCGUCAUCUCAAAGGAACGAUCCACUGGCAGGUCUUAAGAAAAAUGGUCCAUUGGGGCAAUUAUCACUACCCCAACAUAAUAAUCGACUGAAAAGUCAUAGAUAACGAGACAGUCAAAACCCAAAAGUCAGGCUCCUUUGAGGGCUCAUCUCAGCAUAAAUCAUCGAUACUGUAACUAGUAAUGCAAAUAAAUAUCCCUCAGCUAAAUAAAGAAAAUGGUAAUAGCUUUGUGAGAAGACAAUCAUCUCCACAACAUAAAAGGGGAAUAUGCCCCAAUAUAGCAACUGACGUAUCUUGCCAUGUGGGUAACUGAGGAAAAUAUGCCUCAGUAUAGCAACUAGUACAUCUGGUCUGUCCUGAUGACUCAAGAAUAACUUAAUGGGUAUGUAUAAGAGAUCUGACAUGUGCUCCACUGAAAUGAUGAUAUGGGAGUCUAUGCGUCUAAGACAACUCCAUCAAAGAAUCACGAUAAUAUCAGAAAGUAUGAGCCUGACUGAAUGACUCAAGAAAGACUCCACUAGGGAAUCAUUGUAAAAUAAAAACAAAUAAUCAACUCGACAUGUAUCUCAUAAAUGGGGAUGAUCAUGCAAAUCAAUGUAGAUCUACAAAUCUCAACCGAAAUGGAAAUAUGCCCCAGUAUGGCAUUAAAUGUGUGGCAGGUAAAAAAAAAAUUAGAUGACACCCAAUCAUCCAUCACCAAGUGUGUAAUCCUAGCCAUCCAUGUCAACAGGUGAAUCAGAUCCACAUAUCAAAAGGUGUAUCUCGGAAGAAUAAGCAUGAGAACAUCUAAAUAUAAAAAAAAUGUGGUCAUGACUCAAUGACCCAAAAGAGGCUCCACUAGGGGAUCAUGAUAAGUUAACAAAUAGGUCAUCGUCUUGGUGUGUAUCUCAUAAGUGGAGAUGAUCAUGCAACUCUAUGAAGAUCUAUAAAUCUCAAACGAAAGGGAAAUAUGCCCCAAUAUGGCAUCAGAUGUAUGGUAGAUAAAAAAAAAAGGAAAAAAAUUUCAAAUGACAUCGGAUCAUCCAUCAUCAAAUGUGCAAUCUCAAUCAUCCAUAUCCAUAACUGAAUUGAGUCCAAACAUCAGAGAGAUGUCUCUCAUAAGAAGAAUCUCGAUAAUACCUAAAUAUCAACCAAAUCUCAAAAACCUGUCCAAGUAGGGGCUAUUGAAGAUGACAUUUGAUCUCAUGGCCUUAGGGUGGUCUUAAGACAUGGGACGUAACGUAGGCUAGGGCUAUAGGGUAAUAGAAAUGAAGGAAAACUAGGCCCAAAUACCCAAUAAUAAAAAACCCAUGCCCUUGUGUAUAAUGCGACAUGUAUAGAAGAACUCGUGAGCCAUGGACCCAAGGUAACUAAGGAAAAUGUCUAUGGUGGAACAAGAAAAAAGGAUAAGUGUUCAAACUAUCAAUGAAAUGUGUGAAUGAUGUGUAGAAGGUAUCGAACCAGAAAUGUGUCAAUAUGUAGGAAAUGGAUAAAAGGUGUAAGGCAGAUCUGGAAGGAGGUGAUGGGAUUCAAAAUAAAGCAAUGAGAAAGUGGAAUGAAUGAUGAUCAACCCAUAUCAGUACAAUAAAGGAAAGUUAUAUCACCAAUGAUGGAAUGGUGGGUGAGACAAUGAUCUGGAGACCCUAAUAAAAGGUUACUCAUCUCUCAUAUGUUACUCAUAUCUCAUGCCUAAUACAUAUCAACCUUGAUCCAAGAAGCAUAGGAUCUCAUAGAACUCUCACAUGAACCCUUGACACUCCGAAUGCAUAAUGAAAGUGACUUAAGGAGCGAAAAGUCCUCAUGGAAAACUCAUGCAAACCCUCAAUGAUAAACUCGAUAAACCCUUAAAUAACAACACAUGCUCAAUGGAGUAGGAUGGCAAGUACAAACAUAUCACUACACCUUUUUUUUUUUUUUGUGUGUGCACAUGCCUUGGUCAUUAAUAAAUCUUACUCCAAUGAGAAACUAAAAGGAAUGAAUAAACUCCCUUAAAUUACUAACGAACACAUGAAACCGCAUCCCAUGAGAUAAACCCUCAAGCUAAAAUCUACGAGUCAAUGUCAAAUGAUGGAAUGAAAGGGGUGAUACGACUACCCUCUAUACAUUAAUAUGUGAAGAAUCAAUAUUCCAAGUGAAGAAAAUAUGAAGUGUAACAACUAGUAAUGAAAGCUAAGAUAGAGAUAAAAAUGUGAAAAUAGUGGAACGUAACAGACAGGGUGGUGAGGUGAUAAUAGCAAAGAUGAGAAAGAUAAGGCUACAAGUCCAAAGCUCAUGAGACUCUCCUAGCAAAGCAUAACUAUACAUCAAAGGGCCCCAACCCGAGUGUAGAAAUGAUAAGCAGGGUUAUAGAAAAGAAAAUGUUAUAGCAUACCACGUGAAACUCAAUGGGCUAGCAACGGUCUAAUAUACUAAUAAAGGUGAUAAGGUGUAAGGCUAACUAAAAUGAUGGCCACCCAUCCUAUGACCAUAAUCUCAAACGUAAUACUUUUUCAACUGAUCCACAUUGGUAGGCUCUGAAAACUGGUUUCCAUCUAAGUCGGUCAACCAUGCAGCCCCUUCUGGAGUUAACUCUUGAAUAACAUAAGGCCUACUCCAACUAGGUUUGAACUUCCCUCUAGGAUCUCCAACUAAGCCUCUGAGAAUCCUCAAAACCAAAUCUUUUUUCUGUAAUGGUCUAGGCUUAACCCAUUUCUUGAAAGUACGAGUCGUCUUUCUCUGAUAGGCUUGAACAUGAUCUACUGCUCUCAAUCUCUUCUCAUCUAAAAGAUUAAGCUGAUCAAAUCUAACCUGAGCCCACUUUGUCUCAUAAAUCUGCUGCUCGAGAGCUACUCUCAAUGAACCCAACUCUGUCUCAACUAGUAAAACAACAUCCAUACCAUACACCAAAGAAUAAGGUGUAGCUCCUAUAAAGGUGCGAAAAGAGCUAUGAUAUCCCACAAUGAAAAAGUGAGUUUCUCUGACCAAUCUCGAGAGGUUUCAAUCAUUUUCCUCAAAAUCUCCUUAAUGUUUUUAUUUGUCGACUCUACUGCCUCAUUAGUCUAUGGCCUGUACGCAGAAGAUCUAUUAUUUUGGAUGCUAUAUUUUUGCAACAAAGUGUCAACCUCAGCUCGAAAGUAUACCCUUCUAUCCAAAAUCAACUCAUGUGGCACCCUAUAGCGACAGAUGAUGUGUGAUAUGAUGAAACUGGCGACUCUAACAGAUGUCAACCUCACAUAUGAUGUAGCUUCCACCCACUUGGUGAAAUAAUCUAUGGCAACUAGGAUAAACUCAUGACCUCUGGAAGAUUUCGGUGAAAUCUUCCAAAUAAUAUCAAUACCCCAUACUGAAAACGGUCAUGGUGAGGUCAAAGUGUGUAACUCUGAUGGUGGUGCAUGAAUGAGAUCACCAUGAAUCUGGCACUCUGGACAUCUUUGAACAAACUAACAACAAUCUAUCUCCAUAGUCAUCCAAAAGUAACCUAUCCUCAUAAUCUUACGGGCUAGCAUUUGUCCUCCCAUGUGUGAACCACAAACUCCCGCAUGAACCUCUCUCAUCACUUGAUCUGCAGAGGCUCGAUCCAAACACAAUAAAAUAAUACCAUCAACUGAUCGCCUAUAUAGAGUCUCUCAGAAAAUCACAAAUCUAGUGGCCAACUGCCUCAAUGCCUUUCGAUCCUUGGCUGUGGCGGCCUCUGGGUAUGUGCUAGAUCUAAGAAAUCGACAAAUGUCAUGAUACCAAGGUAGAUCAUCCUAAACCUCUGUCUCUCCAAUCAAACAAUUGUAAACGAGUGCAAACCUCGACUAAAUCAGCAAUGAACGUAGAACCCCAUCAGUCGGAAUGUCCACAGAAUAAGCUAAGGUAGCUAAAGCAUCAACAAGCUGGUUUUGCACUCUAGGUAGAUGAGUGUAUCUUAAAUCAUCAAAUCUCCCAACCAGUAACUCUAAAUAAGCAUGAUACAACCUAAGCUUUACGUCCCUAGUCCUCCAAUCACCCUGAAUCUAUCUAAGCACCAAAUUGGAGUCACCGAAUAUCUCUAUCUGUUUAAUGCCAAGCUCCAAUGCAAUCUCUAGACCAAGGAUACAAGCUUCAUACUCAACUCUGUUGUUUGUGGCGGGAUGUCGAUCUAAGAACACCAAACGAACUGACCUCGGAAUAUAAUCACUCUGGGGAAUAUCAACAAAACGCCUAUCCCAAACCCUAAUUGGUUGGCUACACCAUCGAAAUACAUGCGCCAUCUUGAUAAGCUAGUCAUGGCAAUGAAUUCCUCAUCUAGAAAAUCAUCGUGAACUGGUGUACCCUCAGAUAUCAGUAAUGAGGCUAAGUGAUCAGCGACAAUGCUUCCCUUAAUAGACUUCUGAGAAACAUACUGAAUAUCAAACUCUGACAAAAUUACGAGUCAUCUCAUCAAUCUACCAGUCAAUGGGGGUCUGUCAAACAAAUAACUCAACAGAUCUAGUCGAGAAAUCAAACACACUGAAUACUCAAUUAUGUAAUGCCUCAAUCUCUUGGUGGCCCAAACUAAUGCUAAGCAUAAGCGCUCAAUCAUAACAUAUCUCAUCUCAUACUCAGUAUUCUCUUACUCAGAUAGUAAAUAACUCGCUCCUUCUCGGAGUCAUCGAGCUGAGCUAGCAUACAUCCUAAGGCCAUAUCUAAAACCGACAAAUACAUAAGAAGUGGACAUCCUGGCAUAAGAGGCACUAAAACAGGAGGAGAAAGAAAGUAUCCCUUGAUCUUCUCGAAUGCAAUUUGACAAUCAUCAUUCCAAACUGUUGGUUGGUUCUUCCUCAAAAGACGAAAUAUGGGCUCGCAUAUGUCUGUCAAUCUGGUUAUGAAAUGACUGAUGUACUGUAAUCUGCCUAGAAAACCUCUGAUCUCUUUCUUAGUCCUUAGCAUAGGCAUGUCAAGUAUGGCUUUGAUCUUAUCUGGGUCAACCUUUAUACCCCGCUCACUGACCAUAUGCCCUAACAAUUUCCCAAAAGUCACUCCAAAUGUGCAUUUAUUAGGGUUCAGCCUCAACCUGAAUUUUCGAAUCCUCUCAAAGAAUCUCUCUAGAGUCGUUAGGUGAUCUGCUCUACCUUGGGAUUUCACAAUCAUAUCAUCCACAUAAAAUUCCACAUCCCUAUGCAUCAUGUCAUGAAAUAGAGUAGUAGCGACCCUCUAAUAAGUAGCUCCUGCAUUCUUCAACCCAAAUGACAUAACUCUGUAACAGUAGGUACCUCACUCGAUAGUGAAGGUUGUCUUCUCCAUAUCAUCUGAAGCCAUCAAAAUCUAAUUAUAUACCAAAAAUUCAUCCAUGAAAGACAACAUCGAAUGGCUUACAGUGCUAUCGACCAGCAAAUCAAUAUGUGGGAUAGGAAAAUCAUCCUUAGGGCUGGUUUUAUUAAGGUCUCUGAAAUCGACACAAACUCUAACCUUGCCAUCAUUUUUGGGAACUAGGAUGACAUUAGCCAACCACUCUAGAUACUCUACCACUAAUAUAAAUCCAACGUUGAGCUGUUUCUGAAUUUCCUCUUUCACCUGUAGACUCCAACGUGGGUGCAAUCGCCUCAGUUUCUGUUUAAUGGGUCUGACAUGUGGUAAGAUAGGCAGAUGGUGUUGGACUAUAGAGGGAUCCAGACCCGACAUAUCCUCAUAAGACCAUACAAAAAAUCCAAGUAUGACCUGAGUAACUGAAUAAGUCUAUCCCUCUCGUCUGUAGACAAUGGUGAACCAAUCUUUAGUUCUCUAGGCUGAUCCUCUGUGCUAAAAUCAAUAUUCUCAACUUCCCUUAUAGCAAGUGAAACUCUCUCAUCUAUGAGAUGUGAGUCAUGAUCAGAAGAGUCUCCAUCUUAAUCAAGCUGUGCGAUCUCAUCAUCUAUAUCAAGUAUCUGUGGAGUGGGUGAGUGGGGUGUUGAUAAAUAAAUACUAUCACAAGAGACAGGCAAAUACUAAAAAAAUACUCAAAUCCAUAGAUACGGAAUCAUAAACAUUGUCCGAGCGAGAAAUGAAUCUCGAUAAAAUGUCAAAUGAAAGAGGUGGGUCCACAAAUUUGAACACCUCCUCAAUAAAGCCAAAAGUGUCCUCAAACUCAUCAUCACCAAUUGUAACAUCCUCCAUAAGCUCUGGAGCAAGAACUAUUUGGAUCUUCUCAGCAACCUCAAUAGCAGACACCCCGAACAGAUCGAACGGUGAAGUAGACUCAGGCUGAACCAUCUCGGCAAUCUGACUCAUACUCAUACCCAUCUCAUCCUAAUACUCGUCAUGAGGAACAACUCCAUCAAUCACCCUAGUAGGCUCAAUGUCUACUCCAUAAUUAGUAGUCUCCCCUAGAAAUCACAACGAUAAGAAGCUGGCUCAAUCUAGUGACGAAUGAGCAAUCAUCAUUGAAACUAAUACGCCAAAAGUCUCAUCUCCUAACUGUAAAUGGCAAAACUGACGUUGAAGCUCAUCCACUCCCUCUAUGUCAAUCACAACGCUAAAAUCCCCCAUAUGAGGAUGAAUCUCUGAUCCUUUGAUGAAGUAAUCGGCCAAGCUCAUCUUAUAAGGACGAAUGGGAUAAUAGAAUAGUGUGCAAGUCAGAUAGGCUCUCACUUUCUCCUGGUGUAGACGUGCCAUAUACCUAUAGUCAGCCUUUGUAGGAACAAACCCAAACCCAAAUGGUGUAUCAUAAUCGACAGUAGUUACAAACUCCAUGGGUCCAUACUAGCAUCGUUCCAACCCUAAACUAGGCAUAAAAAACAUACCCCUCAUCAUGUCGAGUACCACUGUACUGCUAUGCUAAUCAAAUGACAUAGCUGCGAGAUCUCUACAGAAGUCCCCAACCUCAAAAGUCUACAUCUCAUCAAAUGUAAACCCGAUAAAAAAUAGGUCAUCCUCACUAUGACUGAUCUGAAACACUGGCUCGGAUGAGGUAAACAUAUCUCUAGGAGACUGUACUGUGAUGACCUGCCUGUCAUGUAUAAACUUCACUUUCUGAUGAAAGGAAUAUGGAAUAGCCCCAACCCUAUGAAUCCAAGGUCGACCCAAAAAUAGGUUAAAGGAAGUGGGAAUCCUCAAAACCUGGAAUAGUAUAGGGAAUGUAUCCGGACCAAUCAACAACUCUAUCAUCAAAGUACCUAUGAUCUCCCUCUUAGUACUAUCAUAUGCUCUGAUCGUCUGUGUAGAGAGACCAAAGGAUGAAGGUGCAUAGCCAAGGGCCAUAGCAGUAGCCAAUGGGCAGACGUUCAAGGCCGAGCCAUUGUCCAACAGAACGGAUGGAACUCUGUGGCCUAAACAACCAACUGUAAUAUAUAGAGGGCGUGUAUGGUCUAAACCCUCUAGUGGCAAGUCAUCAUCUGAAAACACAAUACAUGUGGCCCUGUCAGCCAUCAUCAUAUGAAUCAACCCUUCCGGGGUAGUAGUGGUCUCUACCCGGAUCUGGCUCAAAGUCCAAAUCAACGCACCUCUAUAAGUACUAGAAGAUGCUAGAAAACUCCAGAUAGAUAUGCAGGCCUGUGUACUGAUUCUUUCCCAAUUGGUGUACCUUGAUUUUGGUCCUCAGUUAGGAGUAAUCAACAAAAUUUAUAACCUAUAUCACCAUGUACUAGGAUAGCUUCAGCUAGCAUAGCAUAGUGGCUAUAGGAUCGUUCACUGGGAAGGGUUUUCAACUCACAACUGAUGUUAAUUCAAAGCUAAAUUGGUGUUUUUUCAUUUCAAGGUUAGCUUUAAAAGAAAACAUAAUCUUUGGUUGAAAAAUGAUUGAUUUUAAGCUAACCAAAAAAUAGUAACUGAUUUUAAUUAUAAAGAAAAGCGUUUCUUGGAGUUUUAGGAUCACUAGGGUCAGGUUCCUAAUACAAAAAUAGAGUUUCGAUCACUUGAAUCUUUUCCUCGCAUUGGAGAAUUAACAAAUAGUUAUUUCUCUAACCGAUGUGGUACAGAUGCUUCCCUUUUAUAGAUUCAAACACUAAAUCCCACUCACUAAUUCAUCUUGCAAUGGCUCGUGCCUCUCACCUAGCAUUUACCAUUCAAGAUGAUCCUUAACCUUGGAUUUCCUUUCUCAAGCUCGUAAGAGAUAACUAAUGGAUGUCUCCUUAGAGUCCAAAAGCUUACCAAGUAUUGGCUAUUCUAGAAAAUCCUACCUUCAAACCACCUCCCAAAGGCUUGCAAUAGAUAAACUAGUGCAUCUCAAUUGAUGGAGAUCACUUGCCUUACCAAGUGUUGGCCCAGGUGAUUUAAAGGCUUUUUAAGUUAACUAAAACCAUAGAAACCAUUAACGGGUCACACUUUCUCUUCAUUAGAAGCUGAAACAACAAAACUUCCAAUUCUUGCAUUCGGCUCCUUACCCAGCUUCCUCAACUCUAAGAGACAAAAAGCCUAGCCACUCAUUCUUUGAGAAAACAUUCUCAGAGCUUGUUUGGCUAGUAAGAAAAAAAAUAAUCAAAGUGAGUAAGUAAGGCAGAGCAAAGCUUUGUGUAUUACUUCCUUCAAGACUAUACAAAAAGUUGGUCUCUGAGAACAGACUCCCGAGAUAUCCAUGUGUAAAGAAAAUUAGAAACUAUAUAUAAGAGGUUAUUCACCCUUUAUUCUUACUUACUAACUAAGGAAUCCUAUCAUUAGUGGAUUACAAGGAGAAAAUGGGGAUUUAAACAACAAAUAUCUGAAGAAAAAAUCUAAAAGAGUCGGUCGCAAAUAUCUGGAAGCACUCAGGUGGAUUUCGUAGGCAUGCAAGAUGGGCUACGAAAUUUCACAAGCUGAAAGUCUCCAUUUCGCAGCCAAAGGCUGAUUUCACAGCUAGCACCUUGUGAUUUUGCAGCUGUGAAAUUGGCCUUCAACUUGGUGCGAUUGGCUUCCAAUAGCUAUAACUUCUUCAUUUCAGCUCCAAUUCGCGCACCGUUUAAAGCGUUGGAUUUCUGACUUCCCAAGCUUCGAGACGACAUAUAGUAUGCAUAAAGUGGACUCCAGAAAGUGCUCAAAAUAUGUCCAACAGUUGAUGUCCUCUUGAAUUCUUCAUGUUAGAUUUCUCUCUUUGCUUUCCAUCCUUGCAUUCAUGAUUUACUUUUGGAAAAGGACUAUAAAGCUUCAAAGCUUAGGUUCUUCAUGUAAAUGAGCUUUCAAUUGCUUUUCCAUGGAUUCUAUAGAACUCUCCUCAAUCUUGUAUUGCUUUGGUGAUCAAAAUGCUAUCAAAAACGCCAAAACAUAACACAAUUUGAUUAGAAACUAUUGCAAAGGUCCUUAACAUGCCGAUUGAGUUAAAAGGUAAUAACUACUACUCAAAAGCGUUUAAAAGAGUUAAUUACAAGCUAUAAAAUAGCACUUUUUGAGUAGUAAUCACUCCCCCCAACUGACAUAUUGCUAGUCCCUUAGCAAUGAAUGAGAGAAAAAGAAAAAUAAACAGUAAUAUAAUUUACAACAUCAUGUUGACCACUUCAAAAAAUUUUAAGUGGCAUGAUGAUCAAACUCUCACAUGGAACAUUAAAGAUAUAAAACCCAAACUACAACAAGAGUUAUCAAAUACCUUGUCUGAUCACAAUUCAUAAAGAGAAUGCAUUAUGCAAAUUUAAGCUUUAAAAUAGUUUCCACUUCCAAAGGGCCAAACCUUAUUCUUCCACAAAAAUCUAAGUGUUACUUGAUAGUUUUCGAAUAUAGUAUGCUGAACUAAUCUCUCCCCCCAACCUAGUUCUUUUUCAACACUUAGCAAACUGACAAAAUUUAAUAGGCUAAGAACGCACCUUUUUUUUUCACAAUUUUUUUUUUCAUUGUAGGAGUACAAGGCUCAAAGGUAUCCUUUUCUAAAUUGUCCAUGUAACGGGGGUCCAUCGAUGACUCCCAACCAAUUAAGGUUUAGGGCAUCAAGUUUUAAGGAUCUUUCAACCACUAACUCCUUGGAUUUUAUCCCGGACUUUUGAGAAUGAAUUUUAAUACCCAAGCACCUACAGUAUGUUAAACUCCACCUAUUCACCCUUGUAACGAGCAUUGAGGUCAGCGACUCCCAACCAAUGAAGGCUUAGGGCACCAAGUUUUAAAGAUUUUCACCAUAUACCCCUCAGACCUUGCUCGGGUUUCAAGUUAAGCAAACAUUUUUUCUUUUUUUCUUUUUUUCAAAGGCUUAUUGGUCUUUUAUAAGGUGUCCCAACACUAUUAAAAAAAGGUCAAAGGUACCAAGCCUAAAUUUUCCUAAGUGAAGAGGGUGAUAGCUUUUCAUCUUAUAAUCGGAACCUAUUGUGCACAGUGUGUGAAUAGCUUAAAGUGGAAGACAUAAGGUUGAAUUCAAUAGAAGCUUCAACAAUUCAUCAAUUUUAAUAAGCAUAAUACAAUUUCUAAGUCAAGUAAAAAGACAAAAAUUCAAUUUCUCUCAUUUUAUUUUGAGAAUUUUUCCUUAAUAGCCAUGGAGAGUAGAAUAAAAACUUAAAUUUUUUUAAAAAUUAAGCAAAAAGCAACUAAAUUACUAAAAUAACUUAGCAUUUGAAAAUAAAAACUUCCUUCCUCAACUCUCUUCCCCCCCCCAACCAAGCUGAACAUUUUCCUCAAUAUGGCAAGAGCGAUUGAAAUUUUAGGGAGGAAGUGGUACCUCCUGAGUGAUAUGAAGUUUGAGUAGAAUAGGAGAAACCACAUGUUUAAAAAAAAACAACAAAAGAUAUGAGUAGAUGAAUUAAAAUAAGAUUAUGCCAAGUAUACUCGAAAAAAUUGAUAGAUAUGUAUUACUUUAAGAAAGUACACUAUGGAGCAAAAAACAAGUAAUACAUCCAAUCCCAAUAUAUAAAACAUAAAAAACAUGGUAUUAUGAGUUCUACUAAAGUAAAGAAAUACAAAAAAGAAACUAGGUAAAUGAUUAGAUGGUGGUGGGAGGAUCAUGUGGAGAUGAUGGAUCGACUGUAGAAGUCUGAAUACUUGGGAUGAAUGCCUCUGUCUCUCUUGUAGUAUUCUCCUCAGGGGGCACAGUCUGCUCGGCUAGAGGAGGGUCUUGGUAUGGAUGUGUAGGCUCUGAUGGGAUAGGAAUAUCGUGCUUAGGUGGAGAUAGAAUACCCAAAUGCUGCUAUAUUUUCCUAAGGAUAGCAGUAUGCUGGGUAUAGGUGGCGAUAAGCUGAUCCUGGUGUGCACGUAUGGCCUCCAUCUACUGGGUCAGGAUGCUCCGAGUAGCGAUCAAUGUCUGCAAAGUAUGACAUAGGCCUCUGAACUCAGAUGGAUGAGACUCGGAUGCAGUUGGUGUAACUGGCGGAGUUUUGGGAGUGGCAUGAGGAGCAGAAGAAGCAACCUCAGGCAUAGGUCCUGUAGAGGGCACUGUAGAGGCAGGUGCUCUCAUGUCCGCAGGUAUCUCAACCGGUUGUGGCUCCUCUAAAUGCUCUGGCUGUGGUCUCUGUGGAUGCUCUGGUCCAGCUGGGGCUCCUGGCUCUGCAUCAUAGGUUGUCAUACUCGUCCAUUUGUUGAGAGUGAAUAUCUCUCGGCAAAGGCGUCUGCGCUCAAGCUGAGGCUCAGAAGGAUAUCCCAAGUGCUCCAAGAUCUGACAUAGCAACUUGGGAAAAGAAGUGGAAUGACAUCCGCUCUCAACAGCUUCUUCUUGUGGACCUUCUCUUCAAAGUACAGAAGAGCGGCCAUGAUGAGGUGAUGAGGGCCAAAGAAAAAUCCCUCGGAUAUCCGGAACAAAGCCUCUAGCAAAGCUCUUCUCCUCUACACCAUAGGCUGAAGUGGAUAGAUGUUGUGGUGCAGAAGUGCAUCAAUAAAGAACAUGCUGGGAGGGAGCCCCUUCCUCAAUAGAUAUGGGCGUGUGGAUGUCCCCCUAGACAGUAUAUGAACCAUGUCACUUUGGGAAGGAUGAGCCCACACUCAAUAAUCCUCUGGACAUGCUGGCUCAUAAGGAAUGCAUAGGGCCUCUACUAUGUGUCUAGUUCCCAAGAUACCAUGACGUCCAUCAAUGGUGAAGUGGAUGACAGUAGGAUCCCAGACGCGAUGUGUACUCAUAGGCUGAUAAAAGUCUAAUGCUACAUGAUUACUACUCAAAAAGUGCUAUUUCAUAGCUUGUAAUUAACUCUUUUAAACACUUUUGAGUAGUAGUUAUUGCUUUUUAACCCAAUUAACAUGUUAAGGACCCUUGCAAUCAAUUCUAAUCAAUUUGUGUUAAGUUUUGGUGUUUUGAUAGCUUUUUGAUCACCAAAGCAAUCCGAGAUUGAGGGAGAGCUCUCUAUAGUUCAUGGCAAAGCUUUUGGAAGCUCAAAUUCAUGAAGAACCAAGCUUUGGAGCUCCAUAGCCCUUUGCCAAUGUCGUUCAAAUUAUGCAAGGAAAGAACAACGGAGAGAGGAAAAACAGAGUGAAGAAAACAGAGGACAACAGCUACAGUCUUCUUUCGCACUUUUGGAGUACUUGCCGAAAUCUAUUUUCUACAUUCUAUAUACCAUUUCAAAGCUCAGGAAGUCAAGAAUCCAAUUCUUUAAACGGUACACAAUUUGGAGUUGAAAUGAAGGAGUUACAGCCAUUGCAAGCUGAUCACUCCAAGUUGAAGGAAGAAUUUUGCACAGCGCUGCGAAAUCACCCUUUUGUUGCGAGAUGAUUUCGCAGCCAUUUUGCACAGUGCAACGAAAUUUCUCCUGAAGUUUCCCGAUAUUUGCUACCGAUAUUGGGAGAUAUUUUCUGUUAGCCCAAGGGUUCUCCUAAUCAGGUUUUGAUGAUAACAAACCGUGGUGAAGUGACUAAUUGCUUUAAAUUGUUAAGAAUCUCAGGUAUAAUCUCAAGGACCAAACGAAUACGGGAUAAAGACCAUUUGGAAGACUUGUGAUCAUAGGAAAUGAAUGUAAGAUGAUAGCAUGAGUGCACUUAGGAUGUUCAUACAUUUUCAUGCAUCUUAGAAAACUCGGUUUAUUCUUUAAAACUUGAUUUUCUUUAAAACCCGAGUUUUAUCAAAUAUACCUUAGGCAAAUUGACUCAAAAUUGACAUAUUAACUCUCCUAAAGACCUUGCCUAAGUAUUGGAAAAGAAAGAAAUCAAAAAGGAUAGGUUUUCAGGGCCAAAAGGCUCAUCCGGUCGAGGCUAUGGCCAACCGGCUCAACCGGUUGGGGAACCGGUCGACCGGUUUCCCUUGUCCGGUCGAGGUCCGGUCGAGGGAGGCACAAAAACCUUCUCUCUCUCCCAGUAGCUUCCUCUUCCCGGUCGAGCCUCACCCCUUGUCCGAUCGAGGUCCGGUCGAGGCAACGGUAACCUGCUAUGCAUUAAAUGCUCCAACGGCUAGUGAUCCGGUCGACCCUUUGCUCGUCCGGUCGAGGUUACUUUCUGUUGUUUUUGUCUCCCGAGCUUAGAAACCUAUAAAUUGAGAGCUCCUCUUCAUUUAUGACUAAGAGAACAAUUGCAUUCAAAGCCUACCUACCUGUUCUUAAUCAAAAAAGCUCUCAUCUUCUUUCUUAGUGCAUUAAACCAUCAAUUGCAUAUUCUUAGUGCACUCUUGCAAUUCAUCCUAGCUUUCUCUUGUACUUGAGCCUUCCUUAAGCUAGGUUGAGAGUUUCAUCCUUGUGUAAACUGAGUGUGAAAGCCUUCAAGUGGUUCAAAUCUUGAAAAGAUUGUGUAAGAGCCCAUUGGAGCCGGAAUCCAAGUGUAAGACGAUUGAAAGCUUGAUUGUAGCUUCAAGUUAGUGGAACCCUCACUCGGUUAGGAGAUUGAGGAGAGUGGACGUAGGCAAGGGAGUGCCGAACCACUAUAAAUCUGAGUUUGAAUUCUCUACCUUUAUCUCUUUCCUUUAUUUAUUUUGUGCAUAUAUUGUUGUGUGGAAAAAGUUUUUGAAAAACCCAAUUCACCCCCCCUUUUGGGUAUUUUCCUUAAUUAUUCAUAGCCUUUGUUUUAUCAUUUUCCAUCAGAUAUUUUUGUAUAAAUCCCCAUCUUCUCCUUGUAAUCCACCAACCAUAAGAUUUCUUAGUUAGGAAGGUUGGGAAAACGUCUCUAUAUAUAUUCCCUUGCAUCCACUGUAAAAUGGAGAAAAUCAUGUAUAUAGAUAGAUAAUAUCAUAUAUAGAUCANNNNNNNNNNNNNNNNNNNNNNNNNNNNNNNNNNNNNNNNNNNNNNNNNNNNNNNNNNNNNNNNNNNNNNNNNNNNNNNNNNNNNNNNNNNNNNNNNNNNUAAGAGGAAAAUGGCUAUUCCAUCAAGCUCAUCUCAAACUGAAAUUUUUUCAAAACAUAGAGCUCAUUCUUUACGGGAACGACUAUCCCUAUUGGAAAGCUAGAAUGACUUGGUUCUUACAAUCAACCGAUUUAGAUGUAUGGGAUGUCAUUGAAGAUGGCCCAACUUUUCCCACUAAAUUAGUUGAUGGAGUUUUGGUUCCAAAACCCAAGAAAGAAUGGAAUGAGCUUGAUAGAAGAAAUUUUCAAUUAAAUGCUAAAGCCGUCUUUACUUUGCAAUGUGCUAUGGAUAGGAAUGAAUACAAUAGAAUAUGCCAAUGUAAAUCUGCUAAGGAAAUUUGGAGAUUGCUUGAAAUAACUCAUGAAGGAACAAAUCAAGUGAAAGAGUCAAAAAUUAAUAUACUUGUCCAUAACUAUGAAUUGUUUUCAAUGAAAGAAACUGAAACUAUUGUUGAGAUGAUCACUAGGUUCACUGAAAUUGUCAAUGGCCUUGAAGCAUUGGGAAGGGUCAUAAAUGAAUCCGAAAAGGUGAUGAAGAUAUUGAGGUCUCUACCCUCAAAGUGGCAUACAAAGGUCACCGCUAUUCAAGAAGCUAAAGACUUGACCAAGCUACCUAUGGAAGAACUCUUAGGGUCAUUGAUGACCUAUGAAAUCAGUUUGACAAAGCAACUACAAGAGAGUGAAGACAAGAAGAAGAAAAGCAUAGCUCUCAAGGCUACAACCAAGGAAGAAGAAGAUGUUGAAGAAGAAAAACAAAGUGAAGAAGAUGAUGAUUUAGCUCUCAUCACAAGAAAGCUAAACAAGUACAUGAGAGGUGAAAGGUUUAGAGGGAAAAAGUUUACCUCUAGAAGAAAUUCAAGAAGGGAAUCCUCAUCACAUGGUGACAAAGAAAAAUGGGAAGAGAAAGGAGAUUUGAUAUGCUUCAAAUGCAAAAAGUCGGGACACAUUAAAUAUGAUUGUCCUCUCUACAAAAUUGAAGCCAAAAGAAGAAUGAAGAAGGCAAUGAUGGCCACUUGGAGUGAGAGUGAAGAAUCUUCCGAGGAAGAAAAGGAAAAAGAAGUGGCAAACAUGUGCUUCAUGGCAAUAGAUGAUCUUGAUGAGGUAAACUCUAACUCUAGUGAUGAAGAUAUGCAUGUUAUUUUUGAAGAACUAUAUGAGGAUUUUGAAAAACUUAGUUUGAAAAAUAAUUCUCUUAAAAAGAGAAUUCAAGAACUUGAAAAAGAACUUGAGGAAGUGAAAGAAAAGUUUUCAAUUGAUGAAAUCUCUAAAACUCAUCUUGAAAAAGAGAGUGAGAUUUUAAGAAAUGAAAAUGAAAUUUUGAAAAAGAAAAAUGAAUGGUUGACCUCCUCUCUUUCAAUUUUCUCUUGUGGACAAAAGUCCUUUGAAAUGAUCUUAGCAAGCCAAAAAUGUGUUUUUGACAAACAAGGACUAGGAUUCAAAUCUUCAAAGAACCAAAAGUAUUUUAAAAACUAUUUUGUAAAAGAAUCCUCAAGUGAAUGUCCUUCCACUAUUUGUAACUUUUGUGGAAGAAGAGGGCACAUUAGUAGUACAUGUCCCUUAAGAAAUGGUGCUCAAAAGAAUUCAAAUGCUAAGGUUAAAAAGGUUUGGAUUGAAAAAUCCAAAGUCACUAACCCUCAAGGACCCAAAAAGACAUGGGUACCUAAACCAACUUGAAUUCUAUUUUGUAGGGCUCAAAGGAGGACAAGUGGUUCUUGGAUAGUGGGUGCUCAAGACACAUGACCGGGGAUGAAUCCAAGUUUGCCUUCCUUACAAAGAGAAAAGGAGGAUAUGUCACCUUUGGAGACAAUGCAAAAGGAAGAAUCAUUGGUCAAGGUAACAUAGGUAAUGGUACAUCCUCCCUUAUUGAAAGUGUUUUAUUGGUAGAUGGUUUAAAACACAAUCUUUUGAGCAUUAGUCAACUUUGUGACAAAGGUUUUAAAGUAAUUUUUGAAGCAUCUCAUUGUAUCAUCAAGGAUAUUCAAAAUGACAAAACCAUCUUCAUGGGCCAUAUAUGUGAAAAUGUAUAUGCUAUAAAUAUUUCAAAAUAUGAUGGCCAUGAUAGAUGUUUUUCAAGCAUGCAUGAUCAAAGUUGGUUGUGGCAUAGGAGGUUGGGACAUGCUAACAUGGACCUCAUUUCCCAACUCAACAAAGAUGAACUCAUUAGAGGCCUUCCCAAAUUAAUUUUCAAAAAGACAAUUUGUGAGCUUGUCGAUGGGAAGCAAUCAAAAACUCUUUNNNNNNNNNNNNNNNNNNNNNNNNNNNNNNNNNNNNNNNNNNNNNNNNNNNNNNNNNNNNNNNNNNNNNNNNNNNNNNNNNNNNNNNNNNNNNNNNNNNNNNNNNNNNNNNNNNNNNNNNNNNNNNNNNNNNNNNNNNNNNNNNNNNNNNNNNNNNNNNNNNNNNNNNNNNNNNNNNNNNNNNNNNNNNNNNNNNNNNNNNNNNNNNNNNNNNNNNNNNNNNNNNNNNNNNNNNNNNNNNNNNNNNNNNNNNNNNNNNNNNNNNNNNNNNNNNNNNNNNNNNNNNNNNNNNNNNNNNNNNNNNNNNNNNNNNNNNNNNNNNNNNNNNNNNNNNNNNNNNNNNNNNNNNNNNNNNNNNNNNNNNNNNNNNNNNNNNNNNNNNNNNNNNNNNNNNNNNNNNNNNNNNNNNNNNNNNNNNNNNNNNNNNNNNNNNNNNNNNNNNNNNNNNNNNNNNNNNNNNNNNNNNNNNNNNNNNNNNNNNNNNNNNNNNNNNNNNNNNNNNNNNNNNNNNNNNNNNNNNNNNNNNNNNNNNNNNNNNNNNNNNNNNNNNNNNNNNNNNNNNNNNNNNNNNNNNNNNNNNNNNNNNNNNNNNNNNNNNNNNNNNNNNNNNNNNNNNNNNNNNNNNNNNNNNNNNNNNNNNNNNNNNNNNNNNNNNNNNNNNNNNNNNNNNNNNNNNNNNNNNNNNNNNNNNNNNNNNNNNNNNNNNNNNNNNNNNNNNNNNNNNNNNNNNNNNNNNNNNNNNNNNNNNNNNNNNNNNNNNNNNNNNNNNNNNNNNNNNNNNNNNNNNNNNNNNNNNNNNNNNNNNNNNNNNNNNNNNNNNNNNNNNNNNNNNNNNNNNNNNNNNNNNNNNNNNNNNNNNNNNNNNNNNNNNNNNNNNNNNNNNNNNNNNNNNNNNNNNNNNNNNNNNNNNNNNNNNNNNNNNNNNNNNNNNNNNNNNNNNNNNNNNNNNNNNNNNNNNNNNNNNNNNNNNNNNNNNNNNNNNNNNNNNNNNNNNNNNNNNNNNNNNNNNNNNNNNNNNNNNNNNNNNNNNNNNNNNNNNNNUUCAAAAAAUCCCGUGCAACACUCUAGGACCAAGCAUAUAGAAAUUAGACAUCAUUUUCUUAGAGAUCAUGCACAAAAAGGUGACAUUACACUUGAAUUUGUAAGCACAAAAGAUCAACUUGCCAAUAUUUUUACAAAACCUCUAAGUGAAGAACAAUUUUCUGAUAUUAGAAGACAACUAGGGGUUAUUUCUCUUUGAUCUGAUGUUUGUAUAAUGAAUUCUUGUUGGAAAUGCAUUAUGAUUGUAUAAAUUUCAUCUCAUACGCAUCAUAUAGAAAUCCCUUAGAAAAUAGGUCAAUUUUUGACCAAAAAUCAAAAUUCCCGUGGCAUUGGACAUAAAAAAUUGGGGAUUUCAACUGAAAAGAGCAGGGGGAGGAUCACAAGACAAGAAUACGCAAAAAAAUUGGAAAAUGAAACCGUUGACCGUUGACCAGGCGGUCGACCGGUUGAGGAACCGGUCGACCGGUUCGUCGGGGCUGGGAGUUUAAAAGGCCCCCGCGCGUCAGUUUUUUUCACUGUUCUCUGGCAUUCCUCGAAGACCCUUCAUCUUCCCGCCUUCAGAGAUCAGUUUGGGCUAUUCCUUGGACCGAUUUGAGGUUUUGGAGUGUUCUUUGACGAGAUUUGAGGCUAGGGUUUCAUCUCUGGACGGAUUUGGACUUCGGAUCUUGACGGGUUCCUCUCUAUUUGCGCGCCAUCUUCUGAUUUUUCUCCUUUCCCGCGCGCCUAAGGCUUCUUGGGGUUAGUCUUCUCUCUUUUCCUACUCGCUUCAGUACAUAUCUCCAUUUUUGGAUUUUGGAUGGCUCCUCGAAAGGAGAUGGGUACUUCCAGAGCUCAGGGCAAGCGCCCUGCUGAGCCCUCUCAGCAGCCCGAGCAGACCGAGGCUCGCCGAAAGGCGAGGUACGACACCACCCUCUUCGGCUCAGUUGAGGAUUAUCAGAGGUACAAGACUCAUUUCGCCAAGAGAAAGGUGGUUCCAGGGAGAAACAUCAAUUUCUUCCAACUUCAGAGUCUCGGGUUUGAAGGAGUCUUCACCAGGAUGGGAUGGUUGCCAGUUGUGACGGUCUAUGAGCCUAUCUUUCCGACCUUAGUGCGUGCAUUCUACUCCAGGAUGACCUAUGGACUUGGAGGGCCGAUUAGGACUACUGUCCGAGGAGUUGAGAUUGAGCUGAGUCCGGAGAGCAUUUGUCGCAUCCUUGACGUUCCCCCCGUUGGUCUUCGAGUAUAUGAGGCCAAGGCAUGGCCUACUAUCCCCGGGUUCGAGCCUAGAGAGGCCAUUCAGAGGAUGUGCGGACUUGCAGAUGCCCAUGGGAUGGGCAAACCUUCAGCACAUAGCCUGACCGUGCCUAGCAGAGUCCUUCAUCAUAUGAUCUGCUCCAUCCUAUUACCACGGGGUGGACAUCGGGACGAGGUCUCCUACUAUGAGGCCUUUCUUGUCGACUCACUUCUCACCGGGAGGCGGAUACAUGUAGGAUAUGUGAUGAUGCGGCAUAUGAUGUCCUGUUGUGAGAGCACCACACGAGUGCUUCCCUACGGCCGCUUCCUCACUCGUGUCUUCAAGGAUGCUAGGGUAGACUUGAGUAGAGAGACAGAGUUUGAGGCACCUAGCAUCUAUGACACUUAUGACGAGCAUUCUCUGGGGCGCAUGAAGCUUGAGAAGGCCCCCGACGGCUCCUGGGUUAGGAAAGCCGAGCGACAGGCCCGGGGACAUGAUCAGCUACACCCCGGAGUAGAGGAGGAGGACGAGAUUAGAGAGAUGGAGGAUGGGUUGGACCCUCAGAGGGACCUUGAGCAGAGAGGGCCAGAGCUUGACAUUCCGGCUCCACAUCAGUCGGGGGGCAUUCAUGUUGAGGCUACCUUCUCAGAGCCUAUGAUGACUGAGCCAUCAUUUACCGAGCUACCAUCUCAGGCUCCUCAUGCUCCUGAGCAUCCACCUUGGAUGGAUUUGUCGGCACAGAUUAGCUCUCUCGGGACUCGUAUGGAGGAGUUAGUUGUUGUUCAUGAUACUCGCUUUUAUUCCGUGGAGGAUCACAUCGAUCAGUAUCAGGCCGGCUUCACCUCUCAGUUUGAGCAGCUUGCACAGAGGAUUGAGCGUCUUGAGAGCCGCCAGGAGAGUCAGCACGAGGAGAUGAUGGCUUACCUCCGUUCUGUGUUUCCACCACCACCUCCUCAGCCUUGAUUUUGUUUGGGAUCCCCCUUCGUUUCUUUUUUAUGUUGCCAAAGGGGGAGAUAUGUUAGGAUAGGGACCUUAGGAGACUUUUUUUCAUUUCCAUGCAUAUCAUACGCUUUCAUGUACUCUUUCUCUUGCUUAUAUAUGAUAUGACACUGUUAUUGAUUUACAUUGUCUUCUCGCUUUAUGACACUGUUAUUGAUUUACAUUGUCUUCUCGCUUUAAAUUUCCUAAAUUUUGUGUUGAUUAUCCCAUGGUUGGUUUGAGGGGGAGAUUUCUCUGUCUCCUAGAUAACCAAGGUUUGUCAUCAUCAAAAAGGGGGAGAUUGUUAGCCCAAGGGUUCUCCUAAUCAGGUUUUGAUGAUAACAAACCGUGGUUAAGUGACUAAUUGCUUUAAAUUGUUAAGAAUCUCAGGUAUAAUCUCAAGGACCAAACGAAUACGGGAUAAAGACCAUUUGGAAGACUUGUGAUCAUAGGAAAUGAAUGUAAGAUGAUAGCAUGAGUGCACUUAGGAUGUUCAUACAUUUUCAUGCAUCUUAGAAAACUCGGUUUAUUCUUUAAAACUUGAUUUUCUUUAAAACCCGAGUUUUAUCAAAUAUACCUUAGGCAAAUUGACUCAAAAUUGACAUAUUAACUCUCCUAAAGACCUUGCCUAAGUAUUGGAAAAGAAAGAAAUCAAAAAGGAUAGGUUUUCAGGGCCAAAAGGCUCAUCCGGUCGAGGCUAUGGCCAACCGGCUCAACCGGUUGGGGAACCGGUCGACCGGUUUCCCUUGUCCGGUCGAGGUCCGGUCGAGGGAGGCACAAAAACCUUCUCUCUCUCCCAGUAGCUUCCUCUUCCCGGUCGAGCCUCACCCCUUGUCCGAUCGAGGUCCGGUCGAGGCAACGGUAACCUGCUAUGCAUUAAAUGCUCCAACGGCUAGUGAUCCGGUCGACCCUUUGCUCGUCCGGUCGAGGUUACUUUCUGUUGUUUUUGUCUCCCGAGCUUAGAAACCUAUAAAUUGAGAGCUCCUCUUCAUUUAUGACUAAGAGAACAAUUGCAUUCAAAGCCUACCUACCUGUUCUUAAUCAAAAAAGCUCUCAUCUUCUUUCUUAGUGCAUUAAACCAUCAAUUGCAUAUUCUUAGUGCACUCUUGCAAUUCAUCCUAGCUUUCUCUUGUACUUGAGCCUUCCUUAAGCUAGGUUGAGAGUUUCAUCCUUGUGUAAACUGAGUGUGAAAGCCUUCAAGUGGUUCAAAUCUUGAAAAGAUUGUGUAAGAGCCCAUUGGAGCCGGAAUCCAAGUGUAAGACGAUUGAAAGCUUGAUUGUAGCUUCAAGUUAGUGGAACCCUCACUCGGUUAGGAGAUUGAGGAGAGUGGACGUAGGCAAGGGAGUGCCGAACCACUAUAAAUCUGAGUUUGAAUUCUCUACCUUUAUCUCUUUCCUUUAUUUAUUUUGUGCAUAUAUUGUUGUGUGGAAAAAGUUUUUGAAAAACCCAAUUCACCCCCCCUUUUGGGUAUUUUCCUUAAUUAUUCAUAGCCUUUGUUUUAUCAUUUUCCAUCAGAUAUUUUUGUAUAAAUCCCCAUCUUCUCCUUGUAAUCCACCAACCAUAAGAUUUCUUAGUUAGGAAGGUUGGAAAAACGUCUCUAUAUAUAUUCCCUUGCAUCCACUGUAAAAUGGAGAAAAUCAUGUAAUAUAGAUAGAUAUAUCAUAUAUAGAAUCAACGAAUAGAGCACUUGCUCUGUUUUUCAUAUAUAUUCUUGUUUUCUCGUUAGUUUUCCUUCUAGCCAAUCAAACUCUGAGGAUUUUUCCUCAGAGGAUGAGAGGCUAGGCUUUUCGUCUCUUGGAGUGAGGAAAUCCGGGUAAGUUUCCACAUACAUAAUUUGGAAGUUUUGUUGUUUUAGUUUUUAAUGAAGAGAAAGUCUGACCCGUUAAUGGUUUUUAUCUUUUUAGUUAACUUAAAACGCCUUUAAAUCACCUGGGCCAACACUUGGUAAGGCAAGUGAUUUCCGUCCAUGGAGAUGCACUAGUUUAUCUCUUGCGAGCUUUUGGGAGGUGGUUUGGAGGUAGGAUUUUCUAGAAUAACCAACACUUGGUAAGCUUUUGGACUCCAAGGAGACAUCCAUUAGUUAUCUCUUGUGAGCUUUUGACGGGUAAUCCAAGGUUAAAGAUCACCUUGAAUGACAAAUGCUAGGUGAGAGGCACGAGCCAUUGCAAGGUACAUCAGUGAGAGGGAUUUAGUGUUUGAACCCAUUAAUGGGAAGCAUCUGUACAACACCGGUUAGAGAAUUAACUAUAUGUUAAUUAUCUAAUACGAGGAAAAGAAACAAGUGACCGGAACUCUCCUUUUUGUAUGAGGAACUUGAGCCUAGUGAUCUGAACUCCAAGAAACAUUUUUCUUUGUAAGUAAAAUCAGUUACUAUUUUUGGUUAGUUUAAAACCAAACCUUCUUCAUUCAAACAUCUUUAUGUUUUCUUUUAAAGCUAACCUUGAAAUGAAAAGGCACCAAUUCAACUUUGAAUUAAUAUCAUUUGUGAAGUGAAAACCCAUCCCAGUGAACGAUCCUAGAGCCACUAUGCUAUAGUAGCUUUGUCUUUGCUACGCUAGUAUAUGGUGUAAUAUGUUAUAAAUUUUGUUGAUUACUCCCUCAAUCAAGGAGCACCAGUUGGACACGAAUCAGCUGAGACACCAAUUGGGCAUGAAUCAAAUGGCACCGCUACCGGGGAUGGUGCCACUUUACAGUGAUAUCACCUUUUCAGAGUACUUGUGAUCUUCAUCACAAGUUUGGUGACUUUUCUUUUCCUUUUACUAACUCUUUUUAUUUCUUUAUUGUUCAUAUUUUAGUAUACAUUUUCUUUAGUUUUUAGUCUACCUUAAUUUUCUUUCUUUGAAUUGUUUUUCUUUUGUUUUCUUUUGUGUUCUCUAUUUUUAAUUCACAAAUUGCUAGUUGUGCAUGCCAUAUUGAAUAAGAGAUAGCAGAGGAAGCCAUGAACUUCAUGAGUUAUGUGGCUGAAGUCUCAAGAGGAUGGGAUGAACUAAAUGCUCGAGAUAUGGGAAGAAUGACGUCUCAACCUAAUGCUAAGGGUGAGAUUUAUAUUUUAAAUGACGGCAUAGACAUGAGGACAAAGUUUGCAGCUAUGGAAAGGAGAUUGGAAAAGCUAGAAAUGACGAAUAUGCAAGAAGUGCAAGCCAUCUCUCAGACACCAUUGCAAGCUAUGCCUUGUGCCAUUUGUCUAUCUUAUGAGCACUUGGUGAAGGAGUGUCCUACCAUUCCAGCCGAGAGGGAAAUGUUUGGUGAUUGCAACACCUACAAUUCCAAUUGGAGGGACCAUCCAAAUUUCUCUUGGAAACCACAGCCACCUCAGUAUCAGCAACCUGCUCAAGCACCAUAGCAAGCCUCAAGCCUUGAACAAGCUAUGGUGAAUCUUAGCAAGUUCGUGGGAGACUUUGUUGGAGCUCAGAAAUCCAUCAAUGCUCAGCUCAGUCAAAGAAUUGACAGUGUAGAGAGUUCAUUGAUUAAAAGGAUGGAUGAAGUGCAAAAUGAUCUAUCUCAGAAGAUAGAUAAUCUCCAAGAUUCAAUCUCAAGGUUUGCUAACCUCAACACAGUGCAAGAGAAAGAAAACUCUCCUUCUCAACCUUAUCAAAAUUCCAUGAGCCUCCAUGAAAUGGAGGCUGAGGAGGGAAAACCUUCACAGAAGAGGGAAGUCAAAGAAGUGAUCACUCUGAGGAGUGGUAAAGAGGUUGAUCUGCCCAUAUGCAAGCUAGAGCAUAAGGUAGAGAGUGAAACAGAGAAAGAAAAGAGGGGGGAAAUCAAAGGAAAGAAAAAGGGGAAAAUCAUAGAGAAAGAUGGCUAUGAUGUUAAUGUACAAAGAGAACCACAGAGGAUAGUCAUCAAGGAAGAAUUGAUGAAGAAACACAUGCCUCCACCUUUUCUCCAAGCUUUGUAUGGCAAAAUCAUACAGAGAAAGCCCCAAGUGAGAAAUGCAAGCUUCAUAUGGGAUCCGGGCAAGCUAAAUCAGGAGCAAAAUUUUUGAUGCACUUAGUCUUUUUAAAGACUAGCUAGUCCAUAUCUUUUUGUUUUGUUUUUUUUUACUUGUUUUAAUUUUGAUUUCAAUGUUUUAAAUUUUGAUUUCAAUGCUUUAAUUUUGAUUUCAAUACUUUAAUUCUAAUUUGUUUUGAUGUAAUAUAGGUUUUUGGAUGAUCAAAAUCAGGAGGAAUUGCAAAGAAAUUAAAAGGAAGUCUUUCGGAGCAAAAACGGGUCAAAAACAGGGUAAAAACAGGGGAAAAACAGGGACUUGCUAGAUUUCGCAGCCUCUGCGAAAUCGGCACUUUACUGCGAAACCAACUUUGGCACACGAGUGCCAUUUCGCAGCACAGUGACUCUCAUUUCGCAGCUGCGAAACGGCUGCGAACCACCAAAGCAUGAAAGAUCCCAUUUUCGCAGGGAAAGCUCCAUUUCGCAAAGGAUUUCACAGUUGCGAAGCCACUUUUUGGCACACGAGUGCCAUUUUGCAGCACAGUGACCCUCAUUUCGCAGUUGCGAAACGGCUGCGAAAUCCCAAAGCGUAAAAACUUCCAAUUUCGCAGCCAAAGCUCCAUUUCGCAGGGUAUUUCGAAGCUACGAAACUACUUUUGACAUUUGGAAGCCCCGUACACUCAUUUUGCAGCUGCGAAAUGGCUGUAAAACCUCCACACCUUAAAAUCCUUCAGCGCGCACACCAUGAGCUGACAUGUCACAACCGCACCCCCAUUUCGGCAAUUGUUGGACACAUCUCGAUCACUUCUCAAAGUUUAAAUUAUACAUGAAAUAUCUCGUUUCAAAGCUUGGGAAGUCAGAAGUCUAUAGCUUCAAACAGUGCUCUAUUUGGAUUUGAAAUGGAAAAGUUAUGGCCAUUUGAAGAUGACUAUGCAAACCAUGAGCGAAAAUGUCGCACCUCCAUUUUGCUACUAUUGGACAUAUUUUUGAAGCACUUCCUGGAGCUCAAAUUAUGCAUACCAUAUCUCGUUUCAAAGCUUGAGAAGUCAGGAGUCCAUUGCUUCAAACAGUAUGCAAUUUGGAGGUGAAAUGAAGAAGUUAUGGCCGUUUAAAGACGAGCGUGCAAAGCUAAGCGGGAAUUUCGCAGCCAAGACGCCAUUUGGAAGGGUGUUUCUCAACUGCGAAACCACUUUUUGGCACACGCGUACCAUUUCAAAACCCCGUACACUCAUUUUCUAGCUGCAAAAUGGGCUGCGAAAUCACAUUUAGGCUGCGAAAUGGUCUACGAGCUUUGAAAUGGUUGCGAAAUCACCUCCAAGCUUAGAAAUGGCCUUCAAAUUGCGAAAUUGACUUGCGAAAUAGAGGAAGGUUUGCAAAAACACCUUGCAAAGCCAAGGGAAGUUGCUAAAAUGCGAACAGAGCCCCGCGACCAUGCAUCUGAAGAGGAGAGCCCCACGCGCCCUGGGAUCACACACAUAAAGUCUCUCACUCCAUUUUUUACCUCCUUAAACCAUCAGAGCCCAUAGCUCCAGUUGAGGAGACUAUGCCACCUAAGGAGACUACCUGAAUAGAGGCCAAAGUUCUGAUCCAACUCAUUCGAGAGGCUACCACAGACGCAUCAGCUCCACAGGACCUUACCAUUACUUGAUCAUCUUUACCUUUUGUCUUUACAUAUUAUAUUAGUAUAGAUAAUUCCAUGUUUUGAUGUCUUAUAUUCUGGGAUUGGAUGUAUUACUGAUGAUGCAUCAUAUAUAGACAUCAUUUUUUGUUUAAACUUGACAUUUUUCUAUUUCCUGUACUCACUAACUUUUUUGUGUUUCUUUGAAACAUGUGGUUUCUCCUAUACGACUCAGACUCCAUGUCACUCAGGAGGUACCACUUCCUCCCUAUUUUUCAAUCUCUUUUGUCACAUUGAGGACAAUGUUCAGCUUGGUUGGGGGGAGAGUUGAGGAAGUAAGUAUUGUUAAUAAUGCUAAGUUAUUUUGGUAAUUUAGUUGUUUUUUGCUUAAUUUUUAAAAAAUUUUAAAGUUUUUAUUCUACUCUCCAUGGUUAUUAAGGAAAAAAUUUCAAAAUGAAAAGGGAGAAAUUGAAUUUUUGUCUUUUUACUUGACUUAGAUUUUGUAUUAUGCCUAUUAAAGUUGAUGAAUUGUUGAAAAUUCUAUUGAAGUAAACCUUAGUUCUUCCACUUUAAGCUAUUCACACACUGUGCACAAUAGGUUCCAAUUAUAAGAUGAAAAACUAUUCCCCUCUUGACUUAGGAAAAUUUUAGACUUGGUACCUUUGACCUCAUUUAAUAGUGUUGGGACACCUUAUAAAAGGCCAAUGAGUCUUUGAAGAAAAAAAAAAAGAAAGAAAGAAAAAAUGUUUGCUUGCCUUGAAACCCGAGCAAGGUUUGAGGGGUAUAUGGUGAAAAUAUUUAAAACCUGGUGCCCUAAGCCUUCAUUGGUUGGGAGUCACCGACCUCAAUGCUCGUUAUAAGGGUGAAUAGGUGGAGUUUAACAUACUGUAGGUGCUUGGGUAUUAAAAUUCAUUCUCAAAAGUCCGGGGUAAAAUCCGAGGAGUUAGUGGUUGAAAGAUCCUUAAAACUUGAUGCCCUAAACCUUAAUUGGUUGGGAGUCAUCGAUGGACCCCCGUUACAUGGACAAUUUAGAAAAGAAUACCUUUAAGCCUUGUACUCCUACAAUGAAAAAAAUUGUGAAAAAAGAGGUGCGUUCUUAACCUAUUGGAGGUUGAUCAGUUUGCUAAGCUUUGAAAAAGAACUAGGUUGGGGGGAGAGAUUAGUUCAACAUACUAUAUUCGGAAGCUAAUAAAUAACACUUAGAUUUUUGUGGAAGAGUAAGGUUUGGUCCUUUGAAAGUGGAUAUGAUUUUAAAGUUUAAAUUUGCAUAAUGCCUUCUCUUUAUGAAUUGUGAUUAGACAAGUUAUUUGAUAACUCAUGUUGAAGUUUGAGUUUUAUUUCUUUAAUUUUCCAUGUGAGAGUUAGAUCAUCAUGCCACUUGAAAAUAGUUUUUUGAUCAGCAUGAUGUUGUAAAUUAUAGUAUUGUUUAUUUUUAUUUUUCUCUCCUUCAUUGCUAAGGGACUAGCAAUAUGUCGGUUGGGGGGAGUGAUUACUACUCAAAAAGUGCUAUUUCAUAGCUUGUAAUUAACUCUUUUAAACACUUUUGAGUAGUAGUUAUUGCUUUUUAACUCAAUUAACAUGUUAAGGACCCUUGCAAUCAAUUCUAAUCAAUUUGUGUUAAGUUUUGGUGUUUUGAUAGCUUUUUGAUCACCAAAGCAAUCCGAGAUUGAGGGAGAGCUGUAUAUAGUUCAUGACAAAGCUUUUGGAGUCUCAAAUUCAUGAAGAACCAAGCUUUGGAGCUCCAUAGCCCUUUGCCAAAGUCGUUCAAAGUAUGCAAGGAAAGAACAACGGAGAGAGGAAAAACAGAGUGAAGAAAACAGAGGACAGCAGCUGCAGUCUUCUUUCACACUUUUGGAGCACUUCCCAAAGUCCAUUUUCUACAUUCUAUAUACCAUUUCAAAGCUCAGGAAGUAAAGAAUCCAAUUCUUCAAAUGGUGCACGAUUUGGAGUUGAAAUGAAUGAGUUACAGCCAUUGCAAGCCAAUCACUCCAAGCUGAAGGAAGAAUUUUGCACAGCGCUGCGAAAUCACCCUUUUGUUGCGAGAUGAUUUCGCAGCCAUUUUGCACAGUGCAACGAAAUUUCUCCUGAAGUUUCCCGAUAUUUGCUACUGACAUUGGGAGAUAUUUUCCAUCAGAUAUUUUUGUAUAAAUCCCCAUCUUCUCCUUGUAAUCCACCAACCAUAAGAUUUCUUAGUUAGGAAGGUUGGAAAAACGUCUCUAUAUAUAUUCCCUUGCAUCCACUGUAAAAUGGAGAAAAUCAUGUAAUAUAGAUAGAUAUAUCAUAUAUAGAGUCAACGAACAGAGCACUUGCUCUGUUUUUCAUAUAUAUUCUUGUUUUCUCGUUAGUUUUCUUUCCAGCCAAUCAAACUCUGAGGAUUUUUCCUCGGAGGAUGAGAGGCUAGGCUUUUCGUCUCUUGGAGUGAGGAAAUCCGGGUAAGUUUCCACAUGCAUAAUUUGGAAGUUUUGUUGUUUUAGUUUUUAAUGAAGAGAAAGUCUGACCCGUUAAUGGUUUUUAUCUUUUUAGUUAACUUAAAACGCCUUUAAAUCACCUGGGCCAACACUUGGUAAGGCAAGUGAUUUCCGUCCAUGGAGAUGCACUAGUUUAUCUCUUGCGAGCUUUUGGGAGGUGGUUUGAAGGUAGGAUUUUCUAGAAUAGCCAACACUUGGUAAGCUUUUGGACUCCAAGGAGACAUCCAUUAGUUAUCUCUUGCGAGCUUUUGACGGGUAAUCCAAGGUUAAAGAUCACCUUGAAUGGAAAAUGCUAGGUGAGAGGCACGAGCCAUUGUAAGGUACAUCAGUGAGAGGGAUUUAGUGUUUGAACCCAUUAAUGGGAAGCAUCUGUACAACACCGGUUAGAGAAUUAACUAUAUGUUAAUUCUCUAAUACGAGGAAAAGAAACAAGUGAUCGGAACUCUCAUUUUUGUAUGAGGAACCUGAGCCUAGUGAUCAGAACUCCAAGAAACAUUUUUCUUUGUAAGUAAAAUCAGUUACUAUUUUUGGUUAGUUUAAAACCAAACAUUUUUCAUUCAAACAUCUUUAUGUUUUCUUUUAAAGCUAACCUUGAAAUGAAAAGGCACCAAUUCAACUUUGAAUUAAUAUCAUUUGUGAAGUGAAAACCCAUCCCAGUGAACGAUCCUAGAGCCACUAUGCUAUAGUAGCUUUGUCUUUGCUACCCUAGUAUAUGGUGUAAUAGGUUAUAAAUUUUGUUGAUUACUCCCUCAAUCAAGGAGCACCAGCUGGACACGAAUCAGCUGAGACACCAAUUGGGCAUGAAUCACUACACGGGGAUAGAAGAAAUCCCUAGGAGUCAUUAAGUGCUCCAUAGGGUACCUUUGGAGUAAAUGGAAUGAAUCUCUGAGCUCUGGCUGAAGCCUGAAAGUCUCUCUAUCAAAACAAAGCUAGGAGUGGAAUGGCCUAGCCCGACAAUCCAAGUUGCCCUCAAUGGGUGGCUUAGUGACCAUGGGCCGCCUAAUAAUCACCUCAUGAGUCAUCCUAGAAGGAAUCUGAGACUCUGUAGGAGGUGGCUGAGGCUCUGAUGAAGGCUCUGAUGGUUGAACUAGAGAUGAUAUCCUUGCUUUCUUCUUAGGAGGGAGGCUAGCUGACUUAUUGGGUCGAGAGGAGCUUACCCUGGGUGUAGUGGGUGGUCUCCUAGUCUCAUAUCGCCUCAGAGGCGUGCCCUGUACUGAAGGUGGGACGGCAAGUGGCUGUGAAGGCUCAGUCAUGGAGUCUUGCACAAGAACCACUGUUAGUGUUCUGGUGCGGCCUGAGGGAGAUAGGGUAUUGGCUCCUCAUGUUUUGGCCAUGGCUAACUUAGAGAAGGUUGAGAGAGGGUGGUCGGAGGUGCACAUGGGGCUUAGGCUCAGACGAAGGUCCUCUGGAAAUGGUGCUCUGGCGUGGCUCAAUUUUCGCACCAAAUGGGGGUUUUCAUAGGGCAAAUGACCGGUGUGAAAUGGAAAAUAGCAAUUUAAAGAUUUAAAUUGAAAUUUGAGUGACGGUUGAGCUUUUUGCAUGAGAGGACUUAUUUCACAGCCAAGGGCCAAUUUCGCAGCCAAGAGGCAUUUUCGUAGGCCAUUUCGCAGCCCAUUUCGUAGUUGCGAAAUGGGAGUGUAGGGCUGCGAAAUGGCACUCGUGUGCCAAGGAGGUGUUUCGUAGAGGGUACUUGGGCUGCGAAAUGAAGCUUUGGAGGAUUUCACAGCCGUUUCGUAGCUGCGAAAUGGUGGUUUGGGCUGCGAAAUGGCACUCAUGUGCCAAGGGUCCGUUUCGCAUCUGCAAAAAAUUUCGCAAGGGGUGGGGCUUGGGCUGCGAAAUAUUUUCGCAAAUGAAGGCCUUUUUCACAAUGAAACCUCAAUUUUGCAGAGGGUAGUCUUGGGUUGCAAAAUAAUUUCAUAGAGGAUGCCUCAUUUCGUAGGGGGGCUAUUUUGGCUGCGAAAUUUUCGCAGACCAGUGAAUUUGCAUGCUUUUGGGCUCCUUUGGUUCCUUAAGACAUUCUUUCACCUCUUUUGCAAUUCCUCCUAAAUUUGAUCAUUCAAAAAGUUUAAGUUACAUCAAAAUAACACAAAUUAAAACUAUGAUUAAAAUCCAAACAAUUAAUAAAGCUCUUAAAUUAGAAAAAUUAAACAAAAAUUAUGGACUUUGGCAAGACCAAGUCCAUCUAACCCCUUUCUGAUUAGGAUUUCUAUGGCUCAAGGAGGUUGACUUCCUCCUUAUCUUGAUUGAAUGGCUCGAUGAAUGGCUUGAGACGAUGGCUAUUGACUUUAAAAGUGUCUGUGCUGUUGGAAUUCAAUAAUUCCACCACUCCAUUGAGAUGCACUUGGUGAAUAAUGAAAGGGCCUAUCCACCUAGACUUCAACUUCCCAGGAAAGAUAUGGAGCCUAGAGUCAUAGAGUAAGACUCUUUGUCCUUUCCAGAAUUCUUUGUUGGAGAUUAACUGAUCAUGCCACCUCUUCAUCCUCUGUUUUGCAACUUUGGAAUUGAUGUAGGCAUCAUUUCUUAAUUCCUCCAUCUCAUUAAGGUCCAAGCACCUUUUUGCCCCGACUCUGAUCAAGUCCAUGUUUACCUUCUUGAUUGCCCACCAAGCCUUAUAUUCAACUUCCACAGGGAGAUGGCAUGCUUUGCCAUAGACUAGGCGAUAAGGAGACAUGUCAAGAAUAGCCUUAUAAGCUGUUCAUAUGCCCAUAGUGAAUCAUGGAGCUUAAUAGACCAAUCUCUUCUGCUCGUGUUCACCACCUUCAUCAAUAUAUUCUUAAUUUCCCUGUUUUCUAGCUCAAUUUGCCCGGAAUUCUAAGGGUGAUAAGGUGUAGUAGCUACCUUAUGCUUCACCCCAUACUUGGCUAAUAGGGUUUCAAAAGGCUUGUUGCAAAAAUGAGUACCCCCGUCACUAAUUAUGGCCUUGAGUACCCCAAAUCUUGAGAAGAUGUUCUCUUUAAGAAACUUGAGAACCACUCUAUGAUCAUUGUGUUUACAGGGGAUUGCCUUAACCCAUUUAGAAACAUAGUCCACCCCCACCAAGAUAUAAGAGUUACCAAAAGACAUUGGGAAAGGUUCCAUGAAGUCGAUGCCCCAAACAUCAAAGAGAUCAACUAUUAGAAUGGGGUUCAUAGGCAUUUGAUUUCUUCGUGUUAGUUUCCCGAGCCUUUGGCAUUUAUCACAGCUUCUACACAUGGUGUGGGCAUUUUUGAAGGGUGAUGGCCAACUAAACCCUGAUUGCAACACCUUCAUAGCUGUUUUUUGAGAGGCAAAGUGACCUCCACAUGCACUCUCAUGGCAAUGACUGAGGAUUCCUUGUUGCUCUUCUUCAGGGACACAUUUCCUUAUUAUUUGAUCUGCACAAUACUUGAAAAGGAAAGGUUCUUCCCAAUAAUAGGCAUGAAUCUUUGCAAAGAAGUGCUUCCUAUCUUGUGCUUCCACUCACUUGGAACUUCACCAGUAACCAAAUAGUUAGCAAUAUGAGCAUACCAAGGAGUGUUUCCUAGCAACAUAAGUGAUUCCUCUAGAAAGUCAUCAUUAAUAGGUAAAACAUGGGGAUUGUGGGCUAUAGCCAACCUUGAAAGGUGGUCAGCUACCACAUUCUCCACUUCUUUCUUAUCUCUGAUUUGGAGAUUGAACUCUUGUAGUAAGAGAAUCCAUCUAAUCAACCUUGCUUUUGCAUCUUGCUUUGUCAAUAAAUACUUCAAGGGUGAAUGGUCAGUGAAAACAAUGAAAGACCCUACUAGAUAAGCACAAAAAUUGUCUAAGGCAAACACUACAACUAACAAUUCUUUUUCUGUAGUUAUGUAGUUCCUUUGAGCUUCGUUCAAUGUCUUGCUUGCAUAGUAGAUCACAUAGGGCUUUCCAUAUUCUCUUUGGCCAAGAACAACUCCUAUAGCAAAAUCAUUGGCAUCACACAUCACUUCAAAAGGUAGUUGCUAGUUAGGAGCCCUCACUAUUGGAGCAGUUGUUAGGAAUUGCUUCAGUUGAUCAAAACUCCUUUGACAUCUUUCAUCCCAUGCAAACUUAGCAUCCUUAGCCAAUAAUUCACAAAGAGGCUUUGAAAGCUUAGAGAAAUCUUUUAUAAACCUCCUAUAGAACCCUGCAUGGCCAAGGAAUUGCCUUACUCAUUUUACAAUUGUUGGGGAUGGCAAUUUGACCAUAAGUUCCACCUUUGCUUUAUUAACUUCAAUGUCUCUUUUGGAGAUGAUGUGGCCAAGGACAAUUCCUUGUUGUACCAUAAAAUGGCAUUUCUCCCAAUUGAGCACCAAGUCCUUUUCAAUGCAUCUGUUCAGAACCGCUUCCAAGUUGACUAAGCAUUCUUCAAAUGUACUACCAUAUAUGGUGAUGUCAUCCAUGAAAACCUCCAUAAUUCGCUCCACCAUAUCACUGAAGAUACUUAGCAUACAUCGUUGGAAUGUUGCAGGUGCAUUACAUAAACCAAAAGACAUUCUUCUAUAGGCAUAUGUUCCAAAUGGACAUGUGAAAGUGGUCUUCUCCUGAUCUUCAACAUGGAUUUCAAUUUGAAAAUACCCGGAGUAGCCGUCCAAGAAACAAUAGAAAGGAUGGCCAGAGACUCUCUCCAAUACUUGAUCAAUAAAUGGAAAUGGAAAAUGAUCCUUCCUUGUCAUAGCAUUCAAUUUUCUACAAUCAAUACACACCCUCCAACUUGAAGUGAGGCGUGUAGCAACUUCUUCUGCCUUUUCAUUUUGGACCACCGUGAUCCCUGACUUCUUUGGUACCACUUGAGUAGGACUUACCCAUGGGCUAUCGGAUAUGGGGUAGAUAAUAUCUGUUUGAAGUAGCUCUAGAACCUUAGUUCGCACCACCUCUUGCAAAUGAGGAUUCAACCUUCUUUGAGGUUGACGAAUUGGUUUAGCUUCUUCUUCUAUGUAUAUAUGAUGUGUACAAACCAAAGGACUGAUGCCUUUCAAGUCAGAUAUUUGCCAUCCUAUUGCUUUCUUGCACCUCUUAAGGACUUCAAGUAGACACACCUCCUGAGGAGUAGUAAGAGAUGAAGAUUUAACAAUAGGGCACUUUUGAUUUUCUUCUAGGUAUGUAUAUUUCAACUCCAUGGGCAGGGGCUUCAGAUUGAGCUUUGGGGUCUCCUCUUUAGUAGCUUAUUAUGCCUCAUCUUUAUUGAACAAAGGUAGAAUUUCUUCUCUCCUCCUCCAACCUUGUAAAGUAGCAAGCACAUUUGAGGGUUCAGGCAACCCUUCUUCAAGAUCCCCAAGACUUUCAUUCAACCUGUCUUGCAUCUUCUGAUUACAAUGCUCCUCCACUAGAGUGUCAAUAAUGCACACCUCUUUUGGACCUCUUUCUUCUUCCGGAGUGAUUGACUUUUUGGGCAUAUAGAAGAUAUUGAGCUCCAAUGUCAUGUUGCCAAACAUGAGUUGCAUGAGUCCAUUCCUACAAUUUAUGAUUGCAUUUGAUGUAGCAAGGAAUGAACUUCCAAGGAUGAUAGGAACAUAAUUAGUUUCCUUGAAAAUUGGGUCUGUGUCAAGAACAACAAAGUCUACUAGAUAGUAGAAAUUAUCAACUUGAACUAAGACAUCUUCAAUUAUCCCCCUUGGAAUUUUCACUGAUCUAUCUGCUAGAGAUAGAGUGAUUGAUGUUGGCUUCAAUUCACCAAGUCCUAAUUGCUUGUAAACAGAGUAUGGCAGAAAAUUCACACUUGCUCCCAAGUCUAACAAAGCUUUCUCCACUACAGUUCCCCCAAUCAUGACUGUAAUGGUAGGGCAACCCGGAUCUUUAUACUUCAAAGGAGACUUGCAUUGUAUGAUAGCACUUACUUGCUCAGUUAAGAAGGAUUUCUUAUUCACAUUCAACCCUCUUUUGAUAGUACACAAGUCCUUUAGGAAUUUUGCAUAAGUUGGAACUUGUUUAAUCAUAUCUAGCAAUGGGAUGUUGACCUUCACUUGUCUUAGUACUUCAAGAAUUUCUGAGGCAUUUUUUAUUCCAUUUUUCCCAUGCAAAGCUUGAGGAAAAGGUGGAGGUGUGUGUUUCUUCAUCACCUCUCCCUUAAUAAGUACUUUCUCCGGGUUUGCAUUCACUAUUGAAUCAUGGUCCACUUUCCCUUCACUGGUAUCUUUCUUCUUUCCUUUGAUUUCCUCCCUCUUCUCUGUCUCUUUUUUUUUCUUCCUCUUCAACAUGUGGCUUGGAUGUUGGCAGCUCAACCUUUUUACCACUCCUUAGAGUGAUCAAGCCUUUAACAUCUCUCACCUGUGAAGACUCUCCUUCAUGAGUUUCCACUUCAUGGAUACCCUUGGGGUUUUGGUGAGGUUGAGAAGGAAAUCUACCCUUCUCUUGCACUGUGUUCAGGUUAGUGAGCCUUGAGAUUGAGUAUUGGAGAUUAUCUAUCUUUUGAGAUAAGUCAUUUUGCAUCUCAUCCAUCCUUUUAUUCAAUGUAUUCUCUACACUGUCAAUUCUUUGACUGAGUUGAGCAUUGAUGGAUUUUUUAUCUCUAACAAAAUCUCCCACAACCUUACUUAGAUUCACUAUUGCUUGUUCAAGAUUUGAGGCUUGUUGAGAUGGUUGAGCUGGCUGUGUAUACUGAGGUGCUCUUGGCUUCCAGGAGAAAUUUGGAUGGUUCCUCCAAUUUGAGUUGUAAGUAUUUCCAUAUGAAGCAUUGUUGUUGGGCUUGAAUUGUCCAAUGACAUUUGCUUGUUCUCCAAACAUUUCCCUAGCAGCUGGAAUUGUAGGGCACUCUUCCACCAAGUGCUCAUAAGAUUGACAAAUAGGACAUGGCUUGACUUGUACUAGUGUUUCAGCAACAGCCUGCACUUCAUGUAUUUUUUUCAAUUCUAGUUCCUCCAAUCUUCUUGUCACAGCUGCAACCUUUGCUUUCAUAUCAACAUCUUCACUCAAGGUGUACAUCCCAACCUUAGCAUUAAAGGCAUUUGGUUGAGACUUCGUCUUUACCACUUCUCCUUUGUUCGGUUCAUCCCAUCCCCUUGAAACUUCAGCCACAUAACUCAAGAAAUCCAUGGCUUCCUCCUGAUUCUUACUCAUGAAAUCUCCUCUACACAUAGUCUCAAGGAGUUGCUUCAUUGAGGAAGGCAUCCCAUCAUAAAAGUAACUCACCAAUAGCCAUGUAUCAAAACCAUGAUGAGGACAAGCAUUGAUGGAUUCCAUGUAUUUUUCCCAACACUCAUAGAAUUUCUCAUUCUCUUUAGCUAAGAAAUUUGAAAUUUGCAUUUUCAAGCCAUUUGUUCUAUGAGUAGGAAAAAAUUUCUUGAGGAAUUCAGCUUACAAAUCAGUCCAAGUUCGGAUACUCCUUGGCCUUAAAGAAUUAAGCCAGAUCUUGGCCUUAUCCUUCAAAGUAAAAGGAAAUAGCUUUAGCCUCAUCAUGUCGAUUGAAGCUCCUCCCUCUUGGAAUGUAUUGCAAACAUCUUCAAAUUCCUUGAUAUGUGCAUAGGGAAUCUUACUUCCCAUCCCAUGGAAAGUAGGUAGAAGUGGAACAAUAUGCCGUCUAAUUACUAGUUGCUCUAUAGGGGGCACUAUACAUGAUGGUGCACUCAUACGAGGUGGAUACAUGCGGUCCCUCAUUGAUCUGAAUGCAUUGGGAUUGUCCUGGUGACCAUGGUGACUAUGCUGAUCUUCAGGUGUAGCUUCCAUGAUGUUCAAGCCCAAUUCCAACUCCUUGUUAUGAGGUGUUUCAAGUUUCACAAGCCUUCCUCUACUGUCUCGUAUCCAAUUUGGCAUACACAACUAAUAUCAACUGUAACAACCACAAAGAAACAAAAGAAAACAAAAGAAAACAGGACUACAAAAAGACUAAGAUUAACUAAACUACAUUAAAAGACAUGCUAAAAUAUGAACAAGUAAAAGAAACAAUUUAAAAGAGUUAGUAAAAUGAAAGAAAAAUCACCAAACUUGUGAUGAAAAUCACAAGUACUCUGAAAAGAUAAUAUCACUGUGAAGUUGGCACCUUCCCCGGCAACGACGCCAUUUGAUUUGUUCCCAAUUGGUGUACCUUGAUUUUUGUCCCCAGACAAGAGUAAUCAACAAAAUUUAUAACCUAUAUCACCAUGUACUAGGAUAGCUUCAGCUAGCAUAGCAUAGUGGCUCUAGGAUCAUUCACUAUGAAGGGUUUUCAACUCACAACUGAUGUUAAUUCAAAGUUGAAUUGGUGUUUUUUCAUUUCAACGUUAGCUUUAAAAGAAAACAUAAUCUUUGGUUGAAAAAUGAUUGAUUUUAAGCUAAGCAAAAAAUAGUAACUAAUUUUAAUUAUAAAGAAAAGCGUUUCUUGGAGUUUUAGGAUCACUGGGGUCAGGCUCCUAAUACAAAAAUAGAGUUCCGGUCACUUGAAUCUUUUCCUCGCAUUGGAGAAUUAACAUAUAGUUAUUUCUCUAACCGGUGUGGUACAGAUGCUUCCCUUUUAUGGAUUCAAACACUAAAUCCCUCUCACUGAUUGAUUACUACCCAAAAAGUGCUAUUUUACACCUUUAAUUCAUUAUGUUUUAAGCAGUUUUGUGUAGUAGUUCUCCAUCUUUAUCUCAAUUGGCAUAUUAAGGACCUAACAAUGACUUCUAAUCAUAUUUUUGGCUAGUUUUAGUGUUUUGACAGCUUUUUGGAUCAUUAAGACAAGCCAAGCAAAGGAGAGAAGCAAAGAAGAGAAGCAAAGAGAGAGUGAAGAAAAUAGAGGACAGCAGCUGCAGUCUUCCUUUGCACUUUUGGAGCACUUCCCGAAGUCCAUUUUCUACAUGCUAUAUACCAUUUCGAAGCUCAGGAAGUCAAGAAUCCAACGCUUCAAAUCGUGUAUGAUUUAGAGCUGAAAUGAGGAAGAUAUGGCCUUCGGAAGACAACUGCAUCAAGCCAUGGGAACACCAUUUCGCAAGGAGAUUUUCUUCAUGGUGCGAAAUUUGGCAAUUUCGCACCAUGAAGAACCACCUUGCGAAAUUUCGCAAGGUGGCUUUUCACCUUGCGAAAUUUGGACCCUUCAUCUUUCCAUUCCACUGCCGGUUCUCCAAGAUAUUUUGCUUGAUUUUUAGCUUUGUAAAUACCUAUUUUACCCUUGUAAUCAACCAAUGAAUAGGUUGCUUUUGUAAUAGCUCUUGUAAUUUAGCUUGUUAUUGUCUUUAAAUAGAGGUGAAGAGCCUCAGACAAAGAUAUCUUGUAACCUUUAACUUUAUAAGUUAUAAGAGCACUUUUGUUCAUACGCUUCUUUUCUCUUUUCUUUCUCAUUUUCUUAGUAGCCAAACAUCCUUGGAGGAUGAAAUCCCCAAGGAUGAGAGGCUAAAACCUUUUAGUUUCUUGAAGUAAUGGAUGCCAUGUGAAGCUCCCGUGUCAGGAUGGAGAUUUCCAAGCCAUAAAUGUAAGUAGCUGAGUGUCAUAAAUGUUUUCAUUCAAAGUAAAGCUUUUAAUCCCUCUGACUUGCUUUGAAUGGCCAAUACUUGAUAACCUUUUGGUCUUAGUGGAUUCUUAUUGUUAGAUCCACUGACGUUCAUUAGUUAUCUCCUACGAGCCAUUGUAUUGCAAGUCGAGGAGAUGACCUAUAUCAAUAAAAGAGCAUUUAUGAGGUUCAGCUACCCUUUUUGUAAGUUUUCAAGGACUAAAACUCAGUUGUUAAACUCAUACCGGUUCGGGAAGUAAGCAUCACCUUAGUUGCUUCCCCAACUCGAGGUGAAAAGUCCCAAAAUCUCCAUUUUUACACAGUGAGUUAAGCAUGGCUAUCCAAAGCUUUGAGAAACUUCUUUUUCCAUCUUUUAACCUAUUUUCAUGUUAGUUUAGUUUACAACACCUUCAUCUUUUUAUGUUUUCAUCUUAACCUAAUUUUUAUUAAGAAAAGUUCACUCCAUCCUCCGAACUUCACCAGUUAAAGUAAAAACCCUUCCCAGUGUUCGAUCCUAGAGUCACUAUGCUAUAGUAGCUUUGCUACUUUAGUGUAAGGACCUUAGGUAUAAAUUUUGUUGAUACCCUUACAUGCCAAGCUACCAAGAGUCGGGUUAUCAGUGAUUCAUCUUGUAAUGGUUCGUGCAUCUCACCUAGCAUUUACCAUUCGAGGUGAUCCUUAACCUUGGAUUUCCUUUCUCAAGCUCGCAAGAAAUAACUAAUGGAUGUCUCCUUAGAGUCUAAAAGCUUACCAAGUGUUGGCUAUUCUAGAAAAUCCUACCUUCAAACCACCUUCCAAAGGCUUGCAAGAGAUAAACUAGUGCAUCUCAAUGGAUGGAUAUCAUUUGCCUUACCAAGUGUUGGCCCAGGUGAUUUAAAGGCGUUUUAAGUUAACUAAAAGCAUAUAAACUAUUAACGGGUCACAUUUUCUCUUCAUUAGAAGUUGAAACAACAAAACUUCCAAUUCUUGCAUUCGGCUCCUUACCUAGCUUCCUCAACUCUAAGAGACAAAAAGUCUAGCCACUCAUUCUCUGAGGAAACAUCCUCAGAGCUUGUUUGGCUAGUAAGAAAAAAUACAAUCAAAGUGAGCAGGUAAGGCAGAGCAAAGCUCUGUGUAUUACUUCCUUCAAAACUAUACAAAAAGUUGGUCUCUGAGAACAAACUCCCGAGAUAUCCCUGUGUAAAGAAAAUUACAAACUAUAUAUAAGAGGUUAUUCACCCUUUAUUCUUACUUACUAACUAAGGAAUCCUAUGAUUGGUGGAUUACAAUGAGAAAAUGGGGAUUUAAACAACAAAUAUUUGAAGAAAAAAUCUAAAAGAGUUAGUCGCAAAUAUCUGGAAGCACUCAGGUGGAUUUCGCAGGCAUGCAAGAUGGGCUGUGAAAUUUUGCAAGCUGAAAGUCUCCAUUUCGUAGCUAUAGGCUGAUUUUGCAGCUAGCACCUUGUGAUUUUGCAGCUGCGAACUUGGCCUUCAACUUGGUGCGAUUGGCUUCCAAUGGCUAUAACUUCUUCAUUUCAGCUCCAAUUCGCACACCGUUUAAAGCGUUGGAUUUCUAACUUUCUGAGCUUCGAGACGACAUAUAGUAUGCAUGAAGUGGACUCCAAGAAGUGCUCAAAAUGUGUCCAACAGUUGCUGUCCUCUUGAAUUCUUCAUAUUAGAUUUCUCUCUUUGCUUUCCCUCCUUGCAUUCAUGAUUUACUUUUGGAAAAUGACUAUAAAGCUUCAAAGCUUGGGUUCUUCAUGUAAAUGAGCUUUCAAUUGCUUUGCCAAGGAUUCUAUAGAACUCUCCUCAAUCUUGGAUUGCUUGGGUGAUCAAAAUGCUAUAAAAAAAGGCCAAAACUUAACACGAUUUGAUUAGAAAUGAUUACAAAGGUCCUUAACAUGCCGAUUGAGUUUAAAGGUAAUAACUACUACUUAAAAACAUUUAAAAGAGUUAAUUACAAGCUAUAAAAUAGCACUUUUUGAGUAGUAAUCAUGUACUCUGUAAUUGCCUUAGUAUUUGAUCAUCCUCUCUUCUAACCUUCUCAUGAGAGACUGCAACAUCAGAUGGCCUGACUACUAGAGGUGGGGGUUGAGAGAACAGAUCUUGCAAAGGUUGAGUGGAUUCUAACCUCUCUGCCAAUUCAGGAUUUUCCCAACUGCAGUUUUAUUUUAUAAUUCUCUAACUCCUUUGCUUCAUUUUCUAAGUCAAACUUGGACACCACCACGCAUUUCAAUCUUUGAGGUCUAAUUCCGUAUCUGAAGGUAGGACUUUCUAUUCUUGCUGCAAUUGGGAGAACAAAUUCUGCAAGUUCUGGGGAGUCAUCUCAGUUCGAAAAAAUUGCAGGUAUUCAUUAUGUGCAAGGGUCUGAAUUUGUUGCAAUUUCUCCAACUUUCUUACAAGCUCGACAGUGUUGAAGGAAUUCUUGAGAAUCUGGAACAUAACUGUGAGUAAUCUUGGAAACAAUUGGGCAAUCUGUAGGUUCUUCACUUGCUGUCAUCGCUAAGUUACCCCAUUCUUUCUGAUACCUGGACUUACUACCUCUGAUUUACUUGGAGAUCAUCAACAAGAGGACAAUCAAGGUAAAGUGAGCCCACUGAUUCUUAUUCAUGUUGGUCAGAUGCUAACUUGCUGAUGUGUUCUGUCAAACUAAGCGAGCCAGCUGGUGUGUUCUGUUGAACUGAGCAACACUAUAUUUACUCUCAAAUUUAAAUCUUUUAACCUGAAUUCAGAAUCAGCAGCAUCAUUAGAGUCACUGGCAGUGGCAAGCCUCGAUUCUUGCCCAAUUAUGUUUGCAGUUUCUCAUUUCUUGAAACUUGCAUUUCCGGGAAGAGGAUUGUCUUUUGCAUUCUGAACAUUCCAUUAACUACUUGGUGCUAGUAAAGGAUUAGGAGGAGUGGACAUUUGAACGUUUAUUACAGCUUUGCUAUUUAAAUUUGAAGAACUAAUUGAUUUGCACUGUGUCUCAACAGCAUUACUGCUGGAUUUGACUUGCUUCGAUUUACUAUAAGUAGUAAAAUCGUUUUCAAAAUCCACCAGCCCAAUGGACCCUAGGGAGAAAGCUUCAGCCUGAUGCAUGCUAUUAGCAUUGGAAGUUGUCUCGAACAUAGCAAGAUCAAUCAAACUUUUACCUAGUUGAUUUAUCUUCAUUUCAAUCAUGGCAUCUUCGAGGAGCAACCUGUCAUUGGACUUCAUGUCGCACAUGUCCAAUAGUUGGAAUAAUCGGUGCUUCUCUGAGAACUUCGCAAAAGCAAUGUGUUUUUCAUCAACGUUCAAAUCAGACAUUGAAAUUUUUUUGUAGGUUGGCAGAAAUGUGGCAGUGCUUCUCUGAGAACUUCGCAAAAGCAAUGUGUUUUUCAUCAACGUUCAAAUCAGACAUUGAAAUUUUUUUUGUAGGCUGGCGAAAAUGUUGGCAGCUUCAACAUCAUAAAUUGCAGCAAGAUUGAAAAUCUGAAUUACAUCUCUAAGUGUUCCAGAGAACUUAGUCACGUCCGCCUCCUAUGCCAUUUCUUGAUAAAUCUCGUUCUUUCCAAAUGCUUCCAAAGGUUGAAAUUAGUACCCUUGUUCAUCUCAAGGAAACAAACUAUUGUACUCACUAUUCUUGUACUUAGAACCUCCAAGUUGAAGGCGUCUAUCAAUUUAAAGUUUGCUCCUGAUGCUACAGAGGCUGCAGCAAUAACUGCAAGAACAUUUGCUGCUCGUAUAUGUAUCCAACUAUCAUUCUUCCCAGUGCCAAUCUGUAUCUCAGAUAUAAGAGAGACCACAUCAGGUGUGUGCUGAGCUCUCUGCCAUGUGUUUCCUUUACAAAGCUUUUCCUAAAGAAGACCCUGGUUGGUUCAUGGAGCAUAUGAAAGUGAAUUUAUGAUCCACUCUCGAACAAACUUUUGAUAUGAAGAACAUAUGGUUGCUACCAUACAGGAUCAUUGGAAAGAGUAGAAGGCGAGUCAUCAUCAACUGAAAAUAGUAGGGAAUGUAGACAAGAUGAAUUCCAUAGAACCUGAAGAAACCUUUCUCUAGGUUGACCCAACAAGUUGACAGAGAUAUCUCGAAUGUGUUCCUCGUUUUGAGACAUUCUUUAUGAGAAAACAGGCGUGAGCAGAAAGAGUAGAUUCUCUGAUUUCAGCUUCAUUUUCGGUAUCAGAUAUUCUAUCCUCCAGCCAUGAUACUGUUGUUUCAACAAUUCACAAGCAACUAACAAUACGCUGCGACUCUCUUCAAUUGUCAAAUAACCAGUAGAUUUGCCUGAUAUUUUCUCAAUGAUGGAAUCAGGUUCCUUCUCAUGGGCAUCAGAAGGCAACUUGUUUUCUGCAUCUGGUGGAAUGAACAAAGAAGCAUGCUCUCAAGUUGAGUCAGGUACAGAUCCUACUGCAUUUCCUUCUAUGGUUUCAGAAGAAAAUCCAGAACAGGACUUUUAGACUUUCUCAACUGGUCCAUUUUGAAUGGUUCCCUUCAGACCUUGCUCUCUCUGUUCUGCCUCCUUCUUUGUUCCGGCUCAAAGAUUUCAACUGUGCGAUGGUGUGAUGCAUUUGAUUCUCAGCCGAAGAAAAAGAACAAAAUCUGCUUAUGACGACAUUUAUUUAUCAAGAGCAAGCCGAUGAUCUCUUUAGUGUCAAAGGACGACUUAAUAAAUUUCGGCCGCUGUAGGUAAGAAGUCUUCUAUGCCAUUCUAAUUAUAUAAUGUCUAACUCAGACCUCCAAGAUCAACUAGAUUCAGAUUCUAAACCAGCACUUUGCAAUUAUGAGUUUCACGCCCAUCAAGAAAACCCAAGAGUGCUUCAAUAUCUUCUUUGCCCAUUCUGAUGGAUCAUUGUCUAAAGCAUCAUAGACACUCUUCCUAAUUCUGGCACCAUCCUUCAUGAAUUUGUAGCUUGUUUGUCAUCUUUUGGUUAACGUCUUUGCCUUUCCAUCACUCCAUUUUUCAAUUCUGAGGUUUUAUUAAAUCUACUUUGAACAGCCGUUUUGGUGAAGCUGACGAUUGAGGCUUCAUAUGUACAGCCUAUCGUGCAUUGUGCAAAUUUGAAAGAUUGUGAUCAGAGUGGAGUUGGCUCUGGAUAUUGACUGCAAGCUAACUGGAUUCAAAUUUUGAGCAUCCAUCCUUGAUCCAACUGGUGUUACAGUAUUAGAGGAGUUUGAAGUCCCUGAAGGAUCAGCAAUGUUCAUCCCAUAUCUAUCACCCUGAAUAAGGGGUUGCUGAUGUUGAUCAAACUGCUGCUGUAAGGGUUCCGAAGAAUCACCACAUAGUCUGCCAAACGAAUAACCAUUCAGAAGUGCUGGGUCCAUUCACCCAUUGCAUAUUGUUCUCAAUAAACCCACCAUUUAAAGGCCCAUUUUAAAAAAAAAAACCAUAAGCUCUCUAUUGCAAACCGGACCUAAUUCUACCACCCCUUGGACUGCCAAUAACUUCAAAACCUUCACACUGAUGUGUACAUAUAGCAUUUCUUAUGCCAUGAAUAAAUUCCCCAAACCACUUUCGGGAUGAACACCAUGAAUAGAUCAGAUUGGCAUCCACAACCAGGUUUCUGAAAUUGGAGCUCAUAAAAAAAUGAAGCUGCAUCCAAUCAGCAUCGGAUUUUCUUCUCCUUUUUGAGACUCUUGGAAUAUGAAAAAGAAAACUUGUGAAGAAUAAGGUGGAAUAUUCCAGUAAUGUAGUACACGGUAGGACCCAUUUGAAGGGGAACCCUGCAUUCAUUACUCUCACCUCCAGUAGCAUUAGAUGCUUGCUGAACCCAAUUCAGCCAGUCUCUGCAUAUUGACUCUCAAUAUAAACGCUUAGAAAUAACAAUGACUUCAUUUCUACUGCCUUGUUUAGACCCUCCUGGACCAAUGUCUACCUUCAUCUCUCACAAAUUCUGGUUCUACUAUUAAAGUUCUGCCCCCAGUCCGUUUUGCAAAGCAUAAGCUAAUUUUACAUUUGUAUAAUUCCAUCUUAACACACAAGUCCGACGUAGCCUUUGCUGAGAAGUUAAAGAAAUUGCUUUUCUAGUAUAAAAGAGCCUUUCAGAACCAUGCUGAAGCUCUGAAUGUUGAUAGUUUUCCAUUGCAACUGAUAUGAGCUCCUCAUUAGUAGUGUCACAAGAAUGACUCCAUGAGAAGUUUCUUGCUGCACCACCUUUUUUAUGUAUUCCAACCCCAACUGUUGAGCUUCUUGAAAUUGAAACUACAGAACAUAGUUAUUUUGAAUUGUUUGCAUCUAUAGUGAUAAAUCACUGAAAGAGACAAUCAUGAUUUAGGCACUUGAUUUCCGUUUCGGUCAAACUAACAGCUUCGUAACUGUUAAUCUCAAGGUCAGAUUCAUGCUCUUGUUUCUCAAUUUCAGUCUUCCCAUGAGAAUUUUUUCCAUAAUAAUCAAAUGAAUUCUUAAAAUUCCCAAAAGUUUCUAGCUUUUGCUGAUCAUGGAGGUGCCUCACAAUACUUGUCAUUACACUCACUUUGAAAUUUUUCUAGUCCAUGUUCACUUUGAAUGAAUGUAUCCCUAAAGGGGGUAUUCAAUGACUGCCCAUAAUGAGUUACAAGUUCCCCAAAAUAGAAUAUAAUGAUCGUCGGCCUUACAGUACUGCUCUUUUAAAAUUUUCUGCUCACUGAACAGUCAUAGUUCAAACCAUCAGUAUCAAAAGGCUUUCCCAGGCACUCAUCUUCGGAACCAUAAGGCCAGCAAGUCUGCAACUGUCUGAGCUGGGUAAAAAAGUCCUAAGCAGUGGAAGUGCACAGCAUGAUGCUGUCAAGUUUCAAUAACUUCAAUAAUCCAUUCUUCCUCUACUCAUGUAAACUUGUAAUGCUGUCAGAAAUCCUGUCUUCAGAAUAGCAACCCUGACAAUUGAGUAUGGAAAGCAGAAUAUCCAUGUGCUUCCCACUAAGCUUUUUACAACCAUCCUCAUAAACUGAGGUGUGCCAUUCUAGAGAAAAGACACAGUCUUUUAGAAAUCCCAAUACUUCUGAAGCAGCUUGAAUUAGCAUAUUGCAGUAAUUGGAAGUCGGAUUGAUUGAAACAAGGGCUUGAACACAUCCAUCUGUAAAUCUUACAGACCGACCACCUUCAGAGAAAAGGUCUCCAAAAAAAAGGCUUCAUCUUCAUGACAAACAUCAUUCUCUGUUUCAGAGUUGCAACUGCCCCUGUUAUACUACUCCUGUGCACUUCAACAUUUACUCUUCAGUUAUACCGCCCCCUUAGAUAGCAUCUAUCCCACACCAUGAAGCAAGCAAGGUUCACUAUAAUAGGAUCUAAUAGCAGCAACAAAAAGGGUGAUCCUGAAGUAAUGUGCAUUUCCAUCAUGAGAUUUACCAUAAUGUAUCAAUGAUCUAACAUCAAUAACUGGCUGAGGAUCAGGUUCAUCAUCAAAUGCAAGAGUAUGCUUUAGCUUUCAAUCUGAGUUGUCUAUUCAUAUCUUGAAUUAUUAAAAUGCUAAAGUUAUUGACUCACUGAAACCUGCAGGUUCCUCAUCUUUCAAUUUCAAUGGGUUCCUCUAAACCUACUUCAUAACGGCUGUGAUCUCACCUGGAGAUAUUUUGAACUUGACGUCAUCAAUAUCUUCAGCGUGCACUCCUGUUGGAACAUAAGCGACAGUAGCAGCGGGAAGAGGUGUUGUACUGAUUCGCUUCACAACCCCUCGCAAUGUGUUGAACUUAACAUUGUCUAUAGCAUAUUUCUACGGGAAUCAUCUCCAUAUAUCCUGUUGACUUGAAUAGUACUAAUGAUAUUUGCAAUAUUAUCCCUCCAUGACAGUAGUUUUGAUUGAAGGUAUUGCCACUAUUGAGAUAAGGAAAAAAAAACAGCUAGGAUUCCAACCCGGAAUACCAAAGGAGAACCCCAGAAAUUGAAGCAACUUCUGCAUCCAACUAAAUCACAUCCGGAACCCGGUUUAACAACUUUCUUGCCUUGAAGAAGAAAUACCCAAUUUGAUUCAACAAUCUACAAUCAUGUGCCAAACCCCACAAACAGCCCACAUUCUACACAGCCUUUAUAAAGUUUCUACCUUUCAUGAAAUACUCAUGCCAUCAUGGUCUCCAUAGCCCAGAACACCAAAGAAGGGAGAAGUAAGAAAUACAUAGAUGUAGAAGCAAAGAAAAAUAAUCCAAGAAAAGCAAAGCACGGGAGAUAAAGAUGGGUAAGCAGGCAAACCACAUUCCAUUUUUUUCAAAAGAGCUUGAAGGAUUGAACAUGUCAAGACGAAUUUAGUUAAAACUUUAUCAAGAUUCCACAAACAUUCGAGCUUAGACAUAAAUCUCUAUUUCAACUAUUUGUAGAAAGAAUCUAAGAAAUCAAGAACACAAUCAUAACAGAGCAAGGUUAUAGGAAAUUUUGAUUCAACAACGCAAAUAAGUGGCCCUCAAUGUCCACUCCAAUCAGCGAAAUAAAUGCUCAGAACCAUCAGAGAAUCAUCCAGAAUCAAACACAAAAGAAGGCAUAGGAAAUAGUUGAAAACGUACCUGAUUUGUCUCCACCCGAUUACUUGGCUCCCUUGCUAUGAUUCUUCUCCGAAAUCCUCAGAAAUUGACCGUUAAUUCCUCACUCCUGGACAGCCUUGGUUGCAAUCGCUCCUUUCCGACUCCUUUGUGUUUUUCCUCAAGACAAUCACCCCAGAAAAAAAUCCUCGAAUCUCCUAUCUUUCUUUUUCUUUUUCUUCCCCCCUAUCAAACCCAUCCGUUAGAGUUUUUUAUAGCAAAUAAUAGUCCUUCUACAUGAGGAGUCUUCCUCUCUCCAAAUUUUAUCUUAUGCACCGAAAAAACUCUUUUUUUAAAUUUCAAACAAUACCAAUCCAUGCAUAUCAUCUAAAGAGUCUUAUCGUUUUCAAAAACUUCUCCAAUGGUAGACUUCUUCCAUAAAAAUUUCAAAUUAUUAAAUAAAUAAAUAAAUAAUAAAAUAAAUAAAUAAAUAUAUAACUAAAUAAAUAAAUGGGAGAAUGAUAAAAUGAUAAUAAUAGAUAAGUGAAUAAAUAACAAGAUAAUAAACAAAUAAAUAAGAAUAAUAAAUAACUAAAAACGAUUGAUAAUAAUGAAAAUAAAUAAAUAAAUAAAAACAUAAUUGAUUCGUGCCCAAUUGCUAUCUCAGCUGAUUCGUGUCCAGCUGGUGCUCCUUGAUUGAGGGAGUAAUCAACAAAAUUUAUAACCUAUUAUACCAUAUACUAGGGUAGCAAAGACAAAGCUACUAUAGCAUAGUGGCUCUAGGAUCGUUCACUGGGAUGGGUUUUCACUUCACAAAUGAUAUUAAUUCAAAGUUGAAUUGGUGUCUUUUCAUUUCAAGGUUAGCUUUAAAAGAAAACAUGAAGAUGUUUGAAUGAAAAAGGUUUAGAUUUAAACUAACCAAAAAUAGUAAUUGAUUUUACUUACAAAGAAAAAUGUUUCUUGGAGUUCAGAUCACUAGGCUCAGGUUCCUCAUACAAAAAGGGAGUUCCGGUCACUUGUUUCUUUUUUCUCGCAUUAGAGAAUUAACAUAUAGUUCCUUCUCCAACCGGUGUUGUACAGAUGCUUCCCAUUAAUGGGUUCAAACACUAAAUCCCUCUCACUGAUGCACCUUGCAAUGGCUCAUACCUCUUACCUAGCACUUGCCAUUCAAGGUGAUCUUUAACCUUGGAUUACCCGUCAAAAGCUCGCAAGAGAUAACUAAUGGAUGUCUCCUUGGAGUCCAAAAGCUUACCAAGUGUUGGCUAUUCUAGAAAAUCCUACCUUCAAGUCACCUCCCAAAGGCUCGCAAGAGAUAAACUAGUGAAUCUCCAUGGACGGAGAUCACUUGCCUUACCAAGUGUUGGCCCAGGUGAUUUAAAGGCAUUUUAAGUUAACUAAAAAGAUAAAAACCAUUAACGGGUCACACUUUCUCUUCAUUAAAAACUAAAACAACAAAACUUCCAAAUUAUGCAUGCGAAAACUUACCCGGCUUUCCUCACUCCAAGAGACAAAAAGCCUAGCCUCUCAUCCUCUGAGGAAAAAUCCUCAGAGAAUGUUUGGCUAGCAAGAAAAUGAAAAUGAAAGAGAAGGAAAAAUAGAGCAAGGCUUUGUAUAUUCUAUAUAUUUAUAUAUCUAUAUAUCUAUAUAUCCAUUGGAUUACAUGAUUCUAUAUCUAUUACAGUGGAUGCAAGGGAAUAUAUAUAGAGACGUUUUUCCAACCUUCCUAACUAAGAAAUCUUAUGGUUGGUGGAUUACAAGGAGAAGAAUGGAAAUUUAUACAAAAAUAUCUGAAGAAAAAUAUCCAAAAGUGUCGGUCUCAAUUAUCGGGAAGCUUCAGGAGAACACCCGUGCACUGUGCAAAAUGGCUGCGAAAUUCUCGCAGCAAAAGGCUGAUUUCGUAGCCGUGCAAAAAUCUUCCUUUAACUUGGAGUGAUCUGCUUGCAAUGGCUGUAACUCCUUCGUUUCAACUCCGAAUCGUGCACCGUUUGAAGCAUUGGAUUGUUGACUUCCUGAGCUUUGAAAUGGUAUAUAGAAUGUAGAAAAUGGACUUCAGGAAGUGCUCCAAAAGUGCAAAAGAAGACUGCAACUGCUGUCCUCUGUUUUCUUCACUCUGUUUUUCCUCUCUCCGUUGUUCUUUCCUUGCAUACUUUGAACGACUUUGGCAAAGGGCUAUGGAGCUCCAAAGCUUGGUUCUUCAUGAAUUUGAUCUUCCAAAAGCUUUUCCAUGGAUUCCAAGUAACUCUCCUCAAUCUCAUAUUGCUUUGGUGAUUAAAAAGCUAUCAAAACACCAAAACUUAACACAAUUUGAUUAGAAACGAUUGCAAGGGUCCUUAACAUGUCAAUUGAGUUAAAAGGUAAUAAUUACUACUCAAGAGUGUUUAAAAGAGUUAAUUACAAGCUACAAAAUAGCACUUUUUGAGUAGUAAUCAAUAAUAAAUGAUCAAAUAAAAAUGAUUGAUAAUAAUAAAAAAAAUGAAAAUAAAUAAAUAAAUAAAUUGAGUUACACAAGCCAUGCAACUAUGCAAGUCACGCAAAGAAUGUCUAAUGGGUCAAGUGGGCUAAAGCGGGCCUAAGCAGACCUAAGGUAUCCAAAUGACCUAAGGUGGUGCCUAAUGGGCCGGGUAUACCUAUACGGGCCUAGGGUGAGACUAAGUGGGCCUAACUAAGUCUAACCUGAAGUGCACCUAAGUGAAGCCUAAUCUAAACUUGAAAGGCAGCCAAGGUCAUAAUGUGGAGUCGGAUAAACCCCUCAACCAAAGUCUCCAAAGUAGCUCAGAGAAGGUAGGCUACAUAUGUAGUAUUGGGCCAUCGAAGAAUCACUAUGGAACAUUGGAAGUGAACUUAAAGACAUGUGCUAAAUGGACAAAAUGGAGGGUCUACAAGGGGUUUCACCAAUUCCUCAGUUGGUAUACACAAAUCUAGCCUAGAAUCAUCCCAUUUCUUUGGGAACACUAGCUUUGAUUCGUGUUUUGUUCAAUUAGGAGGUAGUGCACUACAGUCUCUAUAGAAUUGCCCAAAUCCAUGAACCGACUAUGGAAAACUUAUUUAUUUACAAGGAACCCAUGACUUGUAUUUUCUAUGCAACUCCUAAUGCACCCAAGUCAUGUACAAUGUAAGAGAAAUGGGUUGAAUGCUCAAAUCAAUGUCAAUACACUAAGGGGGUAGCAAGGGGAUAGUUAAGUCUAACUUUGUUAUAUCAUGUCUUGCUUUUAGGGGCUCAAUCCCAACAAACUCCCACUAGCCCCAAAAGCAAAUUAGGCACUACACAAAGAUUCUGCUUCACAAUUAUAUCACCUCCCUGUACUAUCUCACAAUAAGGUAACACUUUCUCUUUAUAUGUUUCCUCUUCUAGUGGUACUUUAAUUCUUUAGACCAUGCCACCGUCUCACUAUUAUCACAUAAUAGGAUUUUAGACGAUAUAGCCAAGGAAACUACCCAUAAGCCAAAAGGCUUCCUUUGUUUCUAUAGAAACAAAAAAAAAAAAAAAACACUUAGAGAAUACAUAUACCUUGAGGUAGACCUAUGAGAGUCCUUAUUAGACUGAAGUCCAAUUUCCCGUUAUGAAAGGAUUACCAACUCAUUGCAAAGACUCACAAACAUAUAAUCCAUUCUUCUCCAAAGAUACUAAAGUAUAUGUUUGACAUCCACCUAAAGCUCUAAUUUGGAAAUGAACUAAUAUUCGCUCAUUAUUUCUACAACAAAGCAAAUAUCUGGUCUAGCACAUAACAUCGCAUAAUAAAGGCUACCCAUUGCAAAGGCAUUAGAUACCACCUUAAUGCAAUAUCUCUCCAUAAAUGUCUAAGGACAUUGAUCCUAAGAAAGACAACUCCAAUCCAAAGAGUAACAAAUCCUUCUUAGAGUUUUGCAUCAUGUGCUUGACCAAAUGCUCAUUUAUGUAGGUGAUAUGGUGCAAUUUUCCUAUUCUUGUAGUCUUAAAGGAUCUUAACCCCAAGAACAUAUUACGUCUUUCUCAAGAUUUUCAUCUAGAACUAAGUAGACUACUAGAUCUUAACUGAUGACAAUAUCCCUACAUCAUAUCCAAUGAGUAGAUUGUCAUAUACCUACAAGAUCUUAGAUCAUCACCAUGCUUCCCAAUGGCUUCUUGUACACAUAAGGUCGUUUGCUAUAAAAAAAAAAAUGGUUGUUAUAUCUCAUAAAUGAGACACACUACAAUAGAUAGGAAUAAUAUGAUGGAUCUGAGACCACUAUUAAAAAGGUUUUCCUUAGUUGAAACAAAGUUUCAAACUAUAAUCUUUAGUUACAGUCUUAGCCACAUAAAACUCAAUCUUUCCAUCUACUCUUGUGUUCUUUUUGCAAACCAACUUACACUUAUGGGUUUUAUCCCUUUAGGUGCGUCUACAAGAACCCAAACUAUGUUAGAAUACAAAAAUUCUAACUACCUCUCCAUAGAUCCCUGUCUUAAAUGAGCACAAACACUGCUUAUUGCUUCAUCAAAAUCUAUGGGAUAUGAACCUCCCACUAUGAUGAGGAACUAGUGUAUUAGAAAUCAUAUGAAUGGUAUGCCUUUAGCCCUUUGGAUAUGUAGUAUCCUAUGAAAUGUUGAACUAUCUUCUAAUAUAUCUUCCAAUAUAUAUCACUCUUUGCCUUAUUCCUCAUCGUUAUAAAUUAUCUAUCAUGAAUUUCCAAAAUUAACUUGUUUCCUUUAAUUCGUAAUCCUAUGCAAAAUAGGAAAAAUAUUAUUUUAUAAAGAUUUUGAAAAAUAAGAACUUCUCCUUAAAAGAAAGAUUUUUAUUCUUAGAGAUCUCAAAGAUUUGAGAAGAUUUUAAAUAAAAUUAAAAUCUCUAAGAAUUAAUUUUUUUUAAAAUGUAAUAAAGCUCUUAAUCAUUUUUCCAACUUAUUUUUCUUUAAAAUAAAAUUUUAUAGCCGCGCAUAUUCCAAUUAAAUAAGUUUUCCAAUUUUGAAAAGAAAAAAAUUGAAAAUUUAUUUCAAAUUAAGAAUACCAAAAUAACUUGAGGCCAUAUAUGCAAUUAAUCAAGAGUAUAUAAUAAAAACAAGGGAAUAAUAAAUAGAAACCUUUCCCAUGGCCUUUAAGGAUCUUGUUGCAUAUUUGGUAAUUAAAUUUUGGAUAAAAUCCAAAUUACCAAAAAUAACCCUACAACCCAAAAUUGGGUUAGUUAAAAUAGAAAACCUAAAAGGGCCAAUUUCCACACAAAAAUUAAGCCCAAGAGGAUGCCUAAAAUUCAACCUGGACAACCAAACAGAAUUGGACUCAUAUGCAAUCCCGUAACAACAUGCUCUUUGCCCAGCAUUGCUUUAAUUGGUCAUAUUUCCCUUAUUUCAACUCCGAAUUGUGAUCCGUUUGAAGCUUUGGAUUCUUGACUUCCUAAGAUUCAAAACAUAUGUGAUUUUACCUUAGAAAAUAACUGUAAGUAGCCCCGAUUUUGGUUCAAAGUUGACAUCAUUGUGCUACUAUGCACUUUGAACAGACUUGCUUCAUUCGGCCAUAACUCCCUCAUUUCAACUCCGAAUUGCAAUAUGCUUGAACCAUUGGAUUCGUAACUUCCUAAGCUUCAAAUCCAUAUGUGGUUUGCCCAAGAAACUACUAGGAGUUAGUCCCUAUUUUGAGUUCAAGUCAACAUCACUAUGCUACCAAGGAUCUCAAACUAAGAACUUCUAAGAGUGCUUUUUUUUUUCUUUAACCACCAUAAAAUCUCAAAAAGAACUUUCAAGAUUCCUUCUUUUCUCUUGGGUCACCAUAGAUGGAUACAAAAACUGAAAUUUAUACAAUAAUAAAAAUUCCUAUGCUCCUAUAAAUGUGCUUACAACCCAUCUAUUGAAAAUAAAAGAUUUUUACAACCAAAUAAAAAUCUUAUACCCCUUAUGGGGUGUACAACCAACCUAGAGAAUCAAAAGGCAUAGAAAAUAUCCAUUCAUUCAAGUGAAUCAAUAACAAUCAAUCAAUCCAAAUAUAUUAAUACAUUUAAUUGAAUUAACGAUUUCAUUCAUUCAUCUCUUAAGGUCAUGGGAUAAGUAAAAUAACCUUGCAAAACAAAGUUAGCACACUCUAGAAUAGAUCUAGCAUGCUAAAAGCUACUCUAGGGCUCUUAUACCAAUUGUUAGGAACCUUGGAUUACUUCGGUCCCAUGCCUUGAAUCAUGUAGGGUGCAUGCAAAUCUAUCACAGGCUCUUUAAAUCUAUCCCAACCGAUAAAUAGGUAUUAAAAAAUAAUAUUGAUAACAUAGAAAACAUAGAUAUAGAGAAUAAAGCCACAUACCUUUGAUCUGAAUAUUUAUGGAUCAAUUCCAAUCGAUGUAGAUAACUCCAAAGCCAUAAUGGAUCUUGUAAACACCAUGAUCUUCUGCCCGAUGACUCUUCCUUGUGUUUAGGCACUGAGAUGGUGGAGAUCUUAAGGGUAGAAACUAGAGUUCUUUCUCUAAAUUGAAGAGGAGAAUGGCAAGACUAGGAAACCCUAAUCCCUAAAGGGGUAUUUAUAGGCUUCCUACUAGCCUUAAGUGACUUAAGCCCACCAUGGGCUUAGGUCACUUAAUCUAGCUCAAAAAGUUAGCUAAUUUAUUAAUUAACCAUACAAGGCCUAAUUAAUCAAUUAGACUAGUCUAGAGAUACCACUCACUUAUUUGUGUGAAACCUUGUGUAGUUACCAAAAUGUUGUUAUGCACAAAAGUGAACUAAAAACCCAUGCAACCCUCAUAAGUCGUGCUAACAAAGAAUAUGAGCUCAAAGCGGGGAUCAUUGGGAACCAUAGGAGUACUGGCUCUCUCAUAAUCAAAUUAUGAACUUGACUCAACAUCCCACUACAAAGAGUCAACUACUCUCCAAUACUCUAUGUAUAUUACAAUGAGACACCAAGUGCUUAGGUCCGUGACCUACUAUUCACUACAUGUAGACUCCCCCAUGAACUGGUGUCUAUAAUCUAACAAGGUAGUGUUAUUACCUAUCAAGAUUACCUUUCAAAUCCUUGAGUUACAUAUCUCAUUUAUUAUAUGAUCAAUUAACAUAUUCUAACUCCAAAGAGCAUAUGUCAAAUUUCACUAAAGGAAUUAUUGUGGUCAUAGAUUUCAUGAUCACAUGUCCUUUGGAUUGCCCAAGAGGACACGCUUGUCAAUCCCAUGAGAUAUCAUGGUGCCUCUAUUAAGAAUAUCUAUUGUCACUAACCUCUAUCAAUAGUAGUCCAAUCCAUAGGGAUAUAUGGCCACUUUAAGGUCUCACCUAUAGGUCAAAGCCUUCUAUUGAUUUUGGCCUAAGCUCAAUAGCCUCUAAAGGUUAAGAGUCCAUGCAGUAUAGUAGCUUGGUGAAUCAUGAUAAUUGAUAACCUUGCAUCAUGAUUCAUCAUAGGUCCUAUCUAAUGUGCAUCACAUACACUAGUGUACUCACCAUGGGAAACCCAAUCCCGACAACCAAGAAAAGGCAUCUCUUUAAUAAGAAGGUGAUAAACUGCAGUCUCUGCUGAAUUACCCAAAUCUAUGAACCGAUUAUGGACAACUUAUCUACUUACAAGGAACCCAUGACUUGUAUCUUCUAUGCAACUCCUAAUACACCCAAGUCAUAUACAAUUGUUGGCAUCUUAGAUUUAAGCAACAGAAGCAAUACUAUUUUUUAAAAAAAUGAUCUUUUAGGGUUAAAGUACUAACCUUUGGGUUUGGAUGUUCCCAAACCUUAAAUUCCAAAUGUUGAAGAUGACAUUGAAGUUGUUAGAAGUCUCAUAAACCCACGAUCUUCUACCUGAUGACUCAACCUUGUUCUUGGCACACUUAUGAUGGGGAAGAAAGGAGGGUGGAGGUUAUGCCUUUCUUUCUCUCUUAAUAGUGGAAGAGAAAAGUGAUGGAAAUCCUAACCCCUAUGGGGUAUUUAUAGGGUUCCUAACUUAAGUGACUUGAUCCCACAUGGGCUUGGGUCACUUAAUCUAGCCCAAAAGGGAUCCUAAACCAAUAGGGUCUAUCAAUUAAUCAAUUAUCCCAAUCUAAAGACCUUGUUCACUUACCCCUAUGCAACCUUACGUAAUUACUAAAACACCAUUAUGCACAAAAGUGAACCUAGAGCUAAUCUGACCCUCAUAAUUCAUGCUAACAAGGUAUAUGAGUUCAAAGCGAGAACUACUAAGACCCAUAGGAGUAUUGGCUCCCUUAGAAUCCAAUUUAAAAGUUUAUUCGGCAUCCCAUUACAGAGAAUUUACUAAACUCUAGUAUCCUAUGUAAAUAAUAACGAGAUACUAUAUGCUCGGGUCCAUGAUCUGUUUUCCAUUGGAUUCAAUCUCCCUGUGAAGCGAAGUCUGUAGUCUAACAAUGUGAAAGCUAUUAGCUUUCAAGACUACGUUUAUUAUCCUUGAGUUACAGAUCCUCCUAUUGUGUAUUCAACUGACAUGUCUUAGUUUUCAAAGAGCCUAUGUCAAGUUCCACUUAAAGAACUACUAUGGCCAUAGUUUCCAUUAACACACCUUCUUAAGAUCACUCAAGGGGACACACUAUCUCAAUCCUAUGAGAUAUCAUGGUGCCUCUAUUGAGAAUACCCAUUGCUACUAGUUUCCAUCAAUAAUGACAUAAUCCAUAGAGAAUAUAUAAUCAGAUUACGAUCUCACCCAUAGGUCAAAGCCACUACUAACUUUAGCACAAACUCAAUAUUCUCUCAAGGAUGAGAGAUAACACAAUGAAGCAGCUUGGUGAUCAUGACUACUUGAUAACCUUAAGUCAUGAUUCACCAUAGCUCUUGUCCAAUGUGUAACCAUACGUACUAGUGCACUCAAUUGGCAUCUUAGAUCUAAGCAACAGAAGCAAUACCAAUCUAAAAAAAAAAAUGAUCUUUUAGGGUUAAAGUACUAACCCUUUAGGUUUGAAUGUCCCCAAACCUUAAAUUGCAAGUCUUGAAGAUGACCUUGAAGUUGUUGGAAGUCUCAUAAACCCACGACCUUCCACCCGAUGACUCAGCCUCAUUCUUGGUACACUUCAUAUGGGGAGGAAACAAAGGUAGAGGCUAUGGUCUCUUUCUCUCUGAUGGUGGAAGAUAAAAGUUAUAAAAAUCUAACCCCUAUAAGGUAUUUAUAAGGUUUUUAAUUGGGCUUAAGUGACUUGAGCCCACAUGGGCUUAAGUCACUUAAUUUAGCCCAAAAUGGGUUUUAAUUGAUCAAUUAACUCAAUAAGGCCUACUAAUUAAUCAAUUAGCCCAAUACUAAGACCUUGUUCACUUACCCCUGUGCAACCUUCUAUAAUUAUCAAAAAGCCUUUAUGCACAAAAGUAAACCUAAAGCCAAUCUGUUCCGCAUAAUCCGUGUCAACAAAGUAUAUAAGCUCAAAGCGGGGACCACUAGGACCCAUAGAAGUAUUAGCUCCCUUAGAAUCCAAUUCUGAAUUUGAUUCAACAUCCUACUAUAAAGAAUCAAUUGAACUCCGGUAUCCUAUGUAAAUAACAACGAGACAUUACGUGCUCGGGUCCGUGACCUACUGCAUGAAAACUCCCCAUGAAUAGGUGUUUGUAAUCUAAUAAUAUAGUGUUAUCACCUAUCAAGAUUACCUUUCAAAUCCUUGAGUUACAUGUCCCACUUAUUAUGUGAUCAACUAACAUACUCUAACUCCAAUGAGCAUAUGUCAAAUUCCACUAAAGGAAUUAUUGUGACCAUAGAUUUUAUGAUCACAUGUCCUUUAGAGCAACUAAGGGGACACAUUGUCUCAAUUCCAUGAAAUAUCAUGGUGCCUAUAUUGAGAAUACCUAUUACCUCCAGCCACCAUCAAUAGUGACCCAAUCCAUAGGGAUAUAUGACCAUUUUAGGGUCUCACUCAAAGGUCAAAGCCUCCUAUUGAUUUGGCAUAGGCUCAAUAUCCUCUAAAGGUUAAGAGUCCAUGCGAUAUAGUAGCUUGGUGAAUCAUGACAAUUGAUAGACUUGCGUCAUGAUUCACCAUAUAUCAUGUCCAAUGUGCAUCACAUAAACUAGUACACUCACCAUGGGAAACCCAUCCCGACGAUCAAGACAAGCUAUCCCUCCAAUUAAGAGGUGGUGCACCACAACCUCAAAUGGGUUUCCUAAACCCACAAACCAGUUGUGAAAGUAAUCUAUUUGCAAUGAAUCCAUGACUUAUAUCUUCUAUGCAACUCCUAAUGCACCUAAUACAGCUAAUGGAUAGAAUAGUGAAAAGUCAAGUACAAGUUUUUUACAUCAUGUCUUGCUUUUAAGGGCUCUAUACCAACAUUAGCCUUUGUUUUUGGGCGAACACAUAUUAUUUUAGGGGCAUAUAUUUGUUUUUAUGCUUAGAUUGAAGGAUCAUUACUUCAAGAAGAGAUGUCAUUUUAAGAUCAUACAUAUAUUACUUAACAUACUUAUGGUUUGGUAGUUUGAUUAAUUGAUAUGGUAUUGUUUUCCUAAAUAUUUUGAGUGAUUUUUCAUUUUUGAAGUUCUUUUAAAUGUGAGGCUUCUCUCUAUUAUCCCUAGGGAUAUUUUAAUGACUCUCUAAACUCUAAGAUUGGAGUAAAUAAAGAAUUUGAUGUAUAGGUAAUGUAAGAUUUUCUAUUUUUCUUAAUUAAUAGGGAAUCUUCUUAAGUUUGCUUUCUAAAUGAGAUUUUAGAUUUAUGGAAUUCAUGAAAAUCAUAUCAAAUUUGGUAAUUUUUCAUAUCAUGUAUGAAAUGGUUCUUUAAAAAAUGUUUCUCUAAGUGAAAUAGGCUACCUUGGUCAAAUUUAAAUCUUAUAUCUUUAAAGCAAGUGUGAAAGUCAUCAUUAUAACAUUAAUAAAACCCUUUUUUUUUCUUUUUCUUUUUUGGAAAAUACGUCCACAAUGAAGUAAAAGAAUUUUGAAAAGAAGAAAAAUUAUCACAUUCAUAGUAAACAAAGUUGUGUUGUAUGUAGGUCAACACCUUGUUGUGUUAAACAAAUAUAUGGCAAAUUGAUUUUAAAUUGAAUGAAAAUUUGAAAACUUUUCAUAUCUUUGUCAUGUCCUAGGCCAUGAGCAAAUUGGAAAACUUUGUCUUGAUUUGAAACAAGAUUUUUAAUUGUUGCAAGAUUGUUAAACAAGACUUUUAAUUGUUGCAAGAUUGUUACAUAUAAUUUUGAAGUCCCUUAAAUAUUCUUUAAGAGACAAUGACCCCUUUUUGAGAGUCAUGAAUGUAUUUUCUAGGUUUCUUUCUUUCUCCACUAUGAUAAGGAACAAAUACUCUCCAAGAGUAUCAAUAUUUAUUAUUUAUUUAAUUUGUGUCCUAUGGAAGGAAUCUACUCAUAAUAUCACGCCUCAAAACCCAUUCCAAGGGCAUGAUGGUCAUUUCACACCUCAAGCCCAAAGGCUCAAAGUGGAAAUAACACAAACAUUCAUCUUGUAAUUGGAAAUUACCAAUUACCAAAUUUCUAUUCAUAGUAGUAAAAUUAAUAAAUUCUAAAAUCUCCAUAUAUCAAUUUAAGAAAACUAACACAUCAACUCAAGUAUUAUUGUCCAUUUCAAAUUCAAACGAGAAAUAAAUUUUAACAUCUUAACAAUGUCCAAAAUAAAGAAAGUUUUAACAAAUGUCCUAACAAGCCAAUUUCCCCUCCUAAACGUCACUCCUUGCCCGAAUUGAGAAUCAUUGGAAAAUUAUCAACUAAGGGGGAUGAGCUCAAAGCCUAAUAAGGAACAUUAACACAAUUUUAUGGAUCAAAUAUUUUCAAUUAUACUUGCAAACAAGAGAUAUAACAUAUACUCUUUUUAUAAAACUUUUGAUUUAAGCAUCCUAAUACAUUUAAAUUGUUCAACUAAACAUUUUCAUAUAUAUCAAAAUCAUUUCAUAUCCAUUUCAAAUGAAAUAUAUUUCAAUUGUUUUCACUCUAAUUAUCAAAUAACAAAUGAUGUCCAAUUAGGUGGAACUUUACAAAUGACAGACUAGUUUCAAAUUUAUUCCAUUUAAGGUAAGCAUAACCAAAACUCAACAAUUAUAACUCAUUGACUAGGGUCAUAAGGUCAACUAUUGUAACCCAUUAACUAGGGUCAUAUAAUAUCAACUAUUACAACCCAUUGAUUAGGAUCCUUUAUAACCCAUUGACUAGGGCCAUAGAAACUAUAGAUUGUGAUUUAUUUUUCUUUCUUCUAUUUUUUUUUUUAAUUCAUUUGAAUAUUCGGAAUUCUCCUAUUUCCAUUAAUAAGACAAUCAAUAUUCAUAAAAUUUCAAUACUGUGAUCUAAAAAUCAAAUAAACUAACCCUAAUUAAAAUUGAAAUCUUUCAAAGAAUUUUUAAAUAGUUCAAAACUAAUUAAAAAUAUUAAAAUAAUAAUCUAAAGGUUAAAAUCUUACUUAAAAAAUAUAUCUUCAGCCCUAAACUUCCAUUUCUUUAAUCCUAAGUUACCCUAUACUCUUGGAUCUCUCAAAUAUCUAUGUAAAAGGAUUUUCUGAAUACAAAAGAUAAGAAAUAUCUAAUUUAUACAUAGGGCUUUUAAAAACAAAAAGACUUUUCUAACCUUAUUAAAUUAAUUUAAUUAUUUUUUUUCUAAAUUACGGUUUUAACCCUAAAUUAGGUUUGGGGCAUUACACAUAAACUAAGAAAUAAAGAAAUAAAGAUUUUUUUUAGAAUAAUCUAAGAAAUUGACUUUUUUUAAUAAACUGAAAGUUUAUUUUAAACAAAUAUUUAUUUUUUAAAAUUUUUUUAAGAAAAUAAUAAAUGGAAAUCUUUUUUUUUUUUGAAAUAGUAAUCUUAUUUAAUAAUCUAAAAUUAUUUUUUUCAAGAUAAGCUUUUAUAUAUAUAUAUAAGCACUUUCUAUUAAAAAUAAAUCAAAAAUUAUUUUUCUUCAAAAUAAAAUGGAAACUGAAUUUUUUUUUUAAUAAAAAAUCAAAAAGCCCUUUUAAAAAAAUAUAUGAUAAAACUGAGAUCUCUUUCUUUCUUUAUUAUAUAUUAUUAUUAUUAUUAUUUAAUUUUUUAUUUUUUCUAACAGAUUGAGAUUUUCUUUCUAUGAAUCCUUUUAAAAUAAAUCUGACUCCUUGUUUUGGAACCCCUAUUUUAAUAUAUAUUUGAAAUCAGUUUUUCCAAAUAAAAUUGAAAACAAUUCUUUUGACAAAAAUAAAGAUAAAAUCACUUUUUUAAUGAAAUGAAAUAAAAAUAUUUUUUUGGUAAAUAAAUUUGAAUUAGCCUAUUCUAGCCAAUAAUCUUGUAAAAAUUUAUUUUUUAAAUAAAAAAUAAAUAAAAUUCUUUUUAGAUAAAGUUGCAAAGUUUUUUUUUUUAUAAAAAAAUGUAAUAGUUUUUUAGUGAAAUUGUCAAUUUUUUUUUUAACAAAUUUGAAAUUAAAAGCUCAUUUGGUAAUGAUUUUAGAAAGCGUUUUUAAUAUUUUUAAUACUUGAAAAUUUUCGUCAUUUAAGUGUUAAAAAUAAUAAAAAUGUUUUCUAAAAUCACUUUCAAACACAUUCUAAAUGUUUUUUUUUAAAAAAAAAAAAAUUGAUGUUUGGCAUAAUUUAUGAAACAUUUUUAAAAUUUUGAUGAAAAUUUACUUUUCACGUUUUCUAAAGAAACGUAAUUCUUCAAAAAAAAUAAGUGUUUUUUUUUCUUUUAAGAAAAAAACAUUUUUAUACUAGAAACACUUCCAUAUAGAGUCGAAAUGCUUUGGCUGUAUUUGAAAAUCACUAUAUAUGGAUGAAAUUUUAGCAAUUUUCAUGGAAAAAGAAAUAUUUCUUUUAAAAAUUGGUUAUGUGACUGAUGUCAAAGAAAUCUCCAAGCGAAUUUAGAAAUUGAACUGUCAGGAAUCAACCCAUUGCAGUAGAAUUGCAAGUUGAUGGAGAUAGAGAAUAGGGGACCCCAUGUACCCUGAAAGGACCAUGUGGACAGUAAAUAGGGACUUUUUUAACUUUUGCGGCAAUUUUAAAAAAUUAUAAUUAAAAAAUGGUAGUUUUGAAAAUAUUGAUAGAUUUACGACAGUUUUGGCCACGUGGAAGGUGUCUUUUGAAGAAACACCUUCCACAAUUUUCAAAAUCAUGAAAUAAUUGAAUUUAAGCUAAAGGUGUCUCUUGAAGAGACACCUUCUACAAUUUCAGAAAAUUUGAUUUAUAUUAAAGGUGUCUCUUGAAAAAACACUUUCCACGUAGCAAAAAAUCCAAUAUGCAUUAAAGUUGUCUCUUGCAGAGACACUUUCCACGUGGCAAAAAAUCCAAUAUGCAUUAAAGGUGUCUCUUGAAGAGACACUUUCCACAAUUUGACAAAUUUGAAUGUCUUAUGAAUUUGAUUUUAAAGCUAAAGAUGUCUCUUGAAGAGACACCUUCUACAAUUCCAAAAAAUUAGAUUUAUACUAAAUGUGUCUCUUGGAAAGACACUUUACACAAUUCCACAAAAUCCAAUAUGUAUUUUAUUUGUGGAAAUGAUUUUAAAACUAAAGAUGUCUCUCUUUAAUGUAUGAAAAUUAUGGAAAGUGUCUCUUCAAAAGACACUUUCAGCAUAAACCCUUUUUUUUUUUAAAUAAUGGAAGGUGUCUCUUGAAGAGACACCUUCAAUAUAAUUCCAUUUUUUGGGAAUUGUGAAAUGUGUCUCUUGAUACCUUCCAUAAUUUUAAAAAUAUUGGGUUUAUACUGAAAGUGCUUGUUCAAAAGACAUUUUUCACAAUUUCCAUUCAAACAGUGGAAAUUUUUUAAUUUAUGCUGAAGUUAUCUCUUCAAGAGACACCUUCCAUAAUUACAAAAAAAUGGAAUUAUAUUCGGACACCUUUCAUAAUUUUUUUAAAAAAUGGGUUUAUACUGAAAGUGUCUCUUGAAGAGACACUUUCCACAAUUUUUCAGUGAAAAUUUCGAAUUUUGAAAAGGGACAUUCUACAAUUCCCAAAAAAUAAAAUUAUACUAAAGGUGUCUCUUCAAGAGACACUUUCCACAAUUUUCAUUAUUUGUUAAAAAUUUCGCUUUAUACUAAAAGUGUCUCUUCAAGAGACACUUUCCACAAUUUCCAUACACAGUAGAAAGUUUCAAAUUUAUGCUGAAGGUGUCUCUUGAAGAGACACCUUCCACAAAACAAAAAAAAAUUCUAUCUCUUAAUUAGUAUUACCUACUGUACAACCAAAUGAUUAAAGUUUUUCACAUGUAUACAUUAUAAUCAGUAUUUUGACAUUCAAUCCAAAACCAAUGAAAACAAGUAAACCAAAUGUCAAAAUCAACACCUUUCCAAAAUAAUAACAAUACUAUUUUGUGUAAAAUAAGUCCAAAAUAGAUAGAAUACUAUAGAACUUACGUAAAUAAAAAAUUAGUUAAUCCAAAAUAUAACAAGUAAAAACAUACAUCUUAAGUAUUUGUCCAAAAUAAUGAUAUGAAAAAUACUAAUAGUAUCCCAAAUACAAGUCAUAUGUAGUAACAUCCUCAAUGUGUACCGCACGAAGAAGCCUUCCUGUUCUGUAGUGGACGUUUAUGAUGUACAUGCUCCACUAUUGGCUCUAUGUGGCUAACAUGUAACACUCCAUGAGCUCCAGGACCACGUCUCCUACCACGUCCUCGACCAUGUCCUCGACCAAGAUUAGUUUUUUGUCCUUGCUAAUCAUCAUUUGCUAUAUGAACUAACUCCUCAUCAACCAAUGUAGCCUCUAUCGAUGGUGGUGAUGAUGCAACAAGUGGUACUACAGGUGGGGUGGAUGGCACUUCCAUAGGUGUAAUAGGAGUCUCCUGAAGAGGUGGCAGGCUAAUGUCAGUCGAUGGUGCAUCUCUAAGAACAGAUGUAUGCCUAGUCCCUCUCGUAUGAGCCCCUCGCCCUCUAGUCCUUACACCUCCUGAUCGAGUAAUGGAUGAUAUCGACUGUUGAUGAGGUGGUGGACUAUAGUAAAAUGGACAUACCAUUAUGGGAAAUAACACAUCUCAUCUGAAGAAGAGAGUCUUUUUGAUAUAAUCUAAGCAUUAAAGUUUAUCAUUGAGAUCAACUAAAAUGAAUUGCUACAUGAUUUGCAAGCUCCCUUAAAUUUCAUUUCCUUAUUUUUUUUUCCCUUCAUAUUAAUUCCACCACCAAAUCUGAUAAAAUCAAAACUAAGUUUUAUAAGCCUCUAAGUGAUAAAAAAAAAGACCUUCUAUCGAGAAAGGGGGUUAUUUCUUAACACAGAGAGUCGGCAUACAAGACCUUUAUUGAAAAUGGUAUUGCUGUUUUGAAAAGUUUGAAUGGACAAGACUCUAAGUUGAGUUGAUCGGAAGAGGAAGAGGAAGAGAUGCAGUUUAUUGGGACUUUAAGAUAAAUAUUUUUCUUUUCCACACCAUCUUUUGACCUCGGUCACUUGUAACUCAUCAAUUGAUCAACUUCGUUUAUAUGAUUUAUUAUUAUUUUUUCUAGUUUUUAUAAUGAAAACAUUUCUUUGGUUUGAAGAAAUAUUCAUGUUAAUGGUUUGGAUAGAGAAUCUUUCUAUUUAAAAUAUUUUCCAUCAAAAUUUUAAAAAAAAAACGUUAUAAAAGAUUUUAAUUUUUUUUAAAUAUUUUCUAAAUUUUAUCAACCUUAUUUUAUAAAAUUUUCUAAAAUUAUAAAGAAUGAUGUAAUAAUAAAUGUUUUUUCAUAAAAUUAAUUUUUUAUAAUUUUAGAAAAUUUUAUAAAACAAAGUUGAUAAAAUUUAGAAAUAUUUUUAAAAAAUUUUAAAUCUUUUACAAUGUUUUUUUUUAAAACAUUUUGAUGAAAAAUAUUUUAAAUAGAAAGAUUCUCUAUCCGAACCAUUAAGAUGAAUAUUUCUUCAAACAAAGAAAUGUUUUCAUUAGAAAAACUGGAAAAAAUAAUAAUAAAUCAUAUAAACAAAGUUGGUCAAUUGAUGAGUUGCAAGUGACUGAUGUCAAAGGAUGGUGUGGAGGAGAAAAAUAUUUAUCUUAAAAGUCGCAAUAAACUGCGUCUCUUCCUCUUCCCAUCAACUCAACUUAGAGCCUUAUCCAUUCAAACUUUUCAAAGCAGCAACACCAUUUUCAAUAAAGGUCUUCUGUGCCGAUUUGUUGUGUUUAGAAAUAACCCCCUUUCUCAAUAGAAGGUCAUUUUUUUUAUUUUUUAUUUAUCACUUAGAGGCUUAUAAAACUUAAUGUUGAUUUUAUCAGAUUUAGUGGUGGAAUUAAUAUUAAGGAAAAAAAAAAAGGAAAUGAAAAUUAAGGGAGCGUGCAAAUCAUGUAACGAUUCAUUUGAGUUGAUCUCGAUCAUAAACUUUAAUGUCUAGAUUAAAUCAAAAGGACUCUCUUCUUCAUAUGAGAUGUGUCAUCAAUUAUUUCACCAUCCUUGUAACACACAAUUGUAAGCAAACUAUCCAUUGAUGUACCUAAAAAAAAUCAAAUAAAAGAUAUAUAAGACUGAUCCUUGUAACACACAAUUGUAAGCAAACUAUCCAUUUAUGUACCUAAAAAGAAUCAAAUAAAAUAUAUAUAAGAUUGAAUCAAAUUUGGGGGGAUUCGAACCCCCAACAAAAGGUUCAACAUGUAUCCCAGCUCCACUAGGACAAACUUGCCCCAUGACAUAUAAUAUGCACUAAAGAAAUAUAUAUCAAAAGUUAGAAUAUAAAUACAAUAUUAAAAAAACACUUUAAAUAACAAAUUAAUUAUAACUAUUUUAUAAUUGAAUGAAAAAUUUUCAUAUAAUUGAUUAGUAAAAAUAUAUCAUAAGUUUAUUCAUAGUGUUUUUAAUAUUAUUAAUAUAUUAAAAUUUUAUAUAUUUACCAUCAUUUAUUUUAUAAUAUAUCAUAAUUUUUUUAAAUAGAUUUUAAAAUUAAACAUGUUAUAAUCACAUUUCACAAUAUUAUCAUCAAAUAAUAUUUUAUAUAAUCAAUGUACACUUAUCAAAUUUAUAAUUUUUUAUUAAAAUGUAGGAGUUUUUUUUUGCCACUUGGGGGGAUUCGAACCCCUAACAAAAGGUUCAACAUGUAUCCCAGCUCCACUAGGACAAACUUGUCCCAUGAUAAAUGAUACGCACUAAAGAAAUAUAUAUCAAAAGUUAGAAUAUAAAUACAAUAUUAAAAAAACACUUGAAAUAACAAAUUAAUUAUAACUAUUUUAUAAUUGAAUGAAAAAUUUUCAUUUAAUUGAUUAGUAAAAAUAUAUCAUAAUUUUAUUCAUAGUGUUUUUAAUAUUAUUAAUAUAUUAAAAUUUUAUAUAUUUACCAUCCUUUAUUUUAUAAUAUAACACAAUUUUUUUAAAUAGAUUUUAAAAUUAAACAUGUUAUAAUCACAUUUCACAAUAUUAUCAUCAAAUAAUAUUUUAUAUAAUCAAUGUACACUUAUCAAAUUUAUAAUUUUUAUUAAAAUGUAGGAGUUUUUUUUUGCCACUUGGGGGGAUUCGAACCCCCAACAAAAGGUUCAACAUGUAUCCCAGCUCCACUAGGACAAACUUGUCCCAUGAUAAAUGAUAUGCACUAAAGAAAUAUAUAUCAAAAGUUAGAAUAUAAAUACAAUAUUAAAAAAACACUUUAAAUAACAAAUUAAUUAUAACUAUUUUAUAAUUGAAUGAAAAAUUUUCAUUUAAUUGAUUAGUAAAAAUAUAUCAUAAUUUUAUUCAUAGUGUUUUUAAUAUUAUUAAUAUAUUAAAAUUUUAUAUAUUUACCAUCCUUUAUUUUAUAAUAUAACACAAUUUUUUUAAAUAGAUUUUAAAAUUAAACAUGUUAUAAUCACAUUUCACAAUAUUAUCAUCAAAUAAUAUUUUAUAUAAUCAAUGUACACUUAUCAAAUUUAUAAUUUUUAUUAAAAUGUACAUACACAAUUGAGUUUUUUUUUGCCACUUGGGGGGAUUCGAACCCCCAACAAAAGGUUCAACAUGCAUCCUCAAACUCCACUAGGGCAAACUUGCCCCAUGACAUAUAAUAUGCACUAAAGAAAUAUAUAUCAAAAGUUAGAAUAUAAAUAUAAUAUUAAAAAAACACUUUAAAUAAAAAAUUAAUUAUAACUAUUUUAUAAUUGAAUGAAAAAUUUUCAUUUAUUGAUUAGGAAAAAUAUAUCAUAAUUUUAUUCAUAGUGUUUUUAAUAUUAUUAAUAUAUUAAAAUUUUAUAUAUUUAUCAUCAUUUAUUUUAUAAUAUAUCAUAAUUUUUUUAAAUAAAUUUUAAAAUUAAACAUGUUAUAAUCACAUUUCACAAUAUUAUCAUCAAAUAAUAUUUUAUAUAAUCAAUGUACACUUAUCAAAUUUAUAGUUUUUAUGCAUACAAAAUUGAACUUUUUUUUUUUGCCACUGUUGGGGGAUUCGAACCCCAACAAAAGGUUCAACAAGUAUCCCAACUCCACUAGGACAAACUUGUCCCAUGAUAAAUGAUAUGCACUAAAGAAAUAUAUAUCAAAAGUUAGGAUAUAAAUACAAUAUUAAAAAAAACACUUUAAAUAACAAAUUAAUUAUAACUAUUUUAUAAUUGAAUGAAAAAUUUUCAAUUAGUAAAAAUAUAUCAUAAUUUUAUUCAUCGUGUUUUUAAUAUUAUUAAUAUAUCAAAAAUUUAUCCAAACAUGUAACUGAUUCUGUUUACCUUGAAGUUUAGUCUAAUUUUCACUAUAUUCGUAUGGAUAUCAAUCUAACCAGAUAAAAACAAAUUCAAUCUUAUCCAAAUCUAAACUGUAUCAUAGAUACCCACACCACUUUAUUCCUUCAACUGGACAACCAAGGAUUCGUAUAGAAAUAAAGAUAAAAAAUGAAUAAAUUAUUAAAUAAGACAACCAAGGAUUUGUAUAGAAAUAAAAAUAUUUCUUCAACUGAGGUAUGUAGAUUGCCUAUUAAAGAUCAACAUACCUUAUUGCAAGAGUUGAGAGCAAUGAAACAAAUAAAAAUAUUUCUUAUUUAUUUUUAAUUUUAACAAAUAAAAAGUGAAGAAUCUCCUUGAAUUUAAAUUUGAAUUUGAAUUUCAAUUUCAAUUAUUGCAGGUACUAAUCUAAUCAGGUUAUUAUUUUUUUAUUUUGUUGCAACCCCCGUUUGAUUCCCAAGUUUUUGCAAUCCCCGUUUGAUUCCCAAGAAAAUCCAUCCUCCAUUCGCUUUUCGGGAAAAUUCAUCCUUCUUUGAUUUUCGAGAAAGUCCAUGCAAAACCCCCUAGAAAAACAAACAAAAAAAUGCUUUUUAUUUUUGCUCCAUGCUUUCUGGAUCGAGUCUCUUUGCUUUUGUGCCAUUGGAUUUAAAUUUCACAAACCCUAAAUCCACGAUUUUUGAGCCACGCUGAAAAACACAACCUUUCCCCUCAAAUCAUGAUCAGAUUACCAAAUAGCUUAUGUUUUUUUAUAAAAAAAAAUUGGACAGAUUUUGUAUCCUGUGCGUGGGCUGGACUGGUAGGAAAUAUUGGGGAAUUUGUUUUUCCAACUUUCCCACACUUUCUUGGCAACCAAACAAAAUCACAACAAGUCGAACCACAAAAAAAAUUAAAACUUUUUCCAUUAUUUUUAGUCUACUUGGUUUCAUUGUAAAAAAAAACGAAAACUUUAUUUUUUUUACAACUUUCCCACACUUUCUCGGUGACCAAACACAACCACACCACCAAAUAUAACCACAAAACUUACAGAAAACACCGGGGGCAAUGGUUUCUCAGAUCUGCACUUCACUUCCUUCCUAUUGGUGUUGAGACAAGGAUCUCCACCCCAUGAUCAGCGUGCGGGAUAAUGGGUUUUCGGGCAGAGGAGUUUUGAUGCAGAGAAGAAACACGGGAAGGGAAAUGGAAAGGGGGAAAUGGGUUUUCAUAUCUCAUCCUACGUGUUAUCCUACAUGUUCAAAAGUGCCGUAGAAUUGGAAUUAUUUUCCAAACUACGGUAUUUUAAAUAUUAUUUUUUCUAAUAGCAGUACAUUUAUCAAGAAUCCCAGUAAAUAGGCGGGCUUUUUUUUUUUUUUUUUAAAUUUUUGCAACAAUUUUAAAAAAUAAUUAUUAAAAAAUGGUAGUUGGAAAAAUAUUGAUAGAUCUACAGUAGUUUUGACCAUGUGGAAGGUGUCUUUUAAAGAGACACCUUCUACAAUUUUCAAAAUCAUGAAAGAAUUGAAUUUAAGCUAAAGGUGUCUCUUCAAGAGACACCUUCUACGAUUCCAAAAAAUUGGAUUUAUAUUAAAGGUGUCUCUUGAAAAGAUACUUUCCACGUGGCAAAAAAUCCAGUAUGCAUUAAAGGUGUGUCUCUUCAAGAGACACCUUCCACAAUUGGACAAAUUUGAAUGUUCAUGAUUUUAAAGUUAAAGAUGUCUCUUGAAGAGACACCUUCUAUAAUUCCUAAAAAUUUUAAUUUAUACAAAAGGCGUCACUUGAAGAGACACUUUUCAUAAUUCUAUAAUUCCAUAAAUUCCAAUAUAUACUAAAGGUGUCUCUUCAAGAAACACCUUCUACAAUUCCAAAAAAAUUGGAUUUAUACUAAAGGUGUCUCUUCAAGAAACACCUUCUACAAUUCCAAAAAAAUUGGAUUUAUACUAAAGGUGUCUCUUGAAAAGACACUUUUCCACAAUUCCACAAAAUCCAAUAUGUAUUAAAUAUUGUGAAAAUGAUUUUAAAGCUAAAGAUGUCUCUCUUCAACAUAAAUUCGAAAAUUUCUACUGUGUAUGAAAAUUGUGGAAAGUGUCUCUCGAAGAGACACUUUCAGUAUAAACCCAAUUUUUUUAAAAUUGUGGAAGGUGUCAAGAGACACCUUUCACAAUUCCCAAAAAAUGGAAUUAUAUUGAAGGUGUCUCUUCAAGAAACACCGUCCAUAAUUUUAAAAAAAUUGGGUUUAUACUGAAAGAGUCUCUUCAAGAGACACUUUCCACAUUUUUUCAUACACAGUAGAAAAUUUCGAAUUUAUGUUGAAGAGAGACAUCUUUAGCUUUAAAAUCAUUUCCACAAUUUUUAAUACAUAUUGGAUUUUGUGGAAUUGUGAAAAGUGUCUUUUCAAGAGACACCUUUAGUAUAAAUCCAAUUUUUUGGAAUUGUAGAAUGUGUUUCUUGAAGAGACACCUUUAGUAUAUAUUUGAAUUUGUGAAAUUGUGGAAUUAUGGAAAGUAUCUCUUCAAGUGACACAUUUUGUAUAAAUUAAAAUUUUUAAAAAUUGUAGAAGGUGUCUCUUCAAGAGACAUCUUUAGCUUUAAAAUCAUGAGACAUUCAAAUUUGUCAAAUUGUGGAAAGUGUCACUUAAUACAUAUUGGAUUUUUUGCCACAUGGAAAGUGUUUUUUUAAGAGACACCUUUAAUAUAAAAUCUAAUUUUAUGUAAUUGUAGAAGGUGUCUCUUGAAGGGACACCUUUAGCUUAAAUUCAAUUCUUUCAUGAUUUUGAAAAUUGUGAAAGGUGUCUCUUCAAAAGACACCUUUCACGUGGCCAAAACUAUUGUAGAUCUAUCAAUAUUUUCCCAACUACCAUUUUUUAAUAAUUAUUUUUUAAAAUUGCUAUAAAAGUUAAAAAAAAAAGCCCGUAAAUAGGCAACCCCACUUCCUUGGACUUGUACUUGGAGACAAAAAUUCAUAUUGGACCACUCUCCACUACCAUACACUUGCUUUUAAAUGCUUUUAAAUUAUAAGCAUUGAAUAUGAUGUAUCACUUGUUAAGACAAUUAAAAUUCACGUCCUGCAUGAACUUGUUAUGUUUAUGUUUAUUUUUGCCAUGCAUGUAAUUAGAAGAUUAUAUGUAUAUAAAAAUUCUCAAUAAUAUUUCUAGCUUCAAUUUCCAAGUAUCAAAGCAUGAACUUGCAAGCCAAAAUAUGUUUCCUUCUUUAUCCUUUUUUUCUAUUCAAAAAUUGAACCUAAAUUAAGCCUUUAGUGAUUUCACUAGUGUUCUAAUUUCAUCUCAAUCAAACUGAAACACUACAAAUUUUUCUACUUUGGCAAAAUCAAAUCCUCCCUUAGUUUGUGGUCUCGAUUUUCACCAUUAUCUUUUAAAUAAAACAAAAACAAUUUGAAGAAGUUAAGGAUAAUGAAGAAAACAAAACUCCUAACCUACAAUACUAGAUCUGGAUCUAUUAUAAUGGGCUUCGCACUUCAUGGCUUCUUCAAACCAUGAAAGAACAGAAUUUUAAAGAUGAUCUUAGAGAGUGUUUGGUAAACCAACUUAAUAAUUUAAAGUGACUUAAUAACUUAAUUUAAGUUAUUAAGUAAAUUAACUAUGGUGAAAUAACUUAAUGGUAUGACUUAAAGUGAAAAACAACUUUAAGUAUUAAGUAAAAACAAUUAACUUAUUUUUAAGUUUACAUCUUCCUUUUUACCCUCAUUUGCUUUAAUUACUUCCACAAUCUCCUUUGCUACUUUACAACCUCCACUAUCACUCAAUCUCCUUUAUCCUAGUUAUAAUUUAUGAGGAUAGGUAUGUCAAUUUGAUAAUUUAAAAUAUAUUUUAAGUUAAUUUUUAUCAAACAAUCUUAAUACUUAAAGUAAGAAUAAGUAAUAAAUUUUAAGUAUGAUUGAACUUAAAGUUAACUUAAGUCAUUAAGUAAUGAGUAUUAAGUUUUACCAAACACCCCCUUUAUAUUGAAAUGAUAUAAGAGGUAUCAUGUAUUUUUUCCAAUAACAAAGAAUAGAUAAAUAAUAAAAAGGAGAAUAAUGAUGGGUCUUUAUACCAAUGUUUUCAUAAUUGGGCUAAUAAUUGAAAUUGGAAAAGUUAUCGGUUUAGUGUUUAGCGAUCAGACCAAUAAUGUCAUAAAUAUACAAUUUAUGUUUUAUUAAAUUUAAAAUUAAUUUUUAAAAAUUUAAAUAUAUAUAAUUAAUGUUUUUAAUAAUAUUUAAUUUUUAAAAUUUGAUAUAUCAAAGUAAAUUAUAAAGAUAAAUAUGCAUAUAUUAAUAUAUUGAAUACAACAUGUAAAUAUUUAAAUAUGAAGAUAUAUUUAAGAUUGAAAAAAAUUAGAAUAUUUAAGUUUUAAAGUAUUUUAUAUUUUAAAAUUUGAAAAUUAUUAUAUUAAUUAAUUAUAGUAUUUUCAUACUUAUUAUAAAAAAAAAAUGAAUAUAAAUAACUAAAUCUUUAAAUUUGUCUAAAUAUUUUAUAUGAUAGAAUUUUAUAGAGAGACUUAAUACAAAAAUGUUCCAAUAUCAUAUAUCAAAAGGAUUACCCACCACAGGUGUUUCUUGUCCUUUUUGUGGAUGACAAGCCGUUAGUUCGAGCUCGUACAAUGAUUGUGUUUAUCUUCAUUAUUUGAGUAAAUCCCACAUCAAUUAUAUAUAAUAGGUAGGUCCAAUCUUCAAACAUCCCUCCCCACCAGGCUUCCUUAUUAUUAUUUCAACCGGAUAUAUCAUGUUAAUAUCGUUACCUAUAUCAAGUUAUUUUUCUACGUAUUAUUAAAUAGGUUGCAUUCCAAUAGCCUAAAUUGCUUCACAACAUAACCUAUUGCAUCCCGUGAAUUCCUUAAAUUGCUUCUUUUAAAGGGAAAAAGGAAAAAAAGAUAAAAUAAAAUAAUUGAAUCAAUUGGAAAAGAAUUCAUCCAAACCAUAAAUUCAUAAAUUGAUAGCCAUGAACUGCAGCCCUUGACUCAUUCUUUGCCAGCAUAUUCCCAUUGUUCCUUGCCUAAUUAAGGCAUUGACUAUGUUUUUUUUUUUUUUAAUAAUUUUUUAAUAAAAUAUUAAAAAUUUGGUUUUUAUAUAUACAUUUCAAAACUUAUAACAAUUGAAAAUUUAUUUCUAAAUUUAUAACAAUUUGUGAAGUGCUAAUAUCAUGGAAUUUCUAGAAAAAUUAACUUUAAUCUAAUUUAAUUAAAUUAAUUUUAAUCUCUUAAAUAUAUAAUUAUAAUGUAAAUUCUAAGAUUUGAAGCUGUUUUUUUUUUCUUUUUCCUAAAAAAAAAUAAAGAUAACAUAAAAAUUUAAUAAUUAAAAUCAACUUACCUCUUCGGAAGAUAAUUUCUUAUUAGCUCCUCAUCGAGAGUUUUAAAUUUAUGAAUAAUCUUUUAAUUGCUAUAUUUAAUUUUUUUUAAAUCUUCUCAUACUUAUGUGUACCAACACAAAGUCGAUUCCUUGUGAUUGCAUAGAAAAAUAAAAUAUUUCCUAUACUCUUUAUAAAGAAUAAUAAAACUUGUAAAAAAAUUUUAUAAAUGUUAAUUGUUUAUAUUUUAUAUAUUAUAUGUUAAAAGUAUCAUAAAGAAAGAAAACUUGUGGAGGUAAAUGGAUGGAAGGUCUUGGUAUCAAACUAUAAGGCAUUAGGGCGGUUCCAAUUUGGUAGUAAACACGUAGAGUAAACCCAAUGAAUCAAAUUAGAAGUCUCUUAAAAUGGUGAGGCUUCUUUUAGAGUUCGAUUUCCUUCAACCACCUUGUGUGGGUCCGUCGCCCCACUCCUAAAAUUGCUUUUUUGGUCUUUAGUGAGACUUUUAUUUUUAAAUGUUUAUUUUAACCAAAUUUGAAAACAAUUUUUAAAAUCAUGCUUGGUUAUAUAUUUUUACUUUUUAUUAGUUUUUAAAUUUUGAUAACACAAAUAAAAAAACAAGGGACAAUUUUUUUUUAAGGUUUUUAAAUCAAUUUUAAAAUGAGAAAUUUCACUUGUGACUUAGGUGGUUUUUAUUUUUUUAAUCAAUUCUAAAUAGAAUUUAAAAUUAAAUAGUUUUUAAUAAUAUUAAAUAUAAAGUUGUUUAUUUGUAUAAUAUUUUAUUUUUAUUAAGUAUUAAGGAAUAAAGAAAAAUUAAUAUGUAAGUUUUAUCAUUAAAAAAAAUUAAAUAUUUUGAUUUUUUCUAUUCAGCUAAAAGAAUUUUAAAAAAUAACUAAAAAGUCAAUAAAAAGUAACAAAAUAGAAAAAAAGAAAAAAAAACAAUCAAUCUAAAAUAUAAAAGCAAAUUACUUUUAAUAACAAGUUAAAAAUAAAUAAAUAAAUGCCACUUUAUUUAUAGAGACAUUCGGCUAAAAGACGUCAAAUACUUUUGAAAUUAGAAGAAUGACCUUCCUUCUCUAUUCUUUAAAAAACUGAUUCAUUUUAGAUAAUAUUACCCUUUUCUUUUUAUUUUAUCAAAAUGACAUUUUUCCCUCAUUUCCUACUCAUUCUUCCAAUAAAAUUUUCUAGUUCUUUCCUAGUGAAUUUGCAGGUGUAGUUCAAAUCCAAGAAAGGAUAAAAAUUGGCCACAACUCUCUUUUUUUCUUCUUCUUCAAGAUCUUUCAUAUUUUUUCUUUAUUUUUAGUUAGGUUUUUUUUGUGAUUGUUUUUGCAGCUGUUUUUUUAUUUAUUAUUAUUAUUAUAAUUUUUGGAGUUGUCUUUUGUUGAUAUUUUUAUAGUUCUUUGUUGCGGUUUUUUGCGGUCUUCCUCAAGAUCCUUCAUUAUUCUUUAUACAUGUGUGUGUUUGGUUAGUGUUUUUUAUGGUUGUUUUAUAAUUGAUAUUUUAUAGUUGUUUUUUGUCAAAGGUUUUUUUUGUUGUUUUUUUAUUUUUAUUUAUAUUUUUUGUGGUUAUUUUUUUGUUGUGAUUUUUUUUUUUUGCACUGUUCAACUGGGAUUUUGGUUAAGGUUUUUUGGGAUGGGAUUUUGGUCAAGAUUUUUCUAAUGAGAUUUUUGUUAGGGUUUUUGAGGUUAUCCUUUAGUGGUAAUUUUUACUAUUUUUUUGUAGUUUCAUUUAAACUUCUAAACUAUGAAGAUGAGAUCACACAUUCCUUUCAUUAAUGUUUAAGUCCAUAUGAAUAUUCUAAUUAAGAACUUAAUUAUAAUCAAGUUUUUUUAUAUAUAUGAAACGUUAACUUAACUCUAAUUAAGUUUUUUUUUUUUAAAUAAAACUUAAUAACAAUAAAGUUCAGAAUGAGUUCUUUGUAGAUGAAAUGGAACACUUAUUUGUAAAUGAAUUAAACUCUAGUUAAGUUUUUUUGUAAAUCAAACUUGACUCUUGUGCAUUUAUUUAAUCUAGAUAAACAUCUAAAAUGAAAGCAACAAUGAGUUACUUGAGAGAUAAGAUAGUCAUAAAAAGAUAAUGAUUUCUGUAACAAACAAAAUGAAGAGAGGUAAAAGUAUCCAAAAAGAGUUAUUUUUCGGCAAAAUUAAAGUGUAAGGGGCCAUUUUUACAAUUGGAGAAUUAUUUUGAGUCACAUGUCCAAAUAACUUUUUUUUUUUAAAUAAAAAAAAAAUUCCAAACCAAUGUUAAUGUCUCACUCGUAAACAUUGAGAAAUUAUUUAAAUUUGUAAUAUAGUUUCAUAUUGUCAAGGCCAAAGGGGCUAUAGAUAAACGAUGGUUUUGGGCUUGGAAAUUUUUUAUUAAUAUAUAUAUAAUUAAUUAAUUGAUAAUUAAUCAUGCUAGGCUUUUUUUUUUAUUUAAUUUUUUGUUACCCUAAAAUAAAUCUCUCACAAUUUGACCCUUGUUAUUUCAUAGUUAUUAAUGGUGCUCAAACUCUUGAGCUAGGGUCCAUAAGUGAUGUGAUCUAAUAACAAUACUCUUCCUAGAGGUGGCGAUUAACCUAUUCGCCAUAACACUAGCACUUGCACUAAGGAGUAUUGAAGGUGAACUUUGGUUAUGCCUCUCCAAAGGUUAAGUUAGAUUUGAACUGAAUGAAGGUUGACAAGAAUGGAUUGCCUAGGGCUUGAGAUGAGAGAUGGAGGAUGGGAGAGAGUUGAAAGCUAAUAUGAAUUAGAGUGUGUGGGAAGAGACAUUGUAUAGUUUAUGUUGCUAGUCCAUGGUUGGUUGACUAAGAGGGUUGAGGUUAACCCUAUCUUCAUGAAGGAACUAUUAGUUGGGCGGGCCUAUGUAUGGAAAUGCUCAAUAGAUUGUUAGGAAUAUAUGUUAUUGUUGAGAUGUGCUCCUGACAAAGAGUCGAUUUUUUAUAUUGAGUCAUUGGUGUAAGAGAUCAAGCAAUAAAGAGCAAAAGGAACUAGGCCCUAAAUUCUUAGGUUAAGGCAAGUAAUGCUUUUGAAAAGUUGUUUAUCGAUUACUAUUGUUUAAGAUUUAUAGCCUUGGAAAGCAUGAUCAUGGUUUAUCAGGUUGAUAUGUAAAUUCUAACAACAAUGGUUAUAGUUUCUCUCUUGCCUAGGUAGUGGUGGAUACUAGAUAAGAUGACUAAGGUUGGGUGGAAUCACUCAAGUGAUAAGUGUAUGGACUCACGGUUAGUGCCGCAUACACCCAACUAGGCAUCUAGAUGCAAACGUCAAGCAUUCUUAGGCUUUCAUGGCUAGGUAUAAGGGGAAUAGUCCCUAGAUGCUUUAAUGAACCAGGAUGCACAACCCUAUAAUAGGAUAUUGAUUGCGAUCAAAAUAUGUGCUCUAAUGACACAUAGAUGAUAUGAUUUAUACUACAUAAAGGGAUCCACUCACCUAAAUUAAGUGUUAAGGCCCUAGUUAUAGAUCUAGAAGUUACUAGAGUCAAUUUUAACCAAGGAAAAGGAAGGGAUCAAAUAUGCCUAAAGAAAGGUUUUGAACUUAAGAAGCACGAGAAGAUCAAAGCAAGGGAAAAAUGAACAAGUCAUGGGAUUGAAAGAUGGGGAAUGAAUUGUUAAGACAUUGAGUCUUGCUUAUUUGUUGGAAAUUUGUUUCAAUUAAUGAUUGGUCAUAAAAGUCUUUUUAGAUAGUGACUUGCUCUCCAUUAAAGAUCAAGGGUUUCUAUUCAUCCAAUUGGGAAGUCACAAGUACAGGUUUGGCUUAUGACAUAUAAGGCUUAUUUGAGGUAUAAAAAGGUUCGGUAUCAUUUUUGAACUUAAAAUGAUUUUUCAAAAAGUAGGGUCGCUUAAGCAGUUAAUCCCACUCAAGCGAUAAGGACUAUUAAGUGGUUAAUCCCGCUCAAGUGGUUAGCCCACACAAGUCGUAAGGACCGCUCAACUAGAGCACUAACUCAAGCAUUCAAAGUCCCCUCAAGCAAUCAUGUCAAUCCUAUUGAGUUUAGAAACGUAUUUUGAAUGAAUUUCACUCAAACUCUAAUUUGGAAACUUAAGAUACCAAAACUCUUAUGGCUUUUUCUAGUAAAUACCUCUCUUUUAACUCCUUGUGGGUUAGAAAUCAGAGAUUAGAAAAAUCAUAAAGAUCUUAAAAGAUUGUUAAGAGACCUCUUAUUCUUUUGAGGGACUCUUUGUGAGAAAAGACUAAUUGCUACAGCAUUCUCAUUCUCUCAUUCAAGGAUUUGAAUCUUUGACUUGUUGGUUGAAGACCGCAAUCCCUUCAAAGGGAUCGAAUGAUCUACUAAGGAGCAAUAGGGAGUCGUUGCGUUGUAGAUGUGGAUCAAGUUAUGGGUAUUGUAGAGUAAGUCUUUAGGGUAAAGUGUCCAAGUAAAUUUGUGUAAUGUGAUUUCAAAUAGUGAAUUUAUAUUGAUAGGUCUUAGACCUUGUGGUUUUUUUAUCUCCACAAUUGGUGGGGGUUUUUCAUGUAAAAAAUCUUGUGCCUCAUUGUUUAUAUUUUUAUAUUUAAUAUUCUAUUUGAAUUGCCUAGAACAGGUUAAAUUGAUUAUCCUUAAUAUCUUGCAGGGUUUUCCUAAAAAGUACAUAUCUAUUUAUUCAUUCGUAUAUUACUUGAUUAGGUUGUUUGAUUGCUCGGGAUUGAUUGUUUGGGUGGUUAUGGUUGUUAUCCUUAUAUCUAAUUAUUGUUAUCCUUAACAUCUCUCUGGAUAUCAUUUGGAUAUUAACAAUUAUAUUAUCUUUAUCCCUAACCCACUAUAAGGUAUCCCUAAAAGUUUAAAAUCUUAUUUUUUAAUACCUAAAGAUUUAAGGUAUAAUACAUUUAACUAUUUGGGAUAUCCUUGAUAUCUAAUGGAGUAAGAAAAAACUUGUAAUACUUUACAAAUAUUAAUUAAAUUUUUAAAUCACCCAUUCACCCCCCUCUCAUUGUUCCCUACUAGACUUUCAAUUAUUAUUUAAGUGGUAUCUAAGCACUACCUCUUUUUCAAUUGGUAUUAAAGAAAGAUAAAAAAAACCAAUUCUUUAUCUUAUUGAUUAAAAAUUCUAUUAAAAUCAAUUUUUUUUUAUUAAUCUUAUAGGAUAAAAAUCAAACUUUUAUUGAUCUUAUAAGUCUAAUAUGGAACAGUAAAAAAAUGGUGCUCCUUUGAAUAAUCCACCCUAUUUUAAUAGAAGUAAUUAUUCCAAUUGGAAAGAAAUAAUGACGUUUUUCCUUAAAAUGCAAGGUGAAAAGGUAUGAAAUUCAAUGAAUAUGGUUGGGGACCACCAUUAAUCCUUGAUGCUCAAGGAAGAUCAAUAGGAGAACUUAAAUCUAGAUAGGAAUGGGACAAAGCCAACAAUGAAGGUAGCGAAGCCAAUGCUAGGGUUUAAUUUAGUUUUUUAAUGGAUUUUGUCUAGAUGAGUUUCGCAGGAUUCCACUUGCAAAUGUGUAAAGAAAGUAUGUGAUAUACUUCAAGUCACUCAUACAGGUAUAUUUGUUGUAAAGAUUUCUAAAUUAAAAAUGCUUGCUACUGGGUUUAAUAAUAUUAAGGUGCAUGAAAAAAAAAAAAUCUUCCUUUUAUUUUGAAUUAAGUGAUAUUGUAAAUUCUUCAUUCCUUGCAAAACCUCUUCCAAAUUCUAAGGUAGUUAAGAAAUUAUUGAGAUCCCUUCCAGAGAGAUUUAGACCUAAAGUAAUUGCCAUAGAGGAGAGCAAGGACAUUGAUUCAAUGAGAGCUGAUGAACUUGUAGACUCUAUUCAAACAUAUUACAUGAUCCUACCUAGUUCCUAAAAGCCUAAAGACUUUGCCUUUAAGGUUUUUGAGAAUGAGGAGAAAGAUAUUGAAAUGCCAUAUGAUAUAACUAGUGAUGAAUUAGCUCAUAUGGCCAAAAGGAUUAAUAGGGUGAUGAAAUUAUAUAAAAGGUUAUACAAGAACCAAGAAUCUAGAAAAUGAAAAGGACCUAAUGAACAAUCAUCCAAUGAGAAAAGAAAAGGUUCCUCUAAAGGUGAAAAAGUUGAAUGCUUUAACUAUGGAAUUUUGGGACAUUAUGCUCAAGAUUGUCCUAGCCUUAAAUAUGCCAAAAAGUCUAUGCAAGUAACAUGGAGUGAUAUUGAUUCUAAAGAGAGUGCUUCCAUAGCUUCUGAAAAUGCAAGGUACGAUCCUAAUGACUUGUUAGCUUUUAUUGCUUCUAAAGAAUCUGGGCAUGAUAGUGAUUGUGAUAGUGAUGAUGAUGAGUUUACUGAUGAACAAAGGGUUGAAUUAUUGAGUAACCUUGUUGUUGAGCAUGACAAACUAAUUAAGAGUUAUAUGAAAAGUAAUGAUAUUCUUGAUGCUCAUAAAAACAAGAUUGAUGUGCUUAAUGUUGAAAAGACUAAUUUUCUUGAGAAAAUUAGGAUUCUUGAGUUUGAACAUCAUUCUCUCCUUGAGAAGAAUAAUGUUCUCACUCAAGAGAUAAAAAAUAAUAAGCCUUCUUCUUCUAUGAAUGAAAAUUUUCACGUGGGAACUAAAGUGCUUAAUGAAAUUCUUGAUAAAUGCAAAACCCAUGGUGAUAAAAGAGGUUUAGGGUACAUUAACAAAGAUAAAACUCCCUCUAGUGGAGAAACUAGGUUUUUCAAAGGUAAGGAUAAUACCCCUAACCAAGUAGAAUCUCCUAAAAAGACAUCACCAUGCACACACUAUAAUAAAACUGGACAUUCUCAAUUUAAAUGCUACACUAGGUUUCUAAAAAGGUUUGAAACUCAAAAGAAUAGACUCAUAAAUGACUUCAAUUUCCUUAAAAAUAACAUCUUGAACAAUGAGAAAGGAAAUAAAACCAAUAAAAAACCUAGAAGUCAAUCUAGUUCCUCUAAGUCACCACCUAAGACUAAGUGAGAUUGGUUAAGAAAUGAUAGGCCAAAAUGUCAAGUUGUGUCCAAUGCUCUUAAAGUUAAAUCUUCUAGUAAGAAGUAUCUUGAUAGUGGGUUUUUUGGCCACAUGAUAGGAGACAAAUCCUUUUUUACUUUCUUGAAAAUUAUGAUGGUUGGGUUGUUACUUUUGUAUAUGGAAGUCUAGCUUGAGUAAAAGGCAAGGGUAGUAUAGUUAUCCCUGGUUGUCCUAAACUAGAUGGAAUUCUAUAUGUUGAAGGACUUAAGGAAGACCUCUUAAGAAUUAGUAAAAUGUGUGAUAAAAACCAUAAAGUGAAUUUUCACCCAGACUUAUGCGAGGUAGUUAAUAAAGAAGAAUAGGUAGUCAUCAUAGGACAUAGGACAAUUGAUAGUUGUUAUGCCAUAAAUCCUAAAUCUAGAAAACCUCUUUUGUGUAGUAGAGCUAAGCUUGAAUCUACUGAGCUAUGGCAUAGAAGACUAGGUCACAUAAACUAUAAGAAUCUUGUGUACUUAGUGAAUAUUGAAAAAGUUAGAGGUAUCCCUAGAAUUUGUGGGGAACCUAAACCCAUUUGCAGUGAGUACAUGAAAGGGAAAUAAACUAAGAGUUCACAAAAAAAGGUUAAGGAGAUAAAGACCACUAAACCUUUAGAUUUUUUUUCACAUGGGUCUUAUAGGUCCAAUGAAAAUUGAAAGUAGAGGUGGCAAGAGAUAUGUCCUUGUAGUAGUAGAUGAUUUUUCAAGAUACUCCUUUGUGAGUUUUCUUAGGGACAAAUCAAAGGCCAUAGAAUGUUUAAAGUCUUUAUUUAAUAGAAUACAAGUGGACAUAGAUCACCCAAUUAUAAGGAUUAGGAGUGAGAGAGUUUGAUAAUGUGGAUGCUAACCUCUUUUGCAAGUCUAAUGGAAUUUAACAUGAAUUUUCAGCUUCUCGAACUCCUUAACAAAAUGGAGUAACUGAAAAAAAGAAUAGAGUGCUACAAGAGAUGGCUAGGGUGAUAAUUCACAUGCAUAAUACCCCUAUGUAAUUUUGGGCAAAAGCAAUUAAUAUUGCAUGUUAUACUCUUAAUAGGACUUUUCUUAGGCUUGAAACAAAGAAGACAUCUUAUGAAUUAUGGAUUGGGAGAAAACCUAAUCUUACAUAUUUUAAGACUUUUGGCCGUGAAUGCAAUAUUUUAAGGGAUGGGAAGAACCUUGGAAAGUUUGAUGCGAAAUCUUAUGUAGGUAUUUUCCUAGGCUAUUAUAUUAUGAGUAAAGCCUAUAGGGUUUAUUAUCAAAAUUCAUAGAUUAUCCAAGAGUUUUCUAAUGUGGCUAUAAAUGAUACUGGGUAUGAUCAGGAUGUAAUUACGAGUCAGCUUUUAAACCAGAAAUCAAUUAGGGACAACCCUAAAGACUUGAAGAUCAUAGAAAAUAACCGUAAUGAUAUCCAUGAAAGAGACAUUGACCCUAACAUAGAUAAAGUUGUACCUUUAGAUGACACUCUUGAAGAAAUAAGAGAUAAGCAUAGACCAGAAUACCUAAGAACUACCCCAAUCUCAAAUGUUAUAGGAAAUGUUAAUGAACAAGUGGUUACCAAGAGAAAAUCAAGAUCAAAUGAGAUGGGUCUUGUAUGUUAUACCUCCCAAUUAGAGCUAAAGAAUAUGAAGGAAGCUUAAGGACAUGAGUCUUGGACUACCAUACUCUAUGAAGGGUUAAAUCAAUUCACUAGGAAUAAUGUGUGGUAUUUAGUCCAUAGGCCUAAAGAUAAACAUGUCAUAGGUACAAAAUGGAUAUUCAAGAAAAAACAAGAUGAAAAUGAGGUCAUUGUGAGAACCCAAGGAUACUCACAAAUAGAUGGGAUUGAUUAUGAACAAAUAUUUGCACCCAUAGCUAGAUUAGAAUCAAUUAAGAUACUUUUGGAAAUAGCAGGCUCCUUGAGGAUAAAGCUUUAUCAAAUGGAUGUCAAGAGUGCUUUUCUAAAUGGUAUUCAAAGUGAAGAAGUUUAUGUUGAGAAACCUAAGAGAUUUGAGGAUUUAAACUUCCUCAAUCAUGUCUAUAGAUUCAAGAAAGCCCUAUAUGGAUUAAAUCAAGCUUCUAGAGCAUGGUAUGGAAGGCUCAUAACCUAUCUUUUAGAGAAAAAGGUUGAAAGAGAGGGAGUUGACAGAAUCUUGUUUAUAAAUAGGUCUAAUGAAGAGUUGUUGGUAGCUCAAAUUUAUGUUGAUGAUAUAGUUUUUGGAGCUACCUCUAGUGAUCUUGCCCUUAAUUUUACAGAAGAAAUGAAGACUUAAUUCGAAGUGAGCAUGGUAGAUGAAUUAACUUUCUUCGUAUGAUUGCAGAUUAGGCACCUAAAAGAUGAAAUAUUUUUUUCUCAAUCCAAAUAUGCAAGGGAAUUAGUUAAGAAUUUCAUUCUUGAAUCCUUGAAAAAAUUUAGGACACCUAUGAGCACUACCACUAAGUUUAGCAAGGAUGCAUCUGGAAAUGAUGUUGAGUAAAAGCUUUAUAGAAGUAUGAUAUGAAGCUUACUUUACCUAACAAUGAGUUGCCCUGAUAUAUCUUUUAGUGUUGGAGCUUGUGCUAGAUAUCAAGCAAACCCCGAAGAGUCACACUUAAUGUAUGUUAAAAUAAUUAUUUGCUAUAUAAAUGAGACUCUUGAUUAUGGUUUAUAGUAUAUAUCCUUAUUCUCUUAUGAUUAUUAGAUAUUUCGAUGCUGACUAGUCUAGAAAUGUUGAGGAUAGAAAACACACAUCUAAUGUUUUUUUUUAUUUUUUUUUUAUUUUUAUUAGUGUUUGUCUUGUGGCUUGGCUUAGUAUGAAACAAAACUCUAUAUCCUUAUCUACUGUUGAAGCUAAGUAUAUUGUUGUUGAAAAUUGUUGUACACAACUCCUAUGGAUGAAGCAAAUGCUUAAAGAUUAUGGAAUUAAGCAAGGAGCUAUGUGCAUACACUGUGACAACUCUAGUGUUAUGAAUAUCUCAAAGAAUCCUGUCUUUCAUUCAUGUACUAAGCACAUUGAAAUCCAUCAUCAUUUCAUUAAGGAUCUUGUUGAAGAAAAGGUUGUUUCUUUAGAGUUUGUCCCCCAUUAAACAUCAAUUGGCAGAUAUUCUUACCAAAUUCAUGGAUUCUCUUAGGUUUGAGUACCUUAUGAAAUCCAUGGGCUUAUAUGCCUAAUCAAUUGACCAUCAUAGGUUUAGGCUUCAAAGGUUUUGAGCUUAGUGUUUAUAUCUUUUUGUUUCCCUUAGCCUUAUUUUGUUUUGAGCAUAUGAUUUUUGUCUAUUUACUUGAUAUAUUAGCAUGAUUUGUAAUACCUUGAGUUUGUGAUUUAGAAAAAUAUACCAUAUCUACAAGAUUUGAUGUGAAUGGAUUCAUAGAUAAUCACUAUUGAUGUAUUUGAUUUUUGAUAAUGAAAUGUCUUUGUAUUUGAGAAAUUCAAUAUUGAUUACAUCAUGUACUUGAUCAAGAGGGAGACUUUCAUAAGGUAGACUUUGAUUACUUUGGAAGCAUCCAUCGUCAUGCCCAAAUCUUAUUAUCUACAUACUUUGUUUGACGAUGAUCAUUAUUUGUUUCUCAAGGUGAGUCAAUACAAAAUAUUGAAUCUUUGGUUAAGCAUAACUCUCAUACUCUUUCCAAGAUUCAUGCUCUUAAAUGUAUGUUGCUCACUUGUAACAUUUGGAAAUACCCUCAAAGUGGAUACAAAAGCAAUCAUGAAUGAAGAAAAAUAAAAAAUAAAAAUCUAUUGAUCAUGGUGUACAAUGCCUCCACUUUCAAAAGAAAAAAGCAAAAGAAAAGAAAGGAAAAAUGAUAUCAAAUUAAGGGGGAGUCAAGUUAUGUUGUAUAUAGAUCAACAAGGUUAUGUGAAACAUAAAUCCGACGAUCUUAAGUUCAAAUUGACUAGAUGUGUUCUUUAAUUUGACCAAAGGCAUGACUAGAUCUCUUCUAAGUGUUCAAUUUUGAAAUAUAGAACUAGAUAAUAAAGUCGUAUUCCUUGAACAUCAAUGCUUAUGUUUCUAUGUUGACUUUCUUAUACAUUGAUGGUUAUAUGAAUCUACAUUUUUCACGUGCGUCCCCACUUGACAGUGAGACUCACUUUUUUUUUUAAUGAAAAAGUGCAUCUUUGUAAAAAAUGGAGUCUCUACUUGUUUUUUUUUCUCAAGGGAAAAUAAAAUAAGAAACUAAAACCUUAAGAAAAAUGACUCUUUAAGUUUUGGAAAAGUCUAUCUUUAAAAAACUCAAAUCUAGGUCCGGGGAUCAGGUUACCUAUCAAGAAGGUACGGUGAUUAAGUCAGCACCCAUUAAACCCAUAUACUUACAGUUUCUACUAAGUGAAUGGAGAGAGUCAUGACAAUUGAUUAAUUAAUCGAGGAUACCUAUAAUAAGACAACAAGAUACAUAUAGGUCAUGAGGCAAGAAAAAUAGUAAACAAGAGGUACAAAAUUAAUGAAAGUAAAAUGCACAAAAUAGAAUUUAAUUAUUUGUUAAAGUUGGAACUUUUCAAAGGAAGUUCAAAAGAAAUUUAUUUAUAUUGGGAACAAUUUUGAAUUAAAGAUUUCAAACUUAUUUACUCACAAAGUUUCAAUUUAUUCACAAAAUAUUCAAUUUUUAUUCACAUCCAAAAUUAAUUAAAAAAAAGACUUUUUUUAAAUUUUAUUUUUUUAAAAGAAUUUUGAUUGAAUUUGAAUAUAUAAAAGAGAAAAACUCAAUUUGAUCUUCUAUUUACAAAGAAAUGAUUUUGGUUUACACUUAUUAAAAACCAAGAUUAUGUGAUUAUAAAGAAACAAUAAUUCUAUUUUUGAAUAAGUGAUUUUUACAAGGAAAAGGGGGUUUACUUAUUUUAAUUACAGCAACCAAAUUUUAAUUUACUUUAGAAAACAAAUUUUUACAACUUUUAUUUACAAAAGAUAUUUCCAAAUGAAAUUUAUUUGAAAAGAGAGGUUUUUACAACUUUUAUUUCCUUUAGAUUUUUAUUAAAACAAUUUUUGGGAUUUUUGUAUUAAAUCAAAUUUUGGAACUUUAUUAAAAAUAUUUUGAAAAUUUUUCAUUAAAACAAAACCCUAGAACUUUUAUUAAGAAAACUUUUGGAACAUUAUAUCAAACACAAACUUAGAGAACUUUAAUUUAAAACAAAAUUUUGAGAACUUUAAUUUACAACUAAUUUUAGGGACUUUGAUUAAAGUACUAACUUUGAGAAAAUUUAUUAAAACACUUACUUUGAGGAUUUUUUAGACUAACCUUAAGGGUUUUUGUUAAACAACUUUUAGAAUUUAUUAAAACAAACUUUGAGAAUUUAUUAUAAACGAAUUUUGAGAAUUUUUAAGAUUAAAACACUUAUUUUGAAAAUUUAAUAACAUACUUGUUGAAAAUUUUUAAACUUUUACGAAAACAAACUUUUAAGUAAAUUUAAAAGACAUAACUUUGAGAACAAUUAUUAAAACAUUUAUUUUGAAAAUUUUAAUUAAACUAAAUUUGAGAACUUUUAUGACUUUUAUGAAAACAAACUUUGAGAAUAUUUAUUUAAAUACUUAUUUUGAGGAUUUUCAUUAAACAAACCUUAUUAAAAAAAAUGAUUUUUUAAAGAAUUUUUAUUAAAACACAAUUUUAAAUUAACAAACUUAUUAAAAAAAAUAACUUUAUAAAGAAAAUUUAUUAAAAAAGCGAUUUCUUGAAUAACAAUUAUUAAAACACAAUUUUUCGAUUUAAAAACUUAUUAAAAACGACUUUCUAUAGAACAUUUAUUAAAACACAAUUUUUAGAAUUUUUAAACUUAUUUAAAAAGCAAUUUCUUGAAGAACAAUUAUUAAAACACAAAUUUCAAUUAACAAACUUAUUAAAAAAGCGACUUUUUUAAAGAACAUUUAUUAAAAUAAAAUUUUCAAACUUAUUAAAGACAAAAAUGAUUUCCUAAAGAACAUUUAUUAAAACACAAUUUUCAGUUAACAAAUUUAUUAAAAAAUAAUUUUCUAAAGAAAAUUUAUUAAAACAUAAUUUUCAACAAACAAGCUUAAUAAAAAAUAAUUUUUUAAGGGACAUUUAUAAAAACACAAUUUUUAGCAAACAAACUUAUUAAAACAAUUUUCUAAGGAACGCUUGUUGAAACACAAUUUUCUAAGGAACGUUUAUUAAAACACAAUUUUUAGUAAACAAACUUAUUAAAAAAUGAUUUUCUAAUAAAUAUUUAUUAAAAAAACAAUUUUCUAAGGAAUAUUUAUUAAAACCCAAUUUUCAAUUAACAAACUUAUUGAAAAACGAUUUUCUAAGGACUAUUUAUUAAAAAACCAAUUUUCUAAGGAACAUUUAUUCAAACACAAUUUUCAAAAUUUUCAUUAAACAAACUUUUAGGACUUUAUAAACUUUGAAGAUUUUUAUUAAAAAAAAAAAUUUCUAGAUUUAUUUUAAAAAAUGAAUUUUUGGAUUAUUAAUUUUUUUUUUAAAAAAAUCUUGAAUUAUUUAAAAAUAAUAAUAAUUUUUUGAAUUUAUUAAAAAAACGUUUUUUGAAUUAUUUUAUACUAAACCAAAUUCUUGAAUUUCGUAAAAACAAUUCUUCUAGAUUGUUUUAUUAAAACAUAUAUAUAUAUAUAUAUAUAUAAAAUAAAAUAAAAAAUAGAGUAAGAAAGAUAAUUCAAAACCCAAAUAUGGGAAGAAAUGAAAUAUGAGGCAAAAAGACUAACAUAAAUUGAAUUAAAGAAAAUUUAAGACAUAAUGAAAUAUGAGGCAACAAGAUUAAUAUAAAAAAAUUACAAAAAAAAAAAAAUUAAAAGAAGAUGAAAUAUGAGACAACAAGAGUAACAUAAAUAGACUUAUAGAAAAUUUAGGACAAAAUUUACACAAUAUAGAAAACUUCAAACAAAAUACAAUACGUAUAAUAGCACAUAUCAAAACAUAUCAAUAAAAUAAUAAAUAAAAAUGACAAACAUAUAGAUGAGCAAAAAAACUUAGGCAAAUGUUCACACAUAUAAAAUGUAGAGUAUAAUGAAUAGAUAAAUAAAAAAGGUAAAGAAUUGAAUAAAAGAUAUUGAUAAAAUAUUCAACUACUAAAAUACUCUCAAAUAUAAUAAAUAUAAAACAAUAUAAAUCUAAGAAAUCCUAAAAAGAACAUAAACAUAAUACAAAUAAAGAGAUGAGGAAGAAAUAACUUACCUGAAUGCAACCCUAAAUCAAUCUUGACUCUCUAAACCUCCAAAGGCAACUCCAGAAUACGAAUAUAGAUUUUAUUUUAUUAAAAAACGGAUAGCCCCACAGUAGAUACACAGUAAGGAAUGCGUGCCCUUUAAAUACAGUUUUCAAGACUUCCUCCCUAAGAAAUCUCAUGGGUCCAUGCAAAACAAAAAAAGCCUAAAAUGAGGAAAUGAUAGCCUAAACCUAAUUAAAAUAAAAUCACCCAAACCCAAUCAAAAUAAAAUAACCAAAGCCUAAUUGAAAUAAACUAACCCAAAUCCAAUAAAAAUAAAAAAACUCAGACCUACAACUUUAAAUCUAAAUACUCACAACCCAAUUAAAAAAUAAAAUAAAAUUCCUAAGUGCACUUAAAAUAAAAUAACCCAAAUCCAAUAAAAUAACUCAGCCCCACAACUUAAAAUCUAAAUACCCACAACCCAAGUAAAAUAAAAUAAUCCAUAUGCAUCUAUAAGGAAAUUAGAAUAUCAAUUCAUGCAAUUUUUGAAGAAAAAAAAAACUAAAAUUCAACCUCAAGCAAUUUUCUAACAAAUAAAUAAAUAGAUAAGUAAAUAAAUAAAAAAUAUAAAUAAAGAAAUAAAUCAUAUAUAAUAAUAAUAAUAAUAAUAAUAAUAAUAAUAAUAAUAAUAAUAAUAAUAAUAAUAAUAAUAAUAAUAAUAAUAAUAAUAAUAAUAAUAAUAAUAAUAAUACUAAUUAAUGAUAAAAGAAAUGAAACAUCGAAAUCCCAUGGCUAAAUAUUGAAAAUUCAAUCCAAGUAGUAGUAAAAAAAAAUAAAUAAAUAAAUUAAGCCAAAUACUCACUUAACUCAUAAUCAUGUAAUCACAACUCAAGAAACAAACCUAAGUGCACUAAGUCUAAAGAAUCUAUAUAAGUGAACCUAAAUGGGUUGGGUGGACUUACCUAAAACAUGCCUAAGAGACCUAAAUAGAAAAAUAUCUCAAUGAACUAAGUGAAAUCUAACCUAAGGAGGUGCCUAAAUGGGCUUAGGUGAACCUAGAUAGGCCUAAGUGGGCUAACUUAAAAGAAAGAGGAAAAAAAUCUAGAUCUAAGUUGAGGUUGCUAAUGGUCACAAUGAGAGGCCACAUAAAUCCCUUAAUUAGAGUCUCGAAUGUGGCUUAAAAAUGUAAGUUGUAUGAGUAGUAAUGGGCCACUGGAGAACUGUUGUGGAGUAUUAAAAGAACACCUAAUAAGGCAUGUGCUAAAGGGACAAAAUGAAAGGUUUACAAGUUAUGCAUUGGGUUAUCAAAACUAAAAUUAUAACUAAAUCUAACCUUUGAUCCUGAAACUUCAUUCUUGAUGGAUUAAUGUGUACUAUCUGAAGUAACUUACUUAAUCUAUCACUAAUUGAUCUAAUAUUAAAAGUCUAUGGACUUAAUUAUUUGCUCUUUUUAGUUUAUCGUUAAAAUUUAUUUCAAUUGGUGUCUAUACUUGUCUCUAAGUUAAUUGUUGAGUACUUUAGCGUUUGUUAGAAUUGAAAUUAGGCUUUGGUUGCUUGAGUGCUGCAUUCAGCACUCAAGCCUCAUCCACCGACUCUACUGCUCAAGUGCUCUUAGUUGCAUCCAGCGACACAUCCAUCAAGGGUCUCUCUCGAGCACUAAUCUGCAUCCAAUGGUACUUUUGAGUAUAAAAACCCAUCUACCAUGCCUUUUGACUUUUCAAUUGUUUUCUUAUACCCUCAAGCACUCUAAGACUCUGUUUCUUUGACAUUUGAGGUCACUUAUCAUCAUUUUUCAUGUUUUCGACUUCAUAGUGUUGUUUUACACUUGGUUUAGAACAUUUCUAGUGGUUUAGAUUUUCAUCAUAUUUUUCUUGGUUUUUGAGUCUCUUAAUAUUCCACUAGCUAUGUCUAGUCAUCGACGUUAAUGAGAAGUGACUCCUCUUGGAUCACUUGAGCCUAUUCAGAGCAUCGUUUUUUAGGGUCUCUUUGACCUUUUUGAUCAUCUUAUGGAGUAUUUCUACUCUCAAGAGUCUCGUGAUCAUUUUUAUGCUUCUUUUCAUAGUCAUCAUAUUAAGGUCAAGCAUUUUAUCAACUCUUGUGCCUUCUAGGACACUUCUCUUCUUACCAUUCUUAGAAAUAGAAGGUAGAAGUCAUUGUUUACUUUACAAGGAUCUUACCAUCCUCUUUUGGUUUGCAUGUUCUAUGGGAACAUGCAUACUGUUUCUCUUAAUUGCUCAUUUUGGGUGACUGUUUGUGGUCAGUUCUUUCAUAUCGCUUCUUUGUCAGUUAGGCGUGCACUCAACAUGUCUAGACUUGAUGCUUGUUUUCUUUCUUUUCUUCUAGAGGUUUAGCCUAUCACUCUUGCAGAGCUUCUUGCAUAUAUUUCUUUGGCUAACUUAUCCAAGCCAACUUGGAUUCUUGCUACUUUCCUUACAUAUCCUUCACAUCUCUCAUCCCAUCAUACCGAGAUUCAUCGAUCGACUACUUGUUUCAUCCAUGUCAUCCCAUUUGGAUAAUAAUUUGAUAUUGGUUAGGUGAUCAUUGAUACAAUCACCCUCUCCUGAGACUUUUUUUUUUUUUUUUUGGUGCACUCCUUUUCAGGUUCCUCAUCUCUAGACUAUUGAAGCAUAUUAGCUUUGAAUUGCUAUUGCACAAAGGGUCUAAGUUGGUUAUGCUUUGUUAGAUGAGAGGUCUUGGGCCAAGCACUACAACCAUGUGUAUGGUCCCAUGGCCCCUUUGAUUCCUAAUGGUCCUCAAGAUGCUGUACCAGCUUAGCAAGCUACUUAGGAGGCACUUGCCGAGGAUGAUGAGAUUCGAGCCAUGGAGCAAGAUGUACCUAUACCAGAGAAUUCUCCAAGGACACGCUCUAGUCAAGGUCAUGCCAGAUCAUUUAGAGCUUCUCAUUGAGCAUUGUCUUCCACACACUUGACUACUCAGAAAAUGGAUCCUAUGACUACAGUGCUUCAGAGCUCGGACUCAUAGACAUUCAACUUUGUAAGAUCUAGGGUCAGUUGACCUAUAUUGUUUCUUGGAUCCAUGCUUGGAGCAGUCCGAGUUCCUUCCCUCCUUUACUUCCUCCUAAUGCAUAGUUGUUUGUUUCUUGUUUAUAUUUUCAUAUAUUUUUAUUGAUCUAAAUGUUUAUUCAUUGCCUAUCUUAUGUAUUUAGAAUCAAAUUUUUGAUACAUAUAUAUAUAUAUAUAUAAGCUAUUCAUUUUUCUUUUUCUCUCUUGUGUGAUUUCUCAUCUUUAUAUCUUUGUUACAUUGCCAUUUUGUGACAAAAAAUAAAGAAAAUUGAAUUACUUAAAUAAAGAAGAAAAUGGGGAACAAUGAAAAUAUGUAGGAGUAAAACAUUGAAUAUUUAAUUCACCUAAAAAGGAGAGUUAAAGGGUGAAAAUGGAAACUCCUUAAUUUAGGGGGAGUUAGUUAAUUUUUAAAUUCUUUGAAUUCCUUAAUUUUUUUAAUUAAGGGAAUUUAAUUGAAAUAUUGGAGGAAAUUAAACCUGAGACAUUAGAGUAAACCAAAUCAACCUUAGGAAGCAUGACUUUAGGAUUCAAGAGAGAUACCUAACACAAAUGUUUUUUGCAAGAUAUUUACGUUUGAAUUGACUAUCUCUCUAGAACUAAUCCUAGCCAGAGAAGCUUCUUCCUAAGGUUUUCACUACUUAUGUUAUGGUUGGUGAACACCCCCUACACUUUAUUGUUAAAUUAUUGGGUCUUAUCUAGCUUAUAUUAUAUUUAGUUGAUUUGCAUACAUCUACAUUCCUCUCAAGCUUUGUUUUGUAUCCUGAUGGCACUAAAGGAAUUUGUUCAUUUUUCAUGCUUUCACAAGGCAUCAAGAAAAACCUCCAACUAUCUUGUUUUGCUUUCAUAAUAUUAUUUUAUCCCUCAUAUUGCUUACCUUUGGUAUAAAUUUUUAUGUGUGUAGGUUAUGAGGUUGGAAGAUAAGUACUACAAAGCGUUGCAAAGCGUUUCCUUAGUUUAUUUUUAAUUGAGUGUUAAUGUGUGUUAUGUAAACUUCUUUAUGAGAGUUUAGGUGGGUUUAUAUCAUAAUGUUUUGUCCCAAAAUUUUCAGUUGGAGAUUAUUAAGACAUUGAGUCUUGUUUAUUUGUUAGCAAUUUUGUUCCAAUUAAUGUUUGGUCAUAGAAGUAUUUUUAGAUAGGGUCUUGCUCUCCAUUGAAGAUUAAGGGUUUCUAUUCAUCCAACUGAGAAGUCAUAGGUAUGUUUAAAAAGGUUUGUGGCAUAUAAUGAGGUCUAUUUGACAUAUAAAAAGGUUUGUUAUCAUUUUAGGACUUAAAAUGUUUUUAAAAAUGAUUUUUCAAAAAUCAAAGGUUGCUUAAGCAGUUAACCGCUCAAAUGGUCAACCUACCCAAGUGGUAAGGACCACUUAAGUGGUUAAUCUCACUUAAGUGGUUGAUUACUACUCAAAAAGUGCUAUUUUGUAGCUUGUAAUUAACUCUUUUAAACACUCUUGAGUAGUAAUUAUUACCUUUUAACUCAAUUGGCAUGUUAGGAACACUUGCAAUCGUUUCUAAUCAAAUUGUGUUAAGUUUUGGUGUUUUUGAUAGCUUUUUGCUCACCAAAGCAAUCCAAGAAUGAGGGAGAGCUGUAUAUAGUUCAUGGCAAAGCUUUUGGAAGCUCAAAUUCAUGAAGAACUAAGCUUUGGAGCUCCAUAGCCUUUGCCAAAGUCGUUCAAAGUAUGCAAGGCAAGAACAAUGGAGAAGAGGAAAACAGAGUGAAGAAAACAGAGGACAGCAGCUUCAGUCUUCCUUCGCACUUUUUGAGUACUUCCCGAAGUCCAUUUUCUACAUACUAUAUACCAUUUCAAAGCCCAGGAAGUCAAGAAUCCAACGCUUUAAACCGUGUACGAUUUGGAGCUGAAAUGAGGAAGAUAUGGCCUUCGCAAGACAACUGCAUCCAGCUGAAGGACAAAUUCGCAUCUUGCGAAUUUGGAACUCCAACGUGCGAAAUUAAAACCCAACUUGCGAAAGUGAUUUUGCAACUUGCGAACUUGGUUCUCAACGUGCGAAAAUGGAUUCCAAGUUGCGAAAUCAACUUGCGAAAUUUUCGCAAGUCACCAUGCAACGUGCGAAACUGGGAUAUUUGUGCACCGACUCUUUUAGAUCUUUUCUUUAGAUAUUUUUGUAUAAAUUUCCAUUCUUCUCCUUGUAAUCCACGAACCAUAAGAUUUCUUAGCUAGGAAGGUUGGAAAAACUUCUCUAUAUAUAUUCCCUUGCAUCCACUGUAACAGACAUAUAGAAGUAUGUAAAAUAUCGAUCAAUAUAUAGAUAUUUAAAUAUAUAGACUAUACAGAGCUUUGCUCUGUUUUUCUCUCUUCUCCUGUUCUUCCCCAUUUCUAUUUUCUUAGUAGCCAAACAGCCUCUGAGGGCUUUUCCUCAGAGGAUGAUUGGCUAAAACUUUUAGUUUCUCAAAGUAUGGAUGUUAUGUGAUGACUUGGAUGCAAUCCCAUGGAAAUUUCUUGCACCUGGAAGGUAAGGUAGUCGUUUUUCAUUAAAGGUUCAUUAAUGCAAAGUUUGGUUUUUAUUUCCUUUGGACAACUUCCAAUGGCCAAUACUUGAUAAGCUUUUGGAUUUCUAUCCAUUAGUUAUCUCCUACGAGCUAUUGGAAGGUGAGGUUUUCAAUUCCAAGUUUUGCAUUAAUCCGUUAGAACCAAUUUCAAUGGCCAUUGAAAGGUGAGUUUAUCACCUGGAAUGACUUUGAGUUGCCAAUAUUUGGUAAGCUUUUGGCUUUAGACCAUUAGUUAUCUCUUACGAGGCAUUCAAAGGAAGUCUAAGGUGAAUAACCAUUGAUGAAAUUCACUACCAUCUGUUUUGCCAUUUUAAAGGAUUAAAACUUGAUUUGUUAAAUCCAUACCGGUUCAGGAAGCAAGCAUCACCAUAGUUGCAACCCCAACGCGAGGAGCCUAUCCUGAGAUUUCCAAUUUGCAUAAGAGCCAGAGCAUAGCUAUCCUAUCUUUGAGAAACUUGUUUUUACACCCUUUCAUUUUAGUCUUUAAUGUUAGCUUAGAUUAGUUUAAAUCUUUCUAAAACAUUUACAUCUUCUUUUAAAGCUAACAUCCAUAAGAAAAUCACCUAUUUUCCUAAUUUGAAUAUCAUUUGUGAAGUGAAAACCCAUCCCAGUGAACGAUCCUAGAACCACUAUGCUAUAGUAGCUUGGCUACUUUAGUAAUAGUAUUUAAGGUAUAAAUUUUGUUGAUACGCCUUUAAAGCUAAGCUACCAUGAGUCGAAUCAGUGGUCAACUCGCCCAAGCAGUCAACCCACCCAAGCGGUUAAUGCUGCUCAAGCAGUUAACCACUCAAGUGGUAAGGACCGCUCAAGUAGAGUGCUUAAGCCAUCAAUGUUCGCUUAAGUGGUAAGGACUGCUCAAGUGGUUAAUCCCACUCAAGCAGUCGACCAACCCAAGUGGUCAACCCGUCCAAGAGGUCAACCCACUCAAGUGGUCAAUUGCUCAAGUGGUAAGGGCAGCUCAAGUAAAGUGCUUAAGCCGUUAAAGUCCACUCAAGCAGUCAUGUUAGUCCUGUUGAGUUUAGAAACAUAUUUUGAAUGAAUUUUAAUCAAACUCUAAUUUGGAAACUUGAGAUACCGAAACUCUUAUGGAUUUUGCCUAUAAAUACCUCUCUUAUAACCCCUUGUGGGUUAGAAAACAAAGAUCAAAAAGAUCAUAGAGAUCUUAGAAGAUUGUUGAGGGACCUCUUAUUUUUUAGAAGGACUCCUUUUGAGAAAAUCCUAAUUGCCACACCAUUCCCAUUCUCUCAUUCAAGAAUUUGAAUCUUUGAAUUGUUGGUUGAAAACAAUAAUCUCUUCGGAGGGACUAAAGGAUCUACUAUGGAGCAACAAGGAUUUGUUGUGUCAUGGAUGUGGAUGUGGAUCAAGUCAUAGGUAUUGAAAAGUAAGUCUUUAGGGUAAAUCGACAAGGUAAAUUUGUAUAACUUGAUUUCAAAUAGUGGAUUUAUAUUGAUAGGUCUUAGACCUCGUGAUUUUUUUAUCUUCACAGUUUGUAGGGGUUUUUCACAUAAACAAUAUUGUGCCUUAUAGUCUAUAUUUUUAUAUUUAAUAUUCUGUUUCAAUUGCCUAAAAUAGGUUAAAUUAAUUAUCCUUAAUAUUUUGUGGGGUUUUCCUAGAAAGUAAAUAUCUAUUUGUUCCUGCAUAUAUUACUUGAUUAAAUUGUUUGAUUGGUUGGGAUUACUAUUAAGGUUGGUAGGGUGGUUAUGGUUGUUAUCCCUAUAUCUAAUUAUUAUUAUCCCUAACAUCUCUCUGGAUAUUAAUAAUUAUAUUAUCUUUAUUCCUAACUAACUAUAGGGUAUCCCUAAAAGUUAAAAAUCUUAUUUUUGAAUACCUAAAGAUUUUAGAUAUAAUCCCUUUAAUUAUUUAGGGUAUUAUUGAUAUCUAUUGGAGUAAGAAAAAGUUUAUUAUAAUUUACAAAUAUUAAUUAAAUUUUUAAAUCACUCAUUCACCCCCUUUCUAGGUGUUCCCUAUUGGACUUUUGGUUAUUAUUCAAGUGUUAUUUGAGCAAUACCCAUUUUUCAAAUAUUAUGGAAUGAGAUAGAGAGCAAGUAACCAUAAAAGAGGAGGUUUGAAGAAAAUGUUAAGGGGAAUUCCUAAAUCUCUCCAUUCCCAGUCCUGGAUCAGUAAGGCGUAUGCAAAAACUUUUUAAGACUCUUUAAUUCUAAAACAUGGAAGCAUAUAAGCAUGAAAACCUUAAAUAUAGAGGUUUAGAGUGCUUUACUUGAGAUCUAGAUGUUCCUAAAUUAUUUCCUGUCGAUAAAGAAACUUUGUGUGGCAUCAUAGAUCUCAUAAACCAGACAAUUAUCUGUUUAAUGGCCCUUUUUUUUAAUCUAGGCAUUAAAGGAAGUGGAAUCCUCUCUAAAAGGGUAAGAUGUCUCUCUAGAGUUUGAAUAGAAAGACUGUAAGUUAAAGCCCUAAACCCCUAAGGGUGUUUUAUAUUGGCUUUCCAAUGGACUUAAAUGACUUAAGUUUAUCUUGGACCUAGGUCAUUUAGUCUAGCCCACUUGGGUCUUAAUUAAUUAAUUAACCCCAUUAGGCUAUAAUUAAUUAAUUAACCUAAUCCAAAAAGACUAUUGAUAAGAUUCAGUACAACCUUACAUUUUUAUGAAAAUGCCCUUAUGCAAUCAUAUGAAUAAGGAACCCAAAAAUCCCAUAAAAAACGUGUCAUCAUGGAAUACAAGCUUAAGUGAAGUCCUUAUGGGUAAUAGCAAGAGAAUGAAGAAUGGAUUUCCAAUGGGCUUAAGUAACUUGAGUCCAUUUUGGGACUAGGUUAUUUAAUCUAGCCUACUUAGGUCCUAAUUAAUUAACCUUAUUAGAUUCUAAUUAAUUAAUUAGUCUAAUCUAGAAAGACUAUUAAUAAAAUCUAGUGCAAUGUUACAUUUUUACUAAAACUCCCUUAUGCACUCACUCAUAUGCACAAGGAACCCAAAAAUCUUGCAAAAAAACAUGUCAUUAUUGAAUACGAGCUUGAGUGGGGACCAUUGGGACCCAUAGAAAAAUAUUGUGUCCCUUAAAAUCCAAUUCUGAAGUUGAUUCAACAUUUAAAGAAUUAACUACACUUUAACAUCUUAUGAUAUUAAAAUGAGACAAAAGUCGGAUCUAUGACAUACUAUCCACUAUAUGUGGACUUCCCAUGAACUAGUGUUCAUAAUCUAACAAGGUAUGUGCUAUCAACCUCUCAAGAGUACUUAUCCAAUCCUUGUGUUUCAAAUCUUCUUAUUAUAUGAUCAAUUGACAUACUAUAAUUCACAAAGAGUAUAUGUUAAAUUUCAGUCAAGAAAUUUUUAGCCUAAGGGUCUUAAUCAAGUUUUGAUGAUUACAAAACAAGAUUAAUUUUUAUGAAUUAAAUCAAGUGAAGUUUUCAAGUUCAAAUGAGAAAAUCUAAAGAAAUCUAGAGUAAUUAUGGAAAAAAAAGUCGAUAUCAUGAAGAUUUGGGACUUUUAAAGACUUGAAGUAACCUAGGACCAUAUAUAAGAUAGUAUUUGGUGGUGGUCUUAGGUUUAAAAUAUUUUUCAUGCACUUAAAAGUUGAUUUUCAUUCUCAUUUUUUAUCUUUUUAAAGUAGACGAUGAAGGAGUUAAAACAGUAUAUAAAGGACAAACUAAAGAAUUAAACAUAUUCCAAAAUGAAGAAGUAAAUUUAAUUCAAAAGAAAAAACAACACAUCAAAUUCUUAAACAAAGAAACAAAUUAAAAAAGAAUUGAAGAAAAUCUUUUAUAAAAGGAUAUUUAAACACAAAUAGAUAAGGUUAAAAACAAAUUGAAACAUAUUUAUGUUCCUCUAUUCCUAAUGCUUUAUGGAAUAAAAAGAAACAUAAAGUUUUCUUGCCUCACAUUGAAGGGUUUGAUGAAUCUCAAAUUCCUACUAAGGCAAGACCAAUUCAAAUGAAUGCUCAAUUGAAUAUUUUUUAUAUGAUUUCUUCUUAUUAGAUUUAUAAUUUUUAUUUUUAUUGUGUUGAAGGAGGAAGAAUUUUCUCAUAUCCAUAUUGGGCACAAUAUGAUCCUAAUUCCAUUUUUUAAGUUCUAAGAUCUUUUUUAAUUGUAGCAUUUACCUUGAUCAAUGAACAAAGGUGCAAUGCUUCUUUGUUUAUGAAGUUUAUCGAUUCUCCAUAGGUUAAGAAGUCAUAUGGUAUUAUCCAAUUAUACUUCUCUUUGAUUCUCAUUUGAACUCUUUUAGCUAGAGUUUUUGGUAACCCAUGAAGGAAUCUUUCCUUCCAAAAGGGUGGAUUUGCAUCUAUCAUAGUAUAGACUUUUGAUAAAUAUACAUCUUUAUACCAUCUAAAGUCUUCUAGUUUUCUACAUCUAAGGUUUUGAAGUAUUUCUAAACCACGUUCUUAAAAAACCAUUGGUUCUCUCAGAAAGUGUUUGGCUAUGGCAUAAAUCAAAGUAUGCACAGAGUUUUGAUUUCCUCUUUCAUCUAAACUAGUUUGAACCACUUCUUUUUCUUCUUUAGUGAGGACAUUAUCCCACCAUCCUUUGAGUUGGCUAGUAAAUCCUACAAUCAGGUGUCUACUAAUUAGAUGGUCAGUAUUUCCUUUGGCAUUGUAGGCUGUAGAAGCCAUGAUCAUUUCUUGAAGUAUAUUCAAGAUUUGAUAUUCACUUACUCCUUCUAUGUUCCAUUCAUAGAUGCCAUCAACAUCACAUUUUGAUUUGAUUUCUUUAUUCACAUUGAAGGUAAGGAGGGGUUGGCCUAGGAUAGUAAUUCUUAAUUUUGGUUUGUUGUUUGAAUUGAUGAUUUAUCUUAUUUAUUUGAGGAUCAUGUUCUUCGAAUGUUGAUCUUAUUUUAUCUAUUUUUGAUAUUUCUAUUAUAACAUUUACAGACUUUGUGUCUGAUAUUGAAGGUUUAAGAGUAAUAUCUAGUUGUUCUAUGUGUUUUGUUAGGCAUUUGAUUAACUCAUCUUUUGAAAUUUUACUUGUCUCGUUUCCUACUUCCACAUGUUUGAAAAUCGGGUAAUUUUUAUCUAAAUUUCUAUUUAAGAAUUGAGGUAUAGUUAUUUGACUAUUAGUUUUAGGCAUUUCUAACUUGUCUUUUAUCCUAUCAAGUUGAGAGGAGAGAGUACCUAGGAUUUGUUUGAUGAAAUUAUUUUGUUGUUGAAGACAUUUACAAUCUUUUAAUGUUCAUUAUACUCUUAAUAUCUUUUGAUCCUAUAGUUGUGAAAGAAAAGACAAUUAUCUCAGUAUUUUGAGCUUUUACUAAGGGAGGAUGAUUUGAAAUUAUAGUUUUGUUUGUCGUAGUUUUCCAAGUUUAACCUUUUUGAAACAUAUUAAUUUCUAAGAAUGGAUAGUCAAUUUUGUUAUUUGAAGCAUAUAUUUCAAAAUAAGUAAACAUAGGAACAUCUAUCCUAUUUGACUCUAUGUACUUAUACCAUUUUUCUCUAAAAGUUUCCUUAACUUGAUUAGUAAGGGCUUCAAAGAAAAACCAUUUUCUCCUUUGAUCAUUUUUUGGAGUUUUAAUAUCUUUCCUUAGAUAAUCCUUAUCUAUUUCAAAAGGUUCCAAACUAUCUAUGACCAUUAAUUAGUUACGUUCAUCUAACAUCAUUUGAGAAUGUGUUGGAAAGGUUGGUGGUGACUCAUGGCUAACAUACCUCGGUUAAAGGAUGUUAGGAGCGAAGUAUACAUCUUCUAAAUUGAUGGAGGUUCUUGGAGGUUUGUAUUCAAAAGAAGGUAUUGGAAAGGAAGAAGCUCUACUAAUUGGAGUAGAAAUUCUACUAUUUGAUUCUUAUCUUUUGGAAAACUAUAGCCUAGUAUUUCCUUUAUCAUCUUGCAUGAUAAAGAGAGGUUUUUAAACUCCAAUUGGCUUGGGAAGAGUCAAUCAUUUGAAAUCCCAAGUGUUUGAGUGAGCUAAAGAUUCCUAAGGAAUCACUUCAAGAAUCAUUACAUUGGAAUGUUCCUCAUUGGAUUGAAAUAAAAGGGUUUUCCCUUUUAGAGACGUUAAUAAAUACUUUGCAUUUACUAAUGUGGUCAUUGCCUUGUAAUAUACUCUAUAUAUUAUAAGGAUAUUUGUUGCUCUAGGAUCCAUACCAUAACCUUUAGCUUGAACAUUUAGGGUUAAGGCUCUAUGGAUUGACAUAUCAUCAAUACAACUUAACUCUAAGUUUGGAAAGCAAUUGAAAUCAACAGGGCCAUGUGCCAUGUUUGAUUCCAUAACUCCUAACAAGGAGUCAUCAAAGUUAUUGUGUCUUGCAUCUAUGAGAAAAACACAAAUGGGUUUGUUUAACCUUAUUCGAGUUAAAGGUUUGACUACUACUUGUAUAACAUUUAUAUGAAGCAUUUUGAAUAAUUCUUUUCUUAAAGGGUCUAUAUCUUUUGAAUUAAGGAGUUCAAUAGUUUGAGUAUCUAAUCCUAUCGAAUGUGUAUUUUUAGAUAUUUUUAUUUUAUAAUUUGAUCUCUAUUUGAAUGUACCUAUUUAGUAAAUAUCUUUGAUAUUUUGCCUUGGCAUUUCUCAUUUUUUGACAAAUUGUUCCAAGGAAUCAAUUGAUAUAUUCAACUGAUUUUCAGAUUUUGAAGUGUUUUCUUCUACCAUCUUGAGGUCAUUUUCCAUUAUACUCAUAUUUCUAUGAGUGCUACUUCUACAAAGAUUUUCAAAAAAAUUUGAUAUUAUGAUUUUAUAGGUUUUUUGUUCUUAGUUUAAUAGUUAGUGCAACCACCUAAAUGGCCACAUGGCUUAAAUGGUUGACCAAUGGACACAAAGGGUUGACCAGCGCUAACUAUGUAAAUUUAAAACAGAUAAUCAUAAAAUAAAAUGACAAAUUAAAUUUGAAAACUAACUAUGAUGGCUUUUAUACCAAUUCUUUAUUGGAUAGAAAACAAAACAAAACAGACAUAUGAAAGACCUCAAAUUUGAAGAUCAAGUAUGAACUUUAAUAAUUUUUCCUAGUUUAGUAUGGAGAAGCCAUAAUUGAGAGAAAAAAAAAAUACUUGAGAGAAAUCCUUUUUGUUAUGAGAAAAGCUUUGUAAUGAGUUCCACUCUGAAAGACUCUCUUCAAAGUUCUUUGUUGUAAUAUCAAAGUUCAAUUUGUAAGUUGUUUAUUUUCAAAUAAAAGUUAAGAUUUCAAAUUUAGUUAUGUCUUCUUUAUAGCAUUUUAUUUUUAAGAUCCUAUUUGAAGAAGAUGAACUCUCUUGAAUCUCUAUCUAGUUGUCUAGGUUUUAAUAAAGAUAAUUUGUGACUCCUCCAAACUUAACUGGGAUAAAUCAUUAAAGUUCAUACUUGAUCUUCAAAUUUGAGGUCUUUCAUUUGUCUAUUUUGUUUUCUUACAAGGUUUUUUCCUACAAUAAGAGGGAUUUCUCUUAAGUAUUUUUUUUCUCUUAAUUGUGGUUUUUGCUUUACGAUGAAGGGAUGAUCCCCUUAUAUAGAGUUCUGGGAGUGGAUUUGAAGAGGAUUGAAGUCCGCGGAUUUGAAGAGGCUUGAAAUCCAUUGAAAGACAAUUUGUCUUUGUAAUUGAGGUGUCCAUGUGAGCUAUUAACCACCGCCCACUCGUAUUUGAAAUUUUUUUAUGUCUAGGGUUCUAGAAGAUGAUGGGUUGUUAAUCUUUGCAAAAAAACCGAUUUGAGGAAGAAGUGGAGCGUUGACCCGAGCAACCAAUUUGAAAGAAGAUAAAGCCCAACGAUUUGUUGAUAAGGUUUUUUUUUUAAAGCCAAUUUGCCACAUUUGAUGAUAUUUGAAAACAAUGUCAGUUUUGUUCCAACGGUGUGUAUAGCAUUCCAUAACACAUGUCUUCAUUUGGAGGAUCUUUAAGGGCUGACAAAGUUGAAUCAUCAUCAAAGUUAGAGCCAAGCUGGGAAAAAGUUUCAGCAACUUUUUGUUGAAGCAUUUUGAGAUAUGCCUUUAGUAGUUUAUUUGAAGAGAUAACUAAAGGAGCUAUUUAGGAGAGAUGGUUAUUAGAGAGAAGGGAGUUGAAAAGGAUUUUAAAAAUUGGAGGGAGACUUUACUACAAUCCAAUUUUUUAUAUGAGGAAGUUGUUGAAAAGAGAAGGGAGUGAAGUUUGACCACCAUUUGACCUUGAAUUCCAUUGCCAAAUGUGAGGGAAAAUGACUUUUGAUUAUACGCGUUUAAACAAAGUCCCAACACAAAAUCCAUGGGAGUUGAAAAUGAGAAGUAAGGAAAAAAGUUUGAGAAAAAGAAGCAGGGAUCAAACCCUUAGCAUGCUCUUUAAAAUAAUCAUAGAUAGAUUUGAUUUGAGGAUAAAAUAUUUUAGGGAUGGUGCCAAAGAACAACCACCAUUCUUGAAACAAAUUUGGAAACUCAGUUUGAAUCUUAUCAUUUUAGUAGGAGAACCAGGAAUGAUCAAAGGGUCAGAAAAGGUAAACACAAAACCAUGCAUCCAUAUAAUCAUAAUAAUCAUAAGAGGAAGGUUUGAAGUUUUGAGAAAAAAUUUUGUAGGUUAAUAAAAGAUAUUGUCCCCACUCAAUUUCAGAAAUAAUUUUGAAAAUCUUAUAUUUUGAAUAUCAAAUUUUUGUAGAGUCUUUGUUUUGAAUAUAAGAAAUUUCUAUAGAAUCGAUAUCUACAAGGAUAAAUUCAUAUAACUUCCUUGUUUUGAGAAUAUCAUUUUGAAGAAAAAACUUUCCUUUUAGGAAGAUUUUUGUCAAAUCAAUAUAACCACUUUUUGAGAAAUGAUGGGAUUCGAGAAUAUGAAUCUUCAUCAAAUAGGCUUUUGCAAUAUAAUUUUAUGAAGUUGGCUUUGAGGUUUGAGCCGCCUGGGCAAAGGUUUGAGAAGGCUUAGGGAUAUUUCCUAAGACUUGAAAUUGGUUUCAAAUAGGAAUCCGAGUUUGAGGUUAUGUAGUCAUGGGCUUUUCAAUGGGCAUAGUAUAAGAUGUUUUUGAUUGGGCCUAUUUUUAUUCAACUUUGAAUUUAUAAAAGGUAAUUUAAAUUCUCUCCCUGAUUUCCUUUCUUGGGAAUUUUUGUAGGUAAAAUGAGCAACUUAAAGUCCAAUAAAAAUAGGGCCAUUCAAAAGCAUCUUAUGUUAUGCCCAUUGAAAAGGCUAAGACUACACAACCUCAAACCCAAAUUCCUAUUUCAAACCAAUUUCAAGCCUUAGCAAAUAUCUCUAAGCCUUCUCAAAUCUUUGUCCAAGCAGCCUAAAUCUUAAAGUUGACUUCAUGCAAUCAUAUUUCAAAAAUUGGUUCUAUUGAUUUGAAAAAAAUCUUCCCACAAGGAAUUUUUUGUCUUCAAAAUGAUAUUCUUAAAACAAAUAAGUUUUAUGAAUUUAUCAUUGCAGAUAUAGAUUUUGUAGAAAUUUCUCAUAUUCAAAACAAAGAGUCUACAUAAAUUUGUUAUUCAAAAUGUAAGAUUUUCAAAAUUAUUUUUGAAAUUAAGUGGGGACAGUCUUCUUCAACCCACAAAAUGUUUUCUCAAAACUUUAAACCUUCAUCCUAUGAUUAUUAUGAUUAUAUGGAUCCAUGUGUGGACCCGCAUUUUUCACGUGCGCCCCCUCCCGAUCGGCGAGACUCGCUUUUUAUUUUGGAAAAGUGAUUUAAGAAAAGUCGGAGUCGCCACUUAUUUUAUUUUUAUUUUAAAGGGAAAAUAAAACAAGAAAGAAAAACCCUAAAAUGUGACUCCAUAAUUUUUGGAAAAGCAUGUCUUUGAAAAACCCGAGUCUAGGUAAGGGGAUCAGGUUACCUAUCAGGAAGGUACCUUUAAAAAGGUAGCACCCUUCUAAGCCCUAUAGAGGUCUCUACUAACUAAGUUGAGGGAAAUGUGACAAUUAAUCGAUUAAUUAUAGAUACCUAAGUAAGCUUGGUGAUUUUAAAAAAAAUAACAUGUUAACAAGAAAAUCAACCACAAUCAUAUAGAAGAUUUAGGGUACAUACCUGAACCACUUCUUAAGCACUAUCAUGAAACAUCAAUUGUUAGUUUAGACAAUAUAUCACUCAGCAUGCAUUUUAUCAUGAAUAUUCAAAUGAUGUAACAAAUAUCAAAACAUGCCAAGCAUUCUCAAACAUAGGUAUAAUUCACAAUGAUAAUUAUAUUUACAGAAUUUAGAAGGUAGAUGACAGGGGACGUACCUGGAUAGCAUAGAUAACUUAUAACAUGUUUCCUCAAGUCUUAAGGGGUUAGAUAAUAAAUAAUAAACAACAUAAAUCUUAUCAUUCUUGUUAUCUAAUUAGCAAAGCAAAAAUAAUCAAAGUAUACGAAGCCAUUAAUUAUCGCACACAUCUUGUAUAUAAUUUCUAAAAAAUAAUAAUAAUAAUAAAAAAAAUAAAAUAAAAUAAAAUAGAUAUGAUUUCAAUAAGUGGCAGGGUGGCAGUAAAGAUGAGUUUUAGCAAGAUGUAAGGGUUUCACUAAUUCCCUAAUUGAUAUACACAAAUAUAGCCUAGAAUUAAAUGUUAUUACUUUCGUAAAAAAAUAAAAAUAAAUAAAUAAAUAAAUAAAAUUCAUGAGUAUAAAAAAAAAAAACAUUUAUUCGAUAGUUUUAAUGAAUUGUAUUUAUAAAAGGAAGUUUUGAUUUACUUAAAUAAGAAGGCUUUAUAAAGGAAAUAUUUCAUAAGUAUUAAAAAUAAUAAUAAUAAUAACAAUAAUUGAUUCCAUAGUUUUAAUGAAUUUUAUUUAUAAAAAGAAGCUUUAAUUUUUUUUUAUUUAAAUAAAAAGACUUUGAUUCCAUGCAAAGAAAAUGUUUUUUUUUUAAAAAGUUCAUUUACAAGAAAAUAAAUAUAAUUAUCACUUUUAUAAAGGAAAUAUUUCAUGAGUAUAAUAAUAACAAUAAUAGUAAUAAUUGAGUCCAUAGUUUUAAUUAAUCUUACAAAAGGGAGUUUCAAUUUACUUAAAUAAAAAAGGCUUUAAUUCCAUGCAAAAAAAUAUUUUUUAAAAGAAAGUUUAUUCACAAGAAAAUAAAUGUUAUCACUUUUAUAAAGGAAAUAUUUUAUGAGUAUUAAUAAUAACAAUAAUAAUAAUAAUAAUUGAUUCCAUAGUUUUAAUGAAUUUUAUAAAAGGAAGUUUUAAUUUAUUUAAAAAAAGACUUUAAUUCCAUGUAAAGAAAAUGCUUUCAAAAAAUUCAUUUACAAAAAAAAGAGAAAGAAAAAAAAAAUAAUUAAUUAAUAAUGGUAAUAAUAAUAAAACCUUAUAAAAAAUAUAUUUGAUGAUUUAAAAAUAUUUUUUUUUUUUAUGUAAGAAUAUCUUUUAUAAUUUAAAUUUUCCUUUAAUAAUUUUUUUUUAAACUUUAUUUUAUUUACAAGAGGAUGAUUUCCACAACUCUUUAUUUAGAAAGCACAAAAAUUUUUUAUUAUUUUUUUAAAACAUAAUAGAUUUUUUUUUAAAUAAGAUAAACAAUUAUUUUAUAUUUUAAUCCAAGAGACCAAAAAAAUGUUUAAAAUAAUUUAUUUUAUUACAACUUUUUAUUUUUUAUUUUUGAACAAAGCUAUCAUAAAAAUUAUCAAAACACUUAAAAAUUCAAACUUUUUCAUCAUCAUCAGGAAUUAUCCCAAAACUAAAAAUUAAGCACAAUAUAAAUUUUCAUUAAUAUCCAAAUUAUUGAAAACUAAAAAAAACUUGCAAAAUAUUUCAACUUUUCAUUAACAUCACAAAAUUAUCCAAAAUGAAUAAAACAUCUAAUUUUUAAAUUAUCAUCCCGAAUCAUCCAAGACAAAUGCCUACAAAAAGUAACAUGAGAUUAGCAAUAAUAAUAAUGAUAACUAAAAUAAAAUAAACAAAAUAAAUUCAAAAACCAAAAAAAACUAAAAAUCCUAACUUGAUUUAUAUUUUAUUCAAACAAUCAUCAGGAAUUAUCCCAAGGCUAAAAAAAAAUCAGCACAAUAUAACUUUUCAUUGAUAUCCAAAUUAUUAAAAAUUAAAACAAACUUGCAGAAUAUUUCAACUUUUCAUUAACAUCACAAAAUUAUCCAAAACGAAUAAAACAUCCAAUUUUUAAACCAUCAUCCCGAAUCAUCCAAGACAAAUGCCUACAAAAAGUAACAUGAGAUUAGCAAUAAUAAUAAUGAUAACUAAAAUAAAAUAAAUUCAAAAACCAAAAAAAAACUAAAAAUCCUAACUUAAUUUAUAUUUUGUUCAAACAAUCAUUAACACAUCUCAUCUAAAUACAUUAAAUCCAACAAAACACUCACCGAAAGACAUUAAAUCCUAUUAUAACCGUCCAUGAUUUCAUUCCCUUUUUUUUUAAACAAAUAAAUAAAAACAUGCCAAUAGCAUCAUUCACAUCAAGACUGACCAUAUAUUCACAUUCGUUUGCAUUUUAAAUCCAACAAAACGAAGUCAAAGAACACUGACCUUGCUUGCAGCUACCCUCUUUCACGGUUGUGUCACUUUUUCUUCUCAGUCUAGUUAUGUUUGCUUCUUCGAUCUGGCUCGUGUGUUCCUUCACCACAAAGAGUCCCCGAAUCAGCCUAUGCGUCCUUUAGAAGUUCCACCCGGAAACGUGAUCUUGUCUACAAUUUUCUUUUGAAUCUCAUUAAAAAAUAAAAAAUCCCUCCAAAUUCUUCCAGAACUCUCCUUUUUUCUUUCUGAACUCUCCUUUUUUCUUUCUCCUCUCUAAAAAAUCCUCCUCUCUCUCCUCAAUUGUCUUUCUCCUAUUCCCCCAAAAAAAAAAAAAAACCUACUCCCCUUCAUCACGCCUCUCCUCCCUUUUUUGCAUGUGAGUUGACUUUUCUUUCCUUUCAUGAAUUCCCCCUGCUCUCUUUCUUGCAAAAUACAAUCUGUCUAUUCCAUAUGCCACCUCAAUUCUUCCUAAAAUAUAUCAUCUCUUUUUCUUUUCCAUUUAAAAUAUGCUUUGACCCAAAACACUACUGAAUCCUCCUUCCAUCAUCACGUGAUUCUUUUUCCAAAAGACAAAUUACAUUACCUUCUUUGCUGCUCAUCAUUUCUUUUUUCAUACAUAAGCUGAAUCUUCCCCAUAACAUGGCUCCAUUCAUUUUUUCCAUAUGUCUACUCUUGGAACCUAUAUGGUAGCUACCCACUCCAAGCUUCACUUUCUAUUGGUGGACUUCCUGCAAAAUUUCAAAGUUAAUAAAGUAAUAGUAAUAAUAAUAAUAAUAAUAAUGAAAACGUUUAAACAAAAUUAUUAAAUUAAACUAAAUAAGUAAAGACAAGUAUAUUGGAAAAGUGAUAAAAUAAUAGGAAAAUAAAAUAAAUGAAGAAAUAUACAAAAUAAUAAAUAAAAUAAAAUAAACAAAAAUGUAAAGGUAAAAAAAGUCAAGUAAUGUGAUUUUACAAAAACGAGCCUUGCAAGUCAUACAAGCCAUGCAACCAUGCAAACCAUGCCCAUGCAAAAAAUGAUCUAAAUGGGCCUAAGGUGCCUAAAUGGGCCUAGGGUGCCUAAAUGGGCCUAAGGUGCCUAAAAGGGCCUAUGGUGCCUAAAUUGACUUAAGGUGCCUAAGUGGGCCUAAAGUGCCUAAAUCGUCCUCGGGUGCCUAAGUGGGCUUAGGGUGGUGCUUAAGUAGGUCUAAGGUGCCUAAAUGGGCCUAAAGUGAUCUAAGUGGGCCUAAAGUGUCUAAAUGGGCCUAAAGUGAUGCCUAAUGGGCCUAAAGUGAUCUAAGUGGGCCUAGGGUAACUAAGUGGGCCUAAAGUGCCUAAAUCGUCCUCGGGUGCCUAAGUGGGCUUAGGGUGGUGCUUAAGUAGGUCUAAGGUGCCUAAAUGGGCCUAAAGUGAUCUAAGUGGGCCUAAAGUGUCUAAAUGGGCCUAAACUGAUGCCUAAUGGGCCUAAAGUGAUCUAAGUGGGCCUAGGGUAACUAAGUGGGCCUAAAGUGUCUAAAUGGGCCUAGGGUUACCUAAAUGGGCCUAAAGUGUCUAAAUGGGCCUAGGGUACCUAAAUGGGCCUAGGGUUACCUAAAUGGGCCUAGGGUGAUCUAAGUGGGCCUAAAGUGAUGCCUAAUGGGCCUAAAGUGAUCUAAGUGGGCCUAGGGUAACUAAGUGGGCCUAAAGUGUCUAAAUGGGCCUAAAGUGAUCUAAGUGGGCCUAGGGUAACUAAGUGGGCCUAAAGUGUCUAAAUGGGCCUAGGGUACCUAAAUGGGCCUAGGGUGAUCUAAGUGGGCCUAAAGUGAUGCCUAAUGGGCCUAAAGUGAUCUAAGUGGGCCUAGGGUAACUAAGUGGGCCUAAAGUGUCUAAAUGGACCUAAAGUGAUCUAAGUGGGCCUAGGGUAACUAAGUGGGCCUAAAGUGUCUAAAUGGGCCUAAAGUGAUGCCUAACGGGCCAAGUGUACCUAAAUGGGCCUAGGGUUACCUAAAUGGGCCUAGGGUGGCUAAAUGGGCCUAAAGUGAUCUAAGUGGGCCUAAGGUAACUAAGUGGGCCUAGAGUGUCUAAAUGGGCCUAAAGUGAUGCCUAAUGGGCCAAGUGUACCUAAAUGGGCCUAGGGAUACCUAAAUGGGCCUAGGGUGCCUAAAAGCUAUCCUAAAAAAAAAAGCAAGAAAAGUCUAAGUCUAAGUUAGGGUUGCCAAGGUCACAAUAAGAGGUCAAAUCAUCCUUCAACCAUAGUCUCCAAGGUGGCUUAGAAAAUAUAGGCUACACGAGUAUUAACAGGCCACCAGGGAAUUGCUAUAAACGACAUGUGCGAGGAAGACAAAAUAGAGGGUCUACAGCAUGGUUUUGUGUUUUCCUUUUCUGACCCUUUGAUCAUUCCUAGUUCUUCCAUUAGAACGACAAGAUUCAAACCAAGUUUCCAAAUCGGUUUCAAGAAUGGUGGCUAUUCUUUGGUGCCAUCCCUGAAAUCUUUUGUCCUCAAAUCAAAUCUUUUUAUGAUUAUUUCAAAGAGCAUGCUAAGGGUUUGAUCCAUACUCCUUGUUCUCAAACUCUUUUCUUUUCUUCUCGUUUUCAACUCCUAUGGAUUUUGUGUUGAGACUUUGUCCAAAUGCAUAUGAUCAAAAGUUUUUUUUCCUAUAGAUUUGGCAACAUAAUUCAAGGUCAAAUGGUUGUCAAACUUCACUUCUUCUUCUUUUCAAUAGCUUUCUCAUAUAAAAAAUUGGAUUGCAGCAACGUCUCCUUCCAAUUUUUAAAACGUUUUUCAAUUUCUUUCUCUUUUAUCCGAUAACCAUAUCUCCCAAACAACUCCUUUGGUUAUCUCUUAAAAAAAAAGCUAAAGACAUGUCUCAAAAUGAUUCAACAAAAAGUUGUUGAAACUUUGUCCUAGCUUGGCUCUGACUCUGAUUAUGAUUUGGCUUCGUCAUCCCUCAAAGAUCCCCCAAAUGAAGACGUGUGUUAUGGAAUGCCAUACACAUUGCUGGAACAAGACUGACUCUCUUUUCAAAUAUCUUCAAAUACGGAAAAUUGGCUUAAAAAAUAAAGGCCUUAUCAACAAAUAGUUGGGCCUUAUCUUAUUUCAAAUUGGUUGCUACCAUUAUAAAUCAUAUAAAAAAUAUUCAAACUUUAAAGAACCAUAUUAUAAAAAAAACAUAGAUAAUAUUCAAACAAAUCCCAACAAAAUCCUUUUACAAAGAAAACAUAUAAAAAAGAAAUAAAAUGUUUCAAAUGUGGCAGAAAAUGACACAUUGCCUUAGACAUAGGCAAACAUCUCAAACAACAAAUGAUUGAUCUAACCAAAACUGAAUCACAGUUCGAGUCAUCUGAUCAAACUUUCUAUUAGAAUAGAGCCCUUAAAAGCAUAACAUGAUGUAAUAAAUUUGGAAUUCGUUAUUUAUUUAAUAAUGUUCCAGUUUCACUUUUAUUUAUCCUUAUUCAAUGUAUUAUACUUUAUGAGUAUUCUUGUCUACAUCUUUUGCAUUGUACAUGACUUAGGUGUAUUAGAAGUUGCAUAGAAAAUCUAAAUCAUGGGUUCCUUGCAAAUAGAUGACUUGUUCACAAUCGGUUCAUGGGUCUAGGAGACCCAUUAGAGGUUUAGUGCACCACUUCCUAAUUGGAGGGAUGAUUGGUCUUGGCUAUUGGGAUGAGUUUCCCAUGGUGAGUGCACUAGUGUGUAUGCUUCCACAUUAUAUAGGACCUACGAUAUGUCAAGUAGUUAUGACCUCAUCAAACUGCUUCAUUGUGUUGUCUCUCAACCUUGAGAAAAUAUUGAGCUUGUACUAAAGUUAGUAAUGGCUUUGACCUACAAGUGAGAUUGUAAGUUGAUCAUAUAUUCCCUAUGGAUUAGGUCACUGUUAAUGGAAGUCGAUAGCAAUAGGUAUCUCAAUAGAGGCACCAUGAUAUCUCAUGGGAUUGAGACAGUGUGUCUUCUUGGGUGAUCCUAAGAAGGUGUGUUCAUGGAAACUAUGGCCAUGGUAGUUCCUUAAGUGGAACUUGACAUAGGCUCUUUGAGAGUUAAGAGAUGUCAGUUGAAUACACAAUAAGAGGAUUUAUAACUCAAGGAUCAUAGAGAUAAUCUUGAAAGGUUGAUAGUUUCACCUUGUUAGACUAUGGACACCAGAUCAUGAACUUGAGCAUGUAGUGUCUCGUUGUUAUUUACAUAGGAUAUUGGAGUUUAGAUGAUUCUUUAUAGUGGGAUGUUGAAUCAACUUCAAAAUUGGAUUAUGAGGGAGUUGGUACUUCUAUGGGUCGUAGUGGUCCCCGUUUUGAGCUCAUAUACCUUGUUAGCAUGGAUUAUGAAGGUUGGAUUAGCUCUGAAUUCACUUUUGUGCAUAAGGGUUUUUUGAUAAUUAUGCAAGGUUGCACAAGGAUAAGUGAACAAGGUCUCUGGAUUGAGUUAAUUGAUUAAUUAGUAGGCCCUAUUGGGUUAAUUAAUUAAUUAGGACCCAUUUUAAGCUAGAUUAAGUGACCCACGCCCAUGGGGGCUCAAGUCACUUAAGCCCAAUUAGGAGCCUUAUAAAUACCCCAUAGAGGUUGGGGUUUCCAUAACUUUUGUCUUCCACCAUCCAGAGAGAAAGAGAGCCAUAGCCUUAACCAUUUUUUCCUCCCUGUCGGAAGUAUGCCAAAAACAAGAUUGAGCCAUUAGGCGGAAGAUCGUGGGUUAUGAGACUUCCAAAAAUUUCAAGGUCAUCUUCAACAAUUGGAUUUUGAGGUUGGGGAAUAUUCAAACUUAAAGGUUAGUUCUUGAAUUCUAAAAGAUCAAUUUUUUAAAAAUUGCUAUUGUUUUCGUUGCUUAGAUCUAAGAUGCCAACAACUGGUGUUAGAGCCAGGUUAUAAGCAUGCUUAGAUAUUUAUUUAGGGUGUGUUAACAUCUUUUUUGUUGCCUUGAUAUUAUCCCAUGGCCAAGGGACACAUGUAUGUUCUUUUUUAUUAAUGCUUGUGAUGAUUGAAUGGGAUAAUUUGUUUUCUUUCUUUAUUUCUUCAUAGAUUUGGUUGUAAGCUCCAUUAAAGGAGCAUAGGUUUUCUUUUUCUCUUGUAAAGUUUUAAUCUUUUCCAUAUAUUGGGUUGUAACUCCUUUAUAGGAGCAUAAGAUUUCUUUUAUGAUGUAAAGUCUUAUUUUUUAUCAUCUAUGGAGGACUACAAGAGAUGAAUUUCUGAAUGAUGUCAAUAAAGAUUAGAUUUUUAUUAGAGCAUCGUCUAGAAAGAUUCAAGGAUUUUAUUAGUUGUGGAAGAAAGGUUGAAUCUUUCCUUUGAUUAAUUAAAAAAAAAAAAAAAGAAGGAGAAAGCCUUUUUAAGCUUAGGAAGUCAAGAAUCAAUGCCAUAAACGAUUCCCAAUUCGGAGUUGAAACAAGGGAGAUAUAGUCAUUUAAAGCAAAGCUGUGCAGAGGGUAUGCUGUAACGGGGUUGCAUAUGGAUUCAAUACUUUUUGCUUGUUUGGGCUCAUCUUUUGAGCCACUAGUUGGGCUUGAAAGUUGCUGAAUUGUGGCAACUAUACAAUAGCUUCUUUUGGCAAGUUUUGAUGCCAAAUAUUGGUGUCAAGUUGAAGACAACUGGUUUUGGUUCACAAUUGGAAAGUUGUGAAAAAUAUCCCUUGGCCAUGGGAUCUCCUUUUGAAUAUUUCUUUUUUGAUGCAUACUAUUAUAUUGCAUGUGAUGAGAAGUGCUUUCAAAGUUACUAAUUUUGGAUUUUCUUAUGGAAAAUAAAUUUUCAUGAGAAGGUUAUUUCCAAAUUAAGUUUUAUUCAAAAUUGGAAUGAUGCUUCUAUUAAGGGUUAUAUAUAUAUAUGGAAUUUUUUUUUUUUUUUUUAAAUGUUAGAGAAUCUAGUUUCCUUUUCUCCUUAGGAGAUCCCUUUUUUCAAAGUCUUUAAGUUUGAAAUCUUCAAGGACUUGAGUUUCUAUAUUAAGGGAAGAUUCUCUUAUUUUAAAAUCUUCAUAAAAUUGGAUAUUCCUUAUAAGCACAAGUAUUCCAAUUUAGUGAAUAAAUAAAGCUUUUGGAAAUUCUCAUGAUAGAUAAUUUAUUUUAAGAAGAUCACCAAAAUUAUUGAAAGUUUCUUAUGAAAAUUGUAUGAAACUCUUAGUAAUUUUAUUGAAUAUAAAUUUUCUUGAAAAUUAGAUUCCAAAGCAUGUUUUUUACUUACUUUUGGAAUAGUGUAGAUUAAGAAAAUAAAACAUGUGAAAAUAAAUUAGAUAACAAAGUUUUCUUUUCUAAAUUAUUCCAAAGGAUUCUAAAUUAUUUUCUUUAAAAUUAUUUUGAUAAGAAUCCUUAUAGAAUAAAAGUUUCCCUUUUUGGAUAAAGUACUCUCUAAUUUUUAUUUUUCAAGUUUUUUUCGAAACUUUCAUAUUACACUAAUCCUUAAUUUGGAGUGUAAAUAUUUGUUUUUGAAAAUUUUCAAGAUGGAUAAUUUAUCAUUAAAGGAAUUACUAAAACUUUUAUUUUUGGUAAUUUUAAUGGAAUAGAUUAUUAUGAAAAUUAGAUUUCAUAUUUAAGAAUAUUUAUUAAAUUGGAAAGGUGUAGGGAUAAGGAAAUUAAAUUUAUAAGGAAUUUUGAAUAUGAGAGCUAAAGUUCCUUUCUAAAUUUAUUCUUAAGCAUUUGAAAUAUUUUUCUAGAUUUCAUAUUUAAGAAUAUUUAUUAAAUUGGAAAGGUGUAGGGAUAAAGAAAUUAAAUUUAUAAGGAAUUUUGAAUAUGAGAGUCAAAGUUCCUUCCUAAAUUUAUCCUUAAGGAUAUGAAAUAUAUAUAUAUAUAUUGAGAAAUCUUGAAGAAUUAAAUGUUUCAUAAUUGGAUAAGGUGCUCUCAAGUUUUCAAAAUUUUAUGAAUUGGAAGUUUCCUUAUUACACUGAGUUUCCAAUUUGAAUAAUAAAUAUCUUAUGAAAAAUUUUGUUAGAAAUAUUUUGUCAUUAAAGGUUAUUACCAAAAGGAUAUUUAGUAAUUUAAUGGAAAUAAAUUUCUUUGAAAAUAUUGUUUAGAAAAAAUAUUUAUUAAUUGGAAUUGUGUGAAGAAGGAGAAUUUUUUUAUGAAAAUAGAUUUUAAAAUUUGAGACUACUUUUUAUCAAAAUUAAUUUUUGGAUAAAAUACUAUCACAAAAAUUUUAAAUUUUGCAUAUGGACAUUCUCUUGUAACACUGGAUUUCCAAUUAAGAAAUAAAUAUUUUUGGAAAUUCCCAAAGAGGAUAAUUUAUUCAUCAAGGUAAUUACUAAUGUUUUAAAAGCUCUAAUUUCAAAAGAUUAAGUGGGAAAGGGCCAUAGGCAAGCCUAUAGCCUCCAAGAUUGAGCCCAUCUUGAUUUUGGGUGCAUCACCAUCCUAAAGAUGGGGUGGCCCAAGGAAUUAAGGGAUAUGGACUAUCCUUUAUGGAUGAGACUAUAUAUGUUUAUAGUGGGAGUGGGCAAUCCUAAAGACAUAGCUCUUCACUUGGUGACAUUGAUGUCAAGGAUCUUGGUUACACACUUAACUUAGACAUAAAGUGGUAGAAUCACCUAAAAUAGUCCCACUUGCAUGGGCUAAGGGCUAAACAAGAAGCGCAUGUUGAUCAAUGCCUUAGGAUAACUCUUCAAAUUUAAGGCAAGUUGAUUAAUUAGAAAGAAGGGUCUCUACCCUAGUAAUAAGAGUCAUGACUUGCCUAAAGUAGACUUGAUUCUUAUGAUACUAGGAUACCUUGCAAAAGGACAUGUAGUUUCAGAGCACUACAUUUUUGCUAAAUUAAUUACCAACUUGCCUUGAAUGCUCAGUUCCUUUUAUUAAUGCAUGGAAUUAUUAUAUUUAUUAUAGAUGCCAUGUCUUUAACCUGUCACCUCUUAUCUCAUGUUUAAAUUAGAACUAGUUAUAUAUUGAAAACAAUUUGGAUAUAAUAUUAAUUACAUAGAAGCUAAUUUAGGUAGGAUUUGUUAUUUCCUUUAAAUAAACCUAUCAUAAAGUAAGAAAAACAUAUCAAAUAUGGCAUAAGAUUGAUUAAAAGACUAAGAGUUUCAUACUUACGUCUUUAGAUAAUAUGUUGCAAAAGCAACACAUGUCUGUUGCCAUGGUCUAUGAUAUUCUCUUUAAAGUUGCAAGGGCUAUUUUGUGAUAAGGGUAAGUCAACUAGACAAGUUUCCAUUAGGACUAUUAUGAACACCAGGAUUCAUGUUAUCUUAGAGACCUUACGAGAUUCCUUUAGGAUAGGUAAGAAGAUUCUUAAAGAGUAAAAGGGUGUUCAUAUGGAAGUCAAGGUUUUUUAGGCUCUUCUACCAAGAAAAAGAAUUACAACACCAAAUAAGGAAAGUUCAAGAAAAUGAAUGAAAGAACAAACUUAUGGAUAGUAAUUCCUUUGUGAUCAAUUAGAACACUAGAAAAAGAAUUCUUGGAGUGCCUAAGGAUAGGCAAGUACACAACAUGUUCUCGUUGUUGAACUCAUAGUGGUGGAUUUCACCAAUUGUGGUGGAUUUCACCAAUUGUGGUGGAUUUCACCAAUUGUGGUGGAUAGAUUCUAGGCCCAUUAUAAAAAAAUGAGAAGGUCACAUUGAAUUUAAGGUAGAAUUGGAUAACCUAUUGGGUAAACAUAUCAAGGCACUUCAAUUAGAUCAAGGUGGUGUGUUUAGUAGGUUCGAUCCUUUCCAUAUGGAGCAUGACAUGAUAUCCCAAUUGUGUGCACCAAGGACUCCAUUGUAAAAUGGACUAAUUGAAAGAAGAUAUUGAACUUUGAUAGAUAUAGUCAGAUCAAUGAUUGGUUUCUCAUUACUUCCUAUAUUAUUUGGGGAUACAUCUUAGAGACUGUGUAAUACCUUUUUUUCUAAAGAGGUACAUUAGUUUAUAGGAUAUCUAAGAGGACUUCAAGAUUAUUACUUUAUUGUUAGGAUAAUCAAAAGGUGUUUGUUGCUACAAAUACUAGAUUUUGAUGAAGACUAUAUGAUAUGUAAUAAGGCAAACAAUGAUAUAGAUUAGAGAACACUAGAAGGUAGUCCCACUAUACGCAAGAUACUAUGGAUCCACUACCAACCAUUCCCAUUUCUAGUACAUUGAUGCCUCGUCGUAGUGGGAGUGUUGCUAAAUAACUAAACCAAUUCAUGUAUUUGGAAGAGUCUUUCAAGGCCAUUCUAAAGGAAUGUGAGAUCGAUCCCAUAGAGUACGAUGAAACAAUGAGCGAAGUGGAUGCACAUCUUUGGCAAAAGGCUAUGGAGGCAGAGUUAGAAUCCUUAUGAUUAUAAUGUAGUUUAGGUUCCUGUAGAAGCACUUGAAGGGAUAAAACCCAUUGGUAUAAGUUGGUCUACCAGAGGAAUAAAGUAGUAGAUGGAAAAGUUGAGAUUUAUGUCGCUAGGUUGUAGCUAAAGGUUAUAGUUUGAAGCAUUAUUUCAACUAUAAGAAACCUUUUCUCCAGUAGCCAUACUCAAAUCAAUUAGAGUACGAGUAUCUCAUUUAUGAGAUAUUUCAAUAAGAUGUCAAGAUAGUGUUCUUAAAUGAUUAUCUUGAUAUUAGCAUCUAUAUGAUGUAACCAUAUAUUUUCAUAGCAAAGGGCCUUGUGUGUACAAGAAACUGUAGGGAAGCAUGGUGGUGUUCUAGGAUCUUGUAGGUAAAUGGCAAUCUACUAAUUGAGAAUGAUGUAGGGAUAAGGGAUUAUGUGCUUGUGCUCCAAAUUGUUGAAAUAGUUUAUAGAGUGACGUGAUGGUUGACAAGAUACCAUUUAUGGAAAACCUAGUGGAUCCAUUCACUAAGACAUUAACAAGGAGAGUCUGUGUUGGUGACAGGGAUAAUAUAGGUUUAAGAUAGGCAUCUAGCAUGCUUUAUAGGUAUGAUGCUUUAAGGGUUAGUGGGAGAAUGUUAGAAGAGAGCCCUUAAAAGCAUAACAUGAUGUAAUAAAUUUUGAAUUUGUUAUUUAUUUAAUGAUGUUCUAGGUUCACUUUUAUUUAUCCUUAUUCCCUUUAUUAUACUUUAUGAACAUUAUUGUCUACAUUUUUUGAAUUGUACAUGACUUAGGUGCAUUAGGAGUUGCAUAGAAAUCUAAGUCAUGGGUUCCUUGCAAAUAGAUGACUUAUUCACAAUCGAUUCAUGGGUCUAGGCAAUCCAUUAGAGGUUGUAGUGUGCCACCUCCUUGGAGGGAUGGUUGGUCUUGGCUAUCAAGAUGGGUUUCCCAUGGUGAGUGUACUAGUGUGCAUGCUUACACAUUGAACAAGACCUAUGGUGAGUUAUGACUGAAGGUUGUCAAGUAGUCAUGACCUCACCAAGCUACUUCAUUAUGUUGUCUCUUUACCUUGAGAGAAUAUUGAGCUUGUGCUAAAGUUAGCAAUGGCUUCGACCCUACGAGUGAGAUCAUAAGUUGAUCAUGUAUUCUUUAUGGAUUGGGUCACUAUUGAUGGAAGUUGGUAGCAAUAGGUAUUCUCAAUAAAGGCACCAUGAUAUCUCAUGGGAUUGAGACAGUGUGUCUUCUUGAGUCAUCCUAAGGAAGUGUGUUCAUGGAAACUAUGGCCAUAGUAGUUCCUUAAGUGGAACUUGACAUAAGCUCUUUGAGAGCUAAGACAUGUCAAUUGAAUACAGAAUAAGAGGAUCUGUAACUCAAGGAUAGUAAAGGUAGUCUUGAAAGGUUGAUAGAUUUCACUUUCUUAGACUAUGAACACCAAUUCAUAGGAAGACUGAACAUAAUGGAUAAUAGGUCACAAACCUGAGCACGUAGUGUCUCGUUGUUAUUCACAUAGGAUAUUAGAGUUCAAUUGAUUCUUUGUAAUGGAAUAUUGAAUCAACUUCAAAAUUGGAUUGUGAGGGGCCCAAUACUCCUAUAGGUCACAGUGGUCCCCACUUUAAGCUCAUAUACCUUGUUGGUGUGAAUUAUGAGGGUCAGAUUACCUCUAAGUUCACUUUUGUGCAUAAAGGCAUUUUGGUAAUUAUGCAAGACUGCACAAGGAUAAGUGAACAAGGUCUCUGGAUUAGGCUAAUUGAUUAAUUAGUAGGCUCUAUUGAGUUAAUUAAUCAAUUAAGACCCAUUUUAGGCUAGAUUAAGUGACCCAAUGCCAUGUGAGCUCAAGUCACUUAAGCCUAAUUAGGACCCUAUAAAUAUCUCAUAGGGAUUAGGGUUUCCAUAACUUUUGUCUUCCACCAUCUAGAGAAAAAAAUAGUCAUAGCCUUCACCCUCUUUUCCUCCCCACCUGAAGUGUGCCAAGAACAAGGUUGAGUCAUCGAGCGGAAUAUCAUGGGUUUACGAGACUUUCAACAACUUCAAGGCUGUCUUCAACACUUGGAUUUUAAGGUUUGGGAACAUUCAAACCUAAAGGUUAGUUCUUUAACCCUAAAAUAUCAAUUUUAAAAAAAAAUUAUUGCUUUCGUUGCUUAGAUCUAAGAUGCCAACACUUUCGUAGAAUCAUCCAGUGAGAAUCAAUUUCUUUUAAUUGAAGAAGACUCCUCCAAUGAGUCAAAUGAGUCUUCCUAACAGUCAUCUUGUGAUUGUGUGGUAAAUUGUCUUUGUAAUAUUAAAAGAAUAAACAUGAUAACAAGUGAACAAAACUUCUUACUAGAAUUAAAAGAUAAGAUUCUAGAUCCAAACAUUCAAAGGAAAUACUUCAAAAAAUACCUUGAAUUUCAAAAACUAGACAAAUAAUACAAAUCAGAAAAUACGAAUCAAUACAAUUUAAAAACUGUAAACAAUUUUCUAAACCUAAACCAAUAGGAAUUCAAGACCAUCAAAAUGAAAUAAGUCCAAUAAAAUUUCAAAUCAAUAUUAUGAUAAGUCAAAAUCAAGAAAUAGAAAUCAGACUUAAAAUCUUAGAAAAUAAUAAGUUAGAAAAAGCCAAAGAUAAACAAGUGGAAGAUGGAGAAUCUUCUGAAUUGUUUAUAAAAAUUAUAACUAGGAUGAAAUCUCAAAAAAUGGCAUGUCAAAGUAAAACUCUUUAUCAAACCUGAUUUUUCAAAAGAAUUUUUAGCAUUAGUUGAUUUUGGUGCUAAAGUGCAACCAAUUAUGAGAGCUUGCAACCGAUUUAAUCGAUUGGAAAUAGGCUCAACUGAUUAGGAACCAAAUCACCCCUCUUAGGCAUCUCAAUAAUUGCACACACUAACUAUGCAAAGAAAAAAGCACACCUCAAUACCUCAACUUUCACAAAUGCUCACAAAACCAACAGCAUGGGCAAGUGGCAUAGUUGAGUAGGGAUAGCUUCGAAGCAGUGAGGUGGGAGGGCGUGGAAGAUUUUGUUGCUUAUAUAUACAAGAAUUGUAAAUAGAAAAAAAAAAUCUCAUAAUGAUAGAUUAUAACUAGGUAAAUAAGUUGUAGUUUUGUGUGUGUGUGUUUUGUAAUCUUUUAUUUUUAAGUGUUUUAAUGAAGUUGUUUUCUUUUUAGUCCUUGUGUUUUGUGUUUUUCUUUUUGUGCCUUUCUUAGGCCAAGGGGUGAAAGAAUGUUGAGGUAUUAUUAUCUUAGUUUAGUUCACCUUCAAUUUAGCUAUUUAUGGUUGAAAAAGACCAUAACUUAGGUCAAUGAUUAUAAGGACCAAAAAGAUUCUCCAUUGGCCUAGGUCUGUAGUUACAAGGACCGAAAGGAGUCUUUACGAAGAGUAAAGGCUAUGGUUGUAAGGGUAGAAAGUCAAGCAACCUUGGCCUUGGUUCUUGUGAUCUCAUACAUAUACAUAAACUCAUCCAAAUCAUCUGGCUAUGAUGACUCGCCAAGAGCAAUUUGACCAAGUUUUUCUUUCAUUGAAGCGGGUGAUGCUUAUUUCAAUGGGAGCCUUAUGGUUGGUGUACAUCCAAGUCCUGGUCCUAAGACCCAUAGCACAAGGCUAGUGUCUUGUUAAGGGUGCUGAGUUUGAGAGAAGGAAUCCAAAUGACUUUCCACUCUUGGAUAGUUUUGUCGUUGCUGUAGUUUUUAUUGUGUCCUUAUUAAAUUUUAGUUUCUAGGGUCAUUCCCUCUCUCUUGAAAUUAAAAUUUUAUUAUUUUAUUUCUCUAACCAGCACUCACACCUCCAAAACUCCUACCACUACUAUUAUUGAUUAAAGGUUCCCUAUGGAGACGACCUAACCACUAUACAAUUGUUAGUUAUUUUUUUCUUAUAUAUAUAUAUUUGGUUUCAAAGUUAAGUUUUUCAACAACUGCUCUAGUUUAAAAUUGUGUUUUUGUAAAACUUUAUUGAAAAAUUAUUUACAUAUUUAGUUUAAAAUUAGCAAAACACAACUAAAUCACUCAAUUAGUUAGGAUCGACCAAUUGAGGAUUGGUUGAGGUUGCUAAGAAUUUUCUCUUUCUUCUAAUAGUUAGGGUGUAGCCAGUUUAGGCAUAGUCUCAAUCGAUCGAAGGGCAUUUGAGUGGCAAUCAAGGAUUAAUUACACCUUUUGUUGAGCUUAGAAACCCCAAUAGUUACUUGUAGAGCAUUUUAUUCCUUAUGACUAGUUAAUCAAUCAAAUGAGUGCUUAAUUGGUCAAAUGUUGACUUUUGUGACUUUUUAGGUUCUUGAGCUAGAAACAUAUAAAUUGAAGAGUUUUAGAGCAUUUAUUGACUUGAGAAAAAUCACAUUCAAUUAAAAAAAAUUAUUUUCCUUGUUCAAAGCUCUUCAUCCAAGUGCAUUGAUUUAUCACUUGCGAAUUCUAUUAGUGCACCUUUCAUAUCCAUCCUUGUUUCCUUUGUAUAAGGCAAAAUUGUAUCUAGGAUUGGAAGUGAAAAAUGGGCAUUGCUUUAAUACCACUUGAAUAACAACCGAAAGUCCAAUAGUGAACACCCAAAGGGAGGGUGAAUGGUGAUUUAAAAUUUUAAAUAAAGAUUUAUAUGCUAUAUCAAAUUCUCUUAACUCAAGAAAUUUCCAAGGUUAUACUGAUAUUAAAAAAGGAGUUCACCCCCAAUCUCGAAUGAUAAAACUUAAUUUUUAUGGUUAAUUGACAUCCAACGAUUAUUUGGGGAUAAAAUAAAUUAAUUAGUAAUAUCUUGAAAGAUGUUAAGGAUUACAAUAAUCAGUUAUAGGGAUAACAACCAUAACCACCAAGAUAACCAUCCUAAUAGCCUUAAUAGAAAUCCCAACAAAUCAAUCAAACUUAAUCAAAUAAAAUCUAAGAAGGAAUAUAUUGAUGUGCACCUUUUAUGAAAACCUUGAAAGAUAUUAGGAACAAUCCAUUUAAUCUAUUCUAGGCAAUUCAAACAAAAUAUCAAAUGUAAAAGAUAUAGAUAAUGAGGCAUAAGAUUUUUAUGUGAAAAUCCCCCACAAACUGUGGAGAUAAAAAACCAAGAAGUCUAAGACCUACCUAUCUAAAACAUUUUAAGUCCAAAAAUAAUGUUGAACCUUUUAUACCUCAAAGAAGCCUUAUAUGCCAUAAGCCAAACCUUUUUAAACAUACUUAUGACUUCCUAGUUUGAAAAAUAGGCACCCUUGGACUUUAAUGGAGAGCAAGUCACUAUAUAAAUAGACUUUUAUGGCCAAACAUAAAAUGGAACAAAAUUUCCAACAUAUAAACAAGACUCAAUGUCCUAACAAUCUCCACUUUUGGCAAUUUUGUGACAAACAUUGUUACAUAAACCUACCUGAACUCUCAUAAAGGAGUUUACAUAACACACAUUAACGCUCAAUUAAAAAUUAAACCAAGGAAAUGCUUUGACUCACUUUGUAGUUCUUAUCUUCCAACGUUGUAACCAACAUACAUGGAAAAUAAUACCAAAGGUAAAAUAGUGUGAAAGAUAAAAUAAUAUCAUGAAAGCAAAAAGGAUACUUGGAGACUUUGCUUGAUGCAUUGUGAAAGCAUAAAAAAGGAAUAGAUUCCUAUAAUGACGUCAAGGUGCAAAGCAAAGCUCAAGAGGAAUUUGAAUGUGUGCCAAUCAAGGCAACAUAAUAAAAACUAGAUAUGUCACAAUAAUUUAAUAGUAAAGUGAUGGGAGCUUUUCCCAACCAAAAUAUACGUAAGGAAAAACAUGGGAAAAAGCUUUUUUGGCUGAGAUUAGUUCCAGAGAGAUAGACAAUUCAAAUAAUAAUAUUUUUACAAAAAAUUCUUGUGUCAGAUAUCUCUAUUGAACUUUAAAGUCAAGCUUCCUAAGGUUGAUUUGGUUUACUUCAAUGUCUCAUAUUCAAUUUCCACCAAUAUUUCAAUUAAAUUUCCUUAAUGAAUAAUUAAAGAAUAAAAAUAAAUAACUCCCCCUAAAUUAAGGAGUCUCUAUCUAUGAUCAUCCUAUCUCCCCUUAUUUAUAACUCCCCCUUUUAAAAUGAAUUAAAUAUUCAAUAUAUGAUCUUUUUUUUUUUAUUAUUUAAGCGGUUCAAUGUUCUCCAUUUUUUUUCUUUAUUUAAGAGGGUUAUUAAAUAUUCAAUGUUUUUCCUCUUUUUGUCACAAAAGUGGGAAAGUAACGGAAAUAUAAACAUGAGAAAGCACACAAGAGAUAAAAAGAAAAAUGAAAAACACAUAAAUAUGUAUAUAUCAAUAAUAUGAUUUUGGAUACAUAAGAUAAGCAAUGAAUAAACAUACAGAUCAACAAAAAUACAUAUAAGGAAAAAUAAAAUAACAAAGCACUUGGAGGAGGUGGAGGAAGGAAGGAGCUCAGAUCACUUUGAGUAUGGAUCCAAGAAAUUAUAUAAGUCAACUAACCCUACAACUCACAAAGCUGAACAUCUUGUGAGUCUAAGCUUUGAAGCAUUAAGGUCAUGGGAUCCAUCUCCUAAGUAGUCGAGUUUAUGGAAGUCGAUUCUCCAUGAGAAGCUCUAGAUGAUCUAGCAUGACCCCGACUAGAGCGAGUCCUCAAAGCAACCUUAGGAAUGGGUCAUCCUGCUCCAUAGUUUAGAUCUCAUCUUCCUUAGCAAGUGCCUCAUAAGAAGCCUAUUGUGCUGGUGCAACAUCCUCAAGGCCAUCGGGAACUAGAGGAACCAUGGGACCGUACAUGUGGUUGUAGUGUUUAGCCUAAAAGCUCUCAUCUAACAAGACAUAACCAAGAUGGAUCCUCUAUGCAAUAGUAAUCUCAAAGCCAAUGUGUUAUAAUAGUUUAGAGGUGAGGAGUUUGAAAGAAAGUGCACCACAAUAGAAGGAAAAAUAUCAGUAGGAGGUGAUGAUAUUGAUGAUAACCUACCCAAUGUUGAAUUGUUAUCCCGAGAGGAUGGAAUGUAUGAAACAAGUAGUUGAUUGAAAAAUCUCAGUAUGAUGGGACAAGGAAUAGAAAGAGUAAGGAAUGUAGUAAGAAUCUAAGCUGGCUUGGAAAAGCUAUCCAAUUGGGGAAGCUCUCAAAGAGCACCGUACAAAGUAACUAGGAUAAAAACAAGCUCUCCAAGAGUGAGAGCAUAGACCUUUGGAAGGAAGGGAAGAAGACAUGCAUCAAGUCGAGGCAUGUUGAGUACACGCCUAAUUGACAAAGAUUGAUCACCUAGAAGGAGUGACCAGGAGAAAUGGUAUGCAUUAAUCACAUUGAACAUGUGGACUAGAAGAAGAUAAUAUGAUCCUUACAAAGUAAACAAGAACUCCCACCCUCCAUCCCUAAAAAUGGUAGGAAAACGAGUAUCCUAAAAGGCACGAAGAUCGAUAGAACACUUGACCUCAAUAUGAUGGCUCUGAAAAAAGGCAUAAAAAUGAUAAUGAGACUCCCGAGAAUAGAAACACUCAAUAGGAAAAUCAAAAUGGUCAAAAGGUCCCUAAAAAGCAAUGCCUUGAAUCGGCUCAGGUGAUCUAGGAGGAGUUACCUCUCAUCGAUGCCUACAACUAGACAUAACUAAGGGAAUGCUAAAGGACACAAAAAUUGAGAAAAAUAUGGAGAAAAUCCAAACCAUUAGAAAUGUCUUAAAAGAGGUAUCAAACAAUACAAUAAAGUCGAAAACUCAAAAACAUUCAAACUAACCUCAAAUGUCAAAUAGAUAGAGUCCCAAAGCGCUUUAGAGAUUAGGAAAGCAUUUGAAAUACAAAAAGGUGUGUUGGAUGGGUUUUCAUACCAAGACGUACUGCUGGAUGCAGAUUAGCGCUCGAAUGGGAUGCUUGAUGGAUGUAUCGUUGGAUGUAACUUAGAGGGCUUAAGAGAUAGAGCUUAGAGGGCUUAAGCGGUGGAGCCGCUAGAUGAGACUUGAGCAUUGGAUGCAACACUCAAGCAACUAUAGCCUAAUUUCAAUUCUAAUAAAUGAUAGAAUAUUCAACUAACUAACUUAAAGAGAAGGAUUGUCACAAAAUGAAGGAACUUUUAACACAUUAAUCAAAGUAAGCAUAUAAUUAAGUUCAUAAGCUUUUAACAUUGGCUCAAUCAGUAAUAAAUUAAGUUACUUCAAAUAGUACAUAUAAAUUCAUCAAGAAUAAAGUUUCAAGUUCAUAGGUUAGAGUUAAUCAUAAUCUUAAAUUGGAAAACCCAAUGCAUAACCAUCAAUGUAGAAGAUAGUCAACAUAGAAACAUAAGCAUUGAUGUUCAAGGGAAUACGACUUACUAUUUAGUUCUAUAUUUUGAAAUUGAUCACUUAGAAGAGAUCCAGUCAUGCCUUUGGUCAAAUUAAAAAACACAUCAAGUCAAUUUGAAUUAAGAUCAUCGAAUUUCUAUUCAACACAGCCUCGUUGAUCUACAUUAAACAUAACUUGACUCUCCCUUAAUUUGAUAUCAUUUUUUUUUUUUUCGUUUGAAAGUGGAGGCAUUGUAUACCAUGAUUAAUAUUGAUUUUUAUUUUUAUUUUCAUUCAUGGUUGCCUUUGUAUCCUGAUUACUACCGAAAAGUGCUAUUUUGUAGACCUAAUUAUAAGGGUUUUAAUCACCUUUGAGUAGUAAUCAUAUUCAUUUAACCCAAUUAAUUCAUUAAGCUCCUUAGUAAUUAGUUCUAACCAUUUUUAGUGGCAAGUUUACAUGUUUUUCAUCAGCUUAUGAACCAAUUCAAGCAUGCCAAUUGAUGGAGGAGCUACUUGGGCGAGUUAAGCAAGGAUUUUGGACGUUUACAAGCUUGAAUUUCAAGUGGAAACACGAGCACAAGCAAUGGGAACACCAUUUUGCAAGGGGAGGCAAUUCACCUUGCCAAUUGACCAAUUUCUCAAGGUGAAUUUCACCUUGCCAAAAUUUCGCAAGGGGAUUUUCCUCAUGGUGCGAAAUUUGGCCAUUUUGCACCAUGAAGAACCACCUUGUGAAAUUUCGCAAGGUGGCUUUUCACCUUGCGAAAUUUGGACCUUUCAUCUUCCCCCUUUGCGAAAUGCCUUUGAAAUCCCCUGUUUUGAGACACUGUUGAUGAUAUUCCACUGCCGGUUCUCCAAGAUAUUUCGCUUGACUUUUAGCUUUGUAAAUACCUAUUUUACCCUUGUAAUCAACCAAUGAAAAGGUUUCUUUUGUAAUAGCUCUUGUAAUUUAGCUUUUUGUUGUCUUUAAAUAGAGGUGAAGAGCCUCAAACACGACCAUCUUGUAACCUGUAACUUUAUAAGUGAUAAGAGCACUUUUGUUCAUACGCUUCUUUUCUCUUUUCUUUCUCAUUUUCUUAGUAGCCAAACAUUCUUGGAGGAUGAAAUCCCCAAGGAUGAGAGGCUAAAACCUUUUAGUUUCUUGAAGUAAUGGAUGCCAUGUGAAGCUCCCGUGUCAGGAUGGAGAUUUCCAAGCCAUAAAUGUAAGUAGUUGAGCGUCAUAAAUGUUUUCAUUCAAAGUAAAGCUUUUAAUCCCUUUGACUUGCUUUGAAUGGCCAAUACUUGAUAACCUUUUGGUCUCAGUGGAUUCUUAUUGUUAGAUCCACUGAUGUUCAUUAGUUAUCUCCUACGAGCCAUUGUAUUGCAAGUCGAGGAGAUGACCUAUACCAAUAAAAGAGCAUUUAUGAGGUUCAACUACCCUUUUUGUAAGUUUUCAAGGACUAAAACUCAGUUGUUAAACUCAUACCGGUUCGGGAAGUAAGCAUCACCUUAGUUGCUUCCCCAACUCGAGGUGAAGAGUCCCAAAAUCUCCAUUUUUACACAGUGAGUUAAGCAUGGCUAUCCAAAGCUUUGAGAAACUUCUUUUUUCAUCUUUUAGCCUAUUUUCAUGUUAGUUUAGUUUACAACACCUUCAUCUUUUUAUGUUUUCAUCUUAACCUAAUUUUUAUUAAGAAAAGUUCACUCCAUCCUCCGAACUUCACCAGUUAAAGUAAAAACCCUUCCCAGUGUUCGAUCCUAGAGCCACUAUGCUGUAGUAGCUUUGCUACUUUAGUGUAAGGACCUUAGGUAUAAAUUUUGUUGAUACCCUUACAUGCCAAGCUACCAAGAGUCGGGUUAUCAAAUGGCGCCGUUGUCGGGUUCUAUAGGAGGUUUAUAAAGGAUUUUUCCAAGAUUGCCAAACCUCUUUGUGAAUUAUUGGUGAAGGAUGCCAAGUUUGAGUGGGAUGAUAAAUGUCAAAGGAGUUUUGAGCUUCUUAAGCAAUUCUUGACAUCAGCGCCCAUUGUGAGAGCACCAAAUUGGGAGUUGCCAUUUGAAGUGAUGUGUGAUUCAAGUGAUUAUGCCAUUGGGGCUGUUUUGGGACAAAGAGAAGAUGGUAAACCUUAUGUGAUCUACUAUGCAAGCAAGUCUUUGAAUGAUGCUCAAAGGAAUUACACCACCACUGAGAAGGAAUUACUUGUUGUGGUGUAUGCUUUGGAUAAGUUCAGAGCUUAUUUGAUAGGGUCUUCCAUUGUGGUAUUCACGGAUCAUUCAGCUUUAAAGUAUUUGCUAACCAAGCAAGAUGCCAAGGCUAGGUUGAUUAGGUGGAUACUUUUGCUUCAAGAGUUCAACCUCCAGAUCAGAGAUAAGAAAGGUGUUGAGAAUGUGGUAGCUGACCACUUGUCAAGGCUCAACAUCGCUCAUGACACCCAUGGACUUCCCAUAAAUGAUGAUUUCCUUGAGGAAUCCUUGAUGCUUGUGGAGGAAGUGCCAUGGUUUGCACACAUUGCCAAUUACUUGGUCACGGCAGAAAUACCAAGUGAAUGGAGCUCUCAGGACAAGAAGAAUUUCUUUGCCAAGGUCCAUGCAUAUUAUUGGGAGGAGCCUUUUCUCUUCAAGUAUUGUGCGGACCAAAUUAUAAGGAAGUGUGUGCCUGAACAAGAGAAGCAUGGGAUCUUAUCUCAUUGCCAUGGGAAUGAAUGUGGAGGCCACUUUGCCUCUCAAAAGACGGCAAUGAGAGUUCUUCAAUCGGGCUUUUGGUGGCCCUCACUUUUUAAGGAUGCCCAUGAGGUAAGUAAAGGAUGUGAUAAGUGCCAAAGAUUAGGCAAGCUUUCAAGGAGAAACAUGAUGCCUUUGAACCCCAUCUUGAUAGUGGAUCUUUUUUAUGUUUGGGGCAUAGACUUCAUGGGACCUUUCCCUAUGUCUUUUGGCCACUCCUACAUCUUGGUAGGAGUUGAUUAUGUUUCAAAGUGGGUUGAAGCUAUACCCUAUAGAACCAAUGAUCACAAAGUGGUUCUCAAGUUCCUAAAAGAAACAUCUUCUCGAGGUUNNNNNNNNNNNNNNNNNNNNNNNNNNNNNNNNNNNNNNNNNNNNNNNNNNNNNNNNNNNNNNNNNNNNNNNNNNNNNNNNNNNNNNNNNNNNNNNNNNNNGGAUGCUCUAUUUUUCGUGCUUUUCAGUCUUAUUUCAGUAUUUAUACCAUGGCAUGGACACGGGGGGCAUCCUCUUCAACUAGUCAGCGUGGGGCCCACUCACAAAGAGGUGGUCGUUCUACACCAUCUCAGCCUGCCCAGACCCUAGUUCCCUCUACUCAGCACGGGUACGGGACCAGACGAUCAUCUGGGUCUUCCAGGGCACCAGUGCCACCCCCUGUGAGCAGUCCUCCACUUAAGAGGACUAGGAUUUCAAGACCAAGCGAGUCCUCCAGAGCCCCUCCAUCACCUCCAGCAUCUACUAUCCCAGGCCCUUCACACCUAGCAGAGGUCCUCAAGCGGCCUAUAAUAGCAGGGCCACCCCUCCCAGGCAACACGAAUAUCAGAGAUAAGCCAUUUCACGAUGAGAUCUGUAUGGAGCAUGAGACUCUCCGCCUAUUACCAGAGCUAGAGGAGUCAUACUGCCUUCUGCAGAGGUAUCACAUCGAGCCAUUUAUGACUCCUAGGUCCUUCUAUUACCCUAGGGUAGUCUUAGAUUUCUACCAGACUAUGACUACUAGAGACGUCCAGGACCCCAUAGCCAUUCAUUUUUUUAUUGAUGGCCAGCAUGGUAUUUUAGAGGCCCGAGAUAUAGCCGCCGCUAUGCAUUUUCCGCCUAUCCCUGAGGACCUUGGUUCCUUCUGGCAUUGGUCUCAGUAUUUAGAGCCCGACAUGGUGUCUACCUUAUCAAGAGGUAGAGUCACUGGUAGGACCAUUUUGAGGAGGGAGCUUCCUCCACGGAUGUUACUUAUCGAUUUGGUGCUCCGCACCAAUCUUUUUCCCCUCCAGCAUGUCAUCUAGAGGAGAGGUGCUAUCCUGGAUGCGCUUUACCGCAUCUCUGAGGGAUUCUACUUUGGACCCCACCAUCUAGUCAUGGCUGCUCUUACCUAUUUUGAGGAGAAGGUGCAUAGGAAGCGCCUACGCAGAGCUGGUACUAUUCCACUCUUAUUUCCGAGGUUGAUCUCUCAAGUCUUAGAGGAUAUGGGAUACCCUUCUCAGCCCCACCUAGAGUGUCGUCAUCAUUGUCGAGAGCUCUUUACCAGUGAGAGUUGGACCCAUUUCUUAGACCGCUCACCCAUGGACUAGGGUAUCCCUAGACCAUUAGCUCCCGCGCCUCCAGCUUCUCCAGCGUCUCCCGAUUCUCCAGCAGCCUUAGCACCUACAGUACAUACAUCACCAGAGCAGGACCCACAUACCACAGAGCCUUCUUCUUCAAUACCUGCUCCAGUGACUUGCACUACUGAUACUCUCACACCACUAGUCACUCCUGCUCCAGCCUAUGCUGAGUCUUCAGCCGGGCCAUCCAUCACUGUCUCCGUUACAGAGUUCAGAGCUCUCAUGUCGUCCUUUCACUCAUUGAGCGCCUCUCAGACCACCUUAGUCCGUGAGAUGCAGGCCAUCAGACGACAGAUGGAUGCCAUACAGACACAUCAGGCUCAGUAUAUAGCUAUUCAGGCUCAACAUAUAGCUAUCCUGGACCAGCACUCCGCCAUGCUCUCUCAGAUCCACCAUCACCUGGGCAUAUCACCUCUUCCACCUCACGAGCCACAUCCAAGAUUGGAUAUUUCUAUCUCCAUUUUGUAUAUGUUUUUUGUAUAUGAUACAUGUUUUAUAUUCUGAGAUUGUAUGUACCUCAUGCUUAUAUCUUGUACUCAACUCUCUCAGUUUAUAUAAGCAUCAUUUUUUGUAUCUUAUUUCCUCUCUCACGUUUCUUGUGGUUUUUGAAUCAUGUGGAUGCAUUCACACGCCUUGAAUACCACAUCACCAUAAGGUAUAUCAUUCAUUCCUCGUCUUUUUCGAUAGAAACAUUGGGGACAAUGUUCAUCUCGGUUGGGGGGAGAGUUGAGGAAGUAAGUAUUUCCUAUUUUAGUUAGUUAUUUUGUUGAUUGAGUAGUUUUUGCCCUUUUUCAAAUUUUUUUUUUUUUUUUUUUGUUUCAUUCUCUAUGGUUGUUAAAGAUAAUUUCUCAAAAUAAAAUAGGAUAAGUCGAGUUUUAACUUAAUUACUUAAGUCUUAGAGUUUGUUUUAUGCUUUCAAAGUUGAUAAUCUAUUGAAGCCCUCUUUGAUUUCGAACUUAUUUCUUCCAUUUCAAGCUUUACACACACCGUGCACAUUAGAUCCCGGAUAUAUGAUGUAAAACUUUCUCACCCUCUAAGCUUAGGAAAAUUUUGACUUGGUUCAUUACUUAACCUCUUUUUAAUAGUGUUGGGACACCUCAAAAAGACCAAUGAGUCUUAAAAAAAAAAAAAAAAAAAAAAGAAUAAGCUUCUAUUCUUUCCUCGAAACCUAAGCAUGAUCCGAAGGGGUGGCGAAAGCCUUUAAAACCCGAUGCCCUAAACCUUGAUUGGGAGUCAUCGAUCCUCUGCUUGCUACAUAGGUGAAUUGGUUAAGUUUAGCGAGUAAAAAGAAUUGUGAAUAAGAAGGUGCAUUCCUAACCUAUUAAGAGUUGGUUAAUUUUGCCAAAGUUCAAGAAAAGCUUAGGUUGGGGGGAGAGGAUAGUUGUACAUACUAUAUCCGGAAGCUAAUCUCAUUAACACUUAGCUCAUUAUGGAAGAGUUUGAUUCGGAACCUUGAGACUAGAGAUUCUUUUGAUACUUAAUUGCAUAAUCUCCACUCUUUGUACUUUUUGUUUAAGCUUUAGCUUUGACAACUCCUAUUGCAUUUUGAAUCUUCAUAUCUUUACUUCACCAUGUGAGAUGUGUUUUGAUAUCAGUCAUGCCACUCAAUUAUUUUUUGGAGUGAUUUGCAUGACCUCUUUUAUGUAUAUUAUUAUGUUUGCUUAGUUUUUAUCUCCUCCAUUGCUAAGGGACUAGCAAUGAGUCGGUUGGGGGGUGUGAUUACUACCAAAAAGUGCUAUUUUGUAGACCUAAUUAUAAGGGCUUUAAGCACCUUUGAGUAGUAAUCAUAUUCAUUUAACCUAAUUAAUUCAUUAAGCUCCUUAGUAAUUAGUUCUAACCAUUUUUAGUGGCAAGUUUACAUGUUUUUCAUCAGCUUAUGAACCAAUUCAAGCAUGCCAAUUGAUGGAGGAGCUACUUGGGCGAGUUAGGCAAGGAUUUUGGACGUUUACAGGCUUGAAUUUCAAGUGGAAACACGAGCACAAGCAAUGGGAACACCAUUUUGCAAGGGGAGGCAAUUCACCUUGCCAAAUUUCGCAAGGUGAAUUUCACCUUGCCAAAUUUUCGCAAGGGGAUUUUCCUCAUGGUACGAAAUUUGGCCAUUUCGCACCAUGAAGAAACCACCUUGCGAAAUUUCACAAGGUGGCUUUUCACCUUGCGAAAUUUGGACCUUUCAUCUCCCCCCUUUGCGAAAUGCCUUUGAAAUCCCCUGUUUUGAGACGCUGUUGAUGAUAUUCCACUGCUGGUUCUCCAAGAUAUUUUGCUUGACUUUUAGCUUUGUAAAUACCUAUUUUACCCUUGUAAUCAACCAAUGAAAAGGUUUCUUUUGUAAUAGCUCUUGUAAUUUAGCUUUUUAUUGUCUUUAAAUAGAAGUGAAGAGCCUCAGACACGAUCAUCUUGUAACCUGUAACUUUAUAAGUUAUAAGAGCACUUUUGUUCAUACGCUUCUUUUCUCUUUUCUUUCUCAUUUUCUUAGUAGCCAAACAUUCUUGGAGGAUGAAAUCCCCAAGGAUGAGAGGCUAAAACCUUUUAGUUUCUUGAAGUAAUGGAUGCCAUGUGAAGCUCCCGUGUCAGGAUGGAGAUUUCCAAGCCAUAAAUGUAAGUAGCUGAGCGUCAUAAAUGUUUUCAUUCAAAGUAAAGCUUUUAGUCCCUUUGACUUGCUUUGAAUGGCCAAUACUUGAUAACCUUUUGGUCUCAGUGGAUUCUUAUUGUUAGAUCCACUGACGUUCAUUAGUUAUCUCCUACGAACCAUUGUAUUGCAAGUCGAGGAGAUGACCUAUACCAAUAAAAGAGCAUUUAUGAGGUUCGACUACCCUUUUUGUAAGUUUUCAAGGACUAAAACUCAGUUGUUAAACUCAUACCGGUUCGGGAAGUAAGCAUCACCUUAGUUGCUUCCCCAACUCGAGGUGAAGAGUCCCAAAAUCUCCAUUUUUACACAGUGAGUUAAGCAUGGCUAUCCAAAGCUUUGAGAAACUUCUUUUUCCAUCUUUUAACCUAUUUUCAUGUUAGUUUAGUUUACAACACCUUCAUCUUUUUAUGUUUUCAUCUUAACCUAAUUUUUAUUAAGAAAAGUUCACUCCAUCCUCCGAACUUCACCAGUUAAAGUAAAAACCCUUCCCAGUGUUCGAUCCUAGAGCCACUAUGCUAUAGUAGCUUUGCUAAUUUAGUGUAAGGACCUUAGGUAUAAAUUUUAUUGAUACCCUUACAUGCCAAGCUACCAAGAGUCGGGUUAUCAAAUCCACUUUAGGGGUGUUUCCAAAUGUUGUAAAUGAAUAUUUUACAUUUAAGCGCAUGAAUCUUGGAGAAGGUAUAUGAGUGUUAAGCUUAACCAAUGAUUCAAUAUUUUGCACUGACUCACUUGAGGAAACAAAUGUAAUGAUCACAUGCAAACAAGGUAUGUGGAUAAUAAGAUUUGAUCAUGAUGAUGGAUCCUUCCAAAGCAAUCAAAGUGUACUCUAUGAUUUUAACUUAAGAAGUCUUCCUUUUGAUUAAGUACAAGAUGUAACUAAUAUUGAAUUUUCCACAUACAAAGACAUUUAAUUAUCAUAAAUCAAUACAUCAAUAGUGAUCAACAAAUAUCUAUGAUUCCAGCCACAUCAAAUCUUGUAGAUAUAGUAUAUUUCUCUAAAUCACAAAAUCGAGGUAUUACAAAUCAUGCUAAUAUAUCAAGUAAAUAAACAAAAAAAUCAUAAGCCCAAAGUAAAAUAAGGUUAAAGGAAACAAAAAAAGAUAUAAAAACUAAGCUCAAAACCUUUGAAGCCUAUUUCUAAGAUAAUCAAUCGAUUAAGCAUAUGCCUAAAGAUUUCCUAAGGUACUCAAGCAUAAGAAAAUCUAAGGGUUUGGUAAGACUAUCUGCCAAUUGAUUUCAAUGUGUUUAGUACGGGAAUGAAGAACAAAAUUCUUUAAGAUAUUUAUUGCACUAGAGUUGUAUUAGGACAUUGAGUAUUGUUUAUAUGUUGGAAAUUUUGUUCUAAUUUAUAUUUGGCCAUAGAAGAUCAAGGGUUGUUGUUUGUCCAACUGGGAAGUCAUAGGUAUAUCUAAGAAGGUUUGGAUUGUGACAUAUAAAAAGCUUAUUUAAGGUAUAAAAGGUAGGUACCAUUUUUUAGAUUAAAUUUAAAAAAAAAAUAAUUUCUCAAAAAGCAGGGGACGCUCAAGCUGUUAGAGUGCUCAAGCAAUUAAUCCCACUCAAGUGGUCUAAGUCCACUCAAGUGGUCAUGACAGUCAUGUCGAGUUUAGAAACAUAUUCUGAAUGAAUUUUAAUCUAACUCUAAUUUGGAAACUUGUGAUACCAAAAUCCUUAUGGAUUUUGCCUAUAAAUACCUCCCUUGUAACCCUUUAAGGCUAAGAGAUAGAAGAUUAGAAAGAGCAUAGAGAUCUUAGAGUUGUUGUGCACCUCUUAUUCUUUAGAAGUACUCUUUGAGGAGAUAGCCUAAUUUUCCACACCAUUCUCAUUCUCUCAUUCGAUAAUUUGAAUUGUUGGUUGAACAUCGUAUUCUCUUUAGAGGGAUCGAAAGAUCUACUAGAGAGCAACAAGUAGUUGUUGUAUCAUGCACGUGGAUCAAGUUGAGGUAUUGGAGAGUAAGCCUCUAGGGUAAAGUGACUAGUUAAAUAUAUGUUACUUGAUUUCAAAUAGUGGAUUUCAAUUGAUAGGUUUUAGACCUUGUGGUUUUUUUAUCUCCAUAGUUUGUGGGGGUUUUCCACGCAAAAAUCUUGUGUGUCAUUAUCUAUCUCUUUAUAUUUGAUACAAUGUUUGAAUUGCCUAGAAUAGGUUAAUUUGUUUAACCUAAUAUCUUACAAGGCUAUUCUAAAAGAUUUUUAUAUAUAUAUAUAUAUAUAUUCCUCCAUAUAUUCUAGUUGAAGAUAUUGAAUAAAUUAGAUUGAUUGAUUGGUUAUUGAGUUUGUUGAAUUGGUUAUCUUGUUGUGGUUAUACCUAUAAUGAAUUAUUGAUUUGUUGAGAUUAUUGUUGACUUUGUUAGGUUGGUUAUUCUUAUGGUUAUUGUUAUCCCUAACAUUCUUCAACAUAGCUUAUUAAUCUUUGGAUAUCAAUUAACCAUAAAAAUAAGACUUUUAUUGAGGUGAAAUCCUUUUCGAAUAUCCAAAUUAUCCUUAUGAUAUCUUGGGAUAAGAAAAGUGAUUAUAAUUCACAAAUACUGAUUAAAAAUUUUAAAUUCCACCCCCCUCCGAGUGUUCUCUAUUGGACUUUCGGUAAUUCAAGAAGUAUUAAUAGCAAUACCUUUUUUUUUAAUUAGUAUCAAAGUAGGAUAAAAAAUCGAUUCAUAUCUUAUUGAUUAAAAAAUCAAUUUUAUUAUUUAUAUUGUUUAAAAAUCAAAUUUUUAUUAAUCAUAUAGGAUAAAAAUUAAAUUUUUAUUAAUCCUGUAAGUUCGAUAUGGAGCAAUUUAAAAGUGGUGCUUCUUUCAAUAGUCUACCCUAUUUUGAUGGGAAUAAUUACUCCCAUUAGAAAGUACAUAUGAUGUUUUUCCUUCAAAAUGCACAGUGAAAGGGUAUGAAACUUAGUUGAAUAUGGUUGGAGACCACCAUUAAUCCUUGAUGCUCAAGGAAGAUCAACAAGAGUGUUGGGAACCUUGGAUUACUUCGUUCCCAUGCCCUAGAUCUCAUAGGGUGCAUGCAUCCAUCAUUAAGGCUCUCUAGAUCUAACACAAUGAAAAAUAAUGGUUUAUACAUAGAUCUAGAUGUUCCCAGAUCAAUUCCUUAUAGUGAAGAACAUGCUUAGAAAAACUGAAGAAUCUUUCCUCAUGUUGCUACCCAUGUGCACGUCCUAUGUUAUUCUCAUGCACGUGGCCUAUGUGCAUUCUGUGCAAUUCUCGUGCAUACGGCCUGUGUGAUUCUAGUGGAUUUCUCAUACACCUAAGAUUUUCCGCUCGAUGACUCUUCCUUAUGUCUAGGCACCAAGAUGGUGGAGAUCUCGAAGGUGAAGGCUAUGGUUUUUUCUUUGGAUUGAAAAAGAAGAAUGACAAGACAUAGAAACCCUAACCCCUAAAGGGAUAUUUAUGGGCUUCCUACAUGGCUUAAGUGACUUAAGCCCACCAUGGGCUUGGGUCACUUUAUCUAACCCAAAAAGGUUGUUAAUUGAUUAAUUAACCAUACAAGGUCAUAAUUAAUCAAUUAGCCUAGUCCAAAGAUAUCAUUCAAUUAUCAUUGUGCAACCUUGCGUCAUUACCAAAACACCCUUCUGCACAAAAGUGAACUACAAACCCAUCCAACUAUCAUAAACCAAGUCAUCAAGGAAUAUGAGCUUAGAACGGGGACCACUAGGACUUAUAAGAGUACUAACUUCUUCAAAAUCAGAUUCUAAAAUUGACACAAUAUUCCACUAUAGAGAGUCAAUUGCUGAUUACUACUGAAAAAGUGUUAUUUUGUAGCUUGUAAUUAACUCUUUUAAACACUCUUGAGUAAUAAUUAUUACCUUUUAACUCAAUUGACAUGUUAAGGACCCUUGCAAUCGUUUCUAAUCAAAUUGUGUUAAGUUUUGGUGUUUUUGAUAGCUUUUAGUUACACCAAAGCAAUCCAAGAAUGAGGGAGAGCUGUAUAUAGUUCAUGGAAAAGCUUUUGGAAGCUCAAAUUCAUGAAGAACCAAGCUUUGGAGCUCUGUAUCCCUUUGCCAAAGUCGUUCAAAGUAUGCAAGGAAAGAGUAAUGGAGAGAGGAAAACAGAGUAAGGAAAAUAGAGGACAGCAGCUACAGCUUUCCUUCGCACUUUUGGAGCACUUUCCAAAGUCUAUUUUCUACAUACUAUAUACCAUUUCAAAUCUCAGGAAGUCAAGAAUCCAACGCUUUAAACCGUGUACUAUUUGGAGCUGAAAUGAAGGAGAUAUGGCCUUCGGAAGACAACUGCAUCAAGCUGAGGGACAAUUUCGCACCUUGCGAAAUUGAAACUUCAACGUGCGAAAUUUAAAGUGGAUGGCAGCUGUGUAGUCGCGGUGAAGCCCAGCAUUCGAAGUUGAUUUUGCAACUUGUGAACUUGGAUCUCAACAUGCAAAAGUGGAUUCUAAGUUGCGAAAUCAACUUGCGAAAUUUUCGCAAAUCACCAUGCAACGUGCGAAACUAGGAUAUUUGUGCCGACUCUUUUUCUUCUGAUAUUUUUGUGUCUAAAUUUCCAUUUUCUCCUUGUAUUCAGCCACUCAUGUAAUUCCUUAGCUAGGAAGUAUCCAAGUAAUGGUAAAUUACCUUCCUAUAUAAACUCUCUUGUAAACACUAAAAAAGCACUCUCGGGGAGUUUUUUCCAGGAGACCAACUUAUGUAUAUUUUACACUUAGUGAAAUACAGAGAUCUUUUUUGCUUUCUUUUUCUCUCUAUUAUUUUCUUUUUCUUGGAAGCCAAACAACCUCUGAGGAUAUUUUCCCAGAGGAUGAGAGGCUAAACUUUUGGUUUCUUGGAGUGAAGGAAGCUAGGUGAAAAGUCUAGAUGCUAAAGUGGAAAACUCUCGUGCAUUAAAUACAGGUAGUUGGAGUUCAUAAAUGGCUUUUAAAUCUAAAGUUUUUCUUUAAAUCCCUUAGAACCACUUUGAAUGGCCAAUACAUGGUAAGCUUUAGGUCUCUAUGGAUACUUAUUGCUCGAUCCACAUCAGACAAUUAGUUAUCAUAUACGAGCCAUUAGAAAGUAGCUCAAGAUGAAGACCCAUAGUGUCUACAGCCAUUAAUGGAACUUGACUACCAUUUCUAUUGACUUUUUAUGGAUUAAAUCUUCAUUGUUAAACCUAUACCGGUUGGGGAAACAACAAUCCUUUAUGUUGUUGUCCCCAAUACGAGAAGAAAAAUCCGGAAUUUCCCACUUUGCCUUCUGAACUUGAUCCUAGCAACCUCUAGCUCCGGGAGACUUUCUUUCUUUCAUUUCUACCUAGUUCUAUAUUAGUUUAGUUCCAAACACCACUUUCAAAACAAAUUUUAUUUUCUUUUAAACUUUAAGUUUUUGACAAAGGAAAUCAUCAGACUCAAUUUCUAAUCUUGAGUCUAUCACUAGUAGAAUGAAAACCCAACCCUGAGUUUGACCCUAGAGCUGCUAUACUAUAGUAGCUUUGCUAUGCCAGUAUAAGGUCAUAGGAUUUAUAAAUAUUUUUGAUUAAAAUACUCAACUGGGCAUGAAUCAAUUGCACUCCAGUACCCUAUGUUAUAAUGAGACACCAAGUGCUUGGAUCUAUGAUCUUACUAUCCAUUGCAUGAAGACUCCCCAUGAACUAGUGUUUGUAAUCUAACAAGGUAGUGUUAUCACCUAUCAAAUCCUUGAGUUACAAAUCCUACUUAUUAUGUGAUCAAUUGACAUACUUUAACUCCAAGGAGUAUAUGUCAAAUUCCACAGAAGGAAUUACUAUGGUCAUAGAUUUCAUGAUUACAUGUACUUUGGAUCACCUAAGGGGACACACUAUCUCAAUCCCAUGAGAGAUCAUAGUGCUUCUAUUGAGAACACCUAUUGCUACCAGCCUCCAUCGACAAUGACCUGAUCCAUAGGGAUAUUUGACUAGUUUAAGGUCUCAUCAAUAGGUUAAAGCCUCUUAUUCAUUUUAGCACAUACUCAAUAUCCUCUCAAGAUUGAGAGUCCAUGCAGUAUAGUAGCUUAGUGAAUCAUGACAAUUGAUAGCCUUGCGUUAUGAUUCACCGUAAGUCCUAUCCAGUGUGCAUCACAUACACUAGUGCACUCACCAUGGAAAACCCAUCCUUACAACCAAGAAAAGUCAUCUCUCCAAUUAGGAGGUGGUACACUACAAUCUCUAUUGGAUUGCUGAAAUCCAUGAAUCAACUGUUAAAUGUAAGAGACAGGCUAAAUGCUAAAAUCAUUGUUAACACACCAAAAGGAUAACAAUGAGACAAUUAAGUUUAACUUUGUUACAUCAUGUCUUAUUUUUAGGGGCUUAAUUCUAAAAAACUCCCACUAGUCUCAAAAGUAGACCGAGUACUUCAGAAAGAAUCUACUCUACAGUCACAUCACCUCUUUCUCCUAUCUCAUAACAAAGUAUCACUUACUCUCUAUGUGUUUUCUCUUCUAAUAGUACUUUAGUUCUUUAGACCAUGCCAUCGUCACACUAUUAUUACAUAACAGGAUCUUAGACGAUAUAUCCAAGGAAACUACCUAUAAGCCAAAAGGCUUCCUUUGUUUCUAUAGAAACAACAAAAAACCACUUAGAGUCCUUAUCAAACUAAAGUCCAAUUUCCCUAUAUGAAAGGAGUACCUGUUCAUUGCAAAAACUCACAAACAUAUAAACCCCCAUUCCCCAAAGAAACUAGAGUAUAUGUUUGACAUCCACCUAAAGCUCUAAUCAAGAAAUGGACUAAUAUCCAUUCAUUAUUCCUAUAGCAAAGCAAAUAUCUGGUCCAAUACAUAGCAUUGCAUACUUAAGGCUAUCCAUUGCAGAGGCAUUGGAUAUCACCUUAAUGCGAUCUCUCUCCAUAGAUGUCUAAGGACAUUGAUUUUAAGAAAGACAACUCCAAAUCCAAAUAGUAAUAAAAUCUUCUUGAAGUUUUGCAUCAUAUACUUGACCAAAUGAUCAUCUAUGUAGACGAUAUGACAUAAUUUUCCUAUUUUUGUAGUCCUAAAGGACCUUAAUCCCGGGAACAUAUUGUGUUUUCCUUUAAUUUUUCAUCUAGAACUGAGUAGAUUACCAGAUCUUGAUUGAUGACAAUAUCCCUACAUCAUAUCUGAUUCAUGCCUAAUUGGUGUCUCAACUGAUUCGUGUCCAGCUGGUGCUCCUUGAUUGAGGGAGUAAUCAACAAAAUUUAUAACCUAUUACACCAUAUACUAGGGUAGCAAAGACAAAGCUACUAUAGCAUAGUGGCUCUAGGAUCGUUCACUGGGAAGGAUUAGCAAAUUAUCAAUGAUACCAAUUCACAGUGAAUUGGUAUUGUUUCAUUUCAAGGUUAGUUCAAGAAAUAAAAUACAAACUUUGAUUGGCAAAGAUUUAAAUUUAAACUAACUAUAAAACAAGUAAUGGGAAUAACUUAGGAGGAAAAACAUUCCUUGGAGGGUCAGGUUCACUGGGGUGGUUCCUCAUGCAAAAGACAUAGCUCCGGUCAGUUGGUUCAUUUCCUUGCGUUAGAGAAUCAACAUAUAGUCAAUUCUCUAAUCGGUGUUGUACAGAUACAUCCUGUAAUUAGAUUUCAGCUUUAAUUCCCUCUCACUGAUGCAACUUGCAAUGGUUCAUGCCUCUCACGAGCACUUACCCUUCAAGAUGAUCUUUAACCUUGGACUUCCCUUCAAAAGCUCGCAAGAGAUAACUAAUGGAUGUCUCCUUGGAGUCCAAAAGCUUACCAAGUGUUGGCAAUUCUAGAAAAUCCUACCUUCAAGUCACCUCCUAGAGGCUCGCAAGGGGUAAACUAGUGCAUCUCCAUGGUUGGAAAUCACUUGCCUUACCAAGUGUUGGCCCAGGUGACUCUAAGGUGUUUUAAGUUAACUAAAAACAUAGAAAUCACUAAAGGAUUUCACUUCCUCUUCAUUCAUGGCUGAAACCACAUAGCUUUGCAUUCUUGCACUUGGAACCUUCCCCGGCAACCUUAGCUCCAAGGAACUAAAGGUUUAGUUACUCAUUCUCUGGGGAAAAUUCCUCAGAGAGUGCAUAACUUAGUAAGAAAUAAAAAAUACAAAGUGAGAAGGUAAGGCAAAACAAAGGACCUGAACUUUACUUGCUUUUUCAAAACUUUACAAAAGGUCUCCUCUUUGAGAACAGGCUCUCGAGAGGUUUAAAUAUGAACAUAAUACAAAACUAAUUAUUACAUAGAUAUUUACUCUUUUUACUAACUUAAAAGCUAAGGAAUCUUGUAAUUGGUGGCUUACAAGGAGUAUUUUGGGAUUUAGACAACAAAAAUCUGAUGGAAAAUAUCUCCCAAUGUCGGUAGCAAACAUCGGGAAGCACUACGGACCAUUUCGCAAGAGAAAAUGAUGUCUGCGAGAUUUCGCAAACACUCAAAAAGGGCUGCGAAAUCACUUCGCAGCAAAAGGCUAUUCUCGCAGGGCUGCGAAAUCACUUCGCAGCAAAAGGCUAUUCUCGCAGGGCUACGAAGUUGGCUUCCAUCUUGAGGUUCUCAGCUUCCAACUUGUCGCAUAUAUCGGGCAACUUCAGGAGGAAAUCCACCACACUGUACAAAAAGGCUGCGAAAUCACUUCGCAACAAAAGGGUGAUUUCGCAACACUUUGCAAAAUGCUUCCUUCAGCUUAGAGUGAUUGACUUGCAAUGGCUGUAACUUCUUCGUUUCAACUCCGAUUUGCACACCAUUUGAAGCAUUGGAUUGUUGACUUCCUGAUCUUUGAAAUGGUAUAUAGCAUGCAUCAAUUGGACUUCAAAAAUUGCUCCAAAAGUGGCUGCCACGACUUUCAUCAAGAAUAUGCUUCAUGGCAGAUUCUCUUUACUUUUUCUCCUUGCAUUCCGGAUCAACUCUUGGAAAAGGGCUUCAAAGCCUUAGUUCAAGAUUCCACAUAACUCUCCUCAAUCUUGGAUUGCUUUGGUGAUCAAAUUACUAACAAAAACACCAAAACUUAACACAAUUUAAUUAGAAACGAUUGCAAGGGUCCUUAUCAUGCCAAUUGAGUUAAAAGGCCAAAACUACUACUCAAAAGUGUUUAAAAGGAUUAAUUACAAGCUAUCAAAUAGCACUUUUUGAGUAGUAAUCACUCCCCCCAACUGACAUAUUGCUAGUCCCUUAGCAAUGAAGGAGAGAAAAAUAAAAAUAAAAAUUACUAUAAUUUACAACAUCAUGCUGAAAAACAAUUUUCAAGUGGCAUGAUAAUCUAACUCUCACAUGGAACAUUAAAGAAAUACAAACCCAAAUUUCAACAAGAGUUAUAACAAACUAUGCUAAACACUGUCAAUUAAGGGAAUGCAUUAUGCAAACUGAAGUUUUAAAAUCAUUUCCACUUUCAAAGAACCAACUUUAAUCUUCCACAAAAAUCUAUGUGUAUUGGUUCCUUAGCUUCCGAAAAUAAUAUGUUAAACUAAUCUCUCCCCCCAACCUAUCUCUUUUCAACACUUAGCAAACUGACCAAAAUCAAUAAGAAAAGAACACACUUUCUUUCUUCUUUUUUUUUUUUUUUUUUUUUUUUUUAAGGAGGCUUAAUUGGGUACUCUUUCUGAAUUGUCCAUGUAAUGGGGGUCCAUCGAUGACUCCCAACCAAUUAAGGUUUAGGGCAUCAAGCUUUAAGGAUCUUUCAACCACUAACUCCUCGGAUUUUUCCCCGGACUUUUGAGAAUGAAUUUCUAAUACCCAAGCACCUACCAUAUGCUGACUCUACCUAUUCACCCUUGUAAUGAGCAUUGAGGUCGGUGACUCCCAACCUAUUAAGGCUUAGGGCACCAGGCUUUAAAGAUUUUCACCAUAUACCCCUCAGACCUUGCUCGGGUUUCAAGGCAAGCAAACAACUUUCUUUCUUUAUUUCAAAGGCUCAUUGGCCUUUCAUAAGGUGUCUCAACUUUAUCAAAUGAGGUCAAACGUACCAAGUCCCAAAAUUAUCCUAAGUCAAGAGGGAAAUAGCUUUUCAUCUUAUAAUCGGAAUCUAUUGUGCAUAGUGUAUGAAUAGCUUAAAGUGGAAGAACUAAAUUCAAUUUCAAUAGAAGCUUCAACAAUUGAACCACUUUAGUGAGCAUAAUCCAUACUCUAAGUCAAGUGAAAAGCAACAGUUCAAUUUCUCUUAUUUUAAUUGGAAAAAUUUUCCUUAAAAUCCAUAGAGAAUAGAGUAAAAAGAGUAAAAAGCAAAAACUACAACUGAUUUACCAAUAUAAUUGUAUUACCAAAACGACUUAGCAUACUUCCUUUAACUUAGCAUACUUCCUUCCUCAUUUUCUCCCCCCCCCCCCAACCGAAUUGAGCAUUGUCCUCAAUGUGAUAUGAGUGAUUGCAAUUAAAGGGAGGAAGUGGUACCUCCUGAGUGAUAUCAAUUUCGAAUACUGAUUGGAGAAACCACAUGUUUCAAAAAGAAUAAAAGAUGUGAGAAAAGGAAAUAAGAAUAAAUUAAUGCUAAAGGUUAACAAAAAAAAUAUUAAACUUGUAUUGCUUUGAAUCCAUUUGAGUACAAUGAAAAAGAAAGGCAAUACAAGCAAUCCCAAAUAUGGUACCAAAAUAAUGGGAUUUCUUACAAACUAAAAAAUGAAAUACAUAAAAAAACAUAGGCAGUAUAUAUAUAUAUUAAUCUAAUGAGUGGGUGGUGCUGGGGCUAGGCAGAUGGGUCUGCCUCUUCAGUAGCUGCUCCAUAUGGGGCCUAAGGCUCUAUGGGAUGAGAGUGUGGCACUGUUGUGGUAGAGGUGGAGGGCUCAGCAGCUGGUGGCAGAUCAAAAUGAUGUUGGAGCUGCCUUAAGAUGGCAGUGUGCUGAGCCUGGGUGGCCAACAUCUGCUCUUGGCAUGCUCGAAUGGCUGCCAUCUCAUGAGCAAGGCUGCUCUGAGAUGCUGUGAGGGUCUCCAAUGAACGGCAUAACUCUCUGUAUUCAGAAAUGGGAAUGGCCAUCCUUGGUUCAGCUGAAGUGGAUGGCUGAGAUGAAGCUGGAGUAACUGGUGGAGCUCUGGGAAUGGCAGGAGCAGCAAUAGGUAUACCCUCAGGUAUAUGUCGUGGGAAUGCUCUCCUAGCAGCUGGCUGUGGGCGCUCUGGCUGGUCAACUCUAUAAGUUGUCAUGUUGUUCCAUUUUUCGAGAGUAAAUACCUCUCGGCAAAUGCGCUUGCGCUCCAACUGAGGCUCUGUAGGAUACCCCAGGUGCUCCAGAAUUUGGCACAGCAGCCUUGGAAAGAGAAGAGGAAUGGCAUCAGCUCUCUGCAACUUCUUUUUAUGUACCUUCUCUUCGAAAUAGAGAAGGGCUGCCAUAAUUAGAUGGUGAAGGCCGAAGAAAUAUCCCUCAGACAUCUUGAACAGGGCUUCUAACAGGACUCCUCUCCUUUGAGUCCAAUGUUGUAGUGGGUAGAGGUUAUGACGCAAAAAUGCAUCAAUAAGAAACAUGAUUGAAGGAAGCUCCCCCCUCAACAGAUGUGGUCGUGUGGAAGCUCCUCUAGAUAGGAUAUGCACCAUUUCCAGCUCAGUGGGACUGGUCCACACUCUAAAAUCCUCAAAAUGAGUUGGCUCGUAUGGUAUAUGCAAGGCCUCAGCUAUAUGGCGAGCUCCCAAUAUGCCACGCCUCCCAUCAAUGGUAAAAUGAAUUAGAGUUGGAUCCCUGACCUGUUUGGUAGUCAUGGAUUGAUAAAAAUCCAUGGCUACUCUGGGGUAGAAAAAGUCUCUUGGGGUCAGCAGGUGCUCCAUAUGGUAUCUUCGCAGCAGGUGGAAUGACUGUGCAAGCUCCGGCCGCAAUUGGAAUGUAGCUAUGUCAAAGCACAGCUCGGAGUGGAAUGGCUGAGCUCUACAGUCCAAAUUCCCCUCAAUUGGAGGCUGAGUCAACAUUGGCCGCCUGAUUACUGCUUCAGGGGCUAUCUCAGAUGGAUUUUGGGGCUCGGGAAGUGGUGGCUGAGGCUCCUGAGGCUCUGCUGGCGGCGCCGGAGAUGGAACUGGCAAGGGUUCUGGGGACUGCUCCGUCAAGUCAAUAGGCUCUGAGCUUUCAACCCUGGCUCUCUUUUGCAGUGGCCGACCCCCUGACCUGGUGAGAUAACGCCUCGCCGGAGGCUUUGGCGGCGCGGGCUUCAACGGAGGGGAAACUGUUUUUAGCCGCGGAGGCUCAGAAAUGGGACCUGGAACGGGCUCCUCUCGUGGGACUUUCUUGCGGCUUGAAGGAGAGGAAGACUUGGCCCCUCUGGUUCGCGCCAUUUCGGGUUGCCGAAAUUUGGCCGGAAUUGAUGACCGGAGAAGAUGAACGGAGGUUUGUGCGGUGUCGGGCUCGAGGAAGGAGAUGAAUAGUCUGCGAGAAUGGCGCGCUCUAUUUUUGAAACCCUUUCGCAGCUCAAAUGACCGCUAUAUAUAAAAAUAACGGAAGAUUAAGGGUCAUUUUGAGUUUCGCAGAAAAAGGCCAAUUUCGCAGCAAAAAUCCAUUUUCGCAGCCACUUCGCAAUCCGUUUUGCAGCUGCGAAUUGAGUGUCACUGUGCUGCGAAGUGGCACACGUGUGCCAAAAUCGCUUUCGCAAUUGCGAAAUACCCUGCGGGAUGGAACUUUGGUUGCGAAAUCAGGGAUUUUCACGCUUUAUCGCUUCGCAGCCGUUUCGCAGCUGCGAAUUGGGGGCUCCUGUGUUGCGAAGUGGCACUCGUGUGCCAAACUUGGCUUCGCAGCUUCGAAAAUUUUCGCAGAGGAGAAAAUAAAGCUGCGAAAUGGCUUCGCAACGAAGUGCUAAUUUCGUAGAGGUUGCGAAAUCUCGCAGACCCCUGUUUUUCCUCUGUUUGCACUCUGUUUUUGGUCCGAUUUCGCUCCGAUUUCUUCCUUUGAAUUUCUUUGCAUUUUCUUCCACCUGGGAUCAUUCAAAAAGAUUAAAACACACAUAAAAACAUGAUUUAAGAUCAAAAACUAAGAUCAAAAGUAUGGAAAAAACUUGGAAAAUUACAAAAUUUACACAAAAUUUUGGACUAUGGUAAAACCACGUCCACUAAACCCCUCUCUACUUAGGCUUUUUGUGGCUCAAGGAGGUUGAUUUCCCCCUUUUCUGGUUUGAAUGGCUCCAUGAACGGCUUGAGACGAUAUCCAUUGACUCUAAAGGUGUCUUUGCCAUUGGAAUUCAAUAAUUCCACCACUCCAUUGGCAUAUACUCGGUGAAUAAUAAACGGGCCUAUCCACCUUGACUUGAGCUUCCCAGGAAAGAUAUGGAGUCUUGUGUCAUACAGUAAAACUCUUUGCCCUUUUUGAAAUUCCUUGUUGGAGAUUAGUUGAUCAUGCCACUUCUUCAUCCUCUGUUUUGCAACUUUGGAAUUGAUAUAAGCAUCAUUUCUUAAUUCCUCCAUCUCAUUAAGGUCUAGAUAUCUCUUUUCUCCGGCUCUGAUCAAGUCCAUGUUCAGCUUCUUUAUUGCCCACCAAGCUUUGUAUUCAACUUCCACAGGGAGAUGACAUGCUUUGCCAUAGACAAGACGAUAGGGAGACAUGCCAAGAAUAGUCUUAUAAGCUGUUCUAUAUGCCCACAAUGAAUCAUGAAGCCUAAUAGACCAAUCUUUUCUGCUGGAAUUCACCACUUUCAUCAAUAUGUUCUUUAUUUCCCUGUUAGCUAGCUCAACUUGCCCGGAAGUCUGAGGAUGAUAAGGUGUAGCUACCUUAUGCUUCACUCCAUACUUGGCUAAUAAAGCUUCAAAAGAUUUGUUGCAAAAAUGAGCACCUCCAUCACUAAUUAUGGCUUUGGGCACCCCAAAUCUUGAGAAAAUGUUCUCUUUAAGAAACUUGAGAACCACCCUGUGAUCAUUUUGUUUACAGGGGAUUGCCUCAACCCAUUUAGAAACAUAAUCCACCCCCACCAAGAUAUAAGAAUUACCAAAAGACAUUGGGAAAGGUCCCAUGAAGUCAAUACCCCAUACAUCAAAUAGCUCAACUAUUAGAAUGAGGUUCAUAGGCAUUUGAUUUCUUUUUGUUAGCUUUCCAAGCCUUUGGCAUCUAUCACAACUUCUACACAUGAUGUGGGCAUCUUUGAAAAGAGAUGGCCAAGUAAACCCUGAUUGCAACACCUUCAUGGCUGUUUUCUGAGAGGCAAAGUGGCCUCCACAUGCAUUCUCAUGACAAUGGUUUAGAAUCCCUUGCUGCUCAUCUUCAGGGACACACUUUCUUAUGAUCUGAUCUGCACAAUACUUAAAAAGAAAGGGCUCUUCCUAAUAAUAAACAUGAAUUUUUGCAAAGAAGUGCUUCCUGUCCUGUGCAUUCCACUCACUUGGAAUUUCACCAGUAACUAGAUAAUUAGCAAUAUGAGCAUACCAAGGAGUUUUCACUAGGAACAUGAGUGAUUCUUCAGGAAAGUCAUCAUUAAUAGGCAAGGAAUGAGAGUUAUGUGCUAUAACUAACCUUGAAAGGUGGUCAGCUACCACAUUCUCCACUCAUUUUUUAUCUUUGAUUUGGAGAUCGAAUUCUUGUAACAAAAGAAUUCAUCUAAUCAACCUUGCUUUUGCAUCUUGCUUUGUCAAUAAAUACUUCAAGGCUGAAUGGUCAGUGAAAACAAUGAUGAAAGACCCUACUAAAUAAGCACGAAAUUUGUCCAAGGCAAAUACCACAGCUAACAAUUCUUUCUCUGUAGUUGUGUAGUUCCUUUGAGCUUCAUUCAGUGUUUUGCUUGCAUAGUAGAUCACAUAGGGCUUCCCAUCAUCUCUUUGGCCAAGCACAGCUCCUAUAGCAAAGUCACUGGCAUCACACAUCAGUUCAAAGGGUAGUUGCCAGUUAGGGGCUCUCACUAUUGGAGUUGUUAAAAAUUUCUUCAACUGAUCAAAGCUAUUUUGACACCUUUCAUCCCAUAUAAACUUAGCAUCCUUAGCUAACAGCUCACAAAGAGGUUUUGAAAGACUUGAGAAACCUUUUAUAAACCUCCUAUAGAACCCUGCAUGGCCAAGGAACUGCCUUACUCCUUUCACAUUUGUUGGGGAUGGUAAUUUGACAAUAAGCUCCACCUUUGCUUUAUCAACUUCAAUGCCUUUUUCAGAGAUGAUAUGGCCAAGGACAAUUCCUUGACGAACCAUAAAAUGACAUUUCUCCCAAUUGAGCACCAGGUCUUUUUCAAUGCAUCUGUGAAGAACCGCUUCCAAAUUGAUUAAGCAUUCCUCAAAUGUACCUCCAUAUACGGUGAUGUCAUCCAUGAAAACCUCCAUAAUUCGCUCCACCAUAUCAUUGAAGAUACUCAACAUACAUCUUUGAAAUGUUGCAGGUGCAUUGCAUAAACCAAAUGGCAUUCUUCUAUAAGCAUAUGUUCCAAAUGGACAUGUAAAGGUGGUUUUUUCCUGAUCUUCCACAUCAAUUUCAAUCUGAAAAUACCCUGAAUACCCGUCCAAGAAGCAAUAGAACGAAUGUCCAGAGACUCUCUCCAGCACUUGGUCAAUAAAUGGCAAUGGAAAAUGAUCUUUCCUGGUUACAACAUUCAACUUUCUAUAAUCAAUGCACACCCUCCAACCUGAAGUGAGGCGUGUAGUAAUUUCUUCCCCUUUUUCGUUCUGAACCACAGUAAUCCCUGACUUCUUUGGUACCACUUGAGUAGGACUUACCCAAGGGCUAUCAGAUAUAGGGUAAAUAAUACCUGCUUGAAGUAGCUUCAGCACCUCAGCUCGCACCACCUCUUGUAAAUGAGGAUUCAAUCUUCUUUGAAGUUGACGAAUUGGCUUUGCUUCCUCCUCCAUAUAUAUAUGAUGAGUACAAACUAAAGGACUAAUGCCUUUCAAGUCGGAUAUUUGCCAUCGUAUUGCCUUCUUACACCUCUUGAGAACUUCCAUUAAACAAUUCUCUUGAUGACUGGUCAGAGAUGAAGAUAUUACAACAUGACAUUAAUUAUUUUCUUCAAGGUAUAUAUAUUUCAGCUCCACGGGUAGAGGCUUCGGAUUGAGUUUUGGAGUCUCUUUUUCAGCAGCUACCUCUUCUUCUUUAUUGAACAAAGGUAGAAUCUCUUCUAUCUUUCUCCAACUUUGUAGAGUAGCAAGCAUAGUAGGGGGUUCAGACAAACCUUCCUCAAAAUCCACAAGACUUUCAUUCAACUUGUCUUGCAUAUUUUGAUUACAGUGCUCCUCCACCAGAGUGUCAAUAAUGCACACCUCUUCUGGACCCUCUUCUUCUUCCGGAGUGGUUUGCUUUUUAGACAUAUAGAAGAUAUUGAGAUCAAGUGUCAUGUUGCCAAAAGUGAGUUGCAUCAGCCCAUUCCUGCAGUUGAUGAUUGCAUUUGAGGUAGCAAGAAAUGGCCUUCCAAGGAUGAUAGGAACUAAAUUAGCUUCCUUUACAGUAGGAUCUGUAUCAAGAACAAUAAAAUCUACAGGAUAGUAGAAAUUAUCCACUUGAACCAAGACACCCUCAAUUACCCCCCUUGGAAUUUCACUGAUCUAUCUGCUAGAGAUAGAGUGAUUGUUGUUGGCUUCAACUCUCCAAGUCCCAAUUGCUUGUAAACAGAGUAUGGAAGCAAAUUCACACUUGCUCCCAAGUCUAACAAAGCUUUCUCCACUACCUUUCCUCCAAUCAUUACUGAAAUGGUAGGACUUCCCGGAUCUUUGUACUUCAAUGGAGACUUACAUUGUAAGAUUGCACUUACUUGCUCAGUCAAGAAGGCUUUCUUAUUUACAGUCAACCCUCUUUUAAUAGUACAUAAGUCCUUUAGGAACUUUCCAUAUGUUGGAACUUGUUUAAUCAUAUCCAGCAAUAGGAUAUUGACUUUCACUUGUCUCAAUACCUCAAGAAUUUCAGAUGCAUUUCUAAUCCCCUUUUUCCCAUGCAAUGCUUGAGGAAAAGGUGGAGAAGUUGAUUUCUUCAGCAUUUCUUCCUUCAGAAGUUCCUUCUCUGGAAUUGCAUUCAUUGUUGAAUCAGAGUCCUUCUUCUUUUCACUGAUCUCCUUCUCUUUAUCUUCCAUUUCAUCCCCUUUCUUUAUCUCUGCUUCUUUUUCAACAUGUGGCUUGGGUGUUGGCUUCUCAAUUUUUUUACCACUCCUUAGAGUGAUCAAGGCUUUGACAUCUUUCAUCUGUGAUGAUUCUCCCUCUUGGCUUUCCACUUCAUGGACACCCUUAGGGUUUUGGUGGGGUUGAGAAGGAAAUCUUCCCUUUUCUUGCACUGUGUUCAAAUUUUUGAGCCUUGAAAUUGAGUAUUGGAGAUUAUCAAACUUUUGGGACAUAUCAUUUUGCAUUCCAUCCAUCCUUUUAUUCAAAGUACUCUCCACUCUGUCAAUUCUUUGAUUGAUUUGAGCAUUGGUGGCUUCUUGGUUUCCAACAAAAUCUCCCACUACCUUGCUGAGAUUUGCUAUUUCUUGUUCAAGACUUGAAGAUUGUUGAGAUGGUGGAUCCGGCUGUUGGUACUGAGUUGCUCUGGCCUUCCAUGAGAAAUUUGGAUGAUUCCUCCAACUUGAGUUGUAAGUAUUUCCAUAAGGCGCAUUGUUAUUGGGCUUAAAUUGUUCAACAACAUUUGCUUGAUCUCUAAACAUUUCCCUUUCAGCUGAAAUUGCAGAGCAUUCCUCCACCAAAUGUUCAUAUGAUUGACAAUUAGGACAAAGCUUUACUUACACUGGUGCUUCAGCAACAGCUUGCACUUCAUGUAUUCUUUUCAGUUCCAGUUCCUCCAAUCUUCUUGUCACAGCUACCAAGUUUGCUUUCAUAUCAUCGUCUUCUUUCAAGGUAUACAUCCCAGCCUUAGCAUUAAAAACACUCAGUUGAGACUUCAUCUUCCCCACUUCUCCUUUGGUUGGUUCAUCCCAUCCCCUUGAAACAUCAACUACAUAGCUCAAGAAAUCCAUAGCUUCCUCCGGAUUUUUGCUCAUGAAAUCUCCUCCACACAUUGUCUCGAGGAGUUGCUUCAUUGAGGAAGACAUUCCAUCAUAAAAAUAGCUCACCAAUAGCCAAGUAUCAAAGCCAUGGUGAGGGCAAGCAUUUAUAGCUUCCAUGUAUCUUUCCCAACACUCAUAAAAUUUCUCAUUCUCUUUAGCUGAGAAAUUUGAAAUUUGCCUUUUCAAGCCAUUUGUUCUAUGAGUGGGAAAAAAUUUCUUAAGGAAUUCAGCUUGUAAGUCAGUCCAAGUGCGGAUACUCCUUGGCCUUAAAGAAUUAAGCCAAAUUUUGGCCUUAUCCUUUAAAGUAAAAGGAAAUAACUUAAGCCUCAUCAAAUCAAUUGAAGCUCCUCCCUCUUGGAAUGUAUUACAAAUAUCUUCAAAUUCCUUGAUAUGUGCAUAGGGAUUCUCACUUUCCAUCCCAUGGAAAGUUGGUAGAAGUGGAACAAGAUACAGUCUGAUCACUAGCUGCUCUGUAGGGGGCACUAUACAUGAUGGUGCACUCAUACGAGGUGGAUGCAUACGAUCCCUCAUUGAUCUGAAUUCAUUGAGAUUGUCUUGCGACCUUGGUGACUAUGCUGAUCUUCACGUAUAGCUUCCAUGAUAUUCAAUCUCAAUUCGAAUUCUUUGUUAUGAGGUGUAUCACACUUAACAAGCCUUUCUCCACUGUCUCGUAUCCACUUUGGCAUACACAACUAGUAUCUAUCUGUAACUAAAAUGAAAAUAAAGGACAACAAAAGGAAACAGGGCUACAAAAACAAAAUAAAACUUAGUUGAAUUUAAAAGAUAAAUUUGGAUUAUGAAUAAAUAAAGAAGGAAUGAGAAUUAGUAAAAUGAAAGAAAUGUUACCAAACUUGUGAUGAAAAUCACAAGUGCUCUAAAAUGGUAUCACUAUAAACUUGACAUUUUCCCCGGCAACGGCGCCAUUUGAUUCAUGCCUAAUUGGUGUCUCAUCUGAUUCGUGUCCAGCUGGUGCUCCUUGAUUGAGGGAGUAAUCAACAAAAUUUAUAACCUAUUACACCAUAUACUAGGGUAGCAAAGACAAAGCUACUAUAGCAUAGUGGCUCUAGGAUCGUUCACUGGGAAGGAUUAGCAAAUUAUCAAUGAUACCAAUUCACAGUGAAUUGGUAUUGUUUCAUUUCAAGGUUAGUUCAAGAAAUAAAAUACAAACUUUGAUUGGCAAAGAUUUAAAUUUAAACUAACUAUAAAACAAGUAAUGGGAAUAACUUAGGAGGAAAAACAUUCCUUGGAGGGUCAGGUUCACUGGGGUGGUUCCUCAUGCAAAAGACAUAGCUCCGAUCAGUUGGUUCAUUUCCUUGCGUUAGAGAAUCAACAUAUAGUCAAUUCUCUAACCGGUGUUGUACAGAUACAUCCUGUAAUUAGAUUUCAGCUUUAAUUCCCUCUCACUGAUGCAACUUGCAAUGGUUCAUGCCUCUCACGAGCACUUACCCUUCAAGAUGAUCUUUAACCUUGGACUUCCCUUCAAAAGCUUGCAAGAGAUAACUAAUGGAUGUCUCCUUGGAGUCCAAAAGCUUACCAAGUGUUGGCAAUUCUAGAAAAUCCUACCUUCAAGUCACCUCCCACAGGCUCGCAAGGGGUAAACUAGUGCAUCUCCAUGGUUGGAAAUCACUUGCCUUACCAAGUGUUGGCCCAGGUGAGUCUAAGGUGUUUUAAGUUAACUAAAAACAUAGAAACCACUAAAGGAUUUCACUUCCUCUUCAUUCAUGGCUGAAACCACAUAGCUUUGUAUUCUUGCACUUGGAACCUUCCCCGGCAACCUUAGCUCCAAGGAACUAAAGGUUUAGUUACUCAUUCUCUGGGGAAAAUUCCUCAGAGAGUGCAUAACUUAGUAAGAAAUAAAAAAUACAAAGUGAGAAGGUAAGGCAAAACAAAGGACCUGAACUUUACUUGCUUUUUCAAAACUUUACAAAAGGUCUCCUCUUUGAGAACAGGCUCUCGAGAGGUUUAAAUAUGAACAUAAUACAAAACUAAUUAUUACAUAGAUAUUUACUCUUUUUACUAACUUAAAAGCUAAGGAAUCUUGUAAUUGGUGGCUUACAAGGAGUAUUUUGGGAUUUAGACAACAAAAAUCUGAUGGAAAAUAUCUCCCAAUGUCAGUAGCAAACAUCGGGAAGCACUACGGACCAUUUCGCAAGAGAAAAUGAUGUCUGCGAGAUUUUGCAGACACUCAAAAAGGGCUACGAAAUCACUUCGCAGCAAAAGGCUAUUCUCGCAGGGCUGCGAAGUUGGCUUCCAUCUUGAGGUUCUCAGCUUCCAACUUGUCACAUAUAUCGGGUAACUUCAGGAGGAAAUCCACCACACUGUACAAAAAGGCUGCGAAAUCACUUCGCAACAAAAGGGUGAUUUCGCAACACUUUGCAAAAUUCUUCAUUCAGCUUAGAGUGAUUGACUUGCAAUGGCUGUAACUUCUUCGUUUCAACUCCGAUUUGCACACCGUUUGAAGAAUUGGAUUUUUGACUUCCUGAGCUUUGAAAUGGUAUAUAGCAUGCAUCAAUUGGACUUCAGAAAGUACUCCAAAAGUGGCUGCCACGACUGUCAUCAAGAAUAUGCUUCAUGGCAGAUUCUCUUUACUUUUUCUCCUUGCAUUCCGGAUCAACUCUUGGAAAAGGGCUUCAAAGCUUUAGUUCAAGAUUCCACAUAACUCUCCUCAAUCUCAGAUUGCUUUGGUGAUCAAAUUACUGACAAAAACACCAAAACUUAACACAAUUUAAUUAGAAACGAUUGCAAGGGUCCUUAUCAUGCCAAUUGAGUUAAAAGGCCAAAACUACUACUCAAAAGUGUUUAAAAGGAUUAAUUACAAGCUAUCAAAUAGCACUUUUUGAGUAGUAAUCAAUAUCCAUUAAGUAAAUUAUCAUUUACCUACAAGAUCUUAGAGCAUCACCACGCUUUCCUAUGCCUUUUUGUUCACACAAGACCCUUUGCUAUGAAAAUGUUUAGUUGUUAUAUCUUAUAAAUGAGACAUUGCAAUAGAUACAUGUAAUAUGAUGGAUUUUAGUAUGACCACUAUUGAAAAGGUUUUCCAUAGUUGAAACAAAGUUUCAAACUAAAACCUUUAGCUACAGUCUUAGCCACAUAAAACUCAAGCUUUCCAUCUACUCCUAUGUUCCUCUUGUAGACCAACUUACACCUAUGGGUUUUAUUCCUUUAGGUACUUCUAUAGGACUUUAAGCUAGGUUACAAUACAAAGAUUUUAACUACCUCUUCAUAGAUUCUUAUCUUAAGGGAGCUCAAACACUACUCACUACUUCAUCAUAGUUUGUGGGAUAUAAACCUCCUACUACGAUGAGGCAUUGGUGCACUAGAAAUCAUAGGAAUGUUAUGCCUUUAACUCUCUGGAUCCAUAGUAUACUAUGUAAUGUGGGACUAUCUUCUAAUAUAUCCUCCAAUCUAUAUCACCUUUUUCCUUAUUCCUUAUUAUAUAGUCUUUAUAAAAAAUAUGACACUUGUGUGGACAAAUAUCUUCUAAUGAUCUUGACUAUAAGGGUAAUAACCCAAUAAUCCUUUUAAAUAUCCUAUAAACUGAUAUACCUCUUAAGAAAGAGAGGUAUUACACAGUAUAUAAGACAUAUCCCCUAAAGAAUUUGGAAAAAGAUGAGAAACCUAUCCACGAUCUCACUAUGUCCAUCUAAGUUUGAUAUCUUGGUACACAUAACUAGGAAAUAAUCUUGUGAUCUAGCGGAAAGCAUCAAACUUACUAGAUAUAUCACCUUAAUCUAAUCAAAUUGACUUUGUAUGUAUAACCAAUAGGUUAUUCGAUCCCACCUUAAAUUUAAUGAAUGUAUCCAAGACAUCAUAUCUCCUAUGUACAUAUCCAAACCUAAAGUAAUCAUCACUAAAAUUGAUGAAAUAACCAUUACUAGGAACCUAGGAUUUCUUCGUUCCCUUACCCUGGAUUGUAUAGAUGCAUGCAAAACUACCCUAGGCCUCUAGAUCCUAUGAACAUAACAUAUUUUUACAAUUCUAAGAUCAAGAGGAAAACCAUUAAAGAGCUUUACCUUUGAUUUGGAUGUUCCCAAAUCAAUUCUGCUCGAAGAAGAUGAAGAAAUGAAUCUAAAAGUCUCGUACACCUAAGAUCUUUUGCCCAAUGACUCGAAUCACGAUCUUGACACUCCAAAGUGUGGAGUUUAGAAAAGAUGAUCUCUUGGCUCUUACUAUUUCUCUCUUUCUCUAGAGGUGGAAGACAAAGUCUCUCUUAAGGUUAUGGAAACCCUAGCCCCUAUUGGGCUUAAGUGACUUGAGCCUACCAAGGCUUAGGCCACUUAAUCUAGCCUAAAAUGGGUCUUAAUUAAGUAAUUAACUGCAUAAAGCCGUCUAAUUAAUCAAUUAUCCCAAUUAAGAGAACUUGUUCACUAUUCCUUGUGCAACCUUACGUAAUUACCAAAAUGCCCUUAUUCACAAGAAUUAACUAAGAGCCAAUUCAUCUCUCAUAAAAUACGUCAUCAUAGCAUAUGAGCUCAUAAUGGGGACCAUUGGGACCCAUAGGAGUAUUGACUCCCUUAUACUCCAAUUUUGAAGUUGAUUCAACAUUCCAUUAAAGAGAAUUAACCGCACUCCAAUAUCCUAUGUUGAUAACAACGAGAUGAAGCUCAAAGUUCGUGACCUACUAUCCACUACAUGAAAACUCCCCAUGAACUGGUGUCCGUAAUCCAACAAGGUUAUGCUAUAACCUAUCAAGAUUACCUCUCCAAUUCUUGAGUUAUAGAUCCCACUUAUUAUGUGAUCAAUUGACAUACUUUAACUCUAAGGAGCAUAUGUCAAAUUUCUACUAAAGGAAAUGCAAUGGCCAUAGUCUUCUAAAUCACAUGUCCUUUGAAUCAUUCAAGGGGACACAUUGUUUCAAUCCAUGAGAUAUCAUGGUGCCUCUAUUGAGAAUAUCUAUUGUCACCAACCUCCAUCAACAAUGACCUAAUCCAUAGGGAUAUAUGACCACUUUAGGGUCUAAACCAUAAGUCAAAGCCUCCUAUUAACUUUAACACAAGCUCAAUAUCCUCUCAAGGUUGAGAGUCCAUAUAGUAUAGUAGCUUGGUGAAUCAUGACAAUUGAUAGUUUUGUGUCAUGAUUCACUAUAGUUCUUAUCCAAUGUGCAUCACAUGCACUAGUACACUUUCCAUGGGAAAACCAUCUCGAUAGCCCAGACAAGUCAUCCCUCCAAUUAGAAGGUAGAACACUACAAUCUCAAAUGGAUAACCCAAAUUCAUGAACCAAUUAUGGACAACUCAUACUCUACAAGGAACCCAUGACUUGGAUCUUCUGUGCAACACCUAAUACACCCAAGUCAUGUACAAUGUAAGUGAUGCGGGGCGUGUAUGCUCAAAUAAAAAAUUAAUACAAAUGAGAUAUUUAAGGGAACCAAGAAACAUAAACAAAUUUAUAAAUGAAUCUCAAUUUGUUACAUCAUUUCAUGUUUUCCAAGGCUAAAUCCUAAAACUAAUUUCUAAGAUCUUUACAAUCUUCAAUCUUUAACCCUCAAGGGGUUAUUAGGGAGGUAUUUAUAGGAAAAAACCCAAAAAGUUUUAGUAUUUUAAGAUGCUAAAUUAGAUUUUGAGUAAAAUUCAUCCAAAAUUUGUUCCUAAACUUGGCAGGAGUGUCUUGAUUGCUUGAGCAGACUUAGACCACUUGAAUGUUUCACUUGAGCAGUCCUUAUCAUUUGAGCAGACUAACCGUUUAAACGGUCCUUUCCACUUAAGCGACCCCUACUUCUUUUGAAAAAUCAUUUUAAAACAUUUUAAGUCCAAAAAUGAUGCUAAACCUUAUAUACAUCAAAGAAGCUUUAUUGCCAUAAGUCAAACCUUUUGAAACGUACCUAUGACUUCUUGGUUGGACGAAUGACAAACGUAAUCUUUAAUGGAGAGCAAGUCACUAUCUAAAAAGAUUUCUAUGAUCAAACAUAAAAUGGAACAAAAUUGCCAACAUAUAAAUAAGACUCAAUGUCCUAACAAGAAACAUUAGAACUUUCCUUAUCUACUCAAUUUGAGUGAAAAGACUUCAAGUAAGUGAAGUACUUGAAGAGAUUGUGAGUGCCCAUAGGAGACCAUGAAUCCAAAUAUAAAGUUUCAAGGCUUAGGUUGAAGGCCUUUGAUAGUAGAACUCUCACUUGGUUAGGAGUUCACUACUACAAAAAUUAAUUAUGGUGUCACUUUUAAAAUAAUGACACCAUAGGGUUUAUAAUUAAUAAAGGUGAAACGCAUCAUAUAAAAAAUCUUCAAUUGAGGUAGCUAGAUGAUGUUAGUUUUAUAUUUAUGUGUCAUUUUAGGGAAGUGACAUCAUAUAAAAUAAAUUUUUUUAAGUAUUAUAACUUAAUGAGCCCACUUGAGACCACUUUUAGAAUUAAUAAUCAAAACAAUAUAUAAAAAGCCCAUUGUUUCCACAUGCCACCCACAAUGCAAAAAAUCUCAGUAUACAAACCCUAUAUAUAAAACCAUAAUCUUCUUCUACCUUUUCUCUCACCCAUAGUCAACACGCUCACAACUGACAUUCUUCACUUUGUGGACUCCCAGGUAAUCCAAAAUCUCUUAGAUCUACCUCUUUUUUUUCUUUUAUUAAUGUCGUUAUAUUGAUUGUUUUAACAUCUUUGUAUUAUGGUUUUUGUGAACUGCGUUUUCUUGAGUUGUAGGAAAGAAAAACUUAGGUUUAAACUUCUAGCAUAGAAGAAAAAACUUGUAGAUUAAUUGAUUUUUUUAUCUAAACCAAACACAUGGCCCGAUUCCUUAAAAACAAGCGAAAAACAAGAAAAAAUGAAUCAUUUUUAAUAUGUAUUUAUGUGAGAAUGAUAGGUACAAAAUUUUGUUGAGAUAUACUGCCACAUAAUCUUCAUCCCUUCUCGAAAACAAGAGAGAAAAACCUGUAGAUUAGUUGAUUUUUUUUAAUCUGAACCAAACACAUGGUCGACUCCUUAAAAACAAGAAAAAAAAAAGAAUGAUUUUUAAUAUAUAUUUGUGUGAGAAUGACAGGUAUAGAAUUUUUUUGAGAUAUAUUGUCACAUAAUCUUCAUCCCUUCCAAAAAAUGAGAGAGAAAAAAAUGAUUUUUCUAUUUGUAUCUAAGUGGGAAUGAGAUAUAGAAUUUCGUUGAGAGUAUCCAACCCUAAAAAGACCAAUCCGAGAAAACAAUAUCCAAGGUGUCAUCACUUGUGCAGUAAUGAAACAAAGACGACACCUUCUUUUUCCCUUUUCGUUUUCCAUACUCACUUGCCUUGAUCCUCCAGUCUCCACACUUUAACAUCAGUUCCAAGUCUAGCACCUUUCUCAGAUACACCUUUAAAAGCUGUAGAAUCCCCCAUAUGAUGAAGACACCCCUUUUUUGAAAUGCCCCAUUGUAUUUCUCCAUGUAAACCUUUUCGUCUAAUAUCACUAGCCUGAAGAAUGUUAGGUCCUUCGCUACUUCCAUCAUCUCUUUGGUGAUUCCGAUCUCCGUCCAUGGCCGGAGAUCCUCAUAGAUCCAUUGAAAGUAGUUUGGGCAUGCAUUACAAGAGCCCUUUAUUUGCUUAAAUAUUUUUUUUUUCUUUAAUACAUCUUUGACCACAUUUAUAAUAAAAAAGAAGAAGUUUAACAAUGAAUGGUGGGACUUCUUUUCUUUUUCUUUUCAAUGGAUUGUAAGAAACCUAGUAGAUCAAGUUUAGAUUAUAUAUGGUUUCUACUUGUGGUCCUAAUUUGCACAUGGGACAUGCAUCUUGGAAAGGCCCUUUUAGUUUUGGAUUCUAAUGUUGCUGAUGACAUAUUCUGGCAAAUAAGUGAAAACUAUCUUUUAUAGUCCCAUCUCACUUAUGGAACACUAGGAAUCACAUUUCUUGAUGUUGUAUUUGAGUGGGAAGAGGUUAGGGUGGGGAUGUAGGAAGUUCUAGGUUCAUGUCUUAGAAAAAAAAAAAAAAAACCUAUAAAAUGAUUUCCUAAUGCCUUUUUUUGUGUUUUUUUUAUAUAACAAAUGAUUUCCUGGUGCUGGGAUUUUUUUUCUCUUUUAUUAAUUUUUUUUGAGGUUUUUGAUUGAAUUUGAGAAUGUGUUCCCUCAGAUCCUAAAAUGAAAUGUUGCAAUAUCAGCACCUUUAGUAUUCAAUUAGUUGACUACUUUAAUCAAUCGACUAUCCAUGAAAUUUAAAAAAAAAAACAAAAAAAUGUUUCACAAGUGAUUUUUAAUACCUCCAAUUGGUUUGAUGUGAAAACAUUAGUUGAAAAACCUUUUUUUUUUUAAUUUAUAAAAAUACAUGCCAAAACAUAAUUUUUUUAUAUCAUAUUUUAUAAUUUAUGGCUUUAUUGGAACUAUAUUUUAUAAUUUUUACUAAAAUAUUAUUAUUUUUAAUAAAAUAUAGUAUUUUAAAUUUUUAUUAUUAAUUUUUACUAUGUAUAACUACAUUAUUCAUGUAAAAUUAUUAUCUUUAUUCAUUAUUUAUUUAUUUUUAUAUUUUAAUAUUCAUCAUAAUAUAAAUUAACAUUUGUGUAAUAUUCUAAAAUAUUAUAAUUCAUUGUUAUUAUUCUAUUUUGGCAAAAAAUGAUUUUAAUAUUUAUUUAAAAACCUAAUCAUUAAAUAAUUUUUUGUAAAAGAAAAAAAAAGGUUUAUAAAGAAACAAGUGGACAGUUUAUUAAUUUUUUUUUUUUUUAAAAAAAAAAGGUGUCAAAGCAUAGUUUUUGUUUCUUUUUAUUAUUAUUAUUUUGUAAUUUUUUCCUUAUCCACACAUCAACUUACACCAUAACCUCACCUUCUUGUAUAAAAUUAGGAAUAUUUACAUAAUAAAUUGAGCACAAAUGUAACACACACAAAGAAAGAAAAAUUUUGAGUGUAAUUAAAUUGUAAGCAAAUCUCUCAGAUGGAGUAGAGAAGUUGUAGAAGGCUACCACCCAUACUUCCCAUAUCUUUCUCACCUACGAGUCAACUUCCCUUUUCCUCCUACUUGUGUCCUCUCUCACUUAUGAAUCUGCCCUACAUUUUCUCCAAAUUUAUAUUCAUAUCACAAGCAAAUCUCACAUGAACAUGUGGUGAUGAAAUUCACAUGUCAUACUAGUAAAAGUUAAGGAAACUAUUAGCAAGCAGAAUAAUAAACCAAUAAAAUGUUAAUUAAAAAAAAUGGUAUUCCUUCUAGAGUCUUCUAACCCAGACACAAAAGCAUACACUUGAUUUCCCGAAGAUCUCUACAAACUCUUGGUGCUAUCCUUAUACCCUUAAAAGUUUUUCAAAAGAUUUUUUCCCAAUAAAAAAUAUAUAAAAGCUCAAAAUUUUCUCUAGUGAAAUACUUGGUCUCAAGUGUAAUUAAUAUGGUUUACAAGUUAAGGUUUAGUGCAUGUAAAAUACUUGAAGAGGUCUUUGAUGAUUUGUAAGUUAUAAGUAUGUUAUAAAUGAGUUCCAAUAAUCAUUCUUUAUAAUAUUUUGCAAGCUAUUGUUGGAGGCAAAAUCCCAACUAAUUGAUUGAUAUAUCAAUGAAUUGUGGUUUCCCUCAAUCGACUGUAAGAAUUUGUAUACAUUAUUAACAACAUUUUCAACCUCACCAUAAAUUAAUUAUCCACUUUGGAAAAUUGCUUGACCCAUUUUGUUAACCACUAAUCAAUCAUCCUAGAACUAUAUUUUGUGUACUAAUGCAUAGUAAGUUUUGUUCUAACCUAUAUAAGCUACAUCUAGUUAUUUAAAUAUAUCUAAUAUUAUGUUGAAGAAAUCUGUACUUACUUAACUUUUUUUGUUCUUAAUAUUAACAAGUUUUGAAAUUCUCUUGUCUAGGAUAUAUAUUCCAUCAUUUUAAUUGAAAUGGAAAAUCGAGAUUGGAUGUCAAAAGAUAGAAGAUCAGUUGAGGAUGAUGAAGGAGUUGAAAACUUUAUCAAUUUUGCAAUAGCACAUUCAACCAACCAUACCUCUAUAAAAUGCCCAUGCUUAUGUUGUGGAAAUCUGUUAUGUCAAAUUCCUCAAGUCAUUAGAGAGCAUUUGUUCUUUAAUGGAAUAGAUCUCAGUUAUCGAGUAUGGUAUUGGCAUGGAGUAAAGGGUCCCAAUGGAGGAUUUUCAAAUGUCUCACAACAAUGUUAUGAUAAAUGUGAGUAUAAUGAUGUUGCUGACACAAUAGAUAUGGUUAAUGCUUCACAAGUUAAUUGUAUAAAUGAUCCCUAAGUGUUUGGAAGGUUACUUGAAGAUGCAAAAAAAACCUUUAUAUCCUGGAUGCAUGAAAUACACCAAGUUGUCAGCAUUGGUAAAACUUUACAACUUAAAAGCAUGUUAUGGUUGGUUUGACAAGGGAUUCUCAUAAUUGCUUUAGAUUGCUUGGAGAUAUGUUGCCAUUGAAUAAUGAGAUGUCGUUGUCCAUGCAUGAAGCUAAAAAGACUUUGAGUGCACUUUGUAUGGAAUAUCAAAAAUUUCAUGCAUGUCCUAAUGAUUGUAUUUUGUAUAGAAACCAGUACAAGGAUGCUAUUGUAGACCCAAUUAGUGGAAAGUCAAGGUGGAAGAUAAACAAUAAGGGGGGAAAGAUUAAGAAUGGGGUUCCUGUAAAGGUUUUGUUGUAUUUCCCACCAAUCCCUAGAUUCAAAAGAAUGUUCCAAUCCUCAAAAACUGCUAAAUGUCUUAUGUGGCAUGCCAAGGAUAAAGAAUAUGAUGGUAAACUACGCUACCCAUCAAACUCCUCAAUGUGGAAACUAGUUAAUCAUAUGUGACCUAAUUUUGCUUCUGAACCGAGAAACCUUAGACUAGCACUGUCAAUAGAUGGUAUAAAUCCUAAUAAGUCUAUGAGUAGUAGACAUAGUUCUUAGCCUAUUAUACUGAUCAUAUACAACCUUCCUCCUUGGUUGUGCAUGAAAAGGAAGUUUAUGAUGGUAUCAUUAUUGAUCUCAGGACCACGACAACCUGGUAAAAAUAUAGAUGUUUACUUGAGUCCAUUGGUGGAUGACCUUAAAACUUUAUGGGAAAAAGGACUUGAGACUUAUGAUGCACACUUGCGUGAAGUUUUUACUUUAAAGGCCAUCUUUUUAUGGACGAUCAAUGAUUUCCCUGCAUAUGGAAACUUGGUCGAUUGCACUGUGAAAGGAUAUUAUGCAUGUCCAAUAUGUGGAGAAGGAAUAUAUUCCAAAAGAUUAAAGCAUGGUAAGAAGAACUCGCAUAUGGGUCACCGACGAUUUCUUCCACGUAACCAUCAUCAGAGACAAAAUAAGGCAUUCAAUGGUGAACAAGAUUUUAAGAUUCCUCCUAAAAUUUUGAGUGGGGAAGAAAUACUUGAAAAAGUUGAUCUCAUUCCUAUUUCUUGGGGGAAAAUGAAGCUAAAAUCUCUUGAAUUUGAUGUGAACACAAAUUGUUGGAAAAAAAAAAGUCUAUAUUUUUUUAGUUAGAAUAUUGGAAAUAUCUUCAUGUCCAUCACAACUUGGAUGUUAUGCACAUUGAAAAGAAUGUCUAUGAGAGUAUUAUUGGUACUUGGUUUAACAUCCUAGGGAAAACAAAUGAUGGACUUAAUGCUCAACUUGACCUAGUUGAAAUGGGUUUAAGAUCUGAACUUUUCCCAAGAGUUGACUUGAAACGGACCUAUCUUCCCCCUACAUGUUAUUCACUAUCCAAAAGUGAGAAAAAAAAUAGUUUGUCAGACAUUGUCUAAUUUGAAGGUCCCUGAGGGUUAUUUCUCAAAUUUUAGAAAUCUUGUCUCCUUGGAGGAAUUGAAGUUAUUUGGUCUAAAAUCUCAUGACUACCAUGCACUUAUGCAACAAAUAUUGCCAAUGGCAUUACGUUCUAUUUUUCCAAAGCAUGUGAGAUAUAUUAUAUCAAGAUUGUGUAUAUUCUUCAAUCAAUUAUGUACAAAAGUGGUUGAUGUGCUAAAAUUGAAUGAAGUACAUAAUGAGUUAGUGGUCAUGCUAUGCUUACUUGAAAAGCAUUUUCCACCUUCAUUUUUUGAUAUUAUGCUUCAUCUACCAGUGCAUUUGAUAAGGGAGGUGCGACUAUGUGGUCUAGUUUACUUUAGGUGGAUGUACCCAUUUGAGAGGUAUAUGAAAGUUCUUAAAGGAUAUGUUUGCAAUCAUAAUCGGCUUGAAGAAUGCAUUGCUGAGUGCUAUUUAGUAGAGAAAGCUAUCAAAUUUUGUACUGAAUAUUUAUCAAGGACUCAUGCAAUUGGAAUUCGAAAAGGUAACAAUUAUGACAACAAAUUUGGUAGACCUAUAACUAGUGGUCGUUCUACCAACAUUGAUCAUAAAUCAUGGUUACAAGCACAUCAUUAUGUGUUAGAGAAUACAACUAUUGUCCAACCAUACAUUGAGUAAGAAAAACAUACCUUUAUCUUUUUAUAAUUUCAUAACAUAAUGAUGAAAUCCUAAGUUUGCAUUCAUUGUCUAUAACGUUAUAGGAAACACAUGAAUUGGUUGAAAUGUCAAUACCCUCUACAAUCUAAGUGACAAAUUUUGGUUGCAAGAAGAACAUAUGCGUUGUUUUACAUAUUGGCUUGAAGGAAAGGUAAUCUCUUAAUUUUCAUAAAUUAUUUUAAUAUGUUGAAAACAUCACAAGUUUCCAAUAUGUUUUGAUUACACACAGGUUGAAGAGGUUAUCCAUAAUGGGCAAGAUAUUCCCAACACGUUUAAGUGGUUAGCACCUGGCCCUACUCACCAAGUGGUCAAAUAUCCUGGAUAUAUCGUUAAUGAGUGUCGUUACCAUAUUAAGGAACGCAAUAUGACAUACGUCACCCAAAAUAGUGGUGUUAGCAUUUUAGCAGGGACUGUGCAAAUUGCCAGUUCUAAGGAUAAGAACCUAGUUUUUAGUGAACUUUGCUUUUAUGGGGUCAUUAAUGAGAUAUGGGAUCUUGAUUACAACAUGUUCACAAUUCCAAUUUUCAAGUGUGAUUGGGUUGACAACAAGAAUGGUAUAAAAGUUUAUGAACUCGAGUUUACAUUAGUUGACUUCUCCAAAAUAGGUGACAAUUUGGAUCCAUUUAUUUUAGCAUCACAAGCCAAGCAAGUCUUCUAUGUUGAAGACCAACUUGAUCCCAAAUGGUCAAUAGUUCUCUCAAUUCCUCUAAAAAAUUUCAACAACAUGGAAGGACUGGAUGACUUCACCGAUAAUUGCAUGGAACAUCACCCCUUUAUAAGUUCAAUGCCAGAAGUCGAAUAAGAGGCAAUAUACAUGAGAGAAGACUGUGAGGGAAUAUGGAUUGAAAAUAAUCAAAUAAUAUAUUACACCCUUGACAUGAGAUAUAAUAAGGCAUUUCACUUAUUAGUUUUCAUGAGUUGCACAUUAGCUUAGCUUCUAAAUAUUUCUCAUGAGAUAUAUAUUGAUCAUCCUAAAUUUCUUUCAUGCAUUAUAAACAUAUGUAAUUCAAAGGUACAACUUCAAUCUUCAUUUAACCAUCUUUUUGUUGUCCAUGGAACUAUAUUUAUAUUAUUUUUUAUUAUCAUGUUUUGAUUUUAUGCUCACAUAACUUGAAACUCUUAUUCCUAAAUUUCUUUUUCAUUAAAACUAGAAAUCAUAAUUGAAACUAUGCACUAAUUUAUUUUAUUAUUAUCCUCACAAAUAAAUUCUUCAUUAUUGAUAAGAAAUCAAAAAACAAGACAAACUUUGAAAGAAAAUUUCAAAAAAUAUAUUAGUGAAUGACCAAUUUAAUUAUAGGAAAUAUAUGCAGGGCUAUACAAAUCUUGCUUUUGAGUCAUUUUGUAGGUUUGUUGAUGAAGUACUAGUUUGCACAUUUACUUGAUAUCUUCCACACAAAUAUGGAUCUGGAAGAAGAGGAAAUGCAAAAAAUAAAGCAUAGAGGUAGUACAUUGAAAUCAGAGAUUGCAAAAAAUCGAAGUAAAGGGAUAAAGCUCAAGAUUGAAUACAAUAGUCUUGGUAGUCACAUUGGGAAAAAUUCAGUUGAACUAAGUAGUUACCUUAGUACAAUAACUAGAACCCAUGUGCCAGUAAUUAUUGAGAGUUGGAGGAAAGUCCCUAAAGAGACUAAGGAGAAGUUAUGGGAUUUGAUCACGGUAAGUCUAUCUAUAGCUUUAAUAUAUAAUUAUUGUAUACAUUCAUUAACAUGAGCUAACAUGGGUUGCUAUUUUGUAGACAAGCUUUAAUGUGAAUAAAAAAUCCAAGAGGAAUUGCUCAUACUAAUGGGCAUCAGGUUUUGAACCUUUAAGUACAAGUUGACAGAGAAAUAUAUAUAACCUUUCAAGAAUGACUCUGAAAAACUGAAAAACCCACCUUCUAUCCAUCCAUUCAUAUAAGAGGAUCAUUGGAGAUAGUUUGUUAAAGAUAGACUUUUUGAACAUUUUAAUGUUAAGCGUUAUUAACCACUAUAAGAAAAAAAAGGCUUUCCUUGAUGGUGUUUGAUUGUGAUGGUAAGGGUUAUAUGUCAUUAUAGCAUUCUGAUUCUAUAUGUCAUCUAUGUUAGUCUCAAGAUUAAGGGAUAAGCAAUCUUGAUAUAUGUGCACUAUAAGGUAGGUAUAUUUCACUACUUAUCAUAUGUUAUGAUCUCCUUAACAUAUGUUAAGAUUAAUAGGAACAUACGUCAAGGUUGCUCUAACAUAUGUCAAAGUUAUGAACCACAUAGGUCUUGGUGGGCACCAUAUAUGUUAAGGAUAGGUACCACAUAAGUAUAAUGUAUGUCAAGGUAGGGAAUAAGUACAACUGUCAAGGUUUCCCUCGAAAAAUUUUAAAAUUACUUUUUAACAUGAAAAAUUGAACCUGUUGUCAUGUAUAAUCAAUUUGAUAUUAUUUAAGAAUGAUAAUAACAAUCAAAUUAUCAUGAUUUUAUAUAUAAUAAAAACAUAUGUAAUAUACAUUUGAUUAUUAAUUAAAGCACAAAUCAAUGAACUUGUUUAAAGUUGUCCCCAAUUUCUCCAUGUAGAAGAAACUCAUAUAAUAUACAAGGAAAUUAAAAACACACUAUAAUACAAUAUACAUAAACUUAAAUUAAGUUGCUCAUGUAUAUAUCUACAACCAAGUCUCUUGACUCCAUCUUGAAGCAUUACUUUACAGGAAAGCCUUAAAUUUUCAACACCCAAACUUUGAAUUUGUAGCAAAAAAUAUAGAGCAUAUUAACAAAUUAAAAAGAAAAAUAUAUAAUGAGGAGUAAUAAAAUAUCAAGCUUUAUGAAGAAUUUUAAUAGCAAGCUAGCCACUACACCUUUAUUAAACAAUAAUAGAUUAUUUCUUAAUAACAUAGGUAAACAAACCAACUCUCAAAUAUUAAAAUAUUGAUAUAGCAAAAGCAUAUGGAGGCUAAACCUAGGAGCAAAACCUAAAACAUAAAUCAUUUUAACCCAAUGAAGUUAUUGUUUUGAUCCAACCUCAACUAAGAUAUUUAACUAUUUAGAUCAUUAUUAUGAUUUUUUAACCUAACACUUUCCCUGAAAUGUCCAAGGUUUCCAUCAAACUAUACAAGUCAAAGAUAGCUUACAAAUCAUGCACAAACGCUUCAUUUGGUUGCUUAGAAAGACCAAGAAAAAAAUGACAACACAACCAGUUAUAGUUUACCAAGCUCUACAGAAAGGUACAUGAAAAAAAUAAAUAUGACAUCAUAUUGAAUGAGGAUAGGAAAAAUAAAUGAAAAAAUUUAGCAAGAACUAAAACAACUUCAAAUUUAUGUAAAUGCAAACUAUACCUAGUUUCAUCUAAAACUGCUCAUUUAAGGGUUUUUUUUUUUAAUUAUUUUUCUAUACAAAAAGAACUUAUCCUUAUAAAAUCUGAGGAACCUCCAAGAACUUGUCUUUCCAAAUUUAGAGCUUGGAAUUUGAGGACAAUGAACUGUUGUUGAUCACCAAAAAGUUGUUUUGAACAACCCCACAAAAGCCAAAGAAUGUGGGGAGCAAAACAGCUUUAAAAACCAGAGCAACACAUUUGCAUGUCUAGAAUUCAAAUGGCAACCAAAGAAUCUCAAAUGCUUACAACUUGACAAGUCCAUUUGAGACUUAGAACCAAAAAACCCAGUAACUAAAUAUUUCAACCAUCAGACAAUCCACACUUUUUCUUCAAUAAAUCACAAAGCAAGCCAGAACGUACCCAGUAAUUAAAAUGGGGAAAAUUUGAGGUUUCUGAUCUCAAGUUUAAUGUAGGUGAAACCAAAAUCAACAUAAGCUUGAUUCAAUGAUGUUCUAUAUGACCAAAAGAGGAAAAUAGAUUAUUAGAAUUUAACUAACAAGAACAAAUAAAAAGAUGAAAUAUUACCAUUUCCACACCUUCAUUUAAUCAAUUGAAAGAGGCAAAGACCCAUUCAAAGCCACAAAAUUAAGUGCCUAUGAAGAAGAACCCAUUUGAUUUGAAACCCAAUAAGCAUGUAUUUAUCGGUAUUUUUACCGAUUUUUUGAGAAAUUUCACAAUAUUUCCUACCAGUCCAGCCCGCGCACAAGAUACAAAAUCUAUCCAUUUUUUUUCUUUUUUUUUUUUAAAAAAAAACAUAAGAUGUUAUUUGGUAAUCUGAUCAUGAUUUGCAAGCAAAGUUUGUGUUUUUCAACUUGGCUCAAAAAUUGUGGAUUUAGGGUUCAUGCAAUUUAAAUCCAAUGACACAAAAACAAAGAGACCCCUAGAACAGAUCCAUAAAACAUAGGGAGCAAGAAAAAAAAAAACAAAUUUUUUUGUUCUCCUUGGGGGUUUUGCAUGGAUUUUCUCGGAAAUCAAACGAGGAUGAAUUUUCCCAAAAAUCGAAUGGGGGAUGGAUUUUCUUGGGAAUCAAAUGGGGGUUUUGCAAAAGAGAAAACACAAGAAGCAAAAAAAAAAAAUCAAUUUUUUUUGGUUUUCCUUGGGGGGUUUUGCAUGGAUUUUUCUUUGGAAAUCAAAACGAAAAUGAAUUUUUCCCAAAAAAUCAAAAUGGGGGGAUGGAAUUUUCCUUGGGGAUUCAAACGAAGGGGUUUUGCCAAAGAGAAAAACCACAAGGAGUAAAAAAAAAAAAACCCCAUUUUUUUGGGUUUUCCUGUGGGGUUUUUGCNNNNNNNNNNNNNNNNNNNNNNNNNNNNNNNNNNNNNNNNNNNNNNNNNNNNNNNNNNNNNNNNNNNNNNNNNNNNNNNNNNNNNNNNNNNNNNNNNNNNAAAAAAAAAACCCACUUUUUUUGUUUUUCCUGGGGGUUUUUCAUUGGAUUUUUCUGAAAAAACAAAAGAGAGAGUAAUUUUCCCAAAAAUCGAAUGGAGAAUGGAUUUUUUUGGGAAUUAAAUGGGGGAUUUUGCAAAGAGAAAACACAGGGAGCAAAAAAAAAAUCAAUUUUUUUUUUUCCUUAGGGGUUUUGCAUGGAUUUUCUCAAAAAUCAAACAAGGAUGAAUUUUCCCGUAAAUCGAAUGGGGGGUGGAUUUUUUUAGGAAUCAAACCGGGGUUGCAAAAAAAAAAAAAAAAAAAAAAAAAAAAAAAAAAACAAUAAUAACAUGAUUAGAUUAGUACCUGCGAUGAUUGAGAGUUGCAAAGAAAAAUAGGGCAGAUUCUCUCGUCUGGAGGGCAACUUCAAAAAAGGGCUUCUUGAUGCCCAAGGCCCCGAGUGAGAGAAGGGGGUGGCCCUUUUGAUUUUUAGAAUUAGUAGAGAUAAAAAAAAUGAAAAAAAAAAAAGAAUAAAAAAGGAAACAAAUCAUGAGAAUAAUUUUCCUCUCUCUAUAUAAAUAAUUAUUAAUUAUCCAUCUUUAUUUUCAUUAAAUCACUUCAUUGGAUUGAAAUUUCGGUUUUUAUGGAUGAUAUUUUAUGAAUUAAAAUUAAUUUGACAAAAUAAAUUAUUAAUAAUUUUAAUUAUUUAAAUAAAUUAAUAUUAAUAGAAAAAGUUGUUACCACAUAUUUUUAAUAAACUUUUAGAAAUUAAAUCUCAAAUAAAAUAUUUUAUAUAAAUUAUUUUAAAAAUGUAAUAAAACGAGUUUUAAUAAAAAUAUUUAAAAAAUUUUAAAACAAAUAUUGUCUUCAACAAGAUGGGCUCUCUUCAUCUAACAAUAUGAUGGAACCACAUCAAUCUUCAUUUUGAUACUAAAACUAUUGCAAUGUCAUAUAUGUAUUAUAUUUAUGUAUAAAUUAUUUUUAUUCAAUAAAAUCAAAUAUUUCUUAACUCAAUUCUAACUUUAUACACUUCCAAAAUUCAUAUUUAUUAUUCUUAAAAUUCAAAUAUCAAAUCUAUCGAUAUAUCACUGUUUACCGAUGUUUUUAUUUUUUAUCAUAUUUAUGUCAAAUAUAUUUACAAAAUAACUUUAAAUUAUGAAUUCUUACUUAUUUUAUCAAUUUUUGGAGGUUUUCCAAGCAUUCCUAUAAAUUUUAAAUAAUUUUCGCUCCACUGAUAUUUGUGAAAAAAUAUCCACCAAUAUUUUUUCAAUAUUUCUAAUGUAUCCGUAAAAUCGAAAUACCGAUAUAUUCGUAAUUAUCGAUAUUUUCAUUCUUGGUUUAGAGAAAAAAGUUUCAAACCCUAAGCUCUCAAAUGAAUAUCAGGUUUUGAGAAAAUGAGGAGUGUUCUUUGUAAAUACCACAAGGAACCUUGAUAGGUAAUUAUAACAUGAUAUCUUGACUUAUAAUCCAUAGGUCAUUUAAGAUCAUUUUACUAUAAUUAAAAUGGCAUAUAUGUUUAAAAUCAUACUUUGAAUUUUGAUUUUAUGUCAAGCUAGCCACAUUAUAUUAGUACCUUAACAUAUGAACAUACUAACUAUACAUUGACUUAUAAAUUAUCUGUCAAGAUUCUAUUAUAUAAGUCAUGAAAGAAUUCAACAAAAUUUUAUAUAUGUCAUUAUUGGUUUAAACAAGUUGUAUAUGUCAUAGUUGUUCAUUUAAAUAGGCAAUAUUAACACAUAUCACCUUAAGUCAAGAUAAUAUAUGUCAACAAUGACCUUUUUUCUUGUAAUGAUUUUUAUUACAUCUUCAAUUUUUACAUUUACAUAGUUUCACCAUGUACUAAUUUUGUGUCUAUACUUUGUAGGAAUAUCGCAAGGUUCAGAAAUCAAGAAGAAAUAAACACAUUACAAUCAUUAUCUUGGAAAAAAAGGAUAUGCACGUUUUGAGCAGAAUAUAGUAAGUUAUCAAUAUCGGCAAAAAAAAUAGAGUAUAUAUUUUGUUUAUAGGAAAAUGAUUCCAAUUUUUAAAUAUCAUUUAUUAACUUGGUCAUAUUGAACCAGUGAGUUUUAUUAUUAAAAUUUUUAUAGGUACAAGCAAAAGAGGAUAUUGGUAGGGUUGAUAGAAGUGUUUUAUGGAAGAAAGCACAUGAGAAGAAAGGAAAGUUUAAUAAGAUUACAGAGCCAGUGAAUAACAUGAUAGUAAGUUGGCAUAUUUAUGCCUUUUAGAGCCUAUAGUGUUAUUAUGUCUAUGUGAUUAUGGUUUGUGAUGAUAUCGUUAGGUGUUAAUAAGCAAGAGGCUUAAUGCUAUCACUUUUAUGAGUAGUCAUGUUAUGCUAAUGCAAAUAUAGUAGCCUAAUUUCAAAAUUAAUUUUAAAGUAGUAUACAUCAAUUUGUCUAUUAUCCUUUAUAUUAUCAAUGAUGGGGAAGCUAUUGGCUUUGAGCUUGAUUGGCUAACAAGCCUUGUCAUACUUGAAACUAAACAUCCUCAGGUAUGUAAUUUUAUGCUUGUAGUAAAUUUGAUUAUAACUUGGUAUUUUAUUGUUUAGGAGUAUAUAUUACUAACAUUCCUUUCCUUUUCAUAGGUGUUGGAUAAAUGAAAGAAAAAGAUAGUGAAGACACCAAUUAUUUGAAAAUCUAAGCCUCAAAAUCAUUCGGUCAUUAAAAAUUUUAAGAAAUUUGCGGAUGAUUAUCUUAGUAAUGAGAAGACAUACCCAAUACAACUCCCCAUUUCACUAUUUGGUGUCAAAUUUCAAACAUAUAUAUCUAGAGAGGAUUGUGAAUACAUUAUUUCAUCUUUAGAGGUGUCAUCAAACUGGAUCUCCUUCUAUUUAUGGUGUGCACUUUUAUUUUCAUUUGUUUUUAUUUUUUUAAUAUGAGUUUCCCAUGUUGAACGAGAUUGGAUAUGACUAAUGAUAAUUUUUUUUUGAUGUUUUAUUAAAAAAAAAUAGGCACAUGCAUGAUCAACUACAUAUUUCCAAAAAGGAAUCACAAUUUAUAUUUGUUAAUCCUUUUACAAUAUCACGAGCAGGCUUUAGUACUCCUCAAACAGAGAAAAGAGCACAAUUGUUGUCAAAACGCUUAAUAGAAUGCCAAGAUGCUGAAUAUGUUUUCAUGCCCUACAACCCCAAGUAAGUGAUGAAUAUUAUACUUUAACUUGAGGUUUUAUGAUUAAUUUAUAUUUAUAAUUAGAUGCUACUUUUGUUUUUAAUGUUUUAGCUUUCAUUAGGUCUUAGAAGUGAUUGAGCCAAGGAAAAUGAUAGUCCACUAUCUUGACCCUAUGCAUCACAAACCAUGUUAGGACUUAAAGGAUAUCGUAAACAUGUAAGUUUUUCCUAUUAUUUUUCAUAGUAUUAUUUAAAAAAAAAAAUACAUUCACCUCAAACACAUUUUUUUUUUAUUUCUAUAUAUUAAAACAUAUAACAUUUACCUAUUUUAAAAAUGUACCCAUUGAACUUAUUUACAUAGGGUUCUUCAAAUAUCUGCAAAGAAAACAUCUAAGAGGAAGCCAUCUUGGCAACUAGUGUAGGUGACAUCCAUAAUUUUCUUUACACAUUUAGCUUAUGCAUUUGCACCAUUUAUAUAUAUGAGCACUAAUGUUAUUUUAUAAUUGAUUGAUUAAUGUCCAAGACAAGAAAGAGGGUUCGAAUGUGGCUACUUUGUUAUGGGAUUCAUUAAAGAGAUAAUUUUUUAUCCUAAAAUUAUUGCUUCAAAGGUAUUACUUAUUUAAUGAAUUGUAAAUAGUUUUAAUGUUAUGCAUUUUAAUGUUAUUUUCUUAUUUGAUUUCAGUUUGGUGAUAAAAAUAAAAAUAAAAAAUAAAAAAAAUAAAAAAAACAUAUUCUCAAGUAGAAUUCGAUGAAAUUAAAGGAGAAUAGGCUACUUUUGUGCUAUAACUAAUGAUGAAUCAUGUUGAUGCAUCAUGAUCACCAUGCAUGGUGAGUUCCUUAGUUACUACAUGAAUUUUUCCAUAGGUAUUGUACUUUGAACAAUGUGUGUAUUUGAAAAAAAAAAGAAAAAAAAAAUAGUUCUUAGAUUUGUUCAUUUAUGAUAACAUCGAUCCAUGUUUAUUUUCUUCAAUAAAAAUCUAUAAAACUCAUUAAACCAUGAAAUGCAGGUAUCCGCUCUUGGGAUGGUGGAAUGGAGAAUAAAAAGAAAGAAGAAGGCAACAAGAUUUUGGGUUUUUAAAUGCAACUCUUAUGUCAUACGUUGUAGGACAUAAACGCUACUUUAAUUGGUACUAAGAAUUUUAGAUUUUUAGAUGCGACUUUUAUGUCAUUUUAUAGUUAGUCAGUUUUAUGCUUAUGAAAUGGAGGUAUACAUGAAUCUUGGGAUCUUUAACAUUUCUAAAUCAUGUUUUGGUAUGUAUUCACUCUUCUUUUUUAGUUUUGAUGGGUUUGAUAUGUUGGAUGUACUAUCUUUUUGUGAACAUUUGAUAUAUUAAUAUUAUUAGAUGAUUAAUGUAUUACGAGUUAUUCCGUAAACAUUAUAGAAAAAUGAGUCAAAUGUAAUAUGAUUGUUAUAUUUAUGGACAAAAUAUACACAAGUUAAUCUUAUUAAUUCAUAAGCAUUACAAAAAUCUACAACUAAAAACAAUAAUAUCUUCCACAAUAAUUUACAAUGAUGUGACAUCAUAACUCAAAGGUGAUGCCUUUAAUGUGACAUCAUAACUCAAAGAUGAUGCAUUUAAUGCAACACCCUAUCAUCACUAGAAAUAUAUGGUGUUACUUCCGAAUUGUGUCACCAUUUAUCUACUUUGGUGUCACUUCUAAAUACGUCACCAAUUGGUAUCCUUUAUGGUGUCAGUGGAGAAGGUGACGCUAUGUUGUAGUGACACCCUAUGUUUAUGGUGGCUUGUUAUAAAUGUCACCAUACAUCUUUUUCCUUGUAGUGAGUUAAAAAGAGUGGAUAUAGGUGGAUUUUCAAACCACUAUAAAAAAGUUGGCAUAUAUCUUCUUUUUAUCUUUUAUGUAAUUAUUGCCUUAAUUAAUUUCUCUUAUUGUUUUUGUUAUUAAUUGGUUGUUUUUGAACAAAAAAUUUAACACCUAAUUCAUCCCUCCUCCCCUCCCUUUAGUGAUUUACUUAAUCAAAUUGGCCAUUUUCACAAUUAUUAUCAAGUACAUAUGUGUUAUGGAGAAUGGUGGGUAUGACUGGCAAUUGGAAAAUGACUUUUUAAGAAGGUAGAUGGGUUGGUGGUGAAGAUGGUGAAAGGUUGAAGGGGUUAUGGCAUUAGGUAUAGAUGUGGUAAGCCAUUGUUAGCGAUGGUCGUUUUCUCCCUUUUUAAAGAUAGGUUUUUUUUUUUUCAAAGUUGCAAUGGUGCUUGACUAGGUGAGGGUCUAAGAUUUUGUUUGUUUGUUUGUUUGUUUGUUUUGUUUUGUUUUGUUUUUUCUUUUUCAUCUUUUUUCCCAAACAACACUCCUCACAACUCCAUCUUUGUCAUCUUUGCUACAAAAACAAAACAUGCUACUACAACGCAUUUAAUGCGCUUCAUCAUGCCAUGAGUUUUAUAUUAUUUAAAAUUUAGAAAUUAAAAAAAAAUUAAAAUAGAAUUUAGAAAUUAAAAAAUAGAUUAAAAAUAAAAUUCAAAUUUUACAAUUUGUAUUAUUUAAAAUUUAGAAAUAAAAUAAUUAAAAAUAAAUAAAAAAUAGAAUUUACAUAUUAAAAAUUAGACUAAAAAAAAUUGAAAAUUCAAAGUAAGGAAUUUAAAACAUAAAUUAAAUAUUUUAUUAAAAAAUGUAUGCAAGUAAAAAAGAUCAUUAACAAAUUAGUACCUACAACAAUUACUACUUUUAUGACAUAAUUUAUGAUUUUAUUCUUAAUAACAAAUCACUUUUGAAAAAUUAGUAAUUAAUAAUUGAAAAUAAUAAAUACAUAGUCGGAUUAUUUAAAAAUAAAAUAAACAAUUAUUAAUUAAGAUGUGGUUGGAUCCUUUACAAAGAAACUUUUUAUGUAUAUAAUAUAUUACUAUUAUAUAGUGUAUUUUUUAUUUUGUAAAAUAGCAAUAUAGUAGUUAUGCAUAUAGUACAAUAUAUUAUAUGAUAUAAUAUUUAACUUAUAAUCAUAUAUUUAUAAAAAUAUAUAUAUAUAUGAUAUCUUUAUACACACAUUAUAUUUGGAAUUCUAGAUCAAUGUAAUGUCUUUAGAGAAACUAGACUAUUUAUUUGAUAAAUUCCAAUAUAUAAAAGUUUUUUAAAAACUAAGCAAUAAUUUAAAAAAUGUUCCUAUUGGGUUAAACUAAGCAAUUAAAUAUUAUUAUAAAUUUACUUUGUGAGCAAACAAGCUUAGGGGUAGCAAUUUGUGUUGGUGGGUCAUAUUUGUGUUGUGUCAAACCCGACAUGAAUAAUAAUAUGAUUAAAAACAUAUAACCAAAUACUACAUAAUUAUUAAACAAGUAACAUGUCGUGUAACUCAUUUAUCUUAUUUAAUAAUUAGGCUUUAUCUUUUAAUAAUUAGGUUGAGUUAGGUCUUGUGUUAAUUUAUAUAACCAAUAUAUGUUUAUAACUCAAUUAUCCUAUUUAUUUAAAAUAAAGUUUAAAAUGUACCAAAUAUUGGUUAAAUAUUUUAAAGUUAUAAUUAAACUAAUCAACACGAUUAUUAAAUGAAUCAAUUUAUGUCAAAUUUUGUUAUGCAUGCGGAUCCAAAGACUACCUAGUUAUUAAACGAGUUAUAUAGAACCACAUGAAUUUGACUCAAACUCAAUUAUACUCAACUCAACCACAUAAAAAGCAUGUUAGAUUCAAGUCUUGUUGAUUAAAUGUAUGAAAUUUUAUCACCCUUAAACAAGUCCGAUGUCAAAUGAUAACAAAUUAGAAGACUAUAGUUUAUCCAUAACUAACAUAAAUUUAAUUUGAGAUUUAUGUAUUAAAGUGAAAAAUUCAAAAUGGAACUAAAAUAAAAGUAUGAUUAAGAGAAAACAUUAGAAUAAUGUUGAAGUGUAAUACUUGAACCGACAUCAAUAAAAUAAUAAUCAAAAUGAGAUUAGAGUUCUACAUUCUUUUUUGUUUUCUUUCUCUUUCUCUUGUAUUUCAAAAAUAUCAAACACAAUAAAACACUAUAGAGGCAAAUCAUGCAUAUAAUAAUUUAUGAUAUAUUUCAAUUACUUUUAUAACUACUCUUUAUAUAUAUAUAUAUAUAAUGUAUGCAAGUAUAAAAACUCCUUUACAAGUUAGUAGCUACAAUAGUUAUUAUUUUAAGGUACAAUUUAUGAUUUUAUUCUUAAUAAUUAAUUACUUUUAGCAAAUUAGUAAUUAAUGAUUAAAAAUAAUAAAUGCAUAAUGAGAUCAUUAAAAAAUAAAAUAAUCAAUUACUAAUAAAGAUAUGGUUGGAUACUUUACGAAAAACCUUUAGACUUACAUUUUUUAUUUUGUAAAUAGUAAUAUAGUAGUUGGGCAUAUAGUGUCUUAUAUUGUAUCAUAUAAUAAUUAUCUUGCAAUCAUAUAUUUAUUAAUAAUAUAUAUCUUUAUACGCACAAGUCAUAUUUGGAAUUUUAUGUAAAUAGAAUGUCUUCAUGGAUGCUAGGCAAUUUAUUUGAUAAAUUCCAUUUUGAACAAUUAUUUAAAAAUCAAGUAAUAAUUAAAAAGAAUUUCUAUUAGUUUAAACCAAUGAUGAAAAUAUCGGUAAUUACGGAUAUAUCAGUACUUUCAUUUUAUGGAUAUAUUGGAUAUAUCGGAGAUAUAUCGACAAAUAUUUUGACAUAAAAUAUCGAUGAACCUAAAAUUGAUAAAAAAAAAAUUAUAGAAAUAUAAGAAAAUAACACUUAAAAAUAAAAUUAGAAAUAUAAUAGAUAUUUUAAAAUUGUUUUGUUUAAUAAAUUGAUAUAUGCAUAAUAUAAUUUAUCAUAUUUGAUGAUAAUAUUGUAUGUGCUAAUAAAAAAACUAUAAAUUUCAUAAGUAUAUAUUUAUUAUUAAAUUAUAUCAAAUAUUAUUCACAAUAACAUUGUGAUGUUUGAUUAUAAUAUGUCUAAUUUUAAAAUAUAUUUAAUGUUAAAAUUAUAAUUCAUUUAAUUAUAUUAAAUGAUAUAAAAUAAAUGAUGAUAUAUGUAUAAUUUUUAAUACUUAAUUAAUAUAUUAAUGAUAUUAAAAACACUAUGGUAUAUUUGGUAUAAUUCAUUUAAUUCAUAAUAAUUUUUAUUAAACACUAUGGUAUUCAAAUAGAAGAAAUUUUUUUAUUUAAUUAUAAAAUAAUUAUAAUUAAUUUGUUCUUUAAAACAUUUUUUUUAAAUUAUGUUUAUAUGAUGAAUUUGACUUUAUAUAUAUUUGGUGCAGGUUAUAUAGCAAGGGGCAAACUUUCCCUAGCAGUUGACUCACUUCUAGCCAAACCUUUUGGUGGGGUUUGAGCCCUCGAUGGAAAUCUUAAGGCAUUUUUAAAAGUUUAACCGCAUUGAUCCUCGUAUAACCACCCAAAAUAUCGCGAUAUAUUGGAGAUAAAAUAAUAAAAUGCUAAUAAAUCCGGAGAAAUAGGUGAACUUCACGAGAAAAUGAUAAAAUAUCGUGAAACUGAUAUUUCUCUUCCAUAUAUCGUGUCAUAAGACAUGAUUUUGUAUGAGAACAAAUUAGGGGACUAUAGCUUAUUCAUAGCUAACUUAAAUUCAAUACUAUUUUACAAUUAUAUAGAUAACUUUUACCUAAUAUAAUAAAAAUCAUUUAGUAUUAUUUAUGUUUGAGUAGCAUCAUAUAAUAAUAUUGAAAUUUAAAUAAAUUUAUAUUAUGGGAUAUAAUCUUACAUGUCUUGGAUUGUUUGUUAUUAUUUAUAUAAAAAAUAUAAAUAACAUUUUACAUUAUAAAAAUUAAUUGCUCAAAUAAUUUUCCUUUUUAUUAUUUCAUAAUAAUACUAUUAUUACGUUACAAAACAUUUAAAUUUAAAUAAAUCUAUAAUGUAGUAUUUCAUUUUUUGGAUCUUUAAUUAUUUUUAUUAUUAUUUUAUAGAAAUAAAAUAUUAUAGUAUAAAUAUUAAGUCUCAAAAAAUACAUAUGUCAUUUGACAAUAUAAAUCAUCUUGCUAUUUAUCAAUAUUAUUUAUUAAUAUCACAAUUUAAUAACAUCAUUUAGUAAUAAAAUCAUUCAAUUUGUCAAGAAAUAAUAUAAGCAAUUAAUGAAACCAUUUUGUAAGCAAAUAUAUAUAAAAAGUUGUAACUUUUAGUAAGAAAAUUAUUUUUGUCACCAAAAAUUGUAAUGAGACAAAUAUUUUUGUGGGAAAAUAGUUUUGUUCUAUCACAAAAGUGUUUGCCCCAAAAAAAUGACGAUGCCAAAAUUUUCCAUCAUGUAUUUUAGUGAUGAAAAUUUCAAAUUCAUCAGGAAAAGUUUUCAAAAAAUUGACACCAUUCACAACAUCUAAAAUUUCAUCAAUAAAAUUUACUUUUAAAGAUAAAAGUAUAAUUUACCCCUAAAGUUUCUUUUUUAUUUGCUUCAUUAUGAAAUUUAAGAUAAGUUCUUCAAGUAUGAUUUAUUUUUUAUAUUCUUUUCUCUUUCUUUAACCACGAGAUUAAUAGGAAGAAGAAUUGAGGAAAUGAGAAAAAUGGUUAUGGUAAAGAAAUAACAAAGUAAUAACAAGAUUUAGGCUGUGGGUAGGAGAUAAGUAAAACUAGUGGUUAAUUAAUAAAUAAUUAUCCUACUUCCUACCAUGAAAAAAAAAAAAGAAUACUAACAUUAUUAAUUCAACAAAACCCAUUAAUGUAAUUAUGGGAAGUGAAAAUGAUAAUAAUAAUAUGAUUAAUAAAAAAAUUAAUUAAAAAAAAUAGAUUUUUAGAAAAGGGUUUGGAAUUAAAAUAAGUUUUACAAAAAAAUUUGGAGGUCAUUAAUUUAGAUAAUUAGUCUUUAAUAAUUAUUUUUUAUUUAUAUUUAUAUUAGGUCUAGAUAAAGUCUUUCAGGAUUUUGAAUGAUUUCUUCAAGGUAAGGGUUAAUAGUAUAGUAAACUAUUUUAUAAUUCCUUAUUUGUUUUCAUUUGUUUUUAAACUAUCGAAAUGUUUAAAUUCCCUAAAGUGAAUCAAAUAAUAUUUUACUAAAAAUGUUAUGAUUUGUUCCUUAGUUUAUAAAAUAAAUUGGGAAUAUCAUAUGAUUUAUUUAUUGUUAUGCAAGUGAAUUUUGUUGUUUAAUUUAUUAUAUUGGUUUUGAAACUCUAGUUAUUAGUGGACUUGGUCAACAAGGGAGCAAUUGUUGACCUUUGUUACCUUUGGUAGGGUAGUGAUAUAAUGGAACCCUAACUAAUAAGGGUGUUAAAGGUAUACCAUUGAUUAUAAAUCAUUUCAUCCAUGUCUAUAAGGAACAAAGUGAGACUAGCCACCUAAUGUAAGUUCUACUAUUUGGACACAAUGUUAUUAUCAAUAAGUCAGAGUAAAAUGUUUAUUUAUAAUUUAAGUAUGCAAAGUAUAUUAAUUAUUUAGUUCUAUCUUUUAAUUGAAAGUGCAUACUUUUUUGAAGAAAGUGAAUUUAAUUAUUGAAUUAAAUGAAUCCCUACUAAUCAUUUUUUUUUUUUUUUAAUAAAGAUGUGAUAUCUCCUAGGAUUUAACUUUAUACUAUACUUGAUCCUCCUUAUUGAACUAUUUUUCCUCACUGAGUUUUAAGUUCACUCUUCUCUAUUAUUCCACUUUUUAGGUAUAAAUGAUAUUAAUGAGGGGAAAUCAAGAUAAGAAAGGUGUUUCUUUUGAAAAUAGCUUAACAAUUAAUUAUUUAGGAGUUUUAAAUUAAGAUUGAAUUUAAUAUUGAUUUCUAAAACUCUUUAAAGUGUUUUGGGAUGAUCUUUGAAUUUAUUAUUUAGAUAUUUUUAAUUAGUUUUGGGUUAGAAAUUUAUAAUCAUUGUUAAGAAUCAAUUUGAGGAAGUUGUCAACUAAUUACUUAUUGGAUUUGUUAGUUAAAGUCAUUCAUGUGUUGGACUCUUGGGUUUGACAAGUGAAAUAACCGUGGUGUCUUUGAUAUCCGGGUGUCACAAUUAAUAUAUCUAAAAAACUAUUUUCUAAAAUAUCUUUUAAAAAUGGCUCAUUGUUUUGAAAUCAAAAUAGUAUUUUUCAUAUUUAAAAAAUUAGAAACACAAUUUUGAAAAGAAAGCGAAAAUAAUCUUCAUUUUCAAAGAAAGAUUUCUUGUUAAGGUAAAAAUAGACAUUCAACAAUUUAACCAAUUAUUGCAUAAAUAUGUAUCAUAUGGAGAAAAAAAAAUUAUAUUAAAGCUCCACAAAUAGAAGGGAAUUUAUUCCAAAAGUUUAAAAGGAAAUGUGAGGAAAAAAAAUGGUGUGAAAAAAUAGGAGAAAGAAAGUGAAAAAAUAAAAAAGGUUUAAAUUAACUUGAUCAAUUUUUACGCGUCUUCAAAUUUAUUCAUCAUUUUUUCUGUUUCUAAACAAUUUCAAAAUAUAUAAAUCUUUGCAUAAUUUAUUUAUAAAGUAUAGAUUAUAUUUGUUUUGAAUUUUUUUUAAAUCUAUAAUUAUUUAUUAUUAUUAUUAUUAUUAUUAUUAAAUUGCUUUUUGUUGAGAAAAAAAGAUACUGUGAGUCUUAAUAGAUGUUUUAAGUGAUUCGUAACAUACAAUGGGUUGUUCGUAUUCUAUUUUCAACUUUAAAAAAAAAAAUUUUUUGUGUUUUUUUAUGGAAAAUUAGCUAAUCAUCUUUUCUUUUCUAAUCUUAAUUCUCAAGUUUUUAAAAAAUUGGGAAACAACUGUGAAUGAGCGAAAACAAUGUGAAUGUUUGAAAAUUUCUAACAGACCCAUUCCAUUCAGCAUUCAGACGACAAAACCACCCACCCCAGACCAGGGGCCAAAAACAAAUAAGUUACCUCAAGACACCACACCAAAAGAAGCGUUUGGCCAAAUAUUUUUAAAAUAAGAAUACUAAAAAAGGUAUACUAUUAAAUUUCAAAAAAAAAAAAAAAAACACUAGACUAGAUGUAUUUAAUCAAAACCCUAGGACAAAAGAAUGAAAUUAAUAGUAUAUGAAAAGUUAUUGUCAAUCUACCAUUUAUCAAUUAUUCUUGAAUGUCAUUCUCUUACCGUAUCUCUCGCAUUAUACCAUUUAUAUAUUUUUAAUACGGGUCCACCUAUAACAUCGUCCCAUUCGGUUAUUGUACUUUUCACAUGGUACCAUUUAUAUACUUUCAAAAUGGGUCUACCUAUAGCAUGUUGAAGUAUAGCUUCUACUAUAGUAUUAAAAAUAUGAUUUUUUUUUUUCGAUAGAUACUGAAAAUCAUGUAACAUUUAAUUAAGUACACUAUUAUUCUACAAAUAUAAAAAAAAUAAUAUUAUUAAUCAAAUGGUGUCAUUUCCUUCAAGUUUAUUCACACCAUUUUUGACUCAUUCGUUGGACAUUAUAGUGCUACAAAUGGAUGAAGACAACAAGUAAAAUAAAAAUAUCAACAAUAGAAAUAGAAUGUAAAACUUAAAUUGGACAUUAUUUGCUGGUGCAUGGAAUUUAUCUGUGCACUGUCUUAUCGAGGUUAUGGCAGGUAGACCCAGUAGCUUCUUACAUCCAUGCUCAUUUCUUUAAUCGUUCAUUGAAUGUUGUGAGGUGCUCACCAAAUUUUACAAAUCCAUAGGAACGGACCCAGAACAAGGACUAGGUUUGAUUCAACUGGAAAUGGAGAAUACAGAUACACUUUGGUUCCUUGCAUGAUAAAAAAUAUUAUGAGAAAUGUUUAAACUUAAAGUUUAUUUUAUGGAUUUGCAAAUGUGAAUGCUUUUUUGGUCUGGAUUUGCGAGAGCGUGAUAUGGGUAUUCAAUUCAGCUGUUAUAUUUCAUUUUUCUAUUAAUGGGAUAAGGAUUGAAGAGUUCAACAAACAUCCGUAUAAAAAAUAAAGAUAAUUUCAUUCAAAUUCUAGUAAUCAAUUGCCUCAUUUUAUGCCCUUACUCACACUUUGUGAACCAAUCUUUCAAUUAGAAAUUAAUUUAUGGCAUAUAUAUAUAUAUACUUGUUGUAAUGCAUAUAAUAAGACCAUAUAAAAACUAAAAAGAAAAAAGGAAUGAAUGAUGCCAUAACACUAACACGUGCAGGAGUUUAUUUAAAUAUGGUUUCUAAUUUAACUAAAGUCACAUCUUCAAAAUGACAUUUUAAAAUUUGAACAGAGAUAUUUAUUUAUUUUAUUGGAGUUGGAUUUGAAUGUUUGGAUUGACCAAUUUCAUAAAUAAUUAUUUAUUUCAUUUAUUGGAGUUUAAUUUGAAUGUCUGGAUUGACCUGAUUUAAUAAAUAAUUAUUUAUUGGGUUUGCGUUUGAGUAUCCAAGUGACCUAAGCCAACCUAAUAAAUAAAAAUAAGGGAGAAGUUUUUGAAAGCUUUAAAACUACUAAAAAACUAUUAUUAAAAAAAUAAAUAGUGUGAAUGUUAGACUUCUGGGGAUGAGAAAAUAAAAAAGAAAAUAAUUCUUCUUUAUAGGACAAAGUCCCCUCUUGAAUUUUUUCCUAUUUUCUUUAUAAAAAUGAGGGUCAAAAUUUUUAUGCCGUCAAAAUAGAGUGAUUCUUAUAAGCUUUAGAUGUGAUGUUGGUUGACUAUUAUGAUAGUAAAUUGGGGAGGAUGCUUGCAUAUAGUGUGUAUCUUUGAUGGACAUGCAUUUGUAUAAUUUUUUUUUAUGAUUUAUGAACAUUUUGCAAUCAUCAUGUAGAUUUGAUUUGGUUUGAUUUGAAUUUUUGGACGUGCAACAUAAGAAAUAGGUUUUCUAUUAAGAUAUUUGAAUGGGUAUAGGUUUGUACUUUAGAAAUGAACAUAUGAUUAAAAUAAACCUGUUUCUAACCUUCUAACACACAAAUUUGGAAAUCUAAACAUAUGGAUUGUUUCUGAAAGCAGCGCUGACUUUUCCCUUCCUACCAAAUACAAACAUCAUGGCUGGAGAGUUAAUGAAGAUUUUUACCACUACCAUGGAUUCUGGUGCUAUUCCUUCUUCCUAGAAGGAACCAUGAAAUCUCAAGAACACUUCCAGGUCCAAUCUUGAUAAAUUAUUUAAUUUUGAUUUUUUUUUUCAAAUCUAUAAUUAUUUAUUAUUAUUAUUGUUAAAUUGCUUUUUGUUAAAUUUAAAUCUCUAAAUUAUUAUGCGAGGUCAAAGUUUCAAAAGUAUUCUACAUAUAUUUUAAAUUUAUUUCUUGGUCAAUUCUCAUAAUUAUAGUGGUCCUGCUCAUUGAACUGGUCCUGGAAGAACAUUCAAAUUACUUUAUCUUAUAUUGAUACGUGGCGAGAAAUUGUUGAACCCCAGAAGAAUCGUCUUGAAUAUAUUAUGAAUUAUAUAUUAAAGAAAUACAGAAAAAGUUUGGGAGAAACCGGCUGUUGGCCGCCCACAGAAGGUGACAGCAGCCAUAAAAGUUGCAGUUCAGCUUUCACCAAUUCUAGUUUUGGUUCUCUCCAGCCUCUAUAAAUACCUUUAAGAAUUCAUCUAUUCAUGUCAAAGAGCAGAUAAGUCGUGCUGUUAGAAAUAGUAAGGAAAUUGAAGGAGUUGUGUUUAGGACAAGAGAAGCUUUUCUUCCAAAGAAGAUGUGGCUGAUCAUGAAGGUUUUCCUCUUGCAAAUUUUAGCGUUUCUACUUUUUGGUGGUGGCAUCUAUUGCCAAGCUUCAACCCGUCGGCUUACUUUUGUGGUAAAUACUAUAUAUGAUUCUAUCCUUAACGCCACCUUAUGAUCGUAAUAUUUAGGGAGUAGUAUUACUCUCAUUUUCCACCGUAUGACCCCCAUGGGGUCUCGGGUACCCUGUGUCAUUGAGUCAUUCAUGCAUGCUAUCAAUUUCUAAUUGGUUAUUAACUUGCAUGAAUGGAUCGAUGCAACUAUUCAUGCAUGUAAUAUGUCUUUGGGGAUGAGGUUGCAUGGUUUCUUCCUAGAAGGAACCAUGAAAUCUCAAGAACACUUCCAGGUCGAAUCUUGAUAAAUUAUUUAAUUUUGAUUUUUUUUUUAAAUCUAUAAUUAUUUAUUAUUAUUUUUAUUAUUGUUAAAUUGCUUUUUUGUUAAAUUUAAAUCUAUCAAUUAUUAUGCGAGGUCAAAGUUUUAAAAGUAUUCUACAUAUAUUUUAAAUUUAUUUCUUGGUCAAUUCUCAAAGUCAAACUUGUAUUCCACGAUACACAGCCUGAUUGAAGCUGAGUUGUAAGAAAUUAAUUUUCAGGCAUUUGGUUUAUUUAAAAUUUGGUAAGUGAUCAAAUAUCAUAAUUAUAGUGGUCCUGCUCAUUGAACUGGUCCUGGAAGAACAUUCAAAUUACUUUAUCUUAUAUUGAUACGUGACGAGAAAUUGUUGAACCCCAGGAGAAUCGUCUUGAAUAUAUUAUGAAUUAUAUAUUAAAGAAAUACAGCAAAAUUUCGGGAGAAACCGGCUGUUGGGUGCCCACAGAAGGUGACAGCAGCCAUAAAAGUUGCUGUCCAGGUUUCACCAAUUCUAGUUUUGGUUCUCUCCAGCCUCUAUAAAUACCUUUAAGAAUUCAUCUAUUCAUGUCAAAGAGCAGAUAAGUCGUGCUAUUAGAAAUAGUAAGAAAAUUGAAGUUGUGUUUAGGACAAGAGAAGCUUUUCUUCCAAAGAAGAUGUGGCUGAUCAUGAAGGUUUUCCUCUUGCAAAUUUUAGUGUUUCUACUUUUUGGUGGUGGCAUCUAUUGCCAAGCUUCAACCCGUCGACUUACUUUUGUGGUAAAUACUAUAUAUGAUUCUAGACUUAACACCACCUUAUGAUCGUAAUAUUCAGGGAGUAGUAUUACUCUCAUUUUCCACCGUAUGACCCCAAUGGGGUCUCGGGUACCCUAUGUCAUUGAGUCAUUCAUGCAUGCUAUCAAUUUCUAAUUGGUUAUACACUUGCAUGAAUGGAUCAAUGCAACUAUUCAUGCAUGUAAUAUGUCUUUAGGGAUGAGGUUGCAUGGUUAACUUUUAAUUGGUUGCAGGUGAAGGAAGCUUCAUAUACAAGGCUUUGUAGCUCCAAGAACAUCUUAACAGUAAAUGGACAAUUUCCAGGACCAACUAUAUAUGCUAAGAAAGGAGAGACGAUCAUUGUUGACGUUUAUAACAAAGGAAAAGAAAACAUCACCAUUCACUGGUAGGUCUUGUGGGUAUCUUAAAAAACAAUAGCAAUUGACAGCAUGCCUACGUGACAUAUAUUGCUUUGCUAAGAGGGGGCUACAAUAUAUUGCUUUGCUAAUAAAGUCAAAUUUAAACAAUACUUUAUGGUUAUUUGUUUCAAUUCCAUUGAAAUAUGUACAGUUGAUGCCUCUUGUUACCAUGACAAUAUAUUGUUGCAUGCCAUCUUUUGUUAGUCCAAAAAUUAGUACUAGUUUUAACAUGUAGUUAUUGUUUGGCAGGCAUGGGGUGAGCAUGCCUAGAUAUCCAUGGACAGAUGGUCCCGAGUAUAUCACACAAUGCCCAAUUCAACCAGGGUCAAAAUUUAGCCAAAAGAUCAUUCUUUCCUUUGAGGAAGGCACUCUAUGGUGGCAUGCUCACAGUGAUUGGACCCGAGCCACCGUUCAUGGAGCUAUAAUCAUCUAUCCCAAGAAUGGAACCAAGUAUCCUUUUCCCAAACCUGAUGCAGAAGUUCCCAUCAUAUUAGGUACAAGUCUCGUUACUAUUAAAGGUUAAUUUACAUAUUAUGGAUUAACUAGCAAAGCGAAAUCUAAAAUUAUUGAAGUUGUUGAAAUGCAGGAGAAUGGUGGAAGAGUGAUGUGAAUGCGGUUCGAGAUGAAGGGCUUGCAACUGGAGCUGACCCCAAUGUCUCUGAUUCUUUUUUGAUAAAUGGACAACCUGGUGAUCUACUUCCAUGUUCAAAAUCAAGUACAAACUAAGUUUAACUUCCCACUUUAAAAUUGUACACGAUUUCAUUUUCUUGUUUGUUGACCAUAUUACUUUUUCUUAUUAACAUCAACAUAUUUAAAGCUUAAUGUUAAAAAAGAGGAAUAUAGCUAUGAGGAUGGUAGAGCCAUGAUUUAACACAUAAGAAAAGGCUAGUCCAAAUAUAAUUUUGAACUAUGGAGCCAAAUUUACACCACUAAUCACUUCAUAAUUGGUGGAUCCUCAUGGAAAAUUUUUCUUUUUCUUUUCGCUAGUCAUAAGUAUUAAACUUUCUCUUUCUAAUUGCAGGCACAUUCAAGCUAACGGUGGAUCAUGGAAAGACCUAUCUACUUCGCAUAAUCUGUGCUGCCUUACAUGAGCCUCUCUUCUUCUCCAUUGCCAAGCAUAAAAUGACAGUGGUUGGAACAGACGGUAGCUACACGAAACCAUUGACACGAGAUUAUAUCACAAUAUAUCCUGGCCAAACCUACGAUGUCUUACUAGAAGCUAACCAACACCCAGAUCACUAUUACAUGGCAGCUAAAACUUAUUCCAGUGCUCCCGGUAGUCCUAAUGCUUUUGAUAAUACAACCACCACAGCUAUUGUACAGUACAGGGGAUACUACACUCCAUCUUCACCUCCCUCCUUGCCUCAUUUUCCUGCAUACAAUGACACAAAUGCAUCGGUUCAGGUCAUGGCCGGCCUCCGAAGCUUAGCAGAUGCGGAACAUCCUUGCAAUGUCCCAUUGAGCCCAAGCACUAAACUGAUUUACACUGUUUCUAUGAACUCGUUCCUAUGCCCCAAUAAUUCAUGUGGAGGGCCCAAUGGGACGCGGUUCGCCGCAAGUAUAAACAACAUAAGCUUCCAAUCCCCUACAAUUGACAUACUGCAAGCUUACUAUUAUAACAUCAGUGGUGUAUAUGGAGAUAAAUUUCCAAGCGUUCCACCACUGGUGUUCGAUUUUACCAAUGAUAUUCUUCCCUUAGAGUAUCAGAUUCCGAAAAACAGAACAGAAGUAAGGGUGCUCGAGUAUAACUCCACAGUGGAGAUUGUUUUUCAAGGGACAAGCUUGAUUUCAGGGACAACCCACCCCAUGCAUCUCCAUGGAUAUAGUUUCUAUGUUGUUGGAUGGGGAUUUGGGAAUUUCGAUAAAAAUAAGGACCCAUUGCACUACAAUCUAGUGGAUCCUCCCCUUCAAAGUACCAUCUCUGUUCCUACGAAAGGUUGGGCUGCAAUCAGAUUCGAGGCAUCCAACCCUGGUAUGUUGCAAGCACUCAUGUGAAUUUAGAAAAAAAAACCCUUGAAACUGCCAACCUACAUACCAAGGAAAUAAUUUUUCUUAACAUUGCAAUAAGUUAGGUGUAAUGUUGGUAUAUUUUCUCUAUUGCAGGAGUGUGGUUCAUGCAUUGCCAUGUCGAACGCCAUCUGACUUGGGGCAUGGAAACUGCGUUCAUAGUGAAAAAUGGUAAACACCUAGAAGCUGAAAUGUUGCCUCCGCCAUCUGACAUGCCACCAUGUUGAAGCUGCAAAGAAUUAACAUGGUAUAUUUUCAUUGAAUGUUUGCAUUAUUCAACUUUUUGUUUGACUAAGUAUUCCUCUUGUAUUAAAAUAACAAGCAUAAUGUAAAGUUGUAGAAUAUUGUCUGGGAUUAUUAUAUAAUUUGUCAAUUUCUUGGAUUGUUAAAAGUCUAUAAAGAUAAUAUUGUAGAAUAAUCUUUGAGAUAUGCUAUGGUGGAAUUUGCCAUGGAAGUCUUUGAUUAUAAAAAGAGAAAUUUACGCUAUGUUCCUAUUUCAACGUUAAUUAAUUUCAAUAUGAGUAACUCAUUAAAUAGACCAUUACAAUGCUAAUAAUCCUCCCAAUGCCAUAUUCACAAUAGAUAUAAAAGAGUAAUUGAAUUAUUCAAAUAUUUUAAAAUUAGACUAUGAUCUAAAAAGGUCAUGAAAUGGUUUGUUUAAUUUUUAAUUUUACAUCUCAAAAUAUUUUGCAAAUAAUAAAAAUUUUAUGAAGUCUUACACAAUGGAGAUAAAAUCAAUUCUUUUCUAUUUAUUUAUUUCAAAUUAAAAUAAUCACUUUUUCCUAAAUUUAAAAUAAUUGAUAUAUAAUUUAUAUUUUUACCUCCUAUUUUAGUAACAAUAUCACAAGAUCUACACCAAGAUAAAGGAGAAGGAAAAAAAAGUGAAAAAAAAAAAAUCAUCCAUUUCCAUUGCAUGGGGACAAAUUGAGUUUAACCUGACACCGAAGGAACUCCAAGUCUAUUUUUAGUUAUUUAACUUUUCAACCCUCAUUUUUUAUUUUUUAUUUUUUAUUUUACAUCAUAGUAAACCCUUUCCUACUUUCUUAAAUUUAAAUAACAAGUAAAAAAUUGAUUCAAACGAUUGAUCAUUUGAAUUUAUGAUUUAGAGAAAAGAAACUUAACAAUUAACUAAGCUACUACAAUUGACUGAACUCUCCAAGUCCAAGUCAAUGAAGUUAGAAAUUAUGUUUAAGUGAUUUUUGGGAUUUUUAAAAGUGAUUUUCAUAUAUAUAUAUAUAUGUGUGUGUGUAUUUAAAUUUUAUUUGGAUUGACUUUUAAGAGUUAAAUAAAAGUUUUUAUACCUAUUUAAUUAUUUAAAAAAAAACUUAUAACUUUAAAAAAAGGUUUCACAUAGAAGUCAUAAAAAUGUUAUUUCUUAUAAGAAUUUUAUGAUUCUAUUUUUGUUUAUUAUAGAAGUUCUUUCAUGUUGAACAAAACUUUUACAAUAUCAAUAUUACCCCUUAAAGAUUAUUACUUUAAUUUUGAUUUUAAUUUUCAUUUAAAGGAAAAAAUAUGAAGCUAUCCCGAAUUUGACCUUACUAUCCACCUAAUUAAUUUUUAUAAGAAAGUGUUAUUUUUUAAUAUUUAGAAGGGUUUUUAUUUAUUUAUUUUUAAAUAAUUCCCAAUUGAAAUUUAUAAGAAAGAAAGAAAAAGUUUUCUCUAAUAUUAGAAAGAAAUACAAAAUUUAAAACAUGGAUUGAAGUGAUUAUAGAACUUUGUUACAUAUUUAAAAUUAGUAUCUCUUAAUUUCUUACAACUCCAAUCUCCAAUAUUUGUUCUUUAUCUAAAAUUUGACAUAAGGAAUGGUUAUCCACUCAUAAGACAAGACAUGAAAUAUAAUUUUGUUUUAGGUAACAUCAAAUUCAAUGCAUUAAAAUCAAAGAGCAAGUGAGGAUCCAGAUUACUCCCUGUGCAUGGUCUUUGACAGUGGUUCAUAUGAAAUUUAUUUCUAGUCAAAUUAUUUUUAUUAUCUAAUUUUAGAUGGUGUUUGUUUUUGUAUUGAAUAGAAAAUGUUAAAAUAUUUAAUUUUUUCUAUUUAGUUAAAAAUAACCUGUUGAUAUCAACCUAACAUAACUAAACUAAACCUAUUAAUAAUAAGUUCACUUUAGUUAUGUUGAUUGAUAUCAAUAAGUUACUUUUAGUUGAAUAAAAAAAAAUCAGAUAUUUUAAUUUUUUCUAUUCAGUCAAAAAAAUAAAUAUUAUCUUAGUGUUAGAAAUACCCAUGUAUUUCAAAUCAAAAUUAGAGGACAACAACCUUUUAAUUUCAAUAAUACAAUUAUUAUUAUUAUGGCUAAAAAUCAGCCUAUCAUUCGAGUAAGCGCGCACACACACACACACACAUGUAUAUAUAAUGCCAAUAUCAUUAUUUUAAGCUAUGGCAUAAAUCUUUCAUGCAAUCAUUUCAAUGAUUCCUUUAAAUAAUAGAAAGAGAUAUUNNNNNNNNNNNNNNNNNNNNNNNNNNNNNNNNNNNNNNNNNNNNNNNNNNNNNNNNNNNNNNNNNNNNNNNNNNNNNNNNNNNNNNNNNNNNNNNNNNNNAAUCAUAUUAAUCCUAAAAAUAGGGACUUAGUAAUAAAAUCAAGCAAAAGGGUACAAUUAAACUCACACAUUUAAUUUGAAUGCCGUUUACGUAUUUCUAAUAUUAGGCUUAAGGUUCACACGCAAGGUUUCCUAGGGAUGCUUUAAAUAAUAGAAAGAGAUAUUUAAUUUACAAACUUUGUGCAGAGAUAGGAUAAUUUUUUUUUUUUAGAUUAAAAUUAUCCUAUCUCUACACAAAGUUUGUAAAUUAAAUAUCUCUUUCUAUUAUUUAAAUCUUCCCUAGGAAACCCAAUGAUUGAACCUAAAUAAUAAUAUUUGUAAUACUUAAACUAUAUUCAUAUUUAAUAUUUGAUUUUAAUUUUACCUUUUUGCUUUAUUUUAUUACUAAGUCCCUAUUUUUAGGUUUAAUAUGAUUUUUUUUUUAUAAAAAAAAUAUAUUUUUCCUCUUAUUUUUUUAUAGAUUUCUAUCAAAUGUUGGAAGAUGUCUUUCUAUAUAAUUGGAUACCAAUUAUUAUUUGUUUAUUUAUUUUGAAUAAUUACUAUAUAUUCCCCACCCUAUGAUUGUCGUAUGGUUGACACAUCAUCUAAUAAGAGAGCUUAACAUAUUCUAGCCAUUUUCAUGCUAAAGAGGGGUCCACAAGUUGCUGCCUAUGCCAAAAAAGAUAAGCAAAAGUUGACUUCUAUCCUUGACUAGUUGCCAUCAAUUGUCCAACCUUGCCAUAAGGUUCAUUCAUCUUUCUUAUCUUAUGAAUUGGUGUAAAGAUAACUAAAUAAAGGGAGAAAUGUUGAUUGAAGAAUGUAGUUAAAAUAUGAUGUAAAAUAGAGUAGUAGUGUAGAAAUGCAAGAAUAAAGAGGAAGAAUAUACUAUCUUGUUGUAGUUAUUAAUUUUUAUUUAUAAAGGUUGUGUUUGGUUUUUCAGAAAAUGCAAGGGAAAGGAAAAAAAAUACUAUGAAAAGUUAUUUUCCUUAGUUUGGAUGACAUGAAAAAUAUGAUGGAAAAAAAUAUAAAGGAAAAUACUAAAGAAAAUAUUGUAAUAUUUUCCCUCUUACUUUCCUUAAAAAUUAGUGAGGAAAAUAAGAGAUAAAGAUAAGGCAAAAGUUGGAGGAAAUUUUGUCAAGCUCACAUUAUCUUCUUCACCGAGUCUCCAAUUCACCUAACUUCAUCUUCACUAGUGGCUAUGGUUUGCCACUACCAUCGACCCUUUCAACAGCUACCACCAUUACUCCAAGCACCUUCCAGUGCCCCCAAAAUCCAACCCUCUUCUAGUACACAAGUUCCUAUGGAUGCAUUGCAUUCUUCAAAUCUAGUCAAUGUGUUCAAAUCCAUAUCUUCAUAUUAGGUAUGGAUUGAAUUCCUCUCUCUUAACAUCACACCUUGAUUUUUUUAGAUGUAGAUCUUCUCUCAAUGAACCAAAAUAUGCCAAAACUCAAAAUAAUAUAUAUAUAUAUAUAUAUAUAUAUAUAUAUAUAUAUAUAUAUAUAUAUAUAUAUAUAUAUAUUCAUAUUUAGAAAUCUAAACACCCAAAUUUUGUAGAUAUGAAAAAUCUGAUGCUACUCUUUGUAAUUGGACUUUGAUGUUUCUCGUGUUUGCAUUUUUUAAUUCCUGUGCUUCCAUUUGAUUUUCAAUAUAAGAAUUUUAAUUUUUUGUUUCAUACUACAAGACUUAAUAGCAAUAAUGAAGACAUUACAUGUUUGAGGAAUUACCUAUAAGAGAAUCUAACACACCAAUGAAACUAUUGCUAUAACCAAAGAAAAAUUAUCUUAGAAAGCUAUAAAAAAAAAAACAAAAAAAGUGUGUUGAACAGCUAUAAUAAUAGUAUUGUGGAUUGGGUAUGAGAAAAUUACAGAAGAUGGAGCAUUCUUGAUGUGGUAAAUUUGCAAUUGAAUGGAAUUUUCAAUAAGGAGCAAGAUGUCCCUUUUGUGUAGCCUUUGAUGUUAGCUUGGGCAGUGAAAACUUCAUGAACUAAAACUAUCAACUUGUCCUUUGGCACUAGAUAGUUUCUUUCUUAAUAUAAAUGUAGUAAGUAUUCUUAGCAAAUACAACUUAGUUUUGGUGAUAUAGUUUUUCCUUAAUACUUUAUCAUCAUGAUAGAACUUGGUAAACAUCUCUUAGGUCAAUUAUGUGAUAUUUAAAAAUUCCCUCUUAAAAAUUCUAAACAACUUAUCUAACUUUAGAAGCCUUCUUACUUAAUUAAUGCACAAUUAAUUACAUAUGUUUAUAAGACCACUCUCUUUUGUAGUAGCUCUCUAGAUUAUUCUUGCAAAAUUUCCUUUGUUGUGGAAGUCUUAGUUCAUGCAUGUAGUUAAUCCACUUGAAGCAUUGUAGUGAGAAGGUGCUUGAGACAAACCUUUGUAUUGAGCUAAUAAGCAAUUCCAUCAACUUCAAAUUUGGUUACUUUCAUUUGGCCCCCAAAUCUUCAUUUUGCAUGAUUUGAUAGACAAGCCUAACUAGCCUUAGAUAAUAGUUUAUAGGCAACUCCAAUAGCAGUUGUCUCAAAUUUUAUUAGAAAAAGACUAUUUGGAAACCUCCCCAAUAGCAAAACUUGACAUGCACACACCAUUGGUUCUUUCUACUUGAAUUACUCUAUUUCAAUAGCGUAGUGAAACUAGAGAUCAAACUAGUUUGUAUUUGGCCUAUGAAAGCUUCAAUCUAGAUCACUUACUAAAAGUGGACUGGCAAACAAACCUAAGUAGUAAGGGAGUGGGACAGAUAUAAUUGCUUAGAUUUUGGAGUGUUGUGGAGAAUCUUGAGACUUUGUGAGUUAAACCAUGCUCAUCCAAAGCCAACUUAGUUGGGCUACAGUUUGGUGUUAGAGGCUUGGAGCCUAACUUCCAUGGCUUUAUUACAAAUUAAAAUUUUCUUAUGGCAUAAGUAUGAUCUAAAAUUUAAAAUCCUUGUACCUGAGGACUUAAUAAUGAUGAUCUAAUAUAAUUUCAAGUCACAAGCACCCAAUGUGUCAAUAAUAAUACUCAUUAACUUACUCCUAAUAAGAAAAUAACCCACCAGUCUACUCCUAUACAUUAUUUUUUAAAAAUUUAAUUGUAAUAUUUGUAGCAUUUUUUAUUUUUGUCUAAAACAAUUUGAUAAUUUUGGUUGUGUGGGCAAUGUGGAGAAAAAAACAUAUAAACUCACUAUUUUGGUCUAAAUUGAGUUAACUAAAUUGAAUCAAACUAAUAUUAAGUUGGAUUAGUUUAAGUCGAUAAAAAAUUUGUUAUACUUUAGUUAAAACCAAGGAUAAAAAUAUCAGUAAUCAUGGAUAUAUCAAUACUUCAAUUUUAUGGAUAUAUCGAAGAUAUAUCAACAAAUAUUUUGGGAAAAAAAUUCAGUAGGCCUAAAAUUAUUAAAAACUCAUGAAAAUACAUGAAAAACCUCAUAACAAUAUAAUUAGAAGUAUAAUAGACAUUUUAAAGUUGUUUUAUUAAAAAAUUUGAUAUAUGUAUGAUAUAAUUUAUGAUAUUAGAUGUAAUUAUAUCAUGUCAAUUUAUAAGAAAUGUUAAUUUUGUAAUUGUACACUCAUUAUGAAGUUACAUAAAAUACUUCAUUUCAUUAAAUAUCUAUAAUUUGUACACAUUGCAUUGCAAUGUCCCUUUAGUACCAAAAUGAGGAUCGAUUUUGUUCAAUGGAAUAGGUAGAUGAAGGAACCCUGUCUUGCUAUUGGAGACAAUAUUGGUACCAACUCAAUGAGCCUUGAUAAUAUUGGUUAAAAAUUAUAACAUGCCAUGCAUAUAUCUCUUGAGUCCUACCCACUACCUCUACAUGGAUACGAUACUCAAGGUUCACGCAUGUGUUAAUGUCAAAUCCUCAUUCCAUGUGAUAUGAAACUUGGUAUGACAUUCUUGUGGAAGGGGAGUAACUCGGCAUACCAUACUCUUCAUUGGUUGAACUUGAAGGUUGAACAUAACUCAUCACAUGAGGAGGGUAGAUGUUAGCCUCAUUUGAGGAGUCACUAAAUUGAGUCCCUAUACUCAUAAAUUCAAAACUCCUUAAAAGUAACUUCUCGUCAUAUGGUCCAUUGUUCGUUAUCUUCCUCUAUAGGGUUUCUCAAUAUCUCUUAUGCCUGGACCAGCUCUUCUAGAGCCAUGGUCUUCAUCUUGUGUGCAGUGUGUGAAAUCAUUUUCACAGGUAAAUUAGCUCAUUGGAUAUUGACUCUGUUGACAUUCCUAAAUAUCUGCUCCCGCAUUAUUACCUCCAUCAUCAGUUCCACCUCUUAAACCAUCGUAACCAGAAGCAAAAGUACCUACAACACUAGGUCUACUAUUGUGGCUAGCACUUCUAGAGUCAACCUUUUGGUGGGAAUUCAAUGUCGUAUGAAAUGAAUCCUCGGUAUCUUUUCUAAAACUUUCAGAGUGAACUUCUUUAGACAACACACGUUCAACAUUAACUCCAAAUUCUUGAGCAUGAGCAACAAAUCGUGGAUCAGGAUUUCCAAUUUCAUCAUCCAAGUGUAUAGGCCUAACCCAUUAAAACAACUGAUUAUCUUCUUCUUCUUCGCCCAUCUUGGUUGAAAUGUCAAGAAGAUCAAGAUAAUAUUUUUCACUAACUUGAUCAUUUUCUGUCUUCAUAUCAAGUAACUUUAGCCUCAUAUUAUAGUAACAAAAAACUAAUUGCUCCAGUCCAGGGUAAGGUGAUUACUACCAAAAAGUGUUAUUUUUUAGACCUAAUUAUAAUGGUUUUAAGCACCUUUGAGUAGUAAUCAUAUUCAUUUAACCCAAUUAAUUCAUUAAGGUCCUUAGUAAUUGGUUUUAACCAUUUUGUGGCAAGUUUACAUGUUUUUAUCAGCUUAUGAAUCAAUUCAAGCAUGCCAAAUGAUGGAGGAGCUACUUGGACAAGUUAUGGCAAAGCUUUUGGAAGCUCAAAUUCAUGAAGAACCAAGCUUUGGAGCUCCAUAGGCCUUUGUCAAAGUCGUUCAAAGUAUGCAAGGAAAGAACAAUGGAGAAGAGGAAAACAGAGUGAAGAAAAUAGAGGACAGCAGCUGCAGUCUUCUUUCGCACUUUUGGAGCACUUCCCGAAGUCAAUUUUCUACAUGAUAUAUACCAUUUCAAAGCUCAGGAAGUCAAGAAUCCAAUGCUUCAAACUGUGUACGAUUUGGAGCUGAAAUGAGGAAGAUAUGGCCUUUGGAAGACAACUGCUCCAGGCUUGUGCGAAAAUUUCGCACAACACCUUCCAAAUUCGCACAGCCCAUNNNNNNNNNNNNNNNNNNNNNNNNNNNNNNNNNNNNNNNNNNNNNNNNNNNNNNNNNNNNNNNNNNNNNNNNNNNNNNNNNNNNNNNNNNNNNNNNNNNNUUGAGUAGUAAUCAUAUUCAUUUAACCAAUUAAUUCAUUAAGGUCCUUAGUAAUUGGUUUUAACCAUUUUGUGGCAAGUUUACAUGUUUUUAUCAGCUUAUGAAUCAAUUCAAGCAUGCCAAAUGAUGGAGGAGCUACUUGGACAAGUUAUGGCAAAGCUUUUGGAAGCUCAAAUUCAUGAAGAACCAAGCUUUGGAGCUCCAUAGGCCUUUGUCAAAGUCGUUCAAAGUAUGCAAGGAAAGAACAAUGGAGAAGAGGAAAACAGAGUGAAGAAAAUAGAGGACAGCAGCUGCAGUCUUCUUUCGCACUUUUGGAGCACUUCCCGAAGUCAAUUUUCUACAUGAUAUAUACCAUUUCAAAGCUCAGGAAGUCAAGAAUCCAAUGCUUCAAACUGUGUACGAUUUGGAGCUGAAAUGAGGAAGAUAUGGCCUUUGGAAGACAACUGCUCCAGGCUUGUGCGAAAAUUUCGCACAACACCUUCCAAAUUCGCACAGCCCAUGCGUGGUGCGAAUUUUCCUCUGUUUUUGCCGACUCCACUUUAGAUAUUUUCCUAUGUAUUUUUUGAUGUAAUUUCCUUUCUUAUCCUUGUAACUAACCAAUCACAAACUUUUGCUUUUGUAAAGACUAUAUAAGGGGUGGAAAUCACCUCUUGGAAUAUAUAGAACAUGCGUGUUACGUUUUACACGGAGUGAUAUACAGAGCUCUCUCGUUUCUCUUUUCUCUUUACUAUUUUAUUUUCUUGGAAGCCAAACAGCCUCUGAGGGCUUUUCCUCAGAGGAUGAUUGGCUAAAACUUUUAGUUUCUCAAAGUAUGGAUGUUAUGUGAUGACUUGGAUGCAAUCCCAUGGAAAUUUCUCGCACCUGGAAGGUAAGGUAGUCGUUUUUCAUUAAAGGUUCAUUAAUGCAAAGUUUGGUUUUUAUUUCCUUUGCACAACUUCCAACGGCCAAUACUUGAUAAGCUUUUGGAUUUCUAUCCAUUAGUUAUCUCCUACGAGCUAUUGGAAGGUGAGGUUUUCAAUUCCAAGUUUUGCAUUAAUCCAUUAGAACCAAUUUCAAUGGCCAUUGAAAGGUGAGUUUAUCACCUGGAAUGACUUUGAGUUGCCAAUAUUUGGUAAGCUUUUGGCUUUAGACCAUUAGUUAUCUCUUACGAGCCAUUCAAAGGAAGUCUAAGGUGAAUAACCAUUGAUGAAAUUCACUACCAUCUGUUUUGCCAUUUUAAAGGAUUAAAACUUGAUUUGCUAAAUCCAUACCGGUUCGGGAAGCAAGCAUCACCAUAGUUGCAACCCCAACGCGAGGAGCCUAUCCUGAGAUUUCCAAUUUGCAUAAGAGCUAGAGCAUAGCUAUCCUAUCUUUGAGAAACUUGUUUUUACACCCUUUCAUUUUAGUCUUUAAUGUUAGCUUAGAUUAGUUUAAAUCUUUCUAAAACAUUUACAUCUUCUUUUAAAGCUAACAUCCAUAAGAAAAUCACCUAUAUUCCUAAUUUGAAUAUCACUAGUGUUUGCGAAAACCCUUCCCAGUGAACGAUCCUAGAACCACUAUGCUUAGUAGCUUGGCUACUUUAGUAAUAGUAUUUAAGGUAUAAAUUUUGUUGAUACGCCUUUAAAGCUAAGCUACCAUGAGUCGAAUCAUAAGGCAAAUGAUUUCACUGCUUUGUGUGGAUGAGAGCGAACGUGCUCCAAUUUCUUUCACAAGCAAAAGAUGACGCAGUUUGUGAGAGAACUUUGACGGCUAACUUCCUCAAUGUAGGUGUUAGAUUCCCAUACAUGAACCAUCAUUCAGUUACAACCAAUUUCAUAAUUAUAUAGAUACUUAUAUGGUGAAUUUACAAUAAUGAUAAUCAAUUUUUUUCCUAUAAAUACUCACCGAGCACCAUGGUUGACCUUGCUGCAAUCGCCACUCAAUCAUCGAAUCCUCUUUUUGCAUCUCGAAAAAGCACAAGCUGUAUAUUCAACACUUAAUUUGUUAAUAUCAUAUUUGUUAGUAAACGUUCAAAUAAAUUGACGAAUGAAAUUAUUGUUUUAUUAACAAAAAUAAUGGUUUUUUAUUUACCUCAUUUUGAAAUUGACCAAGUGAUUCAGUAGUUGGGUCCAAUUUUGCAAAAAUGUCAUGGACCGCUUGAAGUAGUUCUAGAUCACUACCAACUCCAUGCCUACAUCGAAAUCCUGGAUUCAAGAAGUAUGCUACAAUAAAAUUAAGUAGAUUUAGUACUUUGUUAGAGAAAAUUAAAUACAGAGUAAAAACUUAUAAAGAUAGAUAGUACUUAAGUACCUACUGCAUGAAGUGGAUGUUUUAGUGUUUUCUCUCAAUGAUCUUUUAUUAUUUUGAAGAUCCAAUCUCCAACUCCUUGACGACACUACAAGAAAAAUAGCCUUCGUUGACAAUUUUUCACUGUCAAUGUAAGGUACAUCUGUGAAGGUAGGUUAUUGUUCAUAUAUGUUAUCUAUGCCAGUGACAAGAAAAGUUUAAAGGUAACUUGACAUAUAUAUAUGUUAAGAUUUUCUCUAUUUUUACAAAUGAUGAAAUCUUAUUAGUAUAUGAUAUGUCAAUGUUUCUUUCAUAUAUGUUAAGGUUGGAUUCAACUUAUAUCAACAUUACUUAAUCUUAUGUCAAUGUUAACUCACUCUUUUGUUAAGAUUAGUCCAACAAAUGUCAAGGUUAGGUAUCAUAUAUGUCAUGAUUAACUCCACAUAUAUCAAGGCUUUUAGAUACAUAUGUCAAGGUUAGAUUUUAUAUAUAUCAUAAUUGGCUUAUAUAUGUCAAUGUAGGGAAUAAAGGCAACUGUGAAGGUUCCCCUCGAAAAAUUUUAAAAUUAUUUUUUAAUAUGAAAAAUUGAACCUGUUGUCAUGUAUAAUCAAUUUGAUAUUAUUUAAGAAUGAUAAUGACAAUCAAAUUAUCAUGAUUUUAUAUAUAAUCAAAGCAUAUUUAAUAUACAUUUAAUUAUUAAUUAAAGCACAAAUCAAUGAACUUGUUUAAAGUUGUACCCAAUUUCUCUAUAUAGAAGAAACUCAUAUAAUAUACAACGAAAUUAAAAACACACUAUAAGACAAUAUAUAUAAACUUAAAUUAAGUUGCUCAUGUAUAUAUCUACAACCAAGUCUCUUGCCUCCAUCUUGAAGCAUUACUUUAUAGGAAAGCCUUAAAUUUCCAACACCCAAACUUCGAAUCUGUAGCAAAAAAUAAAGAGCAUAUUAACAAAUUAAAAAGAAAAAUGUAUAAUGAGGAGCAAUCAAAUAUCAAGCCUUAUGAAGAAUUUUAAUAGCAAGCUAGCCACUACACCUUUAUUAGACAAUAAUAGAUUAUUUCUUAAUAACACAAGUAAACAAACCAACUCUCAAAGAUAGCCUACAAAUCAUGCACAAAUGCUUCAUUUGGCGGCUUAUAAAGAUGAGGAAAAAAAUGACAACACAACCUGUUAUAGUUUACCAAGCUUUACAAAAAGGUACAUGAAAAAAAAUAAAUAUGACAUCAUAUUGAAUGAGGAUAGGAAAAAUAAAUGAACAAAUUUAGCAAGAACUAAACUUUAAUUUUCAUGCAGGAUCAACUAGUUUAUCAUAAUAAAAUUUAUCAAUAUAGCUGAGCAGAGAUUUGAUGUAAUAAUACCAUACAGAAUUCAAGUAAAAUUAAAUUAAUCAAAUAGGACACUACGGUUAUAUUUGGAUACAUAUUCUAUUUUUUAUUUUUAAAAUUAAAAUUUUGAUAUAAAAUAUGACAACCCUUUGUAUAAAAAAUAAAAAUUUAUCAUAUAAUCUUAAAAAUACUUUUCAAUAUUAAACAAAAAAAUGAGGAUGUGUCCUAAAAUUUUAAACAAAUUUAAAAAUAUUUUUAAAUACCCAAGGUAUCCAUUUUUUUCCUUUUUAAUAAAAAUUCCUAUAUUUUAUAUAAAACUCUAUUUUAAAAAAUGUAUCCAAACAUAAGCUAAAUUGUUAGAUUUUAUUGUGAGAUUUCUUGGAUUCUACAAUUCAUAGUGAAAUGAAGAUGAGAGAUAACUGACUGAACUAUGAAAAAAAAAAUUUAACAUUUAUGAGAUUCAAAAAUGCUAGUUAAUGAAAGAGGUUCUUCGCCAGGAUGACUAAGAAAAAUGCUGAAAAAUGUGUCAUGCCCAAAGCAAUAUUACAAUGAAGAAUAGAAUGAGAGCUAGCCUGAAAUAAAAUCCGACAAUCGCCAUGAAAGCCUGGAUGCAGAGGAAAUGUAACUAGAGACAUGUAAGGAAUCAUUAAACAAGUGAGAACAAUAUCAGAAUCUCAUGUAUGACUUACUUACCUUUCCCUGAGAUUCAAACCUGAAUUUUACUGUAAACCAUGACAAUCCUCUAUCUACAAUAGGUGCAAGUGCAAGGGCCCUGCAUAAGAAGCACCUCUACAAAAAUCAUAGAAAACCCAAGAGAAAAAAAAGAGAGUAAAUAAUUAGAAACUAGUCUACCAAAAACUAGGAGGCUGCAGCAAAUAAUCUCCAAAUGUCAGAUUUAAUAAUUUUUUAUGAAUGCCACUAAAAGGCCUUUUCAUCAUAGAAAUCUAGAAUAAAAAAGGAUAAGAAGCCAUUUGGAUUACAGAGGUCAAAGAUUGGGUUGGAUAGGAGCAAGUUUAACCUCCUUAGUAAAAAUGAAAAUGCAAGGCCCAUCAUCAACACUAGGUUCAAAAAUUGACACCAUUUCUUGAAGACUUUCUUUUUUUCAUUCUUCAAUUGUCAUUUUGAUUCAAAGAAGCAGCAACAUGAUAGACUAAAUAAUCAUCAUAAACCCAGUUUCAAGUUACAAGGAUAAGAAAGAAAAUGAACAGAAAACAUAUAUGAGAGAACUGAUAGGCCAAAAAAAUCAUUGUUGAAGGAAUCAAGCAUAAAUCUUUGAACUAGGGAAAUUCACUGAUUUUGGGUUAUUUUGUGAUAAGAGCAUUGGAAUAUCCCAAUAAACUAUUAUGCUAAUUAAAGAUUUAAAACAGAAUUUAGGUGCUUACCCUCUAGCUCUGACAAGUUUAGUGACCUGGCUGCCUGCCCACACCAUAGCCAUGAUUUUGACAAAUCUACCAAUUGGAUUCCAUAUGUCAAGAUAUUUUGAAAAACUUGUGCAAAAAGAAACUUUUUGGAAUAAGUUUUUACCUUUCAACUGCCACCAAAUAACCCAUCCUUCUUGGUUCUAGAGCAAUAUAAAACCUAGAAGCAGCAUAGUGAAUUAAGAGUUAUACUGGUUAUUUGAAAUCUACUCUGAACACCUAUGAUAGAGACUGCAGGAUAUGGUAAAACACUAAGGCAUAUUUCAAACUACAUUAUAAGGUAUUUGAUUAGAAAAUUAAAUAAAUAAAACAACAUAACAUAAAAUACAAAAAAGAAAAAAAAAACAAACUGAAUUUGUCCAUAUGCAACAAUAUGCAAUUGUUAGCCAUGAAUCCCAGUUUUGUCAGUUUCCAGUAUUAAUAAUUAAGCAUGAUUUUAUGAACUAGACCAGCAUUCUAAUAAUUCUAGAUUGAGGGGCAUGGAUGUCACAUUUGUAUUCCAUCAUGUGCAACUAACAUCACAUUGAAAUAAUAUCCACUAAAGCAAGUUAAGACCCAGUAUAUCAUAUUAAAUUUUUUCUACCAUGAAUAUAAGAUUAAUAAAAAUGCAGAUGGAAAUGCAAUACUUCUUUAUAUGACAUAAUGAAGGGAACCAAAUACAAGGACUCCCCAUUCCAGAUGCAAAAAGCCAAGUUACAACCUUUACCAAAUAAAGAGAUCCACCAUAAGUUCAUUUUUAGACAUGCUAUAGUUGAAUAUUCUAUCCAUAAGUGAUCAAAAGUCAAUUCAGAUGGGAAUAACAGCCACAAUGCUGGGAAGGUCAAUAACAAAAGCAUUGACUUGAAUGUUGGCAGUGUCAUUUACACUGGCCAUAAGAACCAAAGGUACAAAAUGCUGGGAAGGUCAAGAAAUUUCCUAAUAUUUCUUACUAGUCCAGCCCGUGCACAGGAUACAAAAUCUGUUUUUUUUUUCUAAAAAAAUAAAAUAAAAUAAGAUGCUAUUUGGUAGUUUGAUCAUGAUUUGCAGGCAAAGGUUGUGUUUUUCAACCUGGCUCAAAAAUCAUGGAUUUAGGGUUCGUGAAAUUUAAAUCCAAUAGCACAAAAGCAAAAAGACCCCUAUAACAGAUCCAGAAAACACAGGUAGCAAAAAAAAAAACAAGUUUUUGGUUUUCCUUGGGGAUUUUGCAUGGAUUUUCUCGGCAAUCAAACGAGGAUGAAUUUUCCCGGAAAUCGAAUGGGGGAUGGAUUUUCUUGGGAAUCAAACACGGGUUUUGCAAAGAGAAAACACAGGGAACAAAAAAAAAAAAAGCAAAUUUUUUUUUCCUUGGGGGUUUUGCAUGGAUUUUCUCGGAAAUCAAAUGAGGAUGAAUUUUCUUGAAAAUCAAAUAGGGGAUAGAUUUUCUUGGGAAUCAAACGGGGGUUUUGCAAAAAGAAAACAUAGGGAGCAAAAAAAAAGCAAUUUUUUUGGUUUUUCUUGGGGGUUUUGCAUGGAUUUUCUUAGAAAUCAAACGAGGAUGAAUUUUCUUGGGAAUCAAACGAGGGUUUUGCAAAGAGAAAAUACAGGGAGCAAAAAAAAAGGCAAUUUUUUUGGUUUUCCUUAGGGGUUUUGCAUGGAUUUUCUCGGAAAUCAAAUGGGGGAUGGAUUUUCUUGGGAAUCAAACGGGGUUUUGCGAAAAGAAAACACAGGGAACAAAAACAAAAGCAAUUUUUUUUUUUGUUUUCCUUGGGGUUUUGCAUGGAUUUUCUCGGAAAUCAAACAAGAAUGAGUUUUCCUAAAAAUCGAAUGGGGGAUGGAUUUUCUUGGGAAUCAAACGGGGAUUGCAAAAAAAAAAAAAAAACCAAUAAUAAUAUGACCAGAUUAGUACCUGCGAGGAUUGAGAGUGGUAGAGAAAAAUAGGGCGGAUUCUCUCGUCUGGAGGGCAACUUCAGAAAAGGGCUUCUUGAUGCCCGAGGCUUGUGAGAGAAGCGGGUAGCCAAUUUUAGAUUUAGUAGAGAUAAAAAAAAAAUAAAAAAUAAUAAAAAUGAAAGAAAUUAUGAGAACAAUUUUCCUCCCUCUAUAUAAAUAAUUAUUAAUUAUCCAUCUUUAUUUAAUCAUAUGGACGAUAUUUUAUGAAUUAAAAUUAAUUUGAUAAAAUAAAUUAUUAAUAAUUUUAAUUAUUUAAAUAAAUUAAUGUUAAUAGAAAAAGUUGUUACCACAUAUUUUUAAUAAAAUUUUAGAAAUUAAAUCUUAAAUAAAAUAUUUUAUAUAAAUUAAUUUAAUUUUUCAUUUAAAAUGUAAUAAAACUUGUUUUAAUAAAAAAAUUUUAAAAUAAAUAUUAUCUUCAACAAGAUGGGCUCCUUUCAUCUAACAAUAUGAUGAAACCACAUCAAUCUUCAUUUUGAUACUAAAACUAUUGCAAUGUCAUAUGUAUUACAUUUAUGUAUAAAUUAUUUUUAUGCAAUAAAAUCACAUAUUUCUUAACUUAAUUCUAACUUUAUACACUUUCAAAAUUCAUAUUUAUUAUUCUUAAAAUUCAAAUAUUGAAUCUAUCGAUAUAUCUCUAUCUGUCAAUAUUUUUAUUUUUUAUCAUAUUUAUGUCAAUUAUAUUUAUAAAAUAACUUUAAAAUAUGAAUUCUUGCUUAUUUUAUCAUUUUUUGGAGUUUUUUCAAGCAUUCCUCCUAAAAAUUUUAAAUAAUUUUCGCUCUACCGAUAUUUAUGAAAAAAUAUCUACCAAUAUUUUUUAUAUAUCCGUAAAAUCGAAGUACCGAUAUUUUCAUAACUAUCAAUAUUUUCAUCCUUGAUUUAGAGAAAAAAGUUUCAAACCCUAAGCUCUCAAAAUGAAUAUCGGGUUUUGAGAAAAUGAGGAGUGUUCUUUGUAAAUACCACGGGAAACCUUGAUAGGUAAUUAUAACAUGAUAUCUUGACUUAUAAUCCAUAGGUCAUUUAAGAUCAUUUUACUAGAAUUAAAAUGGUAUAUAUGUUUAAAAUCAUACCUUGACUUUUGAUUUUAUGUCAAGCUAGCCACAUUAUAUAAGUACAUUGACGUAUGAACAUAUUAACUAUAUAUUGACUUAUAAAUUAUCUGUCAAUCUUCUAUUAUAUAAGUCAUGAAAGAAUUCAACAAAAUUUUAUAUAUGUCAUUAUUGGUUUAAACAAGUUGUAUAUGUCAUAGUUAUUCAUUUAAAUAGGCAAUAUUGACACAUAUCACCUUAAGUCAAGAUAAUAUAUGUCAACAAUGACCUUUUUUCUUGUAGUGCGAGUAAGGUUCUAUUUCAUCAAGUGCAUAAACUCGUACACAAACAGCAUUGUGGAAACAACUUCAGAAUCUAUAAGUUGAAGUACCAAGUAUAAUGGCUCAUACAAUGAAACUAUAUUUGCCACUUUAUCCCAAUACGCAUGGUCAAACAAUAAUUGCUUCAAAUUUCAUCCAAUUUUUGUCCAACUAAGCUUAUUUUGUGCCCAUUCUUCACUCAUAAACAAUUUUUUUUUUUAAAUCAACCUUUUUUUUAAAAGAAGACUAUCAAGAGCAAUAUAAUUGGUAGCAAACCUUGUAGCUCUUGGUCGAACAAUGUCUCCACCACAAUACUUUCUCAUUUGUGCAAGUAACCAACCAUGGUUGUAAAUGAAGUUGGUUAUCUUGCGAGCAUUAUUUAUCACAUCUAUAACACUGGGUCUUUUAUCAAUAUCUUCAAAGAUUAAGUCAAUGCAGUGUUCCACACACAAAGUAUAAUAUAAGUUAAACUUCUUCAUCAAUAGUUUCCCUGCUUUCAUGGAUGCCGACCCAUUAUCUGUGACAAUUUGGACCACAUUUUCUCGAUCGACUUCUUUGAUAACAGUCUUUAAUAACUCGUAUAUAUACUUAUGGUCUUUGAUAUUAUUCGAUACAUCGACUGACUUAAGGAACACCAUGGUCCCUUUUGAAUAAACCAUGAAAUUAAUAAUACUUAAUUUCAUGGGCCCUGUCCAUCCAUCUGAUAUUAUUAUGCACCUAUAUGUCUUCCAUUUUUCUCUUUGUUGGUUCACAUAAACUUCCAUUUCUUUGUACUCCAUUUCCAAGUACUAGUUCUUUAUUUCAUAUGGAGAUGGAGGUUCGAUUCCCAUUCCUACAAUUCAUAUAUAAUAAAUAUGUAAAACAUGUCGCAAAAGACUAUACUUACUAAAAGUCUAAAACAAUAUAACAAUUCAAAAAUUAGUAAUUACCUGCUUGUUGUGCACUAAUAAUCAUAUUCUUAAAGUGAUGAGACUUUGCUUUUAGGGGUGCGACACUCUCAUAAAUGAAGAAUUUUCUGAUUAAGCGUCCCAUCAUUUCUUUAAUUGAACCACCUUUCAACAUAUUUUUGAUAUUUUUUGUCUUGCUGCAGAAGACUUGUAGAGCAAAAGGCAAUAGGGGGUGAUUGGUUCUAAUGUUGCAUACUUUGUGAUUUCCGCAUCAUUGUCAGUGUACCACUAGGUUGUGAAGACUCCCAUUUUAUGAUUACUUCCUACAAUAUUCUCAUAUUGUUGAUGCUCCCAUUCAAUUGCUUUUGAGGCAUGAACUGUAGAUCGAUUUGCAUCCCGCUCAUCUGGGUGCAUAUCCGUUGGAUACAUAUACACAUCUUCAUCCUCAACAUAUUCAUCAUCAUCAUCAUCUUUGUCUAUCAAAUGUGUAUCAUUGGCCCCCAUUGUACCACAUAAUUGAGCACAAAUCUCUUGAAUAUCUACAACUUUCUUUGCUUUUGCUUUAUAUUUGUUAUGCACCAUCAAUCGUAUCUUUUCUUUCACUUUGGGAGGCACUCUCGGACACUUUUUAGUGUUGUUAUGCAGGUCGUUAUGUGUUAAAUGGAACUUAAAUCGUAUGAUGCCUCCACUUUUCAUCAACAACCCAUAGAAAUUACAAAUUGUCUCAUUUAUGUUCCCCUAUACUAGUGAACAAUACUUCCAAGCUGGAUCUUACCUUGGCAUGGGAGAACGACCUCUACUAGCCAUGCUAAAUCUAUUGCAAAAAAAAAAAAAAAAAACCACCUGAAUGUGAUUUCAAUGUAAACAAAAAGUUAAGUAAACAUUUAAAUUUAACAUGUAGCAAUGGAAUGUCAAAAGAAAUUUAAAUAAUCAUGUAAAAUGAGCAUAUUCCAAAUAUACUAAUUUAUGUCAAUAGCUAAAUUAAUUAAAUAAUUUAGCUAAGUUAGUUUACUUAAUCUAAAUCUAUGAGAAAUUUACAAAAUAUACUAAUUAAUUAUAAUUGAAUGUGAAAAUAAAAUAAAAUAAUCAUUUAAUAUGGAAUUUUUUUUUAAUCUAAAUCUAAUUCUAUGAAAAAUUUACUAAAUAUAAAAAUUAACUAUAAUUGAAUGUGAAAACAAAUCACAGUAAUCAUAAAAAAUGAACAUAUUUGAUAUUUCAAAUAUACUAGUUCAUGUUAAUUAAAUAAUUUAGCUAAGUUAAUUUUUUGAAUCUAAAUCUAAGUCUAUGAAAAAUUUACUAAAUAUAAAAAUUAACUAUAAUUGAAUUUUAAAAUAAAUCACAAUAAUCAUAAAAAAAAUAAACAUAUUUGAUAUUCCAAAUAUACUAGUUCAUGUUAAUUAAAUUAAUUAAAUAAUUUAAUUAAGUUAACUAGUUGAAUCUAAUUCUAACUAUAUUGAAUGUGAAAAUAAAAUUAAAUAAUAAUCUAAAAUAAACAAAUCCAUCUAUAAUUAAAUAAUCAAAUUAACCUAAGUUAACUCAAUAAAAAUAUACAAAUUAAUUACAAUUUAAAACAAACAUACCUUAAAAUAAUUGAAUAAUUGAACAGCCUUAGAAAAAUUUGGAGUAAUGAGAGAGCAAAUGAAAAAUGAAAUCAAAGGUGGAUGAAAUAGAAGCAAAAUGGGCUAUCUAUAGGAAAAUUUUGGGCCAAAAUAGCCGUUGAAAGAUGAUUUUAUUUUUGAAAAACAAUUUUGGCCGUUGGAUCAAAAUAUGGGUAAAAUCUUACCAUUGGAUCUUGAUUUUAUUGUUGGAAUCUCAUCCCAACCGUUGGAUCAAACCUAAAUUCAAUUCAGGGGGUUGGAUGGAUGACAGUUGGAGGCAAGCAUGGCGAAUGUGAUAUGGGCCGUUAGAUCAAGCUUGAGAGGGGUUAUUUAUUGCCAAAAAAUCGGUGAUUUAUUGCCUUUUGUCGAUAAAUUGAUGAUAUUUUGUCGAUUUUUCUCCCCAUCGAUAAAUCUCCACAAAAUAUUGUGUUGUCAACCAUUGAUACACGUUAUAUCAGUAAUAUAUCGCUGAUAUAUCCCAACAUUUUCUUCCAUGGUUAAAACCAAUAAACUCUUAUUUGAUUCUUGGAUUGGUUAUAAACCAACCUAGCUAAAUGUAUCUAUCCCUAAUUAACUUUGUGUUCUUGUCCUAGAAUAAUAAAUCCUUUAGGUUGCCCCAUAUACUCUUAAUUUAAAUAACCAUUCAAGGAAAGAUAAUCUUAACAUCCAUUUGAUAGAUUUCUAGACUCCAUAUUGAAGCUAGUAAUAUCAAAUUUCUAUCUAAUGUUAUCUAACUAAAGCAUAAAUAUCAAAUUACUUAAACCCCUUUUAUCUACUUAAUCCAUUAAUGUAUGCAAUAUUUCUUUUGAACUUUUUUCUACUAAAUAAACUAUAAAUUCAUGGAUAAAAUAUUUCUCUAUUUAACUCCUACCAUAUCACCUUGUUUCAUUGCCUUUUAUUGUUAGAUUUUCCAUUUGAAACAUUUUUUUUCUUUUGAAAACUAUUUGCUCCAUUGUACUUUGAAUCUUUUAUGAUAAAAGAUUUAAAAACUUACAACUUUCGUUGAUUUAGUAAUUGUAUUAUAUUUCAAGUCCAAGAAAUAUAAUUGUGAACUCGCAUUUUUCAUGGAUGUCUCACUUGUUGGUGAGAUUUGCUUUUAUUGUUUUUUUUUUUUUUUUUUGAAAAGUUGGAGUCGUCACUUAUUUUUAAAAGAAAACAAAAUAAUAAAUAAAGCCCUAGUAUUACUCAUUUUUUAAAGAAAAGAUGUGUUAGCAACUGAGUUCCAAUCUAGAGGUUAGGUUACCUAUUGGAAAGAUACCAUAGGGUAACACCCCUUUAAGUCUUAAAAAGGUUUCUACUAAGCACAUAAAAAAGAAUUAUGACAAUUAAUUAAUUAACCAUGAAUACAAAAAAAUAAAAAAGAAUAAUACAAGUACAUGGAAUAAUGCAAAAGCAAAUUAUAAGGAUAUGCAUAAAUGAUACAUGAGAAAAGCACAAAAUAAUUUAUUAGAAAGAUUUUAUUACUUCAAAUAUCAUAAUACAAUUUCCAAAAAUUUUCAAAGAAUUCAUUUAUUUUAACAACAAUUUCAAAUUAGUUAUUUGAAUUUAUUUCUUCACAAGGUUCAAUUUGUUACAAAAGAUUUGAUUUGAUUUACAAGAAAUGAUUUGUGUUUACCUUAUUUGGAAGAGGGGUGAAUCUUACUAAUUUAUUUUAAAAAGUAUUUUGAUUCAAUUUUUAUUUGUUUUUUAUUUAAAAAAAAAAAUCUACGAACUUAAAGAGAGAUAUUUACAAGUUUAUAAGAAGGAAUUCAACCCAAUUUUAUUAAUUUUUUUUCCUAGAAAAAGAUUCUUUAUUACUAAUUUAUAUAGACAAAGAAUUUCACAAAUUUGUUCCCAAGGAUUCCAAUUUUAUUAAGAAAGAAUUUUGGAUUUCAUCUAGUAAGAGAUUAGUUUACCAAUUUAUUAAGAAAAGGUCUUUCAGUUCGAUUAAAAGGUUUACUCAUUCUAUUCUUAUUAAAAAAGAAAAAAAAUCUUUAAAACUUCUAUUUAUAAAAAUUACUUUAAAUCUCAUUCUUAUCAAGAAAAUAGAGUUAUAUUUAAAAGUCAAUUUUGGAUGAUUUUAUUGAAGUUAACUUUUUGGACAAUUUUAUUUAAAAAUCAAUUUUCUAGAAAAUUUUGUUAAACAAAUGAAUUUCUAGAGAGAUUGUUAUUAAAAACCAUUGUUUGAAUUUUUACUAAAAUUUUUUUCUAGAUUCCUCUAAAAACAUCUAAUGGAACUUUCUAUUAAGAAAACUCUAUUUUAUUAAAAAUAAUAUUUUUUGAACUGUUAUUUCAUUAAAACAAGAUUCCUAGACUAUUUCAUUUUAAUUUUUAUUUUAUUUUAUUUGAAAAAAGAUUUCUGAACCUUUUAUUUAAUUUAAAAUUCUGAACUGUUUCAUUUAUUAAAACAAAAUUUUUGGACUAUUUUAUCUAAAAAAGAUGUCUAAAACCUAUUUUUAUUAAAAGAAAAUUUUGGGUCCCUUUUUCUUAUUUAAUAAAAAUAUUUUAUUGGACCUAUUUUAUUUUAUUUUUGAGAAAAAGUUCUUUCGGUAACUUAAUUUAUUAAAAUCUAAAAUUUUGGACAGCCUUAUUAAAUAAAUAAACAACGUAAAUAUAUGCAUAACCAAAUUAACAAAAAAUGUGAAAUGAGGUAUGAAAAAUAUAAACAAACAUAAACAUGUACAAAUAUUAACACGAACAAAUAACUUAAAAAAAAUAAUAUAUGUAUGGAAUAUUUACAAAGAAUAGAAAACCUAAACAAAUAUAAAUAUUUAUAGUGAACAAAAAACUCUAAACAAACCCAUAUGGACAAAGAAAUUAUGAAUAGAAAACUACAAAUAAAUGAUAUAUGAACAUAAUAUGUACAAAACUAAAAGGAAAUGGAAAAUAAAUCAAAUAUUCAACUCUGUAUACAACUAAUAAAUAUAUACAAAAUGGUAUUUACAAAAGCUAAUAGAAAUUAAACUAAAUGGAAGUGGGGAAAGAAAAUGUGUACCCAAACAAGCCUACAACCAGUUCAAUACUCUCAUUCUGCCUAAGGUUUCAUGCCUUAUUUAUAGCCUUCUUGAACCUUUUUUUUUUCCCAUGAAAUUCAGCUCUCCACUCGUCAAAAAUCCAUGUAGCCAAAAGUCUCAAAAAAUGGCCCCAUGCAUAACUAUUAAUAAAGCCCAAAGUAAAUAUCCAAAAAUGUGUAAAGCCAAAAACAAAUAUUCAAGCCCAAAGAUGAAAUAAUGAUCCCAAACCCAAAUAAAAAAUCCUAACAAAAAUAUCAACAAUCUAAAACCAUAAGGCCCAAACUUAAUUAAAAUCAAACCCAAAACAAAACAUCCAAGAACCAACAUGCCCAAGUCUAAAGUCCACAAACAAAAUCCAAAAUCCAAAUAUCAAUAAAUCUAAGUUAAACAAAUCAAAACCAAAAUUAUAAAGCAAACUUAAGAUCAACAUCUAAUAUGCAAAUUCCAAGCGAAACAAAUAUCUAAAGCCCAAACAAGCAAACUCAACAAUGAAGAACAAUAACUGUAGGAAUAAAAAAAAAAAAUGAUCAAAGAAAUAAAAAAUGAAAAAAAGCAUCUAACCCGUUUCUUAAAUGUAAUGUGGAAUGAGGGACAAGGGGAAAGAAUGAGAUAAUAAUAAUAAUAAUAAUAAUAAUAAUAAUAAUAAAUAAAUAAAUAAAUAGACAAAUAAAAGAAAGUAAAGAAAAUAGAGAAGUAAAGAGAGAAAAGAGAACUCCAACCAACAAUGGCUUGUCGAUGGUGACUAUCUAGUGGUAAGAAUGGUGAGUAUGGGGCAGCCAUGGUUAUGGACCUUCAAGAUGAGACAGAGAAAAAAUGGUAAGAAGAAGAAAAAUGAAAGGAAAAGAAAAAAGAAAAGGGAAAAAUGAGGGAGGUAGGUGAUAGCUAGAGAUGGGUUUGGGUGAGGAGGUAGGUAAAGAUAAGAGAGAAAAAGAAAGAAAACCAAAAAUGAAGGAAAAAGAAAUAAACAAAGAAAAUGGAAGGAAAAGGGAAAAAAAAAAAAAAAAAAAAGGAAAGGAGGCUCUAUAAUUGCAUGUGAGUGGAAGAAAAAAAAUUGGGUGAAAACCAAGAAAGGAGAAAAAAAGUAAAAAUCAAAUCAAAUAAAUAAAUAAUAAUAAUUAAUAAAAUAAUAAAAUAAAAUAAAAUAAAAAGUGAGAAUGGGCUUAGGGCAAAAUUUAGGAUUUACAAAUAUGCCCCUCUUUAAAAGAGUUCACAAGUGAAGUGUAUAAACCAACUAAACGAAAUGGGCUCUACUAAAGUACUAAAAAGAUCACCAAAUUUUUCCUUGUAAUUAAGACACAGGCUCUCUAAGGUUAUGAAAUGUGCUCAUUGAUCUACUAGUAGAGAAAUAUGCAAUAUCUAUGUGGAUCUUAAGGAAGACUCUUUUGAAUAGGGUAGUGCCAAUAUCUAUGUGAAACACUAAUGACCUUGUUGUCCAAAGGGGGAAUGAACGAGUGAACAAGAGAAGGAAGAAGAAAAGAUAGGAAACUAAUGAUUAAAGAAAAUACUCAAGACUAAUAAAAUGAAAAUGAAAAGAGGUCGAGUAGUCAAGGCAUGGACACUAGAGGAAACAAAAAGAAGAUUGAACAUUUGGGGUAAGACUUUAAAAAAAAAGUUGGAUAAUUAAGACCCGACUCUAGGAAAACAUGAAAAUGUAGGACAAUCAAGGUAGCUCUAGGAAAACAUGAAAAGGUUGGAUAGUCAAAGCAUGACACUAAUAAAGACAAAAAGAGACCGAAUAGUUAGGGCAUGAUACUAAGAAAGCAUAAAAGAUGUUGGAUAGUUAGGGCAUGACAUUAACAGAAAAACAUAAAAAAAGUCGAAUAAUUAGGGUGUGACACUAGCAAAAACAUAAAAAAGUUAGACAAUUUGGGUGUGACAGUAAGAAAACAUAAGGAGGUUAGAAAGUUAGUGUGUGAUACUAAAUAGAAACACAAAGAAGUUAGAUAAUCAAGAAACAACACUAAAAGAAACCUAAAAAGGUUGGACAAUCAGGGCACAACACUAAAAAAAUAUAGAGAAAGAUCAGACAAUCGAAGUACAACAAUGAGAGAAGCAUAAGAAGGCCUGACAAUUUAGGCACAACGCUAAAAAAGAAACAUAAAGAAGCUGGACAGUUAGAGUGCAACACUAAGAGGAACAUAAAAAGGAGGUCAAACAGUCAAGGUACAAUACUAAAAAAAAAAAUACAUGAAAGCCAGACAGCUAGGGUGCAACAAUGGGAAAAACAUAAGAAGGUUGGACAGUUAGGGCUUCACACUAACAAUGACACAGAAAGGCUAGCCAAUUGGGGCACGACAAUGGGAGAAACAUAAAAAGGUCAAAUAGUCUAAGUGUGACACAAAAGAGACAUAGAAAGGUUCACUAGUCAGGGUGUGACACUAAAAAAAGACAUGAAAGGCUAGACAGUUGGUGAGUAACAUUAAAAAAAAAAAGGCAUAAAAAUGUUGGAUAGCUUGGAUGUGACACUAAAAAAAGACAUAAGAGAGUGGGCAAUUGAAACAUGAUAAUGGACGAAAUAUAAGAAGGUCAGACAAUUAGUGCAUGACAUUUUAAAAAAGACAGAAAAGUUAGACAUUUCAAGCAUAAUGCUAAAAAAACAUGAAAGGUCAAACAAUCAAGGUACAACUAUAAUAAGAGACAUAAAAAGGUCAGAUAGUCGUAGGAUGACACUAACAAGAGACAUAAAAAGGUUAGACAACCAUGAGGCAACUCUAGGAAAACAUAAAAGAGGUCAAACAGUUAAAAUGCAACACUAGAAAAAAAAUAUAAAAAGGUUGAAUAGUUAGAGUAUGAUUUUAACAGGAGACAUAAAAAGAGGUUGGACAGUUAGGGUGUAGUAUUAAGAAAACAUAAAAGAUGUUGGACAAUUAGGGCAUGACAUUAAUAUAAAAACAUAAAAAGCUUGGACAAUUAGGGUGUAGUACUAAUAAAGACAUAAAAUGAUAAAGAGUGGGGUGCAACACUAAUAGAAACUUAAAAAUGGGUUAGACUUUGAUAGUAAGGCAUAGUUAUGGUGACUGAAAAGUGACUAAGAUAAUACUCAAAUGUGGCUCUUAGCCAAAUGAUGAUCCAAAGGCGUAGCUCGAGGCUAGAGAGUGACCAAGAAGAGAAUUUAAUUGUAAAGUUCAAGGCUCAUAUAAAAUGAUAAAAAGAUAAUCUAAGAGUAAUGCUCAGGCUAAUCAAUGAGCAAGAUAGAUAACAGAAGAAGAGAAAACCUAAAGAUACAUGAAGAUUCGAUUGAGAGUCGAAUGAUGACCUAAAAAUGUGGCUUGAGGUUAAUUGAGUGUGAGAUAAAGAUGACUUAAUAGUGCAACUCAAGGUUUGAAUGAUGAUUAAGAAAAUACCAAAGAUGUGGUCACAAAGACUAAAAGACAACUAACAUAAGAUUAAAAAGGGAAAAGAUAAAAUAUACAAAAUGUUAUAUAUCAACGGCAUACUCCAACAUACACGUGUCGACAAUAAGAUGAAAAUGUCUAAUCCUUAAUUAGAAAAGCUAAAUAGGACUAUUUGUCUUAAGACCAUGCUAUCAAAAUAGAACCAAAUGAUGGACAAAAACAAAGCUAACCAAAGCUCUGAAUCUAAAUAUGCACCAAGUCAUGUCAUGAAAUGUAGACUAUCAAAUGAAAAAUGCCACAAACAAUCGACAGUCUUUUGAGUCUUGCCAUCAUGGAAGAUGUUAAAUUCAGUAUCCAAAAGGCAUAUGAAAGUUCAACUAGAAAACUCAUUAUUCUUCUACAUCCUUCUAUGAUUUGGAGAGCAAAAUAAGUUUAUAUAUCAUGAUGGAAUGAGAUGGGUGGAUUGAAUACAAGAUAUAAGUGUGAAAAUAGUAAAAGAGAAGUGUUUGGGUAUGAAAUAAAUAUAAGAGAGUAUCUAAAUCAGACCUGGUAUGGUGAGAAGACAAAAUCUAAGGCAUCAUCAUCUUUAUAACCCAUUAAAAACCUCAAUCUAGUGGUCAAAUUCCAAUGGCCUAAAAAAUCAAUAAGAUUGUCACGCCCUAAUAUAAAUAUUUCCUUAAAUGGCUAUGCCCCAACAUAAAAGACAUCAAAUCGAUAUCUCUCAACUUGAUCACCUUUAUGAGAAUGAUUAUGACAUAAUGUAUGGAGUUAAAUAGAGUAGUUAUGCUUAGUAUAAAAUAUUAUUUUUUUAAAAAAAAUCAAUCACAAACUAAAUGGGUUAUGCCCCAACAUGAAUAUAUCAAGUUAAAAUGGGUAAGGCCCAAACAAAUUAAUCAUCUUCAAAAUGAAACACUAAUAAGAGAAGUAUGGUCCAGUAUAUAAGGUAAUAUUUAAAAUGUUCAAACCUUAGUGCAAUGUAAUCUUUAGAAUGGUUAUGUCAUAACAUACACGAUCUCAUCAAGAUAGACCUCUACUCCCUAAAUUAUUUUCAUACUAUAAUGUGAAGAGAGUAUUGAAUCUCCUUUAGAAGACGAAUAUGCCCAGUGUAGGGAAUCAAGCAUAGCGGUUAUGCCUUACUAUAAAUUGUCAAAUCAAAAUCAAACUCUACCAUAUAUCUCAAAAUGGAUAUAUGUUGAUUUGAAGCCAAGUGACUUCUAAUCCAUCAUGCUCCAUGAGAAGGAAUAAAGUGGCUAUGCCUUAGUAUAAGAUAUCAUCUCAAAAAUCAAUAAUUGAUGAGAGGGCUACGCCUUAGUAUAAACUCUCUAAGGUGUUUAUGCCCUAGAAUAAAUCGUUAAAUGAAAAAUAAAACUAUAUCCUAGAUCUAAAAAAAGGAUAUAUAUCAAUAUAAAUCCAAGCGAUAACUAAUCCAUCAUGCUUCAUGAGAAAGAAUAAAGUGGUUAUGCCCUAGUAUAAGUUAUCAUCUCGAAAAUCAACCAUCAAUGAGAGGGCUAUACACCAAUAUAAACUCUCUAAGGUGGCUAUGCCUUAGUGUAAAUUGUCAAAUCAAAAUCAAACUCUAUCCUAAAUCUAAAAAAUGGAUAUAUGUUGAUAUGAAUCUAGGUGACUCUUUAUCUAUCAUGCUCCAUGAGAAGGAAUGAAGUGACUAUGCCCUAAUAUAAGCUAUCAUCUAAAAAAUUAAUCAGCAAUAGGAGGGCUACACCCUAGUAUGAACUCCCUAAGAUGGCUAUGCCCCAACGUAAAUUGUUAAAUCAAAAUCAAACUUUAUCCCAUAUCUCAAAAAAGGAUAUAUAUCGAUAUGAAUCCGAGUGACUCUUGAUCUAUCAUGCUCCAUGAGAGAGAUUGAAAUGGCUAUACCCUAGUAUAAGCCAUCAUAUAAAAAAUCAAUCAUCGAUGAGAGGGUUAUGCGCUAGUGUAAACCUUCUCACAGUUUCUCAUCAAUCAUGCUCCAAGUAAUUUCCAACCAAUCUCAAAUGCUACCCAUGUGUGAGUUAUCAAGUAUAAUACAUGAGUCAUGGCCGUCAAGGUGGUCUUACGACCUAGGAUAGGAUGUAAUGUAGGCUAAGGCAAUAGCGUAAAAGAAACGAAGGGAAACUAAACUCAAUAAUCCUAAUGAUAUGAUCCCAAUGCCUUUGGCAUACACAAUGUAAUAGAUAAAGAAACUCAAAGAUUGUUGAGCUCAUAGAUGCUCUAUGAUAUAAAUAACUGAAUGAAUGAAAAUAUGAAAUUAUUGAAAAGAAAAACAAACCCAAGAUAAAAACUACACAAAAACCAACCAUCCACAUGAAUGAGUUAGAGAAAUGGAAAGGACGAGUGUGAGACUCUAAAUUAGGCUCAAAUGAAUCAAAACAAUAGUACAAUGGCUAGAGAUAAAGUAGGCAAUGUCAACAAAUGAUAACUCAAUAUACAAGUAAAAAAAGAACAUAAGCAAGAUGAAUGAGAAUAAAACUCCAAAUAAAAAGUGUAAUUGAGUACAAGAGAAUAAAAAUGUCAUAGUUAGGGAUAAAACCCACAACUCAAUCAUAAUUCAAUGUAUAAAUGAGAUAGAUAUAUAUAAUAAGAUGAUCAAAACUAUCACACAAGCCGUUAACAAAGACUAACAUUAUAUUUUUUUUUCUUUUUCUUUUUAAUAAUAAUUGAACCAAUGAAUUAAAACAAUCAUGUACAAGAAUCCCAAGGCAACCUAUACAAAUCUUGAUAUAUAUAUAUAUAUAUAUAAGAAGACUAACCCGUAUGUACAUAUAUGAACUCAUAAUGACAGAAUAAUGAACAAUAACUCAAAUGGGUAAGUAUUAAGAAGAGGUAUGGAUGAAAGAAUGCAAAUGAUCAAGACGAAAAUAAUGAAUACAAAGAUGAAUCACUUGAGGAGCUCACAACCUAUGUGAUUACUACUCAAAAAGUGCUAUUUUGUAGCUUGUAAUUAAACUCUUUUAAACACUCUUGAGUAGUAAUUAUUACCUUUUAACUCAAUUGACAUGUUAAGGACCCUUGGAAUCAUUUCUAAUCAAAUUGUGUUAAGUUUUGGUGUUUUUGAUAGCUUUUUGCUCACCAAAGCAAUCCAAGAAUGAGGGAGAGCUGUAUAUAGUUCAUGGCAAAGCUUUUGGAAGCUCAAAUUCAUGACGAACCAAGCUUUGGAGCUCCAUAGCCCUUUGCCAAAGUCGUUCAAAGUAUGCAAGGAAAGAACAAUGGAGAGAGGAAAAACAGAGUGAAGAAAACAGAGGACAGCAGCUUCAGUAUUCUUUCACACUUUUGGAGCACUUCCCGAAGUCCAUUUUCUACAUGAUAUAUACCAUUUCAAAGCUCAUGAAGUAAAGAAUUCAACGCUUCAAACUGUGUAUGAUUUGGAGCUGAAAUGAGGAAGAUAUGGCCUUCGCAAGACAACUGCAUCCAGCUGAAGGACAAAUUCGCAUCUUGCGAAUUUGGAACUCCAACGUGCGAAAGUGAUUUUGCAACUUGCGAACUUGGAGCUCAACGUGCGAAAAUGGAUUCUAAGUUGCGAAAUCAACUUGUGAAAUUUUCGCAAGUCACCAUACAACGUGCGAAAAUGGGAUAUUUGUGCACCGACUCUUUUAGAUCUUUUCUUCAGAUAUUUUUGUAUAAAUUUCCAUUCUUCUCCUUGUAAUCCACGAACCAUAAGAUUUCUUAGCUAGGAAGGUUGGAAAAAAUUCUCUAUAUAUAUUCCCUUGCAUCCAUUGUAAUAAAUAUCGAUCAAUAUAUAGAAGUAUGUAGAAUCGAUCAAUAUAUAGAAGUAUGUAGAAUCGAUCAAUAUAUAGAUAUUUAAAUAUAUAGACUAUACAGAGCUUUGCUCUGUUUUUCUCUCUUCUCCUGUUCUUCCCCAUUUCUAUUUUCUUAGUAGCCAAACAGCCUUUAAGGGCUUUUCCUUAGAGGAUGAUUGGCUAAAACUUUUAGUUUCUCAAAGUAUGGAUGUUAUGUGAUGACUUGGAUGCAAUCCCAUGGAAAUUUCUCGCACCUGGAAGGUAAGGUAGUCGUUUUUCAUUAAAGGUUCAUUAAUGCAAAGUUUGGUUUUUAUUUCCUUUGGACAACUUCCAACGGCCAAUACUUGAUAAGCUUUUGGAUUUCUAUCCAUUAGUUAUCUCCUACGAGCUAUUGGAAGGUGAGGUUUUCAAUUCCAAGUUUUGCAUUAAUCCGUUAGAACCAAUUUCAAUGGCCAUUGAAAGGUGAGUUUAUCACCUGGAAUGACUUUGAGUUGCCAAUAUUUGGUAAGCUUUUGGCUUUAGACCAUUAGUUAUCUCUUACGAGCCAUUCAAAGGAAGUCUAAGGUGAAUAACCAUUGAUGAAAUUCACUACCAUCUGUUUUGCCAUUUUAAAGGAUUAAAACUUGAUUUGCUAAAUCCAUACCGGUUCGGGAAGCAAGCAUCACCAUAGUUGCAACCCCAACGCGAGGAGCCUAUCCUGAGAUUUCCAAUUUGCAUAAGAGCCAGAGCAUACCUAUCUUAUAUUUGAGAAACUUGUUUUUACACCCUUUCAUUUUAGUCUUUAAUGUUAGCUUAGAUUAGUUUAAAUCUUUCUAAAACAUUUACAUCUUCUUUUAAAGCUAACAUCCAUAAGAUAAUCACCUAUUUUCCUAAUUUGAAUAUCACUAGUGUUUGCGAAAACCCAUCCCAAUGAACGAUCCUAGAACCACUAUGCUAUAGUAGCUUGGCUACUUUAGUAAUAGUAUUUAAGGUAUAAAUUUUGUUGAUACGCCUUUAAAGCUAAGCUACCAUGAGUCGAAUCACUAGGCGAUCUUAUCUAUGAGCAAAGAUGUGCCAAGAGACCCUAACCCUAGGUAUGAGAAACGAGGUAAGUGGGGUGAAAAAUUAAAAGGCUAAAUGUGCAUGACUUAAUUGGCUAGCAAAGGGUAACUUUAUACACAAAGGUGAUUAGAUAAAUAUGCUCAUGAAAUUAUGGCCACCCAUCCUUUGAUCACAACCUUAAACAUCAUGUUCUUAAACUCUCACAUGGUCAACACUAAAGAUUGGUGUCCAUUAAAAUGUAGGCAUUCCAUCAUUCUAAAAUCAUGCAUAAAUAUCCCAUUUUGGAGGCUCUAUGACAACCUCAAGAUGCUCAUCUCUACCAUAGAAUAGUCAAUGAUCUCGUGCAAUUAAUCACCCUGCUCAUCAUAAGUCACCCUUCUCACCUCAUAAAAUCAACCUCAAGUACAAAGAACAAAUAAAUAGAUUAGAACAAUGUCCAUGUAGAUGACGUUGCAUUAGCUAUGAUAAGAAGGGAUGUAAAAGUCAUGUUAUGGUGUCAAGGGGUUAAUAUUGUACAAGGAUCAAGAUAGACAGGACGUAAAGGUUAAGAUGUGAAUGAAAGUGAAUAAGGUACAACUCUUAUCACAAGACAAAUGAGCCACAGUCUUAAGCUCCCUAAGUCAGUCCUUUAGUCCUAGCUUAAGGGGCUUAAUAUCAUCUAUGAUGGGUCAGGCCUAAUGAUCAUGAUAAGUAAGUGAAUAAUGUGUCAUAUCGAAAGUUAACACGUGCACCAUAAGACACAAACAUAUAUUCAAUGAAAAAGGUCAAGUCUAAUGAUCAAUGUACAUUCAUAGUAGAAGCAAAUACUAACAGGUCAAAACACUUUAUAAGGAAUACAAACUCUAACUACACCUCAAGACUAACACAAACUCAAUAACCAAAAGGACUAGCUUUGAUGCAACAGAAAUAAAUAGUCUUACCAACUAUGACACCAUUUCACCUAGAAAACACCGACUAGGUUCCCAAAACUCUAACUAACAUGACUCAUCUAAGGAACCUAUCAAUGACCCAUAGAAUAGAAAACCUUAGACUUAGGUCUAAAAAUUUCAAAUAAACAUAUCCUAUAAUGCUACACCUGACACACAACCUAAAUGACUGACAAUACAUUUAAAAAGGUAAAUCCUCUUUAUAUACAACAUCUUAAGGUUGACAAAAUUCUAAGGAGAAGAAAACUAUACAAGAUCGACGAAUGUAUAACCUAGAAGAUUGAUUAACUGAAUCCAACUAAUGAAGUGUGAAGAGAAUGAUAAUACAACUAAUCUAUGUUGAUGGAACUCUAAUGUUGAUGCAAAAUUGUUGUUAUCAAAUUCCUAUACAUGAAUGCACCUAAGUGUGGGUAGGUGUCCUAGGUCCAAGGAUCUAAUUCUCCUUUUACAAAGUAAAAGUGGCUUUAAAAGGUAGGAUCAAAGGUACUGAGUAGGAGAAAUUGUACUCAUUACCAGUACGUAACCUUCUACAAGCCUCCAAAGAGACUAGAAGUUUCCAUGUAAGGUGGUCAUCACCUCUACACAUGCACUUCCUUAACAUCCUAGGGUGGUUUCUUAAUGAUUAAGGUUUUCUACUAGUUAGCGCAUGUUACCUUUCUCAACACACAUAUAAGAUGAUCUAAACUGUGUAGUGUGGCAUAAGUGCAUCCAAACAAUAUCUUAAACUAAAGCAAAAAAGUAAACACAUUGGUCACACAUAUAUCUUGAAUCUAGUUAUGGGUUAUACAAGUCUUCAAUGAUCAAACUCCAAAUGGCGAUGAUGUGGUGACCUCCAUUGACAUGACGUUGAUGAUGUCAUGAUGCUCUCUAAGGCAUCACAAAGGUGCAACAAGAUAAGAUGAUGACAUGAAAAAAGAAAUGUGGAAUGAAAUGUUAAGGUAUGAUGAUGAGGCAAAGUGAGGUUGACAGUAAGAGUGAGAUAAUAAGUUAGGAUGCUGAUAGGAUAAGAAUAAAGUGGAAAUGAUGAUAUGGCAAUGUAGGAUGAUGUUAAGGCACUAGGGAUGUGGCAAAGUGAUGACAUGGUGAAGUAGGAUGAUGUGGCAAAGUGGGGUGAUAGUAGGGAUUAGGUGACUAAGUGGGAUGUUGAUAAAAUAAAAAUGAUGUGGCAAGGCUGAUAAUGUGGUAACCAACUCUAAGGCAAUUUCAUGGCAUUGAUGAUGUCAUGACAAUGCUCUGGGUGUUCCCAAACAUACAUUUAACCCAUAACUAGACCAUACUCCUAAUCACUAGCUUAGUUAGGAAACAAACAAGACACCAAGUCUCAUACACCAAAUAUGAGAUCAAAAGAAGAAAAUCAACCAAGGUUAGAGAGUUUGAGAUAAAGAGAUAAACAUGUGUUCUACACAAAGAAGCAAAACAUGCAUUAUGUAGAAGAAGGGUAGUCAUGCAGCAUACAAUUAUGCAAAAUAGAUAUAUACAAAUAUGAGUAGAUAUAUACAAACACAUAUAAUGACAAAAAUCAAUAUAUAGUAAGGCACGUGCAAUAUAUACAAAGUAAUCAUCAACUCAACCUCUCAUAUGCCCUAAAAUGUGUAAGCAUACAACAGAGGUACAAUGUGAGGGUAUCCACUAAUCGAUUAAUUCAACAUCACAUUUCCCCUCAACUUGAGUUCAAGCUUAACCUUCUAAACAUCCCUAGUGGAGUCACCAUUUUAUGGGCCUACAUUUUUCAUGUGCGUCCCCACUUGACGAUGAGAUACGUUUCUAUUAUGAAAAACUAUAUAUAUAUUUUUUUUAUAAAAAAAGUUGGGGUUGGAAUUGCCACUUAUUUUUGUUUAUUUUUAAAAUAGAAAACAAAAUAAGAAAUGAAGCUAUGAUGUGACUCAUUUUUUAAGGGAAAGACAUCUGGACUUGCAUUUUUCAUGUGCAUCCCUACUCGAUAGUGAGACUCGUUUUCUUAGUGAAAAUUUGAUUUUUAUAAAAUUGAGUCAUCACUUAUUUUUAUUUAUUUUUAGAAGGAAAAAUAAUAUAAGAAAUAAAACUCUAAAAAAUGACUCAUUAAUUUUGAAAAGGCGCAUCUUUGAAACAUUGAGUCUAAGUAUGAAUCAAGGUCAGGUUACCUAUUGGGAAAGUAUUACAAAGGUAGCACCCCUUUAAAGCCCUAAAAAGAAGUCUCUUCUGACUAGGUUGAGGUAAGUAUGACAAUUAAUUGAUAAAUUGUGGAUCCUAAAAAUAACAAAGGUGAUUAUAUCUAAGGCUAAACAAAAUUUUAUUCACAUUGAAACAAUCAAACCACAAAAAUCAAUCAUAUGAGAAAGGAAGACAAGCAUACCUGAACUACAACCUAAAACACUUUCAUAAAAACAUCAAAGUUAGUUUGACAAACAAUACAACAUACAACACAUGUUCCAUCUCAUUCAAGGAAUCACACACCAAUCAUAGCAUAACGAAGCAAUAUCAAAUAAGAAGAUGUUGACAUACAAAACAUAUCUAUUUACAAAACUAAGGGAUAAAAGUGUGUGCAAUGUACCUAGAUUGCAUAAAUAACUUACAAGGACUUUCCAUAAAGCUAGAGGGUGGUUAGAACAAUUAUAAUAAUAAAGAAUUGUGAUAGUGAAUACACAUGGUAUAUGUAUAGCUUAAAUGAAAUGACAAGAAUCCAAAUAAUUAUAAACUAUCACCUAGGACAUCCAUACACCUCAUUGUUAAGGCUAAACUAUGUACAAGAUAGCUUAAAAAACACCAAAAAUUAGAGAAUAGGACAAAGCACAUAGGAAAGGGUAGAAUAGUUGCAUUUACUUGAAAAACUCUAAACAAAUAUCCAGAAGUAUUACUUCAUCAUAGGAAAAAAAAAAUCAUACAACAUCCUCAUUAUGUCUAUAAUACAAUACCAAAGCCAAGAGCAAGAGAUGAAUAGUCAAUUAACUCUAGAUUAAAUAAUAAAUAAAACAUUAUAUAAAAAUUUCAUCAUGCAAACAAAUCAUAAUAUAUAUAUAUAUCUAGAAUGUGAAUUUAAUUACAAAAAUUUUCAAAGAACAUCUCCUAUAUGUCCAGCUUAUCAUCCAACUAGCCAAACAAUAUAUUGAGGCAUUGAUUAAUUCCAAUUUACAAAAGUAUAUCAAAAGGUUCAGAAUAUGAUAGAAUUUAAUAUCAUCCAUAAACUAAUUUUUUUAACCAAACUAGAAGUGCUAUAAAAUCAUACAAAAAAUCAUGCGAUAUAUUCAAAAUGUCUAAUUUACAAGAAAAAUAAUAGCAAGGCAAGAAAGUAUAUGGAUCAAUUCGAAAAACAAUCAAAGAGGCUCUCUAUUAUAAAUUAGGAUAGUGUAGUGGGUACAAUAAAGGAAAAUUAUUUUUCUUUAUUAGAAAAACGUUUUUAAAUAUUUAGUGCAUAUAAAAUAAAUUUCAAGAAGUCUAGAAUCUAGGAAAAAAGGUUAAUUUUUUUUUUCAAAGUCAUCUAGUAAUUCAAAAAUACAAAAAACAAUGAAGGUAUUUAAAAGUGGGCAAAAAUUGAACCUACCAAAAGAUUAAUUGAUAAUUUCCAUUUGAAAUAUGAUUUUUGAUCAAACAUCUAAAAUCAAGUUCAUGAAGUUCACAAUUUCAUAUAACCAUAGGAAAAAUCUUAGGAGUAUUAUAAAUUAGCCAAAUCAAAAUUUUAUUCUAGAGACGCAACAAAUCCAAAACGAUGACAAUAAAAGGUUUUUAAAAAAUAAUUUUAUGUAGAGUUUCACCAAAUCCUCAUUUGAUAUACACAAAUCUAGACUACGGAUUCCCAACCUUGCAUAAGUAUUGACAAACUCAUCAAAACUGAGAAUUAUCCUAUUUAUUUAGAAACACAAGCUUGGAUUCAUAUUCCACUCAAAAUCAAAAUUUUUUAUUGAAAAUAAAAGAAAUGUGUUAACCAAUUAAAAAAUGAUUGCAUAUUUUUAAGAAAAAGUUUUUUUUUUUUUUUCCUUUUUGACCCUAAGAAUUAUAGAAGGAGUUUUUGAAAUACAUUUCAAUAAAGAACAUUUUGAGAAAAGACUUUUUUUUUUUUAAUAGAGAAAAGUUGCAUUUUAAAACCAUAAAAUAUAAGGAUAAAAAACCAAACAAAACAAGAGAAAAUAAAAUCACAAGGUGAUAUUUUCUAGCAACCAAGCAAAGUAAGUGAGAGUAGAGGCCAAUCUUCAUGUGUUUCCAAGGGCAUAAAAAAAUCGAAUUAAAUGAAAGUUCACUAAAGCAACAAGCAAAGUAUUUUAGAUUAGAUAGACUAACAAGAUAUCGAUUCAGGAACUAAUCACUAGGAUUUUAAAAGCAUAUAAAUUAAGAUAAGGAUGAUCAAGAACUUACAUUAAUGAUUUUAAAACAAAUAUUAAAAAAACAUGGGAUCAAUUUAGCUAAGGAACUAAAAUUAUAGAAGUACCUAAACUAAUUAAAAUGACUUUGACUAAAUUAAAGUGUAUACUCUCCAUUUUGUCCUCCUAGCACAUGUCUUAUUAGGUAUUUGUCCUGUAUUUUACAACAAUUCCUUGGUGGCCUAUUACUACUCCUGUAGCCUAUCUUUUAUAAGCCACCUUGGGGACUUUGGUUGAGGGAUUUAUUUAUCCCCAUUGUGACUCUUGGCAGCCCUAAUUUAGACUCGGGUUCACUUAGACACCUUAGGAUCACUUAGGCACCUUAGGUCCACUUAGGCACCUUAGGUUCACUUAGACACCUCAGGCCCACUUAGGCACCUUAGGAUCACUUAGACACCUCAGACCCAUUAGGCACUUUAGGCUCACUUAGACACCUCAGGCCCAUUAAGCACGACCUUAGGCCCAUUUAGGUACACUUGGCCCAUUAGGAUGCACUUGGGCUCAUUUAGGCACAUUUCAACUUUUUCUAGGCCCAUUUAGGCAUGACUAGCCCAAUUAGUUUUACCAGUCUUGCUUAGGUCACCUUUCAAGUAGGGUUUCAUGGCUUGUAUGACUAGCAUGUGCUUUAUUUUCUUAUUUUAUUUUAUUUAUUUAUUUAUUAGUUUUAUUCAUUUACUUAUUCACUUUUUCGAAAAAUUGCAUGAGAAUUUAGAUUUUAGUUUUUUCUAAUUGCAUGAAUUGAUAUCUCAUAUAUAUUCAUAUAUUUACUUUACUUUAUUCAUCUAUUCAUUUUUGUAGGAAAUUGCUUGAGCUUCAUAUUUUAAUUCUAUUAACGUGUUUGAUAUCUUAGUUUUAAUUGCAUAAUUUUAAUUUUAAAUUUUAAAUUUUCAACUACAUGAUUUUUUUUAUUUUACCAUUUACUUUCUAUUUCAAAGGGGAUGAGGAAAUAAUUUCUCCUAAUGGCGUCGUUGAAGGUAUUUUCAUCAUUUGGGACGACAUAAAGCAGAGUCGUGGUUGUGGAUUUUUUAAGCUUCCUAAUAGAAAUAUGGCAGUGGUAGCAAUCAACAAUCAAUGUAUUAAGUGGAAAUUACAUGAUGAAGGGUUAUGAUUUCUGAUUUUUUAGAAAGUGGAGAAUCAGUCCAGAGGAUAGUGGCAUUUUAUUCUGAAAUAAAAUUUCCAUAGUUGGUUGUUGUAAGUGAAAAGAGUUGGAUGUAGUGUGUAUGUAGACAGAAAGUGAGGCCAAGUUCAAGCAAGAUGGGUCUGAAAAAGUUACAGGUACAAAGGAAAAAAAAUAGGCAAAGGAAGAAGAAAGGAUGGCAAACAAGUGGAUCAGUGAAAUGAGUCUCCCAACAUCAAUAGCCAAUAUCUUCGUUGCUCGCAACAUCACUACUGCCAAGGAAGCAUUAUCUCUAACUGAAUUUGAAUUGAUGGAGUUAUUGGAUGUGGGUAUGGCAUGAGUGACAUUUGCAGUGGCACACAUUAGCGAAAUUGUUUCUUCACUGAUGUAAAUUGCCCUGUUACUGAUGGAACAAAAGGUUUAGAAUGAGUGUAUGGUUGGCCAUCUUCCCACAUGCCUCAAAGGGUUGGAUGAGGCUUUAGGGGAUGGAAUCCUAUUUGGUGUUCUCAUUGAGUUGGUUGGCCCUCUCUUGGAAUUGGCAAAACCCAAUUUUGCCUUAAACUCUCACUAUUGGCUUCUCUACUGGCAAGUUAUGGAGGCUUAGAUGGUCGUGUAAUAUAUAUUGAUGUCGAUUCCAAGUUUAGUUCAAGAAAUAUGAUAGAAAUUGGGUUAAAGAGUUCCCAAGAAAUAUUACAUAUGGAAGGAAUGGCAAAGUAGAGGAUGCUGAUGGAAAAUCCAGAGUAUCCAAUGAGGACCGGCCAUUAUCAUUUUGCACGACAACUAUGAAGUCAGUAUAUCUAUGGAUUGUCAUGCCCCAAAAUGUUGCCAAGUCAAACUCUCGGUUCCUUUUAUUAAUGCAUGGAAUUAUUAUAUUUAUUAUAAAUAUCAUGUCUUUAACCUGUCACCCUCUUAUCUCAUGUUUAAAUUGGAACUAGUUAUAAACCGAAAAUAAUCUGGAUAUAAUAUUAAUUGCAUAGAAGCUAAUUUAGGUAGAAUUUUUUUAUUUCCUUUGAAUAAACCUAUCAUAAAGUAAGAAAAACACAUCAAAGGUAGCAUAAGACGGAUCAAAAGACUAUGUGUCUCAUACUUGCGUCUUUAGAUAAUAUGUUGCAAAAGCAACACAUUUCUAUUGCCAUGGUCUAUGAUAUUCUCUUUAAAGUUGCAAGGGCUAUUUUGUGAUAAAGGUAAGUCAACUAGACAAGUUGCCCUUAGGACUAUUAUGAACAUUAGGAUUCAUGUUGUCUUAGAGAUCUUACUAGAUUCCUUUAGGAUAGGUAAGAAGAUUCUUAAAGAGUAAAAUGGUGUUCAUAUGGAAGUCAAGGUUCUUUAGGUUCUUCUACUAAGAAGAAGAAGAAGAACACCAAAUAAGGAAAGUUCAAGAAAAGAAAUGAGGGAGCAAACUCAUGGAUGGUAAUUCCUUUAUGAUCAAUUAGAACACUAGAAAAGGAAUUCUUGGAGUGCCUAAGGAUAGGCAAGUACACAACAUGUUCUCGUUGUUGAACUCAUAGUGGUGGAUUUCACCAAUUGUGGUGGAUAGAGUCCGGGCCCAUUAUAAAAAAAUGAGAAGAUCACAUUGAAUUUAAGGCGGAAUCGAAUAACCUAUUGGGUAAACACAUCAAGGCACUUCGAUUAGAUUAAGGUGGUGUGUCUAGUAGGUUCAAUUCUUUCCAUAUGGAGCAUGCGAUGAUAUCCCAAUUGUGUGCACCAAGGACUCCAUUGUAAAAUGGAGUAAUGGAAAGAAGAUAUUGAACUUUGAUAGAUAUAGUGAGAUUGGUGAUUGGUUUCUCAUUACUUCCCAUAUUCUUUGAGGAUAUAUCUUAGAGACUGUGUAAUACCUCUUUUUCUAAAGAGGUGCAUUGGUUUAUAGGAUAUCUAAGAGGACUUCAAGAUUAUUACUUUAUAGUUAGGAUAAUUAAAAGGUGUUUGUUGCUACAAGCACUAGAUUUUGUUGAACAGUAUAUGAUAUGUAAUAAGGCAAACAUUGAUAUAGAUUGGAGAAUACUAUAAGAUAGUCCCACUAUAUGGAAGAUACUAUGGAUCCACUACCAACCAUUCCUACUUCUAGUACAUUGAUGCCUCAUCGUAGUGGGAGUGUUGCUAAACAACUAAACCAAUUCAUGUAUUUGGAAGAGUCGACUUUCGAGGCCAUUCUAAAGGAACAUGAGAUCGAUCCCAUAGAGUGAGAUGAAGCAAUGAGCGAAGUGGAUGCACAUCUUUGGCAAAAGGCUAUGGAGGCAGAGUUAGAAUCCUUAUGAUUAUAAUGUAGUCUAGGUUCUUGUAGAAGCACUUGAAGGGAUAAAACCCAUGGGUAUAAGUUGGUUUACUAAAUGAAUAAAGGAGUAGAUGGAAAAGUUGAGAUUUAUGUGGCUAGGUUGUAUCUAAAGGUUAUACUUUGAAGCAUUAUUUCAACUAUAGGAAACCUUUCUCCAAUAGCCAUACUCAAAUCCAUUAGAGUACUCCUAUCCAUUGCGGAGUAUCUCAUUUAUGAGAUAUUUCAAUAGGGUGUCAAGAUAGUGUUCUUAAAUGAUUAUCUUGAUAUUAGCAUCUAUAUGAUGUAACCAGAUAUUUUCAUAGCAAAGGGCCUUAUGUGUACAAGAAACUGCAGGAAAGCAUAGUGGUGUUCUAGGAUCUUGUAGGUAGAUCACAAUCUACUCAUUCAGAAUGAUGUAGGGAUAUUGUCAUCAGUCAAGAUUUGGUUGUCUACUUGGUUAUAGAUGGAAAUCUAGAAGGGGCACAAUAUAUUCUUGGGUUUAAAGUCCUCAAGGAUAACAAGAAUAGGAAAAUUGUGCUAUGUCAAGCAUAUACUCAAGUAUCUUUUUAGAAUAAAGGAUCAUGUGCUUUUGCUCCAAAUUGUUGAAAUAGUUUAGAGGGUGACGUGAUGGUUGACAAUAUACCAUUUAUGGAGAACUUGGUGGAUCCAUUCACUAAGACAUUGACAGGGAGAGUCUAUGUUGGUGAUAGGGAUAACAUAGGUUUAAUAUGAGUAUCUAGAAUGCUUUAUAGGUACGAUGCUUUGAGGGUUAGUGGAAGAAUGUUAGAAUAGAGCCCUUAAAAGCAUAACAUGAUGUAAUAAAUUUGGAAUUUUUUAUUUAUUUAAUGAUGUUCCAAUUUCACUUUUAUUUAUCCUUAUUCCAUGUAUUAUACUUUAUGAACAUUCUUGUCUACAUCUUUUGCAUUGCACAUGACUUAGGCGCAUUAGGAGUUGCAUAGAAGAUCUAAGUCAUGGAUUCCUUGUAAAUAGAUGACUUAUUCACAAUCGGAUCACGGGUCUAGGCAACCUAUUAGAGGUUGUAGUGUACCACCUCCUAAGUGGAAGGAUGGUUGAUCUUGGCUAUCAAGAUGGGUUUCCCAUGGUGAGUGCACUAGUGUACGUGCUUACACAUUGAAUAGAAUCUAUGGUGAGUCAUGACUGAAGGUUGUCAAGUAGUCAUGACCUUACCAAGCUACUUUAUUGUGUUGUCUCUCAACCUUGAGAGAAUAUUAAGCUUGUGCUAAAGUUGGCAAUGGCUUUGACCCUACGGGUGAGAUUGUAAGUUGAUCAUAUAUUUUAUAUGGAUUGGGUCACUAUUGAUAGAAGUUAGUAGCAAUAGGUAUUCUCAAUAGAGGCACCAUGUUAUCUCAUGGGAUUGAGAUAGUGUAUCCUCUCGGGUGAUCCUAAGGAGGUGUGUUCAUGGAAAUUAUGGUCAUAGUAGUAGUUCCUUAAGUAGAACAUGACAUAGGCUCUUUGAGAGCUGAGACAUGUCAGUUGAAUACAUAAUAAGAGGACCUGUAAUUCAAGGAUAGUAGAGUUAGUCUUGAAAGGUUGAUAGCUUUCACCUUGUUAGACUAUGGACACCAGUUCAUGGGAAGACUAAACACAAUGGAUAGUAGGUCACGAACCCGAGCACGUAGUGUCUCAUUGUUAUUUACAUAGGAUACUAAAGUUCAAUUGAUUCUCUAUAGUGGGAUGUUGAAUCAACUUCCAAAUUGGAUUGUGAGGGAGCCAGUACACCUAUAGAUCAUAGUGGUCCCUGUUUUGAGCUCAUAUACCUUGUUGGUGUGGAUUAUGAGGGUCGGAUUAAGUCUAGGUUCACUUUUGUGUAUAAGGGCAUUUUGGUAAUUAUGCAAGAUUGAACAAGGAUAAGUGAACAAAGUCUCUAGAUUAGGCUAAUUGAUUAAUUAGUAGGCUCUAUUGAGUUAAUUAAUCAAUUAGGACCCAUUUUAGGCUAGAUUAAGUGACCCAAGCCCAUUUGAGCUUAAGUCACUAAAGCCCAAUUAGGACCCUAUAAAUAUCCCAUAGGGGUUAGAGUUUCCAUAAUUUUUGUCUUCCACCAUCUAGAGAGAAAGGGAGCCAUAGCCUUCACCCUCUUUUCCUCCCCACCAAAAGUGUACCAAGAACAAGGUUGAGUCAUCGGGCGGAAGAUCAUGGGUUUACAAGACGUCCAACAACUUGAAGGCUGUUUCAACACUCGGAUUUUAAGGUUUGGGAACAUUCAAACCUAAAGGUUAGUUCUUUAACCCUAAAAGAUCAAUUUAAAAAAAAAUUGCUAUUGCUUUCGUUACUUAGAUCUAAGAUGCCAACACUUUCAUAGUAUCAUCCAGUGAGGAUCAACUUCUUUUAAUUGAAGAAGACUCUUCCAAUGAGUCAAAUGAGUCUUCCUCACAAUUAUCUUGUGAUUGUGUGGAAAAUUGUCUUUGUAAUAUUAAAAGAAUAAAUGUUAUAACAAGUGAACAAAACUUCUUACUAGAAUUAAUAGAUAACAUUCCAGAUCCAAACAUCCAAAGGAAAUACUUCAAAAAAAUACCUAGAAUUUCAAAAACUAGACAAAUAACACAAAUCAGAAAAUACGAAUCAAUGCAAUUUAAAAAUUGUAUUAGAACAAUUUUCUAAAACUAAACCAAUAGGCAUUCAAGACCUUCAAAAUGAAAUAAGUUCGAUAAAACUUCAAAUCAAUACUAUGAUAAGUCAAAAUCAAGAAAUAGAAAACAAACUUCAAAUCUUAUAAAAUAAUAAGUCAGAAAACACCAAAGAUAAACAAGUGAAAGGUAGAGAAUCUUUUGAAUUGUUUAUAAAAACUAUAACUAGGAUGAAAUCUCAAAAAUGGUAUGUCAAAGUAAAACUCUUUAUCAAACUUGACUUUUCAAAAGAAUUUUUAGCAUUAGUUAAAGUGCAACCAGUUAUGGGAGCUUACAACCAAUUACACCAAUUAGAAAUAGGCUCAACCGAUUGGGAACCAACUCACCUCUCUUAGGCAUCUCAAUAAUUGCACACACUUUAACUAGGCAAAGAAAAAAACCCACCUCAAUACCUCAACUUGCACAAAUGCUCCCAAAACCAACAACAUGGGCAAAUGGCAUAGUUGAGUAGGAAUAGCUUUGAAGCAAUGAAGUGGGAGGGUGUGGAAGAUUUUUUUUGCUUAUAUAUACAAGAAUCGUAAAUAGAAAAAAAUAUUCUCAGAAUGAUAGAUGAUCACUAGGUAAAUAAGUUAUAGUUUGUGUGUGUGUGUUUGUAAUCUUUUAUUUUUAAGUGUUUUAAUGAAGUUGUUUUCUUUUUAGUCCUUGUGUUUUGUGUUUUUCUUUUUGUGCCUUUCUUAGGCCAAGGGGUGAAAGGACUUAGUUCACCUUUAGUUUGGUUGUUUGUGCUUGAAAAAAACUAUAACUUAGGUCAAUGGUUAUAAGGACCAAAAAUAGUCUCCAUUGGCUUAGGUCUGUAGUUACAAGGACCAAAAGGAGUCUUUACAAAGAGCAAAGGCUAUGGUUGUAAGGCUUGAAAUUCAAGCAACCUUGGCCUUAGUUCCUACAAUCUCAUACAUAUACAUAAACUCAUCCAAAUCAUUUGGCUAUGAUGACUCACCAAGAGCAAUCUAACCAAAAUUUUCUUUCAUUGAAGCGGGUGAUGCUUAUUUCAAUGGGAGCCUUAUGGUUGGUGUAAACCCAAGUCCUAGUCCUAAAGCCCAUAGCACAAGGCUAGUGUCUUGUUAAAGGUUCUGAGUUCGAGAGAAGGAAUCCAAAUGACUUUCCACUCUUGGAUAUUGUUGUUGUUGUAGUUUUUGUUGUUUCAUUUUUAAAUUUUAGUUUCUAAGGUCCUUUCCUCUCUCUUGAAAUUAAAAUUUUAUUGUUUUAUUUCUUUAACUAGCACUCACACCUCCAAAACUCCUACCAGUACUAUUAUUGAUUAAAGGUUCUCUAUGGAGACGACCUAAUUGCUAUACAAUUGUUAGUUUUUUUUUUCUAUAUAUAUUUUUGGUUUCAAAGUUAAGUGUUUCAACAACUUCUCUAGUUUAAAAUUAUGUUUUUGUAAAACUUUAUUGAAAAAAUAUUUACAUAUUUAGUUUUAAAUUAGAAAAACACAACUAAAUCACUCAAUUAGUUAGGCUCGACUAGUCAAGGAUUGGUUGAGGUUACUAAGAAUUCUUUCUUUCUUCUAAUAGUUAGGGUGUAGCCAGUUUAUGCAUAGUCUUAAUCGAUCAAGGGGCAUUUUAGUGGCAAUCAAGGAUUAAAUACACCUUCAGUUGAGGUUAGAAACCCCAAUAGUUACUUGUAGAGCAUUUAAUUCCUUAUGACUAGUUAAUCAAUCAAAUCGGUGUUGAACUGGUCAAGGGUUGACAUUUAUGACUUUUUAGGUUCUUGAGCUUGAAACAUAUAAAUUGAAGAUUUUAGAGCAUUUAUUGACUUGAGAAAAAUUACAUUCAAUUAAAAAAAUAUUAUUUCCCUUGUUUAAAGCUCUUCAUCCAAGUGCAUUGAUUUAUCACUUGCGAAUUUUAUUAGUGCACCUUUCAUAUCCAUCCUUGUUUCCUUUGUAUGAGACAAACUUGUAUCUAGGAUUGGAAGUGAAAAAUAGGUAUUGCUUUAAUACCACUUGAAUAACAACUGAAAGUCCAAUAGCGAACACCCAAAGGGGGGGGGGGGGGGGGGGGGGGGGGAAUGGUUGAUUUAAAAUUUUAAAUAAAGAUUUAUAUGCUAUAUCAAAUUCUUUUACCUUAAGAAUUUUUCAGGGUUAUACUGGAUAUUCGAAAAGGAGUUCACCCUAAAUCUAGAAUGAUAAAACUUAAUUUUUAUGAUUAAUUGACAUCCAACGAUUAUUUGGGGAUAAAAUUAAUUAAUUAAUAAUAUCUUGAGAGAUGUUAAGGAUAACAAUAAUUAGUUAUAGGGAUAACAACCAUAACCACAAAGCUAACCACCCUAACAACCUUAAUAGCAAUCCUAACAAAUCAAUCAAACUUAAUAAAAUAAAAUCUAAGAAGGAAUAUAUAGAUAUGCACUGUGGACCCGCAUUUUUCACAUGCGUCCCCACUCGAUCGGCGAGACUCUCCUUUUAUUUGUGAAAUUUUGAUUUUUGAAAAAAGUUGGAGUCGCCACUUAUUUUAUUUUUAUUUUUGAAGGGAAAAUAAAACAAGAAAUAAAACCCUAAAAAAAUGACUCCAUAAUUUUUGGAAAAACGUGUCUUUGAAAAACCCGAGUCUAAGUCCGGGGAUCAGGUUACUUAUUGGGAAGGUACCUUUAAAAGGUAGCACCCCUCUAAGCCCUAUAAAGGUCUCUACUGACAAAGUUAAGGGAAGUGUGGUCGUUAAUUAGUUAAUUAUGGAUACCUAAGUAGGUUAGGUGAUUUCAAAUAUUGCAUGCCUAACAAGAAAACAAACCAUGAGAGAGAAUCGAAGUGCGUACCUAAACGGCUUUUCAAGCGCUAUCACAAGACAUCAAAGUUAGUAUAGAGAUAUAGCACACAACAUGCAUUUUAUCCAAGCAAGUCAAACAUACAUCUAAGCACCCAAGGAUUAAAUCAAAGCAUGGAUAUAGCUCAUGAUAGCAUGCAUUUUCAUAAAAUUUUGGAAUUAGAGGAUAGAGAAUGUACCUGGAUAGCAAGUAGAUUUUAUAAGAUUCCUCGAAAAAUGCUAGAUUGGUUAGGGCAAGCAUAAAUUAUAUGAAAUAUCCAUUAUGUCUAAUAUACAGUUUCAAAGCCAAAAUUGAGCUAAGACAAAUUAAAUGACUCCAAAAAUAAUAACAAUUUCAAGUAAGGUAUAAAACCAUCAGCAUGCAGUUAGAAAAUGAAGCAUCAUAAAACAAUUUCUAAAAAAAUGGCUUAGAGUGGAAUUUGAUUACAAAAAAUUUCAGGAAACAACUCCUACACACCUAGAUUAACAUACCAAAAGCCAAACACUCAUUCAAAAGACAGAUUAUCGCAAAGGCACCUAAAGGUUCUACAAAGUCCAGAUUAGAUAAGGAAAAGUGACGUGCAUAAAUGAAUUUUUUUAAAAAUAAUAAAUGAUCAUAUAAAAUUAUAAAAAAAAUCACGCACAUAUUUCAAAAUGUCUAUAUCGCAUAAAAAAUAAAUUCGGGGUCGAAUAGUACUCAAAAAUAUUUUUAAAACUAUAAAUCUAAUCAUAUGUACAAACUUCAGCAUGCGCAGUAGGCACAACUUUGAAAAAUCAUAUCUCCCUCAAAAAUGCGUAUUUUCUAAUAUUUUAUGUGUCUAAAAUCAAUUUCAAGAGGCUUAUAAUUGAGAAAAAAUUGAAUCAAUUUUAAAAAGUCCUCUAGUAUUUUAUUUUUUCCAAAAGAUCUUGGGUGUUCAGAACUAUGUGAAAACGGAGUCCCCCUAAAGACUCAUUUAUAUCUUCUAUAUCGGAAUGACUUUCUAACUCAAACAAAACCUAAAAUUCAAGAUCAAGAAGUGAGGAAAGUCAUAAAAUUUCUGGAAAUUUUUUACAGAUAUCCUAAAGUUGUCAAAAUGAAUUUUUGAAGUUGAAGGGUCAGUGGUUUGAUGAAAACUGGCAGCAAAGAUUAAAUCAUUUAACACCUAAGAUGGGUAGUUCUUUUCUUUUUAACAAACCGAUUUUAGAUCAAGAAAUCUCAGUAGGAAGGGGUCUCAACAGGUAUACUGAUGUUAUAGCUGCACCUGAGAUGACAAAGUCUUGUGUAUUUUGUAGGAAGAUAAUCAUAAACAGGGUGCACAAUGGGGAAUUCAUGUCAGAAUGGUGGCUACUCCCUUACGUGCUGAAGCUGAUGUAUAAUAUAAUUUCCCCACUAGCUGCCACCAUCCCUACAUAUCUAUCACUAUCAUCCAGCCCUGAUCCCAAGGGGCCCACCAUUUGAAGUCUCAUUUUAAAAAUAAAUAAAUUUUAUGCUGCAAUCUGGACCUAAUUCCACUACCCUUUUGACCACUGAAGUUGUGCAAUGUACGAAUGUUUUGUCCACCAAUCUGCUGCUCUCUCUUUUAAGUGUACACCACUCUUAUAAAUCUCAUGCACAACUUCCUCUUUGAGUGUAUACACCCUCUCUCUCAAGCACAAAUUAGAACAUGAAACCAAUUAUAGAACAAAGUGAUAAUAACACUGAGUAAGGAGUUCUCAACAAACAUACCGAGGAACGCUCUUUUCUGGCAAGGAGGUCCCACUGGUAUGUCCUCUGAGAUUUCUUCAACCGCCCUCUCCUUCUUCUCCACCAACAGCUUCUCACUAGAAAGUCUUCUCUGAAACUCCAAUUUUUCCACUUCUCUCUCUUUGUUUUUUUUUUUUUUUUCUUCUAUGUGCUGAAAGUCCUCUCUCCUCGAAACCUAUCUGUUAGAGCUUUUUAUAGCAAAUAACAGUCCUUCUACGUGAGGAGUCUUCCUCUCUCCAAAUUUUAUCUUAUGCACCGGAAAAACUCCCUUUUUUUUAAUUUUCAAACAAUACCAAUCCACGCAUAUCACCUACAAUCCAUGCAUAUCAUUUAAAGAGUUUUACCAUUUUCAAAAACUUCUCCAAUGGUAGACUUCUUCCAUAAAAAUUUCAAAUUAUUAAAUUAAAUAAAUAAAUAAAUAAUAAAAUAAAUAAUAAAUAAUAAAAUAAAUAAAUAACUAAAUAAAUAAAUCGGAGAAUAUAAAAUGAUAAUAAUAGAUAAGUGAAUAAAUAACAAGAUAAUAAACAAAUAAGUAAGAAUACUAAAUAACUAAAUAACUAAAAAUGAUUGAUAAUAAUGAAAAUAAAUUAAAAUAAAUGAAUAAAUAAAACCAUAAUAAAUGAUCAAAUAAAAGUGGUUAAUAAUAAUAAUAAAAAUAAAAAUAAAUAAAUAAGUAAAUGAGAUAAAUGGGUCAUACAACCAUACAAGUCACACUAAAAAAAAAAGACUAAUGGGCCAAGUGGGCCUGAGUGAACUUAGACGGGCCUUGGGUGUCUAAAUGGACCAAGUGUAUCUAAAUAGGCUUAGGGUGCCUAAAUGGGUCAAGGGUGCCUAAGUGAAGUUUAGUCUAAAUCAAGACUACCGAGGAUCACAAUAAAGGGGCGGAUAAUCCCUUAACCAAAGUCUCCGAGGUGACUCAGAAAAAGGUAAGUCGUACGAGUAGUAAUGGGCCACCAAGGAACUACCGUGGAGCACUGGAAGUGAAUUUAAAGACAUGUGCUAAAAGGACAAAAUUGAUGGUCUACAUGCACCUUUUAUGAAAACCUUGAAAGAUAUUAGGGAUAAUCAAUUUAAUCUAUUAUAGGUAAUUCAAACAAACUAUCAAAUGUAAAAGAUAUAGAUAAUGAGGCACAAGAUUUUUAUGUGAAAAUCCCCCACAAACUAUGGAGAUAAAAAACCACGAGGUCUAAGACCUACCAAUCUAAAACAUUUUAAGUCCAAAAAUAAUGUUGAACCUUUUAUACCUCAAAGAAGCCUUAUAUGUCAUAAGCCAAACCUUUUUAAGUGUGCUUGUGACUUCCUAGUUGGAAAAAUAGAAACCCUUGGACUUCAAUGGAGAGCAAGUCACUAUAUAAAUGGAAUUUUAUUGCCAAACACAAAAUGGAACAAAAUUUACAACAUAUAAACAAGACUCAAUGCUCUAACAAUCUCCCCUUUUGGCAAUUUUGUGACAAAACAUUAUUACAUAAACCUACCCAAACUCUCAUAAAGGAGUUUACAUAACACACAUUAUCACUCAAUUUAAAAUUAAACCAAGGGAAUGCUUUGCAUCACUUUGUAGUUCUUAUCUUCCAAUGUUGUAACCUGCACACAUAUGGAAAAUAAUACCAAAGGUAAAGUAGUGUGAAAGAUAAAAUAAUAUCAUAAAAGAAAAAAGGAUAGUUAGAGACUUUGCUUGAUGCAUUGUGAAAGCAUAAAAAAGAAAUAGAUUCUUAUAAUAACGUCAAGGUGCAAAGCAAAGCUCAAAAGGAAUUUGAAUGUAUGCCAAUCAAGUCAACAUAAUAAAAACUAGAUAUUUCACAAUAAUUUAAUAGUAAAGUGACAAGAGCUUUUCACAACCAAAAUAUACAGAAGGAAAAACAUGGGAAAAAUGUUUUUUGAUUAAGAUUAGUUCUAGAGAUAUACACAAUUCAAACAAUAAUAUUUUACAAAAAAAAAAAAUUGCGUCAAGUAUCUCUAUUGAACUUUAAUGUCAAGCUUUCUAAGGUUGAUUUGGUUUACUUCAAUGUCUCAUAUUCAAUUUCCACCAAUAUUUCAAUUCAAUUCCCUUAAUGAAUAAUUAAAGAAUAAAAAAUAACUAACUCCGACCCCUUAAAUUAAGGAGUUUCUAUGAUUACCCUGUCUCCCCUUAUUUAUAACUCUCUCUUUUAAAAUGAAUUAAAUAUUUAAUAUAUGAUCUCCCCCUUUUUCUUUAUUUAAGCGAUUCAAUAUUCUCCAUCUGUUUUCUUUAUUUAAGAGGGUUGUUAAAUAUUCAAUGUUCUCACCCUUUUGUCACAAAAGUGGGAAAGUAACAGAAAUAUAAACACAAGAAAGCACAUAAGAGAUAAAUAGAAGAGUGAAAAACACAUAGAUAUGUAUAUAUCAAUAACAUGAUUUUGGAUACAUAAGAUAAGCAAUGAAUAAACAUACAGAUAAACAAACAUACAUACAAGGAAAAAUAAAAUAACUAAGCACUAGGAGGAGGUGGAGGAAAGAAGGAGCUUAAAUCGCUUUGAGUAUGGAUCCAAGCAAUUAUAUAGGUCAACUGACCCUACAACUCAUGGAAUUGAACAUCCUAUGAGUCUAACCUUUGAAGCAUUGAGGUCAUGGGAUCCAUCUCCUAAGUAGUUCAGUUUAUGGAAGUUGAUGUUCCAUGAGAAACUCUAAAUGAUCUAGCAUGACCCCGACUAGAGCGAGUCCUCAGAGCAACCUUAGGAAUGGGUGCAUCCUACUUCAUGGCUCAGAUCUCAUCUUCCUUAGUAAGUGCCUCCUGAGCAGCUUAUUAUGCCAGUGUAGCAUUCUCAGGGUCUUUGGGAACUGGAGGAACCAUGGGACCAUACAUGUGGUUGUAGUGUUUAGCCUAAGAGCUCUCAUCUAACAAGACAUAACCAACCUAGACCCUUUAUUCAAUAGUAAUUUCAAAGCCAAUGUGCCAUAAUAGUUUAGAGGUGAGGAGUUUGAAAGGAAGUGCACCACAAUAGAAGGAAAAAUCUCAAUAGGAGGUGGUGAUAUUGAGAUAACCUACCCAAUGUCGAACUAUUAUCCCGAGAGGAUGGAAUGUAUGAAAAAAGUAGUUGAUCGACAAAUCUCAAUAUGAUGGGACAAGGAAUAGAAAGAGUAAGGAAAGUAGCAAGAAUCCAAGUUGGCUUGGAGAAGCUAGCCAAUGGAAUAUACAUGGGAAGCUUUCAAGAAGCACCAUAAAAAGAAACUAGAAUAAAAACAAGCUCUCCAAGAGUGAAGCCUAAACCUCUAAAAGGAAGAGAGGAAGACAUGCAUCAAGUCGAGGCAUGUUGAGUACAUGCUUGGUUGACAAAGAAGUGAUUUAAAAGGACUGACCAAACAUGAUCACCUAGAAGGAGCAACCAGGAGAAAUGAUAUGCAUUCACAUAGAACAUGUGGACUAGAAGAAGAUUAUAUGAUUCUUAUAAAGUAAACAAGAACUCCCACCCUCCCCCGUUGAAAAUGGUAGGAAAAGGAGUAUCCUGAAAGGCACAAAGGUUAAUAGAACACUCGAUCUCAAUAUGAUGGCUAUGAAAAAAAGCAUAAAAAUGAUCACAAGACUCCCGAGACUAGAAACACUCAAUAGGAAGAUCAAAGUGGUCAAAAGGUCCCUAAAAAGCAAUGCCUUAAAUGGGGUCAGGUGAUCAAGGAGGAGUUGACUCUCAUUGAUGCCUACAUCUAGACAUAACUAAGGGAAUGCUAAAGGACACAAAAAUAGAGAAAAAUAUGGAGAAAAUAAAAACCAUUAGAAAUGUCCUAAAAGAGGUAUCGAACAAUACUUUAAAGUCAAAAACUCAAAAAUAAUGAAAACUAACCCCAAAUGUCAAAGAGAUGGAAUCUUAGAGCGCUUUAGAGAUUAGAAAAACAUUUGAAAUACAAAAAGGCAUGUUGGAUAGGUUUUUAUACCCAGACAUACCGUUAGAUACAGAUUAGUGCUCGAGUAGGAUGCUCGUUGGAUGUAACUUAGAGGGCUUAAGAGGUAAAGCUUAGAAAGCUUAAGCGGUAGAGCCGCUGGAUGAGACUUGAGCAUUGGAUGCAGCGCUCGAGCAAGAAUAACCUAAUUUCAAUUCUAAUAAAUGAUAGAAUACUCAACUAACUAACUUAAAGGGAAGGAUUAACACAAAAUGAAUGAACUUUUAAUAUAUUAAUCAAAGUAAACAGAUAAUUAAGUCCGUAUGCUUUUAAUAUUAGCUCAAUCAGUAAUAAAUUAAGUUACUUAAGACAGUACAUAAAAAUUCAUCAAGAAUCAAGUUUCAAGUUCAUAGGUUAGAGUUAAUCAUAAUCUUAAAUUCGAAAACCCAAUGCAUAAACCAUCAAUGUAGAAGAGAGUCAACAUAGAAACAUAAGCAUUGAUGUUCAAGGGAAUACGAUUACUGUCUAGUUCUAUAUUUUGAAAUUGAUUGCUUAGAAGAAAUCCAGUCAUGUCUUUAGUCAAAUUAAAAAACACAUCAAGUCAAUUUGAACUAAGAUCAUCGAAUUUGUAUUUAACACAACCUCGUUGAUCUACAUUAAACAUAACUUGACUCUCCCUUAAUUUGAUAUCGGUUUUUUUUUUCUUGAAAGUGAAGGCAUUGCAUACCAUGAUUAAUAUUGAUUUUUCUUUUUCUUUUCAUUCAUGGUUGCCUUUGUAUCCACUUUAGGGAUGUUUCCAAAUGUUGCAAAUGAAUAGUUUCCAUUUAAGAGCAUGAAUCUUAGAGAAGGUAUAUGAGAGUUAGGCUUAACCAAUGAUUCAAUAUUUUGCAUUGACUCACUUUGGGAAACAAAUAUAAUGAUCACAUCCAAACAAGGUAUGUGGAUAAUAAGAUUUGAGCAUGACAAUGGAUCCUUCCAAAGCAAUCAAAGUGUACUUUAUGAGUUCAACUUAAGAAGUCUCCCUUUUGAUCAAGUACAAGAUGUAACUAAUAUUGAAUUUUCUACAUACAAAGACAUUUAAUAAUCAUAAAUCAAAUACAUCAAUAGUGAUUAACAAAUAUCUAUGAUUUUUAGCCACAUCAAAUCUUGUAGAUAUAGUAUAUUUCUCUAAAUCACAAAAUCAAGGUAUUACAAAUCAUGCUAAUAUAUCAAGUAAAUAAACAAAAAAAUCAUAUUCCCAAAGUAAAAUAAGGUUAAAGGAAACAAAAAAGAUAUAAACACUAAGCUCAAAACCAUUGAGGCUUAUUUCUAAGAUAAUCAAUCGAUUAAGCAUAUGCCUAGGGAUUUCCUAAGGUACUCAAACAUAAGAGAAUCCAAGGGUUUGGUAAGACUAUCUGCUAAUGGCUUUCAAUGUGGUAAUAUGAGAAUGAAGAAAAAGAUUCUUUUUGAGAUAUUUAUUGCACUAGAAUUGUAUUAGGACAUCGAGUAUUGUUUAUAUGUUGGCAAUUUUAUUCUAAUUUUAUAUUUGGCCAUAUAAAUCUUUUUAGAUAGUGACUUGCUCUCCAUAGAAGAUCAAGGGUUGUUGUUCGUCCAACUGAAAGUCAUAGGUACAUCUGAGAAGGUUUGGCUUGUUGCAUAUAAAAAGCUUAUUUGAGGUAUAAAAGGUUUGAUAUCAUUUUUGAGAUUAAAAUGUUUUUUAAAUGAUUUCUCAAAAAGAAGGGGACGCUUAAGUGGUUAGAGCGCUCAAGAAAUUAAUCACGUUCAAGUGGUCUAAGUCCACACAAGUGGUAAUGACAGUCCUGUCGAGUUUAAAAACAUAUUUUGAAUGAAUUUCAAUCUAACUCUAAUUUGGAAACUUGUGAUACCAAAAUCCUUAUGGUUUUUGCCUAUAAAUACCUCCCUUGUAACCCUUUAAGGCUAAGAGAUUGAAGAUUAGAAAGAUCAUAGAGAUCUUAGAGUUGUUGGAGACCUCUUAUUAUUUAGAAGUACUCUUGAGGGGAUAGCCUAAUUUGCCACACCAUUCUCAUUCUCUCAUUCAAGCAUUUGAUUAUUUGAAUUGUUGGUUGAACGUCGUAAUCUCUUCAGUAGGACCAAAUGAUAUACUAGGGAGCAAUAAGUAGUUUUUGUGUCACGCAUGUGGAUCAAGUUGAGGUGUUGGAGAGUAAGCAUUUAAGGUAAAGUGACUAGGUAAAUCUAUGUGACUUGAUUUCAAAUAGUGGAUUUCGAUUGAUAGGUUUUAGACCUCGUGGUUUUUUUAUCUCCAUAAUUUGUGGGGGUUUUCCACGCAAAAAUAUAGUGCGUCAUUAUCUAUCUAUUUAUAUUUGAUAUAAUGUUUGAAUUUCCUAGAAUAGGUUAAUUUGUUUAACCUAAUAUCUUACAGGGCUAUUCUAAUAUAUAUAUAUAUAUAUAUAUAUUCAUUCCUCCAUAUAUUCUAGUUGAAGAUAUUGAAUAAAUUAGACUGAUUGGUUAAUUGGUUAUUGAGUUUGUUGAAUUGGUUCUCUUGUUGUGGUUAUACCUAUAAUCAAUUAUUGAUUCGUUGAUAUUAUUGUUGAGUUUGUUAGGUUGGUUAUUCUUAUUGUUAUUGUUAUCCCUAACAUUCUUCAACAUAUAUUGUUAAUCUUUGGAUAUCAAUUAACCAUAAAAAUCAGACUUUCAUUGUGGUGAAAUCCUUUUUGAAUAUCCGAAUUAUCCCUAUGAUAUUGAUUCAUAUCUUAUUGAUUAAAAAUUCAUUUUUCUUAUUUAUAUUGUUUAAAAAUCAAAUUUUUAUUAAUCAUAUAGGAUAAAAAUCAAAUUUUUAUUGAUCCUGUAAGUCUUAUAUGGAGCAAUCUAAAAGUGGUGCUAUUUUCAAUAGUCUACACUAUUUUGAUUGGAAUAAUUACUCCCAUUAGAAAGUACAAAUGAUGUUUUUCCUUCAAAAUGCACAGCGGAAGGGUAUGAAACUUAGUUGAAUAUGGUUGGAGACCACCAUUAAUCCUUGAUACUCAAGGAAGAUCAACAAGAGUGUUGGGAACCUUACUUCGUUCUCAUGCCCUAGAUCUCAUAGGAUGCAUGCAUCCAUCCUUAGGGCUCUCUAGAUCGAACACAAUGGAAAAUAAUGGUUUAUACAUAGAUCUAUAUGUUCCCAGAUCAAUUCCUUAUAGUGAAGAACAUGCUUAGAAAAACUAAAGAAUCUCUCCUAAUACUGCUACCCACGUGCACGUCCUAUGUGAUUCUCGUGAACGUGGCCCGUGCGUAUUCCAUGCAGUUCUCGUGCAUACGACCUAUGUGAUUAUAGUGGAUUUCUCGUACACCCAAGAUUUUUCGCUCGAUGACUCUUCCUUAUGUUUAGGCACUGAGAUGGUGGAGAUCUCGAAGGUGAAAGUUAUGGUUUUCUCUUUGGACUGAAAAAGGAGAAUGACAAGACAUAGAAACCUUAACCUCUAAAGGGAUAUUUAUGGGCUUCCUACAUGGCUUAAGUGACUUAAGCCCACCAUAGGCUUGGGUCACUUAAUCUAACCCAAAAAAGUUGUUAAUUGAUUAAUUAACCAUAUGAGACAGUAAUUAAUCAAUUAGCCUAGUCCAAAGAUACAAUUCACUUAUCCUUGUGCAACCUUGCGUCAUUACCAAAACACCCUUCUACACAAAAGUGAACUACAAACCCAUCCAAUUAUCAUAAACCAUGUCAUCAAGGAAUAUGAGCUCAGAAUGGGGACCAUUGGGACCUAUAAGAGUACUAACUUCUUCAAGAUCAAAUUCUAAAAUUGACACAAUAUUCCACUAUAAAGAGUCAAUUGCACUCUAGUACCCUAUGUUAUAAUGAGACACCAAGUGCUUGAGUCCGUGACCUUACUAUCCAUUGCAUGAAGACUCCCCAUGAACUACUGUUUGUAAUCUAACAAGGUAGUGCUAUCACCUAUCAAAAUUACCUCUCAAAUACUUGAGUUACAAAUCUUACUUAUUAUGUGGUCAACUGACAUACUCUAACUCCAAGGAGUAUAUGUCAAAUUCCACAAAAUGAAUUACUAGGGUCAUAGAUUUCAUGAUCACAUGUCCUUUGGAUCACCCAAGGACACUAUCUAGAUCCCAUGAGAUAUCAUGGUACUUCUAUUGAGAAUACCUAUUGCUACUAGCCUUCAUCAACAAUGACCUAAUCCAUAGGGAUAUAUGACCAGUUUAGGGUUUCACCCACAGGUUAAAGCCUCCUAUUGAUUUUAGUACAGACUCAAUAUCCUCUCAAGGUUGAGAGUCUAUGCAGUAUAGUAGCUUAGUGAAUCGUGACACUUGAUAGCCUUGUGUUAUGAUUCACCAUAAGUCCUAUACAGUGUGCAUCACAUACACUAGUGCACUCACCAUGGAAUACCCAUCCCUACAACCAAGACAAGUCAUCUCUCAAAUUAGGAGGUGGUGCACUACAAUCUCUAUUGGAUUGCCCAAAUCCAUGAACCGAUUGUGGACAACUUAUCUACUUAUAAGGAACCCAUGACUUCUAUAUUCUAUGCAACUCCUAAUGCACCUAAGCCAUAUGCAAAUGUAAGAGACAUAGGUUAAAUGCUUAAAUCAAUUUUAACACACCAAAAGGAUAACAAGAGGAUAGUUAAGUUUAACUUUGUUACAUCAUGUCUUAAUUUUAGGCACUCAAUCCCAAAAAACUCACACUAGCCCCAAAGGCAGACCAGGUACUUCAGAAAGAAUAUACUCUAUAAUUACAUCACCUUUCUAUCAUAUUUCAUAACAAGGUAUCACUUACUCUCAAUGUGUUUUCUCUUCUAGUGGUACUUUAGUUCUUUAGACCAUGCCAUCGUCCCAUUAUUAUUACAUAAUAGGAUCUUAGACAAUAUAGCCAGAGGAACUACCUAUAAGCCAAAAGGCAUCCUUUGUUUCUAUAGAAACAAUAAAAAACCACUUAGAGUGUACACAUACUAAAAGGUAGACCUACGAGAGUCCUUAUCAAACUAAGUCCAAUUUUCCUGUAUGAAAUGAGUACCAAAUCAUCACAAAAACUCACAAACAUAUAAUCCCCCACUUCCCAAAGAUACUAGAGUAUAUGCUUAACAUCCGCUUAAAGCUCUAAUGAAGAAAUGGACUAAUAUCCACUCAUUAUUUCUAGAACAAAGCAAAUAUCUGGUCUAGUACAUAGCGUUGCAUACUUAAGGCUAUCCAUUAUAAAGGCAUUGGAUAUCACCUUAAUGUGGUCUCUCUCCAUAGAUGUCUAAGGACAUUUAUUCUAAGAAAGACAACUCCAAAUCCAAAGAGUAAUAAAGUUUUCUUGAAGUUUUGCAUCAUAUACUUGACCAAAUGCUUAUCUAUGUAGAUGAUAUGGCACAAUUUUCCUAUUUUUGUAGUCCUAAAGGACCUUAAUCUUGAGAAUAUAUUGCAUCUUCCUCUAAUUUUUCAUCUAGAACUGAGUAGAUUGCUAGAUCUUGAUUGAUGACAGUAUCCCUACAUCAUAUCGAUUGAGUAAAUUGUCAUCUACCUACAAGAUCUUAGAGCAUCACCACACUUCCCUGUGCUUUUUUGUUCACACAAGACCCUUUGCUAUGAAAAUAUUUGGUUGCAAUGGAUACGAGUAAUAUGAUGGAUUUUAGUAUGACCACUAUUAAAAAGGUUUUUCACAGUUGAAACAAAGUUUCAAACUAUAACCUUUAGCUACAGUCUUAGCCACAUAAAACUUAAGCUUUCCAUCUACUCCUGUGUUCCUCUUGUAUACCAACUUACACCUAUGGGUUUUAUCCCUUUAGGUACUUCUACAAGACUUCAAACUAUGUUAGAAUACAAAGAUUUUAACUACCUCUUUAUAGCUCCUUUUCUUAAGUGAGCACAAACACUACUCACUGUUUCAUCAUAAUUUGUGGGACAUAAACCUCCUACUACGAUGAGGCAUUGGUGUACUAGAAAUCAUAGGAAUGUUAUGUCUUUAACUCUUUGGAUCCAUAGUAUACUAUGUAAUGUGAGACUAUCUUCUAAUAUAUCCUCCAAUUUAUAUCACUUUUUUCCUUAUUCCUUAUCAUAUAAUAUUUGUAAAAAAUAUGACAUUUGUGUGAACAAAUAUCUUCUAAUGAUGUUGACUAUAAGGGUAAUAACCCAAAAAUCCUUUUAAAUAUCCUAUAAACUGAUAUACCUCUUAAGAAAGAGAGUUAUUAGACAAUCUAUAAGACAUAUCCCCAAAAAAAUCUGGAAAACGAUGAGAAAUCUAUCCACGAUCUCACUAUGUCCAUCCAAGUUUGAUAUCUUUUUUCCACCUCUCUAUUUUGCAAUAGAGACCUUGGUGCACAUAACUAGGAAAUAAUCUUGUGAUCUAAGGGAAAAAAUCAAACUUACUAGACAUUUCACCUUGAUCUAAUCAAAGUGACUUGGUAUGUAUACCCAAUAGGUUAUUUGAUCCCGCCUUAAAUUUAAUGAAUGUAUCCAAGACAUCAUAUCUCUUAUGUACAUAUCCAAACCUAGAGUAAUCAUCACUAAAAUUAAUGCAAUAACCAUUGCUAGGAACCCAGGAUUUCUCCAUUCCCUUAUCCUGGAUCAAAUAGGUGCAUGCAAAACUACCUUAGGCCUCUAGAUCCUAUGCAACAUAACAUAUUUUUAUAAUUUUAGGAUCAAGAGGAAAGACAUUAGAGAACUUUACCUUUGAUUUGGAUGUUCCUAAAUCAACUAUGAUAAGAGAAGAUGAAAAUCAAUGAAUCUAGAAGUCUUGUACACCUAAGAUCCUCCGCUUGAUGACUCGAACCAUGAUCUUGACACUCCAAAGUGUGGAGUUUGGAAAGGAUGAUCUCUUUGAUCUUACUAUCUCUCUUUCUCUGGAGAUGGAAGACAAAGUCUCUCUUAAGGUUAUGGAAACCCUAGCCCCUAUAGGGUAUUUAUAGGGUUCCCCUACUGGGCUUAAGUGACUACAGCCUACCAAGGCUUAGGUCACUUAAUCUAGUCUAAAAUGGGUCUUAAUUGCUUAAUUAAUGAUUCGUGCCCAAUUGGUGUCUCAGCUGAUUCGUGUCCAGCUGGCGCUCCUUGAUUGAGGGAGUAAUUAACAAAAUUUAUAACCUAUUACACCAUAUACUAGGGUAGCAAAGACAAAGCUACUAUAGUAUAGUGGCUCUAGGAUCGUUCACUGGGAUGGGUUUUCACUUUGCAAAUGAUAUUAAUUCAAAGCUGAAUUGGUGUCUUUUCAUUUCAAGGUUAGCUUUAAAAGAAAACAUAAAGAUGUUUGAAUGAAAAAGGUUUGGUUUUAAACUAACCACAAAUAGUAACUGAUUUUAACUACAAAGAAAAGUGUUUCUUGGAGUUCAGAUCACUAGGCUCGUUCCUCAUACAAAAAGGAGAGUUCCGGUCACUUGUUUCUUUUCCUCGCAUUAGAGAAUUAACAUAUAGUUAAUUCUCUAACCGGUGUUGUACAGAUGCUUCCCAUUAAUGGGUUCAAACACUAAAUCCCUCUCACUGAUGCACUUUGCAAUGGCUCAUACCUCUCACCUAGCACUUGCCAUUCAAGGUGAUCUUUAACCUUGGACUUCCCUUCAAAAGCUCGCAAGAGAUAACUAAUGGAUGUCUCCUUGGAGUCCAAAAGCUUACCAAGUGUUGGCUAUUCUAGAAAAUCCUACCUUCAAGUCACCUCCCAAAGGCUCGCAAGGGGUAAACUAGUGCAUUUCCAUGGUUGGAAAUCACUUGCCUUACCAAGUGUUGGCCCAGGUGACUCUAAGGUGUUUUAAGUUAGCUAAAAACAUAGAAAUCACUAACGGGUUACACUUUCUCUUCAUUAAAAACUAAAACAACAAAACUUCCAAAUUAUGCAUGUGGAAACUUACCCGGCUUUCCUCACUCCAAGAGACAAAAAACUUAGCCUCUCAUCCUCUGUGGAAAAAUCCUCAGAGUUUGGUUGGCUAGAAAAUGAAAAUGAAAGAGAAGACAAGAAUAUAUAUGAAAAACAGAGCAAGUGCUCUGUUCCUUGAUUCUAUAUAUGAUAUAUCUAUAUAUUACAUACUUCCCCCAGCGUCUCCUUUUUAGUGUUUACAAAAGAGCUUAUAUAGGAAGGUAAUUUACCCUUCCUUGGAUACUUCCUAGCUAAGGAAUUACAUGAGUGGUUGAAUACAAGGAGAAAAUGGAAAUUUAUACAAAAAUAUCUGAAGAAAAAUAUCCAAAAGAGUCGGUGCACAAAUAUUAGGAAGCACUAAGGACAUUUCGCAGGUGAAAACAAGGUCUGCGAGAUUUCGCAGACACUCAAGAGGGCUGCGAAAUAUUUUCGCAACAACAAGUUAAACUCGCAGGGCUGCGAAAUUGGCUUCCACCUUGAGGUUCUCAGCGUUCCAGCUUGCGGUAUGUAUCGGGUAGCUUCAGGAGGAAUUCCAUAGCACUGUAUAAAAAGGCUGCGAAAUUCUCGCAACAAAAGGCUGAUUUCGCAACACUUUGGAGUGAUCUUCUUGAAAUGGCUGUAACUCCUUAAUUUCAACUCCAAAUCAUGCACCGUUUGAAGCAUUGGAUUCUUGACUUUCUGAGCUUUGAAAUGGUAUAUAGCAUGUAGAAAAUGGACUUCAGGAAGUGCUCCAAAAGUGUGCAAGAAGACUGCAGCUGCUGUCCUCUGUUUUCUUCACUCUGUUUUUCCUCUCUCCUUGCAUACUUUGAACGACUAAGGCAAUGGGCUAUGGAGCUCCAAAGCUUGGUUCUUCCUGAAUUUGAGCUCUUCAUUUCUUUGCCAUGGAUUCCAAAUAACUCUCCUCAAUCUUGGAUUGUUUUGGUGAUCAAAUUACUAACAAAAACACCAAAACUUACACAAUUUGAUUAGAAAUGAUUGCAAGGGUCCUUAACAUGUUAAUUGGGUUAAAAGGCAAUAACUACUACUCAAAAGUGUUUAAAAGGAUUAAUUACAAGCUACAAAAUAGCACUUUUUGAGUAGUAAUCACUCCCCCCAACCGACAUAUUGCUAGUCCCUUAGCAAUGAAGGAGAGAAAAAUAAAAAUAAACAUUACUAUAAUUUACAACAUCAUGCUGAUAAAAAAAACAAUUCUCAAGUGGCAUGAUGAUCUAACUCUCACAUGGAACAUUAAAGAAAUAAAACUCAAACUUCAACAAGAGUUAUCAAAUAACUUGUCUAAUCACAAUUCUUAAAGAGAAGGCAUUAUGCAAAUUUAAACUUUAAAAUCAUUUCCACUUCCAAAGGAUCAAGCCUUACUCUUCCACAAAAAUCUAAGUGUUAUUUAUUAGCUUCCGAAUAUAGUAUGUUGAACUAAUCUCUCCCCCCAACCUAGUUCUUUUUCAAAGCUUAGCAAACUAAUCAACCUCCAAUAGGCUAAGAACGCACCUCUUUUUUCACAAUUUUUUUCAUUGUAGGAGUACAAGGCUUAAAGGUAUUCUUUUCUAAAUUGUCCAUGUAACGGGGGUCCAUUGAUGACUCCCAACCAAUUAAGGUUUAGGGCAUCAAGUUUUAAGGAUCUUUCAACCACUAACUCCUCGGAUUUUACCCCGGACUUUUGAGAAUGAAUUUUAAUACCCAAGCACCUACAGUAUGUUAAACUCCACCUAUCCACCCUUGUAACGAGCAUUGAGGUCGGUGACUCCCAACCAAUGAAGGCUUAGGGCACCAGGUUUUAAAGAUUUUCACCAUAUACCCCUCAGACCUUGCUCGGGUUUCAAGGCAAGCAAACAACUUUCUUUAUUUCAAAGGCUCAUUGGCCUUCUGCAGGGUGUUUCAAUUUUUAUCAAAUGAGGUCAAAUAUACCAAGUCUCAAAAUUAUCCUAAGUCAAGAGGGAAAUAGCUUUUCAUCUUAUAAUCGGAAUCUAAUGUGCACAGUGUGUGAAUAGCUUAAAGUGGAAGAACUCAAUUUAAUUUCAGUAGAAGUUUCAACAAUUCAUCAACUUUAAUAAACAUAAUACAAACUCUAAGUCAAGUAAAAAAGACAAAAAUUCAAUUUCUCCCAUUUCAUUUUUGAGAAUUUUUCCUUAAUAACCAUGGAGAGUAGAGAAAAAAACUUAAAAAAAUUUAAAAACUUAGCAUUAUUAACAAUACUUACUUCCUCAACUCUCCCCCCAACCAAGUUGAACAUUGUCCUCAAUGUGACAAAAGCGAUUGAAAAAUAGGGAGGAAGUGGUACCUCUUGAGUAACAUGGAGUCUGAGUCGUAUAGGAGAAACCACAUGUUUCAAAGAAAGCAUAAGAGUUAGUGAGUAGAGGAAAUAGAAAAAUGCCAAGUUUAAACAAAAAUGAUGUCUAUAUAUGAUGUAUCAUCAGUAAUACAUCCAAUCCCAGAAUAUAAGACAUCAAAAUAUGAAAUUAUUUAUACUAAUAUAAUAUGUAAAGACCAAAAAGUAAAGAGAUGAUCAAGUAAUGGUAAGGUCUUGUGGAGCUUAUGCAUCUGUAGUGGCCUCUUGAAUAGGUUGGAUUAGGACUUUGGCCUCUGUUCUGGUAGUCUCCUUUGGUGGCAUAGUCUCCUCAACUAGAGCUCUCAGUUGGUAGCUAUGGGAUUUGAUGGUUUAAGGAGGUCAGUAAUGGAGCGAGAGGCUUAGUGUGUGUGAUCCCAGGGUGUGCGGGGCUCUCCUCUUCAUAUGCAUGGUUGCAGGGCUCUAUUGGCAUUUUAGCAACCUCCCUUGGCUUUGCAAAGUGUUUUUGCAAAUCACCCUCCAUUUCAUAAGUCAAUUUCGCAAUUUGAAGGCCAUUUCUAAGCUUGGAGGUGAUUUUGCAGGAAAUGGGCAAUUUCGCAGCCCAUUUCUGAAGCUUGGAGCAUUUUCGCAGCAGGGGGUGGAUUUCGUAGAGGAAGGGAAUUCUCGCAGCCCAUUUCGUAGCUUAAAAGUGAUUUCGCAGCUCAAAGGUGAUUUCGCAGCCAUAUCGCAGCUUCAAAAUGAGGGAACUGUGCUGCAAAUGGCACUCGUGUGCCAAAAAGUGGUUUCGCAGCUGCGAAACACCCUUCCAAAUGGUGUCUCGGCUGCGAAAUUCUCGCUCAGCUUUGUGCGCUUGUCUUCAAAUGACCAUAACUUCUUCAUUUCACCUCUAAAUCACAUACUGUUUGAAGCUCUGGACUCCUGACUUCCCAAGCUUUGAAACGAGAUAUCAUAUGCAUAAUUUGAGCUCCAGGAAGUGCUUCAAAAAUGUGUCCAACAGUAGCAAAAUGGGGGUGCGACAUUUCCGUUUGCACAGUCAUCUUCAAACAGCCAUAACUUUUUCGUUUCAAAUCCAAAUCGAGCACCGUUUGAAGCUAUGGACUCGUGACUUCCCAAGCUUUCAAAUGAGAUAUUGAAUGCAUAAUUUUAACUUCGGGAAGUGAUCGAGAUGUGUCCAAAAAUUGCCAAAAUGGGGGUGCGGCUGUGAAAUUGGGAUUUUUCACGUUUUGGAACUUCGCAACCGUUUCGCAGCUGCGAAAUGAGGGUCACUGUGCUGCGAAAUGGCACUCGUGUGCCAAAACUGGCUUUGCAAUUGCGAAAUACCCUGCGGAAUGGGACUUUUGGUGCGAAAUCAGGCUUUACCACUUCGCAAUGCGUUUCGCAGCUGCGAAACAGAUGCUCUUGUGCUGCGAAGUGGCACUCGUGUGCCAAAAAUGGUUUCACAGCUGUGAAAUCCUCUUCCAAAUGGAGCUUUCCCUGCGAAAUGGAGGAUUUCAUGCUUUGGUGGUUCGCAGCCGCUUUCGCAGCUGCGAAAUGGGGGCCACUGUGCUGCGAAGUGGCACUCGUGUGCCAAACUUGGUUUCGCAGCUGCGAAAAUUUUCGCAGAGAGGGGCCUGAGGCUGCGAACUGGUUUUGCAGCAAAGUGCCGAUUUCGCAGAGGCUGCGAAAUCUCGCAGACCCCUGUUUUUCCCCUGUUUUCGCUCCGUUUGACUCUGAUUUUGCUCCGAAAGACUUCCUUCAAUUUCUUUUCAAUUCCUCUUGAUUUUGAUCAUCCAAAAACCUAUAUUACAUCAAAUCAAAUUAGAAUUAAAGCAUUGAAAUCAAAAUUAAAGCAUUGAAAUCAAAAUUAAAACAUUGAAAUCAAAAUUAAAACAAGUAAAAAAUAAAACAAAAAGAUAUGGACUAGCUAGUCUUUAAAAAGACUAAGUCCAUAAAAAAAUUUGAUCCUGAUUUAGCUUGCCCGGAUCCCAUAUGAAGUUUGCAUCCUUCAAUUGAGACUUGGUUUGUAUGAUUUUCCCAUACAAAGCUUGGAGAAAAGGUGGAGGCAUGUGUUUCUUCAUCAAUUCUUCCUUGAUGACUAUCCUCUGUGAUUUUUCAUCUAUACUUAGAUCAUAGUCAUCUUUCUCUAUGCUUUUCCCCUUUUUCUUUCCUUUGAUUUCCUCCCUCUUUUCUUUCUCUGUUUCACUGUCUACCUUAUGCUCUAGCUUGCAUGUGGGCAGAUCAACCUCUUUACCACUCAAAGUGAUAACCGUUGUAACUUCCUUCUCCAUUAAAGAUUCUCCCUCUUGAGCCUCCACUUCAUGGAUGCCCUUGGAAUUUUGAUAAGGUUGAGAAGGAGAGUUUUCUUUCUCUUGCAUUGUGUUCAAAUUUAUGAGCCUGGAGAUUGAAUACUGGAUGUUAUCAAAUUUUUGAUUCAUAUCAUUUUGCAUUCCAUCCAUCCUUUGAUCAAGUCGAGCAUUGGUGGCUUCUUGCUUUCCAAUAAAAUCUCCCAUUACCUUGCAAAGAUUCACCAUAGCUUGUUCAAGGUUUGAGGCUUGCUGUGGUGCUUGAGCAGGUUGCUGAUACUGAGGUGGCUGUGGUUUCCAAGAGAAAUUUGGAUGGUCCCUCCAAUUGGAAUUGUAGGUGUUGCAAUCACCUAACAUUUCCCUCUCGGCUGGAAUGGUAGGACACUCAUCCACCAAGUGCUCAUAUGAUAGACAAAUGGCACAAGGCAUAGCUUGCAAUGGUAUUUGAGAGAUGGCUUGCACUGGUUGCAUAUUCGUCAUUUCUAGCUUUUCCAAUCUCCUUUCCAUAGCUGCAAUCUCUGCCUUCAUGUUCAUACCAUCAUUCAAAAUAUACAUCUCACCCUUAGCAUUAGGUUGAGACAUCAUUCUUCCCAUAUCUCGAGCAUUUGGUUCAUCCCAUUCUCUUGAGACUUCAGCCACAUAACUUAUGAAGUUCAUGGCUUCUUCUGCUAUCUCGUAAUCAAUAUAGCAUGCACAACUAGCAAUUUGUGAAUUAAAAACAGGGAAUACAAAAGAAAACAAAAGAAAAACAAUUCAAAGAAAGAAAAUUAAGGUAAACUAAAAACUAAAUAAAAGGUAUACUAAAACAUGAACAAUAAAGAAAUAAAAAGAGUUAGUAAAAGGAAAAGAAAAGUCACCAAACUUGUGAUGAAGAUCACAAGUACUCUCAAAAGGUGAUAUCACUGUAAAGUGGCACCAUCCCCGGCAACGGCGCCAUUUGAUUCGUGCCCAAUUGGUGUCUCAACUGAUUCGUGUCUAGCUGGUGCUCCUUGAUUGAGGGAGUAAUCAACAAAAUUUAUAACCUAUUACACCAUAUACUAGGGUAGCAAAGACAAAGCUACUAUAGUAUAGUGGCUCUAGGAUCGUUCACUGGGAUGGGUUUUCACUUUGCAAAUGAUAUUAGUUCAAAGCUGAAUUGGUGUCUUUUCAUUUCAAGGUUAGCUUUAAAAGAAAACAUAAAGAUGUUUGAAUGAAAAAGGUUUGGUUUUAAACUAACCACAAAUAGUAACUGAUUUUAACUACAAAGAAAAGUGUUUCUUGGAGUUCAGAUCACUAGGCUUAUUCCUCAUACAAAAAGGAGAGUUCCGGUCACUUGUUUCUUUUCCUCGCAUUAGAGAAUUAACAUAUAGUUAAUUCUCUAACCGGUGUUGUACAGAUGCUUCCCAUUAAUGGGUUCAAACACUAAAUCCCUCUCACUGAUGCACUUUGCAAUGGCUCAUACCUCUCACCUAGCACUUGCCAUUCAAGGUGAUCUUUAACCUUGGACUUCCCUUCAAAAGCUCGCAAGAGAUAACUAAUGGAUGUCUCCUUGGAGUCCAAAAGCUUACCAAGUGUUGGCUAUUCUAGAAAAUCCUACCUUCAAGUCACCUCCCAAAGGCUCGUAAGGGGUAAACUAGUGCAUUUCCAUGGUUGGAAAUCACUUGCCUUACUAAGUGUUGGCCCAAGUGACUCUAAGGUGUUUUAAGUUAACUAAAAACAUAGAAAUCACUAACGGGUUACACUUUCUCUUCAUUAAAAACUAAAACAACAAAACUUCCAAAUUAUGCAUGUGGAAACUUACCCGGCUUUCCUCACUCCAAGAGACAAAAAACUUAGCCUCUCAUCCUCUGUGGAAAAAUCCUCAGAGUUUGGUUGGCUAGAAAAUGAAAAUGAAAGAGAAGACAAGAAUAUAUAUGAAAAACAGAGCAAGUGCUCUGUUCCUUGAUUCUAUAUAUGAUAUAUCUAUAUAUUACAUACUUCCCCCAGCGUCUCCUUUUUAGUGUUUACAAAAGAGCUUAUAUAGGAAGGUAAUUUACCCUUCCUUGGAUAUUUCCUAGCUAAGGAAUUACAUGAGUGGCUGAAUACAAGGAGAAAAUGGAAAUUUAUACAAAAAUAUCUGAAGAAAAAUAUCCAAAAGAGUCGGUGCACAAAUAUUAGGAAGCACUAAGGACAUUUCGCAGGUGAAAACGAGGUCUGCGAGAUUUCGCAGACACUCAAGAGGGCUGCGAAAUAUUUUCGCAACAACAAGUUAAACUCGUAGGGCUGCGAAAUUGGCUUCCACCUUGAGGUUCUCAGCGUUCCAGCUUGCGGCAUGUAUCGGGUAGCUUCAGGAGGAAUUCCAUAUCACUGUACAAAAAGGCUGCGAAAUUCUCGCAACAAAAGGCUGAUUUCGCAACACUUUGGAGUGAUCUUCUUGAAAUGGCUGUAACUCCUUCAUUUCAACUCCAAAUCACGCACCGUUUGAAGAAUUGGAUUCUUGACUUCCUGAGCUUUGAAAUGGUAUAUAUCAUGUAGAAAAUGGACUUCGGGAAGUGCUCCAAAAGUGUGCAAGAAGACUGCAGCUGCUGUCCUUUGUUUUCUUCACUUUGUUUUUCCUCUCUCCUUGCUUCUCUCCUUGCAUACUUUGAACGACUAAGGCAAUGGGCUAUGGAGAUCCAAAGCUUGGUUCUUCAUGAAUUUGAGCUCUUCAUUUCUUUGCCAUGGAUUCCAAAUAACUCUCCUCAAUCUUGGAUUGUUUUGGUGAUCAAAUUACUAACAAAAACACCAAAACUUACACAAUUUGAUUAGAAAUGAUUGCAAGGGUCCUUAACAUGUUAAUUGGGUUAAAAGGCAAUAACUACUACUCAAAAGUGUUUAAAAGGAUUAAUUACAAGCUACAAAAUAGCACUUUUUGAGUAGUAAUCAAUUAACUGCACAGGGUCGUCUAAUUAAUCAAUUAGCCCAAUUUAGAGUACUUGUUCACUAUUCCUUGUGUAACCUUGUGUAAUUACCAAGACACCCUUAUUCACAAAAAUUAACUAAGAGUCGAUUCAUCUCUCAUAAAAUGUGUCAUCAUGGCAUAUGAGCUCAGAAUAUGGACCAUUGGGACCCAUAGGAGUACUGGCUCCCUCAUACUCUAAUUUUGAAGUUGAUUCAACAUUCCAUUAAAGAGAAUCAAAUACACUUCAAUAUCCUAUGUAGAUAACAACGAGAUGAAGCUUAGAAUCUAUGACCUACUAUCCACUACAUGCAGACUCCCUAUGAACCGGUGUCCGUAAUACAACAAGGUUGUGCUAUAACCUAUCAAGAUUACCUCUGCAAUUCUUGAGUUAUAGAUCCCACUUAUUAUGUGAUCAAUUGACAUACUCUAGCUUUAAGGAGCAUAUGUCAAAUUUCCAUUAAAGGAAAUGCAGUGGCCAUAGUCUUCUAGAUCACAUGUCCUUUGGAUCACCCAAGGGGACACAUUGUUUCAAUCCAUGAGAUAUCAUGGUGCCUUUAUUGAGAAUAUCUAUUGUCACCAACAGUGACCUAAUCCAUAGGGAUAUAUGACCACUUUAGGGUCUCACCCAUAAUUCAAAGCCUCCUGUUAACUUUAACACAAGCUCAAUAUCCUCUCAAGGUUGAGAUUCCAUGUAGUAUAGUAGCUUGGUGAAUCAUGACAAUUGAUAGUUUUAUGUCAUGAUUCACUGUAGUUCUUAUCCAAUGUGCAUCAUAUACAUUAGUACACUUACCAUGGGAAAACCAUCCCAACAGCCAAGACAAGUCAUCUCUCCAAGUAGGAUGUAGAACACUACAAUCUCAAAUGGAUAACCCAAAUUCCUGAACCAACUAUGGAAAGCUCAUCACUCUACAGGGAACCCAUGACAUGGAUCUUAUGUACAACACCUAAUAUGCCCAAGUCACGUACAAUGUAAGUAACGUGGGGAGUGUAUGCUCAAAUAAACAAUUAAUACAAAUGAGAUAUUUAAGGGAACCAAGAAACAUAAAUAAAUUUAUAAAUGAAUCUCAAUCUAUUACAUCAUGUCAUGUUUUCCAAGGCUCAAUCCCAAAACUAAUUUCUAAGAUCUCUACAAUCUUUAAUCUUUAACCCUCAAGGGGUUAUUAGGGAGGUAUUUAUAGGAAAUGACCCAAAGAGUUUUAGUAUUUUAAGUUUCCAAAUUAGAGUUUGAGUGAAAUUCAUUCAAAAGUUGUUUCUAAACUUGGUAGGAUUGUCAUGAUCGCUUGAGUAAACUAAGGCCACUUGAAUGUUUCACUUGAGCAGUCCUUACCGCUUGAGCAGGCUAACUGCUUAAACGAUCUUUUCCACUUAAGUGACCCCUACUUCUUUUGAAAAAUCAUUUUAAGUCAAAAAAUAAUACUAAACCUUUUAUACAUCAAAGAAGCCUUAUAUGCCAUAAGUCAAACCUUUUUAAAUGUACCUAUGACUUCCUGGUUGGAUGAAUAGCAACCCUUAAUCUUCAAUGGAGAGCAAGUCAUUAUCUAAAAAGACUUCUAUGAUCAAACAUAAAAUGAAACAAAAUUGUCAACAUAUAAAGAAGACUUAAUGUCCUAAUAGGAAACAUUAGAACUUUCCUUAUCUACUCAGUUUGAGUGAAAAGACUUCAAGUAGGUGAAGUACUUCAAGGGAUUGUGAGUGCCCAUUGGAGACCAUGAAUCCAAAUAUAAAGCUUCAAGGCUUAGGUUGAAGGCCUUUGAUAGUAGAACCCUCACUUGGUUAGGAGUUUAAAAAGAGUGGAUAUAGGCGGAUUUUCAAACCACUAUAAAAGAGUUUGCAUAUAUUUUCUUUUUAUCUUUUGCUUAAUUAUUGCCUUAAUUAAUUUCUCUUAUUAUUUUUGUUAUUAAUUGGUUGUUUCUGAACAAAAAUUUUGACACCUAAUUCAUCCCCCCUCCCAUCCCUUUAGUAGUUUACUUAAUCAAAUUGGCCAUUUUUCACAAUUAUUAUCAGGUACAUAUAUGUUAUGGAGAAUGGUGGGUAUGAUUGGCAACUGGAAAAUGACUUUUCAAGAAGGUAGAUGGGUUGGUGGUGAAAAUGGUGAAAGGUUGAAGGGGUUAUGGCAUUGGGUACAGAUGUGGUAAGCCAUUAUUUGCAAUGGUGGUUUUUUUUUAUUUACUUUUUCAUCUUUUUCCCCAAACAACACUCCACACAACUCCAUUUAUUUCAUCUUUGCUAUAAAAACAAAACAUGCUACUACAACACAUUUAAUGUGCUUCAUUAUGCCAUGAGUUUUAUAUUAUUUAAAAUUUAGAAAUUAAAAAAAUUAAAAAAAUUAAAAUUUAAAAAAAAAAUUAAAAAACAGAAUUUAUAAAUUAAAAAAAAUAGAUUAAAAAUAAAAUUCAAAAUUUACAAUUUUGCAUUAUUUAAAAUUUAGAAAUAAAAUAAUUUAAAAAUAUUAUGUUUUAUAUACACAUGAUGAUAGGCUGGUACUACUGAUCCAUCGGGUUGAAAUAAAGGUGGAAUGGUUUCAAAAAAGCUCCAUCAUCUUCAGCCUUGUAAAUUCAUCAGCAAUCAAUAAGAAAGUAAGAAUUUUAUGUUAAAUUUUUUGCCUUCAUUUAAAUUUCUGUAUUAUGUAUUUUUCUUACCCUUAGGGGGUAAAAAGGGGUAAAAAGGUAAAAUAGGGAAAUGAAAAUUAUUUGAAUUAUUUUUAAGUUUUCUUUACUAGUUAAUAUAUGCAAUAUACAUGGAUCCUUUUUAUAUAAUGUUCUCAUCAACAUAAAAAAAAAUAAAAUUAAAAAUAAAAAAAAUAAAAAAAAAUAAAAAAUAUCGGUUUAUUUAGAAAAUUUUGGGUGUAAAAUCAUGUUUUAAAACUAGAGUCUUUAGUCUUAACCCUUGACCUCAAACCCGUUUUUGCCGGAAAAUUGGCGUUUUAGGGAGACUAUGUCUGGUCAGAAGGGGGGUAUUACCUUGACACGAAGUGAUGUUUUAAAAUUUUUGAAUUUUAUUACCAGAAUUUUUGAGAUAUCCGAUUUCAAAAGAUUUCAAAACUUAAUUUUAUACGUUCAAAAAACUUUCACUAUAAGUUUAAAAAUUUUAUGUUAUUUUAAUAAGUCUUUGUAAAAUUUUAUAUUAUUUUAUUAGGUGUUUGAAAAUUUUAUGUUAUUAUAAUAAGUCUUUGUAAAAUUCUAUAUUAUUUUAAUACUAGUAAUAAAUGUGUUCACACUUAAAUUCAAUAAAAAACUCUAAUCAAACCCUCAUUGCUAACGGAGAUUUAAAGAAACUUUACUAACAAACUGUUGUUGAAACUGGUGAUGGGAAAAGUUGAAAUUACCUCAAAUAAAUAAACCAAUAAUAAGAUAUCCAACAUCUAGUAGCAAUAAAAACUGCAGAUAUAGCAUGCAAUCUUAUAGAUACAAAGGAAUUCAAAAUUGAACCACUCAUCCCUCAACAAGAACCAGAAUGGGAAAUGACCCGUUCAAAUGAAUUAAACGAAGUAUUACAAGAACAAAUUCAGAAAGAAAACCAAAACAAUAUAGAUAUUGUAACACCUUACAAAAAAAAAUUAGUUCAAAAUUAUAAAAUAAUCAUAAUCUAUAUUUAUAAAAAAAAUAUAUGAUAUCUUUAUACACACAAAUUAUAUUUGGAAUUCUAGAUGAAUGGAAUGUUUUUAGAGAAGCUAGACUAUUUAUUUGAUAAAUUCCAAUAUUAACAAUUUUUUAAAAACUAAACAAUAAUUAAUAAAUGUUUCUAUUGGGUUAAACUAGGCAAUUAAAUAUUAGUAUAAAUUUACUUUGUGAGUAAACAAGCUUAGGGGUAGCAAUUUGUGUUGGUGGGUCAUAUUUGUGUUGUGUCAAACCCGACAUGAAUAAUAAUAUGGUUAAAAACAUACACCCAAAUACUACAUAAUUAUUAAACAAGUAACAUGUCAUGUAACUCACUUAUCUUAUUAAAUAAUUAGGCCUUAUCUUUUAAUAAUCAGGUUGAGUUAGGUCUUGUGUUAAUUUAUAUGACUAAUAAAUGUUUAUGACUCAAUUGCCCUAUUUAUUUAAAAUCAAGUUUAAAAUGUGCUAAAUAUGGGUUAAAUAUUUUAAAGUUAUAAUUAAACUAAUCAACACAAUAUGCAUGUUGACCCAAAGACUACCCAGUUAUUAAACGAGUUAUAUAGGUCCACAUGAAUUUGGCUCAAACUCAAUCAUACUCAACUCAAACACAUAAAAAGCAUGUUAGAUUCAAGUCUUCUUGAUGAAUUGUAUCAAAUUUUAUCACCCUUAAACAAGUUCGAUGUCAAAUGAUAACAAAUUAGAAGACUAUAGUUUAUCCAUAACUGACAUAUAUUUAAUUCGAGAUUUAUGUAUUAAAGUGAAAAAUUCGAAAUGGAACUAAAAUAAAAGUAUGAUUAAGAGAAAAUAUUGGAAUAAUGUUGAAGUGUAAUACUUGAACCAACAUCAAGAAAAUAAUGAUCAAAAUGAGAUUAGAGUUCUACAUUCUUUUUUGUUUUCUUUCUCUUUUUCUUGCAUUUCAAAAAUAUCAAACACGAUAAAACACUAUAGAGGUAAAUCAUAUAAUAAUUUAUGAUAAAUUUCAAUUACUUUCAUAACUACUCUUUUAUAUAUAUAUAUAUGUAUUAAAAAAUGUAUGCAAGUAUAAAAACUCCUUUACAAGUUAGUAACUAUAAUAGUUAUUAUCUUAAGGUAUAAUUUAUGAUUUUAUUCUUAAUAAUUAAUUUCUUUUAGCAAAUUAGCAAUUAAUGAUUAAAAAUAAUAAAUGCAUAAUGAGAUCAUUAAAAAAAUCAAAUAGCCAAUUACUAAUAAAGAUAUGGUUGGAUACUUUACAAAAAACCUUUACACAUACAUUUUUUAUUUUGUAAAUAGUAAUAUAGUAGUUGGGCAUAUAGUGUCAUAUAUUGUAUCAUAUAAUAAUUAUCUUGCAAUCAUAUAUUUAUUAAUAAUAUAUAUCUUUAUAUGCACAAGUCAUAUUUGGAAUUUUAUGUAAAUAGAAUGUCUUCAUAGAUGCCAGGCAAUUUAUUUGAUAAAUUCCAUUUUGAACAAUUAUUUAAAAAUCAAGUAAUAAUUAAAAAGAAUUUCUAUUAGUUUAAAGUAGGUAAUUAAAUGUUAGUAUAAAUUUACUUUUUAAGUAGAUAAGACAUGAUUUUGCAUGAGAACAAAUUAGUGGACUAUAGCUUAUUCAUAGCUAACUUAAAUUCAAUACUAUUUUAGAGUUGUAUGAUAACUUUUACCCAAUAUAAUAAAAAUCAUUUAGUAUUAUUUAUGUUUGAGUAGCAUCAUGUAAUAAUAUUGAAAUUUAAAUAAAUUUAUAUUAUAGGAUAUAAUCUAACAUGUCUUGGAUUAUUUGUUAUUAUUUAUAUAAAAAAUAUAAAUAACAUAUUACACUAUAAAAAUUAAUUGCUCAAAUAGUUUACCUUUUUAUUAUUUCAUAACAAAACUAUUAUUACAUUAUAGAACAUUUCAUUUUAAAUAAAUCUAUAAUAUAGUAUUUCAUUUUGUGGAUCUUUAAUUAUAUUUAUUAUUAUUUAUAGAAAUAAAAUAUUAAGUCUCAAAAAAUACAUAUGUCGUUUCACAAUAUAAAUCAUCUUGCUAUUUAUCAAUAUUAUUUAUUAAUAUCACAGUUUAAUAACUUCAUUUAGUGAUAAAAUUAUUCAAUUUGUCAAGAAAUAAUAUAAUCAUUUAAUGAAACCAUUUUGUAAGCAAAUAUAUAUAAAAAGUUGUAACUUUUAGUAAGAAAAUUAUUUUUGUCACCAAAAAUUGUAAUUAGUGACAAAUAUUUUUGUGGGAAAAUAGUUUUUUUCUAUCACAAAAGUGUUUGCACAAAAAAAUGACGACGCCAAAAUUUUCCAUCAUGUCUUUUAGUGAUGAAAAUUUCAAAUUUGUCAUGAAAAGCUUUCAAAAAAUUGGCACCAUUGAUAACAUCUAAAAUUUCAUCAAUAAAAUUUACUUUUAGUGACGAAAGUAUAAUUCACCCCUAAAGUUUCUUUUUUAUUUGCUUCAUUAUGAAAUUUAAGAUAAGUUCUUCAUGUAUGAUUUAUUUUUUAGAUUCUUUUCUCUUUCUUUAACCACGAGAUUAAUAGGAAGAAGAAUUGAGGAAAUGAGAAAAGUGGUUAUGGUAAAGAAAUAAUAAAGUAAUAAUAAUAUUUGGGUUGUGGGUAGGAGAUAAGUAAAAAUAGUAGUAAAUUAAUAUAUAAUUAUCAUACUUCCUACCAUGAAAAAAAAGAAAAGAAUAUUAACAUUAAUAAUUCAACAAAAUCCAUUAAUGUAAUUAUGGGAAGUGAAAAUGAUAAUAAUAAUAUGGUUAAUAAAAAAUUUAAUUAAAAAAAUAGAUUUUUAGAAAAGGGUUUGGAAUUAAAAUAAGUUUUACAAAAAAAAUUAGGAAGCCAUUGAUUUAGAUAAUUAGUCUUUAGGAAUUAAUUUUUAUUUAUAUUUGUAUUAGGUUUAGAUAAAGUCUUUCAAGAUUUUGAAUGAUUUCUUCAAGGUUAGGGUUAAUAGUAUAGUAAACUAUUUUAUAAUUCCUUAUUUAUUUUCAUCUAUUUUUAAACUAUCAAAAUGUUUAAAUUCCUUAAAGCGGAUCAAAUAAUAUUUUACUAAAAAUGUUAUGAUUUGUUCCUUAAUUUAUAAAAUGAAUUAGGAAUAUCAUAUGAUUUAUUUAUUGUUAUGCAAGUGAAUUUUAUUGUUUAAUUUAUCAUAUUGGUUUUGAAACUCUAGUUAUUAGUGGACCUGGUCAAGGGUGCAAUUGUUGACCUUUGUUACCUUUGGUGAGGGUAGUGAUAUAAUGGAACUCUAGCUAAUAAGGGUGCUAUUAUCCUUUGGUAUACCAUUGAUUAUAAAUCAUUUAAUCCAUGUGUAAGAGGAACAAAGUGAGACUAGCCACCUAAUGUAAGUUAUACUAUUUGGACACGAUGUUAUUAUCAAUAAGUUAGAGUAAAAUGUUAUUAUCAAGAACACUUCUAGGUCCAAUCUUGAUAAAUUAUUUAAUUUUGAUUUUUUUUAAAUCUAUAAAUUAUGAUUUUUACCACUAUAAUUUCUUGGUCAAUUCUCAAAGUCAAACUUGUAUUCCAUGAUACACAACCUGAUUGAAGCUGAGUUGUAAGAAAUUAAUUUUCAAGCAUUUGGUUUAUUUAAAAUUUGGUAAGUGAUCAAAUAUCAUAAUUAUAGUGGUCCUACUCAUUUAACUGGUCCUGGAAGAACAUUCAAAACCAAUACGCAUUCAAAUUACUUUAUCUUAUAUUGAUACGUGACGAGAAAUUUUUGAACCCCAAGAGAAUCGUCUUGGGUGCCCAUAGAAGGUGACAACAGCCAUAAAAGUUGUUGUUCAGCUUUCACCAAUUCUAGUUUUGGUUUUCUCCAGCCUCUAUAAAUACCUCUAAGAAUUCAUCUAUUCAUGUCAAAGAGCAGAUAAGUCGUGCUAUUAGAAAUAGUAAGAAAAUUGAAGGAGUUGUGUUUAAGACAAGAGAAGCUUUUCUUCCAAAGAAGAUGUGGCAGAUCAUGAAGGUUUUCCUCUUGCAAAUUUUACCAUUUCUACUUUUUGGUGGUGGCAUCUAUUGCCAAGCUUCAACCCGUCGGUUUACUUUUGUGGUAAAUACUAUAUAUGAUUCUAGCCUUAACGCCACCUUAUGAUCGUAAUAUUCAGGGAGUAGUAUUACUCUCAUUUUCCACCGUAUAACCCCCAUGGGGUCUUGGGUACCCUAUGUCAUUGAGUCAUUCAUGCAUGCUAUCAAUUUCUAAUUGGUUAUACACUUGCAUGAAUGGAUUGAUGCAACUAUUCAUGCAUGUAAUAUGUCUUUAGGGAUGAGGUUGCAUGGUUAACUUUUAAUUGGUUGCAGGUGAAGGAAGCUUCAUAUACAAGGCUUUGUAGCACCAAGAACAUCAUAACAGUAAAUGGACAAUUUCCGAGACCAACUAUAUAUGCUAAGAAAGGAGAGACGAUCAUUGUCGACGUUUAUAACAAAGGAAAAGAAAACAUCACCAUUCAUUGGUAGGUCUUGUGCAUAUCUAAAAAAUGAUAGCAAUCGGCAACAUGCUUACAUGACAUACAUUCUUUUAUUUCUAAGAGGGGGUUGCAAUCUAUUGCUUUGCAAAUAAAGUCAAAUUUAAACAAUACUUUGUGGUUAUUUGCUUCAAUUCCAUUGAAAUACAGUCGAUGCCUCUUGUUACUAUGACAAUAUGUUGUUGCAUGCCAUCUUUUGUUAGUCCAAAAAUUAGUACUAGUUUUAAUGUAUAGUUAUUGUUUUCAGGCAUGGGGUGAGCAUGCCUAUAUAUCCAUGGAUAGAUGGUCCUAAGUAUAUCACACAAUGCCCAAUUCAACCAAGGUCAAAGUUUAGCCAAAAGAUCAUCCUUUCCUUUGAGGAAGGCACUCUAUGGUGGCAUGCUCACGGUGAUUGGACCCAAGCCACCAUUCAUGGAGCUAUAAUCGUCUAUCCUAAGAACGGAACCAAAUAUCCUUUUCCCAAACCUAAUGUAGAAGUUCCCAUCAUAUUAGGUAUAAGUGUUGUUACUUUUAAAGCUUAAUUUACAUAUCAUGAAUUAACCAACAAAUCAAAGUCUAAAAUUAUUGGAGCUGUUGAAAUGCAGGACAAUGGUGGAAGAGUGAUGUGAAUGUGGUUCGAGAUGAAGCGCUUGCAACUGGAGCUAACCCCAAUGCCUCUGAUUCUUUAUUGAUAAAUGGACAACCUGGUGAUCUAUUUCCAUGCUCAAAAUUAGGUACAAAUUAAGUUUAACUUCCCAUUUUAAAAUUGUAUACAAUUUCAUUUUCUUGUAUUUUGACCAUAUUACUUUUUCUUAUUAACAUCAACAUAUUUAAAGCUUAAUGCUAAAAAAGAGGAAUAUAGCUAUGAGGAUGGUAGAGUCAUGAUUUAACACAUAAGAAAAGGCUCGUCCAAAUAUAAUUUUAAACUAUGGAGCCAAAUUUACACCCUUAAUCACUUCAUAAUUGGUGGAUCCUCAUGGAAACUUUUUCUUUAUCUUUUCACUAGUCAUAAGCAUAAAACUUUCCCUUUCUAAUUGUAGGCACAUUCAAGCUAACGGUGGAUCAUGGAAAGACCUAUCUACUUCGCAUAAUCAAUGCUGCCUUUCACGAGGCUCUCUUCUUCUCCAUUACCAAGCAUAAAAUGAUAGUGGUUGGAACAGAUGGUAGCUACACAAAACCAUUGACACGAGAUUAUAU